AAGUGGAAACUUCGAAAGGAAUAAUUUAAGCUAAAUUCCACCCCUAAAAGGAGCUCAUCAAUCUUUAUCAAUUUUGAGGGAUUAGACUGGAGAAUGACCGCUGUUAUAAUCUGAAUCCCUAUGGUGUUCGACAUUUAUCAGCACGACAAAGGAUGCCAAAGGAGGGGGAAAUCGGAGUAAAAACUUUUGAGACAACGAAGUAUGUUUAGUUGGCUAACUAGAUUUUGAUGAAGAAGUUCAAUGCUCGUCUAAAAUCUAGCAUGCCAAAUCACUAAUACUCAAGAAUUCAGUUGAUAAAACACUUGGAUUACUGAGAUCCGGUAUGGUUAGUUUAAACCAUCACGUGAAGAUAAGAGGUGAGGUUCGAGUGAAAACAUGCUCGACCUUCAUGUAUGAGGGCUUGGAUUAUGGGUAAUGGCACAAAAGCCACUCAAAUCCACUUACAAACAUUUUCAAAGUGCGCCCUUAGACCUUUGAUUUAAUUCAAAGAAGGGUCAUAAAUUAGCUUGGAGGUCCAUAUGUAGAUUUAAACUAAUGCUUGUCAUGUGAAACUCACGCAACCGGCCUGAACAUUCUAACUAUAGGAUUAGCAUCUAUCUAUUUCCCAAGGUCAUGCAUGAUUGUCUUGACACUGCUGCAGUAAGAACCUAUACAGCCUACUCUAAAUUUGCAAAAGGGAAAACAAUCAGAGGAGUUUUCGAGGUCGAAGGAAAGUCCUUUUACCACACUUUGAGCUGAUCGGUCGUUUCUUCUCACGGUCGCGGGGUGUAGAAAGAACUCCUCAUCUGAAUCCGGAACCUUCACUUUGAUUGCCUUGAUGACUUUAUCAUAAGUUACGGCUGUUGACACUGGAAAGGAAGACGGCGCUUUGAAUCAUUCGAAUAUGAAAGACAAAAAAAAGAAAAGACAGGCAAUUUCUGAAGGUCAUUCCUUUAGUUCAAUUGUGGGAGGGGAUAUAAGCCUAAAAUUUUAGCAGCAAAUGACGAACUGGGAAAGUUCUGAUCUUAGGAAUCUAGUUAGAUGCUGGCACUGGAUUCUCAAAACACAGAUAUCUCUCUCAACCUUUAUCAAUAAGUUGUUUUAAUCUAAUAAAUGUAAACUACCUUGUUGACGAAUCUUGGCACACUGUUGCACGAUACACACUCCGAGGUCCUGGAAUGUCUUGGCAACUUCACCUAGAGGAUCUGCCACAACGUCUGGCAUUCCACUAUCUCCAGAGGCUGAUAACUAAUAUCAAUGGAAGAAAUCAUUAUUAUCUGUCAUGCCUCAUCAGGAGUAAGAAUGGACAUUAAGAGAACAAAAGGCACAAUAACGAAAGAUAAGAUCAAAGAACUUGUCAGAGGAUAUACUGUUGGUCUAAUGGGAAGAUCGAAUAAAUGAGGGAUUCCGAACUGCUGGACAACCUGUAAAUAGAUCCAGCACACUGUGAGAACACAGAGAAUAUGUUUCAUCCUUUAACAUCAGAGUGUAACCCUAGGAUUAGCGCUCUGGCCUUCCACAGUAACAAGUAAACCAAACAAUAGGUAACUGGAGAAACAUGCCUGAGAGCCUGAUCCUCUACCAAAUGGGUAAUAGCGCUUUCCAUCAGCAUCAAAGUGGCACAUAUUUUCCACAACAGCGACACAGGGUACCUGUGUGCAUGAACAGUGGAUUGUCAAAAGAUGACUCUUUCAUAGAUAAAUAAAAAAAAAAAAGAUCAACUCCAGGGCACCAAGAGGGAAGGAAACGCCACGUUUAAUCUGUUCCNNNNNNNNNNNNNNNNNNNNNNNNNNNNNNNNNNNNNNNNNNNNNNNNNNNNNNNNNNNNNNNNNNNNNNNNNNNNNNNNNNNNNNNNNNNNNNNNNNNNGUUCACUACUGUCAUGGUGAAUCUUUCAAAUCACAUUUUCAUGUUUCAUCAUAUCCAGAAUUCUUGAUAAAUGAUGCAGAGUAUACUUAAUCAAAGGAUGGUGUUGAAUAGGGAUUGCCUAUAGUACAAAGGCACAAACCUUAAGUUUUGAGAACAUGCGAACUCCCUUUGCUACAUCUAUAAAGGCAAGCUUUUGAGGGGUGGUAACAAUGACAGCAGCUGUCAAGGGUACAACCUGAAAAGUUAAUAUCAUCACUUUAAGAUUGAAAACUGCAGCAACAAACAAAACUUGCAAGGGUAUUAUAUUAUGCAAAAUGCCUGCAACUAGCACCUUCUAGUUGUAAAGAUAUGCUUUGUUCGUAAAAGGAUAGUGGGACAAACAUUAAACUGUUCAUAAUUUUUACUGAUCUAAGAUGAAAAGGCACAAAAUGCAAACCUGGCAUAAUGUAAGCUGAAUGUCACCAGUCCCCGGUGGCAUGUCAAUAACAAGGUAAUCCAACUCACCCCUGUAAGGAAAGUUUAGUAAUGCUUAGCUGCAGAAGCCCGACCCAGAAGCCCCCAAAAGAUGAGAAUGAUGAGAGAAAAUCAUCGUUUUUGAUUCAGUGUAGUGUACUUUGAAUCACGCACUUCUCUUAUAGGAACAAAACACGCUUCGACAACAAUGACAGUGAACAGAAAUUUGAAUAUAAUAACCACAGCAUGCAAGCAUGACCAAUGAUUUUUCAUACCACUCAGUAGUAGUCAAGAGUUGGUCGAUGACACCAGAAACCAUUGGACCUCGCAUAAUUGCACGGCCUUGUCCAGCAAAUCCAAAAGAUACCAGCUUCACUCCUAAGUAUUCUGUGGGAAUUAUGCUUCUUUUCUCUGGGUUCUAGAAAAGGUAGGUGGAAAUAAUAAAUGCAUUCUUUCACUAAAUUAGAAAUUGAUUUCGUUGUAGUGGAAGUGGAACAAUAAGCUUUAUUACCAUUUCCAGAAGUCGGUUAUCAGGGGAAACCAUUGUUGGUAAACUGGGACCAUACACAUCAGCAUCGAAAAUUCCAACUCGAGCUCCCAUUCCAGCCAAAGUAUAUGCAAGAUUUACAGCUACAGUUGAUUUUCCCACGCCUCCCUGAACAGUUCUGACAGACAGCAGUCAUGAUAAAAGAAAUUAAAGAAUAGUACUUUUUAAUAAUAGUAACCAAACAACAUGUCAAACCACAAGUUGGAAAUACUAAAAUAAAAAACUUUUUCCGUUAUAAAAUUUGCUAAUUAGGGAAAUCAUCAUGAUGGAAUGAAACUACAGGUCAUCCUUAUGUCAUAGUCAACCUUCUCAAAGCAACCCCAAAAACGUUUUGUAGCCAAAUGUCAUUCAAUGACAUAGCUACUUUGUCACAACCUGGAAAAUCAAGUGCAACAAAAGGUUAAGUAACCCUACCUUGCAGCUUGAAACUGCUAUAAUGUUUGAGAUUGUCUGUAACCCUGGAGGAAGUUCACCUGUGAAAACAGGUUUUGCUGGUUGUGCUGACAUGGUUACUUUAACAUUCUUGACCCAAUGAAGAUUAGCCACCACCUCAUUUGCCUGCUGCUCAAACUGUCAAGGGAUACUCAUACUGUUAAACUAGUUAAGGUUCAGUAACAUGAUAUGUCAGGCAAACACUCUGAGGAAACCAUUAUGAAGCAGCAAAAAAUGAUAGAUUAGUUCCAAAAGUACUUUGAAAUUGUACAUGCACACAAAGAUUUAUGGAAGGGUGUCAAAAGGAGCAGGUGUCAAUAGUUUCUAAAAGUAAUUAAUACACAAGACAGAACAUCUAGUGCACUGAGCAUGUAUUUGGUAACUGAGCAAGCAACAUAGGUUGCGUUAUUUACCAUGUCCUUGAUUGGACAUGCAGGUGUAGUGAGCUCUAACCGGAACGAAACCUGAGAAUCAAAGCCAAGACAUUGCAGGGUAAGGGUGUCAUUCCUUACAGAUGUACAAUAUAUAAAUCCCAGACUAAUUCUUUAAUAACCUCUCCAAGAGCUUCAUCUAUGAGGAGGUCCUUAACAAAACCACAUGAAACAAUGUCCGUUCCAAAGUCGGGAUCAAUAAUUUGAGACAAGGCUUUCAGCACAUCACCUUCAGCUGUCUGAGCUGAAACUGCAGAAGUACUCUCUACAAUUACAAGAGCAGAAAAGGUACACGGAAUGAUGUCAAGCUUAUGAGAUGAACAAGAAAAAAUCAGCGGUGAACAAUCGGUGAAAACUAAGCAACAAAGUCCAGUCAAUUUUGCUCAGGACACAGGAUAGGCAAUUAUUUUUGCCCUUAAUCCCUUAAGAUUAUAAGCUGUAAUAAUCUUCUGUAUCUACUCAGGGCCAUUCAAAUUUGGUUUUGACAAGGGGUAGCCAAGAGUAGUUGGUUUGGAUGGGUUCUCAAUAGUACAAUGCAUGCUCAUGUGCACAAACACAAGACUGCUUUAAUUGUUUUCUGUUCGUGUAUAGUUUCUUUGCAAUUCCAAGAAAAUAGUUUGACAGAGCUAGCCCCUUUUAUUUGGCCUACCAAAUAAUCCUCCAAAAUUUUCUUCAAGGCAGAACAUGUAAAUAUGUCUUUGCAGAGAGUAUGAUAUGUAUUAGUGGAAGCAGAUUGAUCUGAUGGCACGAGCCAACGGUUUCACCAUAAAACAUACUCAUUUCUAGAAACUCACAACUUUACAAGUAGCAGAUUAUUAGCACGAAAAAAUAAAUUGCAGAAAGUUACCAAGUCGAACAUGGACGCCUCAGUAAAGUUAAUUAGAUUUACUUACUAUGAUACGAUUAAUUAAAUCAGGCUAUAGGCGUACUAGAAACAAUCUUAACUGUAUCACUUGCACUCGCUCCACAAGAUCACUCUGUCAAAUUCUCAACAUUUUCAUGAAAAUAGCUACUGGGUUCUCAUAGCUCAGGUAGAUAAAUACUCGAACAUUAAAAAAAAAAGAAAAAGAAAAGAAGAAUCCCAUUUGGGUAUUUACCAAAUAUUAUAGGCACCCGAUGAUCAACGAAUUCAAAUUAUUCAUAGAAAGAACAAGGAAAAAGAAAAAGAAAGUACCUUCCACUGAAGCAGCCUUAGCUGCAGGGGAAUUCGAAACGGGCGGCUUGCGAGAUACCCAUCUGGAGCUUCGAAGCCAUUGUUGCUGGAUACAAGAGCAGGUUGCCGUUGCUGUGAGGGAAUUCGCCAAGAAACACGGUCCUACAACAGAAAGGACCAGGUAAUGAGACAAGCGGUGGCAGUGUCGGUUCAAUGAUCCUUGCAUGAAUUAGCGCAAGAGUUACCUCUGUUCGGUUGGACUUUUGAGCAGCAUAGGGAGAGAGAUGGAGAAGAAGAUGGGCACUGCAGGAGCUGCAUUUUCGAGGGAGAGAGAGAGAGAGAGCAGAGAGAGAGCAGAGAGCUGAGAGAGCUCUUGCAGAAAAAAUGAGAGGUGGCAAAUGCUUCUGAGCCUCGUGCUCUCUGUUAUUAGUGCAAAAAAGCGCCAGCCUCAUGUUAACAAAAGAGGAGUUCGUUAAUUUUAAAAGAGAAAAAUAGAAGACCUUUUUUCCAUCUAAAGAAAAUGUGUUCCUGUGGACUUAAAUAAGAGGAAAAAAGUAUUUAUAUCUUUUACUUUUCCGUUCAAAAUUAAGAAUAUAAUUAAUUUUAAAAUAUUCUAAAAAAAACUGUAUGUGAAUCUAAGUAUCAAUAGUGAAAAUUUCAAGAAUUUCGAAGUUAAUCAAAGUCCACACGCAUGAGCCCGAGAUUUUGAUCAAAUAAAAAAAUAAUAAUCUUGACGAACCUUAUGGGUAUUGAAUGAUUAUAUCUGUGUAUAUAUAUUUUCUAUAUAAUAAUAGCAAUUGGUGGAAAUAAUUCUUCAAAUAACUUAUUUUACUCGUCACUGUCACUUCAACAUAUGAAUAUACAAAAAAAAGAAAAGAAAAAUCGGUUAAUCUUCUAUAAAAUUGUAUAAAGAAAAAAUUAUAUAUAUGUGUGUAUAUUGAUUCAAUCAACGCGAUUUAUUUCUCAUUAAAUUUAUAUGAAACUUAUUAUUGCCAUACUUUAUACAUCUAUAUCAUCCUAUAGGUAAAUCCUAAACCAAAUUGAAGAUAAGUAAGAUCAAUUUAAAAUUAAGUUAAAUUAAUUACGUUGAAUAGUCAUUCCUAUGGCCCAUUACAAAUUUAUAUAUACGGCUCUUCACGAUGGUCAUCUAUUAUUCUUCUUUUUGGUCAAGAUCAUUAUCUAUCAGUUUAGUUACCUUGAAAUUGUCAUUGUCGAUCACGCCCAUGCUCAGAUUCCUCUAUGUUCUGGACAUACAAACGAGACAUAAUGGUGUGUCGAAGAGGUACGAAUUAACCAACUUGGAUCUCGAGCACCCUCAACAUUGACCCAAAUCCAAGGCCGGAGGUGUGCGAUCACAAGAGCUGUAUGUCCACAGUUGGUGCACUUGGGAGUUCCAUCCGGACCUCGUUGUUAAGGAAACCAUAUCGAACUUGACAACUGAGGCGACUUUUGAGUCCAAGUCAGCAUCGAUGAUUGGGUCAUUGAAGACAAGUACAGGUAACUCAAAUCAUUUUUAUACUUGGAAAGUAGUUCUCUCCAGGUACCUGGAGCUAAACUAAGAUACAACAUAGCAUGGAACAAUUGUUUAUUGCCGAAAUUCACAGCGAUAAAAACUAUCUUGAUGGCCAAGCAAACACAUGGUUGAAGUUGUCAACACUUGAGAAGAAUUUCCGAAAAGAAUGGUCUCAGUCAUUACAUAAGUUCGCUAAACUCAAUCUGCUGAGACCUUUUUAUUCUGUAUCAAGUACUGCAAAACGCUGAGGUGCUUUCUAACUUUUUACAUACAGCCCGGCUCUUCCGUACACUAUUGCCGGGGAGCGCUCCAAGAUUAAAAGCAGAUGACUUCUCCAUUUGAACAUCCACAUACAUUUGCUUUCAAUUGAUGGAAUCUUGUUGCUUUUCUAUUAAAAACAGAUUAUGAUUGUUGUCCUCACUGUACCCCUAUUUUGAUGACGAUGUAGAUAUAUACGCAUAAUUAUCUCAAGUUAUACCCAUAAUCCAAAUUCCUAAGAGUCCUCCACUGAUGUAGUUUUCCUCCUAAAAGUUGGCAACUGAAAAAGAAUUGAGAUGAACGGUAUAAGCAUACCACCUCUCAAUAAAUAGUGCACAUCUAUUCUCAACAAAUCAAGCAUCAGCAAUGCACAUUAUAAACAGUAACAGAAACACAACCAAAUCUAGUAUAUAAUAUAUGUAAAAGUCCAAAUAUGAGUUACAUCAUUUCAACAACAUUUUCAACAUAUUAGAAACACUCAAUCAAUAAUAUUUAAGCAAACAUCCAUGGUUUAGUCCAUUGAUUACUCUAGUACUUCAUAUCAAACUAUAGCCAUGUUUAAUGCCCCAUGAAAAGGCUUAACAAGAUUCCCUCCUAGGCGUAGGUCUCCACUAAUGUCAGCCAGUGGCUCUGGCCAUUCAAGAUGUUCUGAGAAUAUGUAUGCUUACUCACAACCCUUCAAUGAUUUUAGAUCAUAGCGACAAGAGGACAAAUCCAUCAACAUAAUCCUGUAAAAAACAAAACCAUUUCAGAACUCAUUUAAUAAACUAGAGUCACAAAUCCAUACAACCAUUUGCAAUUCCAUCCACAAGAAGAAUACAUUCAUGAAAAAUUUAAAUAAUUAGCUCUCCAACUAUUUAAGGAGAUAUCUUACCAUGCUAUUUUAAAUAACCAAAUGAGGACUAAAUGCAAGAUCCAGCUUUACACAACAAAGAUGUUCUAAACACCAUUUUAGAUAUAUAUAUAUAUAUAUAUAUAUAUAUAUAUAUAUAUAUAUAUAUAUAUAUAUAUAUAUAUAUAUAUAUAUAUAUAUAUAUAUAUAUAUAUAUAUUUGACUUCCUGUGGUUCUAACUCUCUCUUUUGAUGGAUCUCUAUAUAUAUAUAUAUAUAGAGAGAGAGAGAGAGAGAGAGAUAGAGAGAGAGAUAGAGAUAUAUAUGUAUGUAUGUGUGUGUGUGUGUGUGUAUGUGCAUGUGUGUGUGUGUGUGUGUGUGUGUGUGUGUGUGUGUNNNNNNNNNNNNNNNNNNNNNNNNNNNNNNNNNNNNNNNNNNNNNNNNNNNNNNNNNNNNNNNNNNNNNNNNNNNNNNNNNNNNNNNNNNNNNNNNNNNNCUCCUUAGAACCAAAAUUUUGCCGACAACCGAUGAAAUCCAGGACCAAACCCUGCUAGUUGCAGUCACUCUAAAUUAGUUUUCGAGAACUUCGAAGAACCAAUAUCUGUCAAACGGCAAUCCGUAAAAUCUCACGGUUCCAAGACCAACCUAAAGUUUCGAAACAACAUCAUGUCACGGCUCAACAAUCUCAAGAAUCAACUUAGCAACCCUAAAACCCGAACCGAUGCGAAAUUACAACUAAACAAAGAAAAUCUCUUUGAUUUGAAGGUAUCGAAUUCUUACCGAGUGCUUCAAAACGGCAUCGAUCUAGCUUGUCCUGGCAUCAAUCUAGCUUGUCCUGGCCUCCGACCCGAAUCGUGCCAGAAGCCCCUUCUGCUCGUUAUCGGAUUCCACACCCUUUCUUCUGUUCCUCUUUGCUUUGCCGACUCGUUCCCUCCCUCUCUUUUUGCUGCUCUUGACUUUUCAUAUGGACCAACUCCAGAGGGGAACAAGACGAUGGGUUAAGGUCUCUUGGGCCUAAAUUUUCCUCUUUUAGGAGAGCCCCUUGGUGGGCUGAGGCCUCAGCAUAUCCAUCUAACCUCGGGCAGUUCCAGGCAGUCGUACGAGAUGUAUUUGGUGCCUUCCGCAAUGAUGCACAAUCUAAGAGCCCCAACAAACAUAGCUUCUCCAGCUUCAGAGCACCAGGGAGGGGCCUUUCGGUGGAACUACAAUCUCCAGUCGAAGACGGUUCAAGUUCGAUCUCAAUUAAUUGCGGGCACUUUUUUACAAUCAGAUGUUGAUACUCCUUUAAGCUCGAAAGAUUGGAUAUCCUCACAAGUGUCUCGCAGUCGUUCACUUCCAAUUUGAGAUUCUUUAGCUGUCCAAACACAUUAUCGAACUCGAUCUCUUUGAAACAACAGUCGAAGAACACUAAGUUAUACAUAUUGUCCAGGUUGGAGAACAUCGACCAUUCUAUUUGGGUCUUCAAACCUUUUAAGAUCAAUGCAUACAAACUGGACGGAAACCCAGUUAUAACCCGUAGGUCGGCACAAUUUAUUUCUAAAUGCCAGAGAUGAGAAAGGGAUCUCAAGUCAAUUGGAUGCAUGUUGGAAUCGAAAAAAUCCACGCUCAACAACUGCAAUUUAUGAAGCCCUCCGAGAUACCCUAGGUUCGGAUGUAGAAUUCGUCCUCGUUUAAUUAAGGUCGAUCUUUUAAAGUCUUCCUUAGAAGUAUAAAUGCAAUCACCUAUUAUUAGACGAUUUAAAUCAGUGAGGUUCGAGAGGUCGGGUAUUGCCUGCAACGAUAGAGACCUUAUAUGUAGGACUGUUAAACUUGUGGGGAGGUCUGGUAGUAAUUGAAGUCUAUCACAAUUACGUAAAUAAAGUACUCUGAGGUUAAAUAGCCUAUUCAUCGUCAUCGGCAAUCUACUAACCUUUGUGCCGCACAAGUCUAGAAUCUCCAAUUGAGAUUGUCCUGCGAUUUCACUAGGAAUUUCGCCCUCGAGAUUGUCACAAUUAGAGGCUAUUAGCUCCUGAAGAUUCUCCAGAGUCCAUAUACUCUCCGGUAGCUCUCUUAUCUUACUAGAAGACAAAAUCAUGAGCUGCAAUUGUCUGAGGUUGCCAAUAGAGCGGGGUAAUUCUGCAAUAGGUGUAUAAGAUACAUUCAAUUUGAGUAGCGAUUCUAGUCCUCCAAUGGAAUUGGGUAAUGCACUUACACUAGUUGCUUUUAAAUCCAAAUAAAGGAGUGAUGUCAACUUUCCAAUGGAAUCCGGAAGCUCUCCAAGGUUGCGACACUCACUUAGAGAUAGAUGCUCCAAACCCCGUAGCGCUUCUAUUGAGGGUGGAAGUUUUCUAACACCAUCAUGAUUUUCCACCCUCAGCACCAACAAGGAUUUCAGACCAUCAAUGAGGCCUGGUAAUAGAGGAACGGAUGGAGAAAUAUUUUUUUGCGGUAGAUGAUCCUUGCAAUCGAUAUCCAAAUACUUCAAGCGGCCUAACUGAUUAAUAGAGCUAUCGAUUUCUUCCAAUCUUCUACAAUUUUUGAGAACCAGUUUUUUCAAAUUCCGGCACUUGGAGAAGUCAGGUGUCCUCUUUAAAUAAUUGCAGCUUGCCAAAUAUAUGAAUUUUAGGUUAUCAUUUACCUAUAAAACAACCAAUUAUUGAGGAAAAUAAUGACAUAGGCAAAGGUCAACUCAAUGUAACAAAUGCGAACACACAUAAAGGAAAAAGAACAUAUUAUAUGAAAUUGUACCGUGCAUGCUUCCCAUCCAUUCCAGUCUUCAGUAAUAUCGCUCUCCGAAAGCUUGAGAACGGCCAACUUCCGUAGACAUAAACUGAUGGAAUGUAGGUUUGAAGGGCAAUGACACCAACAAAGCCAUGUUAGAUUAGAGAGAAGAUUUUUGAAGUCUCCUACAAAGUUUCCUCCAUUCAAUUCGAGGAACCUUAGACUAGGUAGCCUUGAAAAUUCAACACUUGUGAAAUUGUGCCUAUCGCCAAGUCUUGUGAGUUUGAGUGCUACAAUGUUGUCUGUUCCCUGAUAUUUUCAAAGCAACAAAUUGCAACAUGAGUGAACGAUUUAGAGUAAGUACUAAAUAUCAAAAUAGGAACAUCUAUCUAAAUUCAACUAAUAGUAAAUAUGAGUGUACCAGCUAAGAAAUGGGGCAUAUAGAUAUUAUCUUAUACAAAAAGGAACAAAUUCCAUGAAUCAUUAUCUCUCCCACUUACAUGGGAGUUGUAAUGUAAAAAUUAUUUCUUUUGGAAAGCCGUUCAUUUCUCUCAAAUCAUGCCAAAUCAUUAAUGUUUUGUGUACAAAAUUGAGCGAACAUUUUGGGUGAAAAUGAACUCUAAAUACACACAAGUGCAUGUUUAGUUUUUUCAUGAGCAAUUAACUUGUUUACUGAGACGUACCAGGUUAUUCUUAACCACAUCCAAGGCAAUUGUCGGACACCACAACCUGCUGCGCUUUCCAGGAACUGUAAAGCAUUCUUGCCGAACAAUCUCUCUUCCAAGAUCUCUCAGUUGGUCGUGCAUCCAUAGUCUAUCAUCUUUGAGUUUUACCAAAGAUAAAUGAAUGAGAACACGAAGUCCAGUAUGUGGAAGAAAAUCACAAGCUUUCCACAUGUAAUAUGUGGGGAUUCUUUCUUCACCAAUGCAAUGACAUGCGAUAUCAAGAAAAAUUUGUUGUUGCUCAUACUCCAAUUCUUCAUAACUUAUCAACAACUUUUUCUGGACAUCUUGAUUGGGCACUUCCUUCAACUUCUUUAAUGUUUCUUUCCAUGUUUUCUUGCCUUUUGAAUGGAGUAAAGAACCUAUGACCUUGAGAGCCAAUGGUAAUCCUCCAGUAGUUCCAACAAUUUCACGUGAAAUUUCGAUGUAAUCAUGUGGAGGUGAGUCACUUUCAAAGGAGUGCUUGCUGAAAAGUUGAAGAGCAUGGUAAAACUGCAAUUCCUUCAUUUCAUGAAAACAGAAAUCUCGGUGAUGCAUAGGGACAAUAUUGUCAUCUAGGGUCUCGGUUUCGGGAGCCAAAAAGUAGGUGUUUCUAGUUGUGAUAAUAAUUCUGCUUCCCGAACCAAACCAACUUGACUCACCAGCUAGAUUUAUGAGCUUAUCUCUCUUGUCCAUGUCAUCAAGAACAAUGAAGGCUUUCUUAUCAUUGAGUUUUUGUUUGAUCACGUCCCUCCCCUCAUUUGCAUUGAAAACUUUAGGAUGUUGGCUACCAAGAAUGUCAUGUAAUAAUUUCUUUUGCAGAUUUAAAAUAUCGCUUUCACGGAUAUCUGAAAGAAAGCUGCAACUUUGGAAUUGGGAAGAAAUACGUUUGAAGAUAGCCUUAACAAGACUUGUUUUUCCGAUACCGCCCAUACCGUGAAUCACCACAAAUCGUACAUCAGAAGUGCCUACGGCUAACAACUUCAUAAUGGUUUCAAUCUGAUUGUGAAUUCCCACCAAGCCGUCACACCAGUUUCUCUGCAUAGGCGUCAACUUACCAGAAACUUCUUCCAGAACAAGAGCUAUAAGUUUAUCUUGGCUGCCAUAUACAUAAUGCAACCGUCUUAGUUUUAGAAACCACAAACAUGCGCAGAAGCAUAAAUAUGUAAAACCAUAAAUUUUGAUUGUUAAAACCAAGCAUGGAUUAUUAGUUUAUUUCAUAUUCAGUCCUCCCAAAGCCGAGAAGAUAGAUCUCAGUUACAGAUAACGAUUGUUGGAUAUUGAUGUGGGGGGCGGUUCUGAGGAGCUUUUAGAUGGUCAAAUCAGUGACGUUCUAAAGUGCGAUGUAGCCAUCAAACUAGCUUUAUAGCCAAGCGGGCGAACCAGACCAAUUGUUUUGGUUCGUGCAAUGCAUCGCAGAUUAAAUAGAGAGAGCAUUCUUGAGUGGGGCCAACACUGACGAAGAUGUCAAUACUUUUUAGUGCAGGAGUUUGGGGCAACACAAUCCCACAUCGAAUGGGGCACACCUUUUUGAACUAAUUCAUGGGUAAGGUCCACCCUUAAAUGGUCACUUUAAAAUUCUACUGUAAUAGGAAUUACCACAAGGAAGAAUGUCAUAAGAUGUGAUAGAAACUUUAUGCAAAAGUGCCGUCAAUGGAUCGGUUACGAGUUCUGAAAAAUUAUAUGCCUAAUGAAAUUGACUUGAUAAAAACGAACAUGGUAAUUUUCACAACCAUUUCAACUUCCAUUUGACUUCAGAAUAUUUGUUAAAAGGAGGGGGGAGGGGUUGAUCUAUAAGUUGAGUUGUCGCGAUUAAGAAACUAUGAUCUAAAUUAAGAAAUGAAAGUACAGCAGUUGUCUUUAAUUACCCGUGAUCUUUUAAGUUGUAUCCCUUGAUUCCAGCGACCUCCCUGAGGGCCUCCUCCCAUUGCUUCGCCAUAUCUUCACUAGACUGUCUCUCAUGCUUUCGUAGGGCCUUACCAUAUGAUCCAGUUUUGAGCUUAAGAUUGGAUGCAUCCACCCCAUAGAAGAUGGGCAAGAUCAAUUUCUUGUCUCUCUUCCUACACUCCACCAUGUGUGCGAGCUCACGGAGACACCAUUUGCUGGAAGCAUAGUUUUCAGAGAAGAUCGGUACGUAGAUUUUUGAAUUGGAGAUUGCUCUCAAAAGCUCGCCUCCGAUCUCUUCCCCAACACGGAGCUCUUCAUCAUCUUUGAAGACACAAAUCCCGGCUCGAAUCAUGGCCGCGUAGAGAGAGUCCAUGAUGGUUAACCGAGUGUCGGGCCCUCUAAAGCUCAAGAACACCUCGUAGUCCCUCCUUGAUGAUGAUGAAGAUUCACCACUGAGGGGGAGAGACUUUCCUUCGGGGCAUUCCAUUCCUGUGAUCUUUGGCCACAAAAGCAAUAUCAAAUUAUUGUGCUUGGUCGAAAUUGCAACUUUCCAGUUUCCUUGCGGCCGUUGCCAAUUUAUAAGAAAACGGUAGACUGACUCUUUUCGUCCUAAAACAACUAUUGACUGAUUUAGGCUCACUGUGAGCGACAGAAGAUGCAAAGCAAGAUCACUACUGCACGCUUCCACGAAAUCACCUACCUCGGACAACCGUUCUUCACUUGUAGUUUAAACGCACCUCCUUUUCCUGAGAACCAAGGAGAGCCGUCGUUUUUCGCAGUAUUUUCUCGGAACUUUCCUGAGUUGAUUCGGGGAAGUCUUCGAAUGUAUUAGGACUAGAGCUUAAUUCCCUAAAAAAAGCAUCGAUUUUUAGUGUUGCAUCAAAGCAUGAGAGGCAUUCUUCCAUACGCAAUGAUGGAGCCUAGUAGGAAUUGAAAUGAAAAGCUAAACGUCCAAACCUGAGGGCAUGUAAUAAUGCCCUCUCACUUUUCCUAAAGCCACUUUUUGCCCCUUUAUUAGGUCGUCACGUGAUAGAAUAAAUUGCCUUGGACAAUACUUUUGCCAUGAAAAAAACAUUUUCUGAUGUGAAAUAUGAGGAGGUGGGUCAUCAAGAGUCAGUUCAUGUUGGGAAUGUGACGAUUAUCGGAUUCUUGAUUUUCAUAAACCGCUAAGUCCAGAUUAAUCGAGUUUUCAAUACGAUGAUUGUUAGGGUAAAAGAAAAAAAAAAAGAUCAAGUCUCUCCUAUAAUUUUAAUAAGUGCAUAAAAAUUCAAAAUUCAAUGUUUUAAAGAUGUUUCACCUUGAAACUAAAUUUGGUUGACAUCUUCAAUACUAAAUUGCACAUUGUUUAAGCAUAAUAGUUCCGGUUAAGUGGCAAUCGGAUAUAAAACACACCUUAUUGCGAAAGGGUUCAAUAGCCUUAUCAAGUGAAAGCACUUCUAACUCGGAAAAACCAUACCUACUCAAGUCAAAGCGUUAAAAAGAAGGUACAAGUGUAUUAUAAGUCCUAUAAUUUGUUAUGAAAGUGUAAUGGAGUAUAAAACUUUUAAAAAAUAUAAUUAAAUUCUAAAACUUAUCACAAAGUACAAUCAAAUUUUAAAAUUUUCAAAAAAUGCAAUCAACGAAAUACUUGAUUGGACAAAUUUGAUAAGUUUUAAGAUUUUAUUGUAUUUUUUUUUUGAAAUUUUUAAGACUUAAUUGUAUGUGCUUGACAAGUUUUAACGCUUUCAAUAUACUUAUUCCUUAAAAGUAAAGCUUUUUCACAAUCCUCCAAAAUUAGUGGCGGUGCGUGAUAAAGUGCUGCCAUUCUUGGAGCAAUGUCUAAGACUCAUGCUCUAUAAAUUGCUUCGUUGAUGAAACUAGAGAUUAAUCCUCAGCUUCAAAUUCUCUAUGCGAGAGAGUGUGUGUUUGUGUGUGCAUGCGUGAUGUAAUUGUGUGAAAAAAUAGUUUACUUGGAUCAUAUCCAUGUGUAGCGUGAUGACCAUUCAAUCAAUAACAAAGCUUGUUACCACAUUAUUUAUAGUGAGCUAAAUGCCCAUCGAGCAAUCCCCUGACAAUCCAGGCUUUGCGAGUCACAGUAACUCAAGAAAGACCCAAUCUUUUUUUCAUCAUGGAAACAAAAAACCCAGAAUAGAAAGUGCUCAGAUUAAAAAGGAGAUUAAGUUUCAGAACAGUUAUAUAGUUAAUCCAGAAGGUACAACAGGGGGCUUAGCUUUAUUCUGGGAUGAUCAACUGCAUUUAUCCAUCAACUCCUCCUCAGCUACAGCAAUCUUCACCCAUUGUCAUAUGAAAGACUGUAAUCAGAGAAGGAAUAUUAUUUUUCUCCAUGCUCCAAAUGAUUUCAGAGAGAGAAUACGGCUAUGGGAGCAGAUUUAUUCAGUAAGUGUGCACUAUCGCGUACCAUGGCUUUGCUUGGGUGAUUUUAACGACAUCCUAUAUCACUGGAAGAAAGUGGGUAAAUACAGAGCAGAAACUUACAGGUUAACAGCUUUCAGAGACUUUGUCAAUCAGUGUUUCUUGAUGGACCUGGAAUGUAAGGGGUGCUCUUUCACCUGGUCAAAUAAACGUGAGGGAGAGAAUCUGGUGAAAAAGAGGCUAGACUGAGCUUUCUGUUCGCUUCCAUGGAGAAUUACUUACCCAGAGGCUGAAUGUAUUGCACUCCCGGUGAUAAGCUCGGAUCAUACUCCUCUCCUGAUAUUCCUGGCUCAACCAAAGCGUAGAAAACGAAAGCAAUUUAAGUAUGAAGCAUAUUGGACUAACGAUGCAAAAUGUAAAACCAUAGUUAGAGAUACCUGGAAUGAACCUGCCUUAUAUGAUCUUAAUGUAAUGGAGAAACUGCAGCAAGUACAGCAGCAGUUGAUAUAGUGGAGCAAAAGCAAAUUUGGCCAUGCUAAGAAGAGGAUCACCUGGCUGAAAGGUGAACUCCAGAACCUAAUGAAUAGCACACAAAUCAAUGGAGAAUCAACUCAAGCGAAAAAGUUAACUCAAGAAAUCGAUCAACUAUGGCGACAAGAGGAGAUGUAUUGGGGCAUGUGGUCGAGGAUAAGCUGGAUAAAGUGGGGUGAUAAAAACACUCGAUUUUUUCAUGCGACGACAAUUCAGAGAAGAUGUCGAAACCAGAUUACAAUGGUGAAAAAUGAAAGUGGAGCUUGGGUACGAGGUGAAAAACAACUACAAGGAAUGACAAAACAAUAUUACAAAAAUUUGUACACAUCAGUGGGCUCCCACAACUGGCAACCCAUCUUACAACUCAUCCUUACCUUAGUGGAUGACCAAAUGAAUCUUAUUUUGAUUGCUUCAAUUACAGGGGAAGAAAUUACAAGAGCUAUGCAGCAGCUAGGAGCCUUCAAGGCACCUGGUCCCAAUAGGUUUCAUGGCAUCUUCUAUAAAGAACACUGGUCAGUAAUCUCCAAGGAUAUCCAUCAAGCAAUGCAGCUCUUCUUCACCUCUGGCCAUCUAGAUCCUACACUCAUCAUAUUAAUACCCAAAAUCCCACACCCUGAAAAACUGGAGCAAUAUCGCCCCAUCAUUCUCUAUAGUUUCCUUUACAAAAUAACCUCCAAAGUACUGACAAACAGGCUCAAACCAAUUCUACCACACAUCAUCGCAGAGGAACAUAGUGCUUUUGUGGGAGGCAGGCAAAUUCAGGAUAAUAUAUUGAUAGUUCAGAAGGUGCUACACAGAUUAUGAACCAGCAACAGGAAAAAGAAGUUUCAAGCUGUUUUAAAAUUGGACAUGCAUAAGGCGUAUGACCGCAUUGAAUGGGACUUUCUUAAAGCAUGUCUAAUAAAAUUGGGAUUCUGUGACCUAUGGGUACAAUGGAUCAUGCAGUGUGUGACCACAGCAACAUUCAGCAUAAAUUUUAAUGGGGAGCCCUUACCUUUCUUUAAACCCACCCGUGGCUUACACCAAGGUGAUCCACUCUCACCUUAUCUCUUUAUCAUUGUGGCCAAUGUGUUGUCUAUCUCGAUGAAGAAAGCUGUUCAGGAGGGUUCACUUACAGGAAUCAAAUUGAACAACCACUGCCCUACUUUGUCCCAUCUACUUUUUGCAGAUGAUUCGAUCUUUUUCCUGCAUGGCACAAUUGUAGAAUGUUAAAACUUGGCUGAUAUCUUAAAUCAAUACUGCUUUGCUUCAAGUCAGGCAAUCAAUCUUAACAAAUCAGACAUUUAUUUUAGUAAAGGAUGUCCUACAGCUCUAAAGAGAAACACGGCAACAACUCUCAGAGUUCCAGAAAUCACAAAGAUAAGGAAAUAUUUAGGCAUACCUUCAGAUUGGGGGCAAUCCAAAAAAGACAUGUUCGCAUGGAUCUUAGCUCUGGUCAAUUCCAAACUAGACAGCUGGAAGGAAAAAUUGUUAUCAAAAGCAAGAAAGGAAAUACUCCUGAAAGCAGUAAUACAAGCCAUCCCUCAAUAUGCUAUGUCAAUAUUCAAAAUACCCAUAUCGAUUUGCAAAGCAAUUGAGAGGAAGGUUGCAUCCUUUUGGUGGAAAAGUAAUGAGAAAAGGGCUGGAAUUCAUUGGAAGAAGUGGGAUUUGCUGAAAAACCAGGAAGAGUGAAGGGGGUUUGGGUUUCAAAGAUCUACAAAUCUUCAACACAGCAAUGCUAGCUAAGCAGAUGUGGCGUAUCAUUCAAAAUCUAGACUCUCUGUUAACAAAAAUUCUGAAAGGGCUGUACUACUCACACUGUGACAUCUGGAAUGCUGGCAGAGGUUCACGUCCCUUGUGGGGUUGGCAGAGUAUCAUCAAGGCCAGGGACUCCAUAGCUCCUUAGGCCAUGCACAGGAUUGGAAAUGGAAAGAACACAUCAAUUAGAACAUAUCGAUGGCUAAAAAGUGGCCCCAUAGGAGGCCCAGCAACAAAUCAAGAGCCAACCAAAGUUGCAGAUCUUAUAAACCAAGGUACAGGCACAUGGAAUGAAAAUCUAUUACAUUUUAUGUUUGAUGAAAGUAGAGUUAGAGAAAUUUUAGCCACAUCCAUUGGCUUACCUGAAGAAGAAGAUAAAUUGGUAUGGAUGCAUACAAAAUCAGGAGAUUAUUCAGUAAAGAGUGGCUAUUUUAUAUUCAGGGAAGCCUCAAUCAGAUCACAGGACAUACAAGCAACCUCGUCUUACCAAGUUAACCCCAACCUCUGGAAAUAUAUUUGGCAGUCCACAACCCCGCCCAAAAUUAAACUUUUCCUCUGGAACGCAUGCAAUAACACCCUAGCUACAAUGGAGAAUUUACACCACCAAAAGAUCGUACCUUCUCCUCUAUGCCCCCUCUGUAAGCAAGAAGCAGAAACCCUCGAACAUACACUCCUUCUCUGCCCAUGGAUUGCCAAGGUCUGGAACUCGGCCCCCCUGCAUUUACAGAUCUCCAGAUUCGGCCUCACCCGGUUCAAAGAAUGGAUCUGUAGCAUACAACAAAAUCCAGUUACCUCCGGCAAAUUUGAGCACAUAGCAGUGGUGCUAUGGAGUAUUUGGAAAGAGCGGAAUCAGUUUAUUUUCAAUCAUCAAACCCCACGACCGCAAUCAACAAUUGCUAGAGCAGAGGCGUUAACAGAGAGUUACAGAGCAAUAAACGAUAAAUCUAACAGCAAGAAGGAGACCGAACACUCAUUUGGAACCUGGCUUCCACCCUCUCCAGGUACGCUCCGAAUCAAUAUAGAUGCAUAUUUUGCUCCCGACUCGGCAGAUGACUUAACAUCCACCGAUGUGAGAGAUCCUCCUCGACACAGAGCCGCCAUUGCUUGCGUCUGUCAAGAUCACCGAGGCUUCUUGGUGGACGGUUUCGCUAAGCCAGUCGACGCUGCUUCGGCUUCUCAGGUGGAGGCGAUCGCAAUGAACGAAACCCUAGAUUUCAUCGAGAACCGAAGCUUUCUCUCUCCACAAGUACACUCUGAUUGCCUCUCUCUUGUGCACUCGUUAAAGUCUUCUACUGAACUCGGUUGGGAAGUGCAAUCGGUCGUGAGCUGGGCCCAAGCCAAACUCGCCCGUCUUCCGGGCCUUUCCCUGGCCCACUGCAGCCGAAGCUCAAAUUGCCUUGUGGAUUGGAUAGCUAAGGCCUGUCGAAACAACACUUUACCCCCUAACUGGAUAUCUAACCCCCCUGCUUUAGUUGAUCUUUUAUGCACUAAUGUUCUUGGUGUUAUAUUCCCUCAUAUGAAAUAGUAAAUCAAGUGCUGUUGUUUGCCGUUCAGAAAAAUAAAAAAUGCCCACCGAUUGUUAUUUAAACUUCAUGAAAUACUCAACAAUUGGUAGCAAUGUGAUGCUGAUACCUUGCCUAAUAUGCAUGAUCAUAAUUGUAAUUUAAAUUGAUUUACUCUAAUUUCAAAAACUCUAUUCUUAUAUGCAAUGCAGUCCUACUUUCAAUUGAUUUGAUUCCUACACUUUUCUUUAGUUUGAGUAAUUGAUUCAUCUCCAUUACUUUAGUUUGUUCAAUUAGGUCUCUCAAAAUUAUUUUAGUAUGUUUCAUAUGUCAUACACUGGUUGAUUAUCACAAAGGAAACUGCUAAAAUGGACUACAAUCUACCGAAGCUAUUGGAUUAAAAAAAUUACAGAAAUGGAUAUCGUAUGUGUAAUAUAUAUUCAAAACUAUUGAAAAGUAAUACACAUUUGUUUCUUUCGUGUAAUUCAUUUGAAACAAAUUAUUUGCUCGGUCGCUUUAAGAGGUCAUUCUUAUUCAUCAUCCCAAUAUGUCAGCUAAGUAUGGAUUUUGCUGUUCUUGUCAAAGCACACCAAAUAAUCCCUUCUCCAUUCACACAAUAUCGAUUGAAUCAGGAAGAAAGCACAUUGUUUUGUUAAGUGGGAGGUUUAAUCCUUAUCUGAAACAUUUUCUUGAAUUUAAGAAUGAUACUGAAUUUUUAAAAUAAUCUAGGAACCUCAUUAAUUUAAAGCUGAUGAAAUGGUCAAGAGAGAGAAUGCUCCUUGAGCAAAGUUAAGGACUUAUUAAAUAAAUCAAAAGGUCAAGGACGUCAUAACACGUAAACGAACAAUAAUGAAUUUUUAAGACUCCUAGCUUCCUUCGACUUGGUUAGCAUCUGCAAAGAGUGAGGAGACCAAACCCCCUAUUUUAAGAAACCUCCUAGCUUCCUUGGUCGAAAAGCGACCGGUCCUUUUUCUUUUUUCUUUUUAUCUUCAAAUCCAAAAUAAACUCAGAUGGAGGUUACAAACACUGGAUCCAAUCAGCUAUAUUGAAUAAGGAAAACCAAAUACUAAACCUGAUUUAGGAAUAAAGAACCUCUAUUUCUGCAAGGCGAAUUCAUCAGCGCCUCAAUCGAUUAUCAAUUCUCAAUUCUCAAUUUGGAUUUGUUUUUCAGUAUUCGUGCUUUGUUUUGAUUUAUUUGUCAUGAAGAUAAUGUACUUUUGUAUCCUUUUAAGUAAUAUAAUUUUCUUUCGACAAAAAAAAAAUCAAUUCUCAAUUGAUGCGUAGAUGCAUUUAAAUGAGAUGCCCAUAGGAGCACCCUCUGAGAUAGAGGAUCAACGUACCUGAUUUGCAAUUGAAAAUUAUAUGUUAACAAGCAUUUGGUCCAUAAAGAUUAAAGUCCAUCCUAAAGUUGGCCGAAAAAAAAAAAGCAAGAAAAAAAAGGCCAAUUGAGGCGGGUUUUUGGCGGAAAUAUUUCUUGAUCAGAAUUGCAGUAAAAAAUCCUUCUCGUUGAACUCGUAUCUAUAGUUUUCGCGAAACUACAUAUAAAAAUGUUGUUGGCUUGACAUGUCUCUAGUAUUUUGCCGAUUUUGCAUGAUAGAAGAUUUGUUUAGCAUGUAGUCUUGUUGGCACCUAUCCAUUUUUUUUAUGGGUUAAUAUUCCGAAAAAUCCCAAACUGUUAUAUAUGUGACAAAUUUAUCUCAAAUAAAAUUUUUGAUCCCAAAAAAUUAUAAGCAAAUAUAUAUGUGAUAAAUUUGCCAUAAACUCAUUUUUUGACCACUAAAUAGUUCAAAUUGAUAUGCCUAUCACAAAUUUAUCAUUUAUUAGUUUUCGUUAAAUUUUAUUGUCAAAUUACUAAGUUAGAACAUAUUUAACAGUUAGCAGAUGUAGUAAUAUGAGGUUCUACCUUUUAUUUUUCAUAGAUAUACUGAUUUUGUGGUUUUUCAUGGUAUUAAUAUAAUUUUAAGAAGGGUAUGUUUGUUAUAAAUGUAUUAAUUUGUGAUUUUUAGCAAUAAAAAAUUAAUUUAGGACAAAUUUAUCAUAAGUUUACCUAUUUAAAAUUUUUAGUGAUAAAAAAUUAAUUAAGUAAAAAUUUAUUGUAUGUGUAUUAAUUUAAAAUUUUGGUGAUAUUAAUUUUUUUUUAUUGUGUUCCCGUUCAAGGACAGCAUGCCCACAUCAAAUGGUAAUUUAGAGCAGAUCGAGAAUCUUUUCUCCCGUUCAGGCCAAAUGUACGAGCUGCCCCGGAAUUUUCUCCCGGAACUUCCCCUUCUCCCUCUCUCAUUCAAACUCUCUUGGUUACAGAUCACACCCGAAGGAAAAUGACUGAAUCCUCUUGUCGGCCACUUGCCCCAAUACUUUACUUGCUCCUUCACAGAGCGUGAGAGGCACGCCCACUUUGUCUUGACUCUCGACUGCAAUGUGUAUUCUGGGUGGAAAGAUCUUCCUUCGGCUUCAGUUCCUUCUACGUCUUUCUGGGACCCUGAGAAGUUCCCCAAAGGCAAAUGAAACCCGUGCGACUGCACCGUUUUCGGGGACGCGUGUGCUUCUUUCAUUCGCCCCCUGCUUUGUUAAUCUUUCUUUGACUUCUUGUCAGCAAAACCGAAGAGAUAGAGUUAAAAAAAAGAACAGAGGGAAAGCAGAGGGUCCGGCGGAUAAGAACAGGAUAAGCGGGAAGAGGACGCAAUAAGGGCAAGUGGAAAGGAAAAGAAGAAGGUAACCAAAGGAAAGGAAACAGAGAGACAUGAGUUUGAUGCUUCCGGAACACUCGACGUGUUUGUGGGGCCUUGGAAACGGANNNNNNNNNNNNNNNNNNNNNNNNNNNNNNNNNNNNNNNNNNNNNNNNNNNNNNNNNNNNNNNNNNNNNNNNNNNNNNNNNNNNNNNNNNNNNNNNNNNNNNNNNNNNNNNNNNNNNNNNNNNNNNNNNNNNNNNNNNNNNNNNNNNNNNNNNNNNNNNNNNNNNNNNNNNNNNNNNNNNNNNNNNNNNNNNNNNNNNNNNNNNNNNNNNNNNNNNNNNNNNNNNNNNNNNNNNNNNNNNNNNNNNNNNNNNNNNNNNNNNNNNNNNNNNNNNNNNNNNNNNNNNNNNNNNNNNNNNNNNNNNNNNNNNNNNNNNNNNNNNNNNNNNNNNNNNNNNNNNNNNNNNNNNNNNNNNNNNNNNNNNNNNNNNNNNNNNNNNNNNNNNNNNNNNNNNNNNNNNNNNNNNNNNNNNNNNNNNNNNNNNNNNNNNNNNNNNNNNNNNNNNNNNNNNNNNNNNNNNNNNNNNNNNNNNNNNNNNNNNNNNNNNNNNNNNNNNNNNNNNNNNNNNNNNNNNNNNNNNNNNNNNNNNNNNNNNNNNNNNNNNNNNNNNNNNNNNNNNNNNNNNNNNNNNNNNNNNNNNNNNNNNNNNNNNNNNNNNNNNNNNNNNNNNNNNNNNNNNNNNNNNNNNNNNNNNNNNNNNNNNNNNNNNNNNNNNNNNNNNNNNNNNNNNNNNNNNNNNNNNNNNNNNNNNNNNNNNNNNNNNNNNNNNNNNNNNNNNNNNNNNNNNNNNNNNNNNNNNNNNNNNNNNNNNNNNNNNNNNNNNNNNNNNNNNNNNNNNNNNNNNNNNNNNNNNNNNNNNNNNNNNNNNNNNNNNNNNNNNNNNNNNNNNNNNNNNNNNNNNNNNNNNNNNNNNNNNNNNNNNNNNNNNNNNNNNNNNNNNNNNNNNNNNNNNNNNNNNNNNNNNNNNNNNNNNNNNNNNNNNNNNNNNNNNNNNNNNNNNNNNNNNNNNNNNNNNNNNNNNNNNNNNNNNNNNNNNNNNNNNNNNNNNNNNNNNNNNNNNNNNNNNNNNNNNNNNNNNNNNNNNNNNNNNNNNNNNNNNNNNNNNNNNNNNNNNNNNNNNNNNNNNNNNNNNNNNNNNNNNNNNNNNNNNNNNNNNNNNNNNNNNNNNNNNNNNNNNNNNNNNNNNNNNNNNNNNNNNNNNNNNNNNNNNNNNNNNNNNNNNNNNNNNNNNNNNNNNNNNNNNNNNNNNNNNNNNNNNNNNNNNNNNNNNNNNNNNNNNNNNNNNNNNNNNNNNNNNNNNNNNNNNNNNNNNNNNNNNNNNNNNNNNNNNNNNNNNNNNNNNNNNNNNNNNNNNNNNNNNNNNNNNNNNNNNNNNNNNNNNNNNNNNNNNNNNNNNNNNNNNNNNNNNNNNNNNNNNNNNNNNNNNNNNNNNNNNNNNNNNNNNNNNNNNNNNNNNNNNNNNNNNNNNNNNNNNNNNNNNNNNNNNNNNNNNNNNNNNNNNNNNNNNNNNNNNNNNNNNNNNNNNNNNNNNNNNNNNNNNNNNNNNNNNNNNNNNNNNNNNNNNNNNNNNNNNNNNNNNNNNNNNNNNNNNNNNNNNNNNNNNNNNNNNNNNNNNNNNNNNNNNNNNNNNNNNNNNNNNNNNNNNNNNNNNNNNNNNNNNNNNNNNNNNNNNNNNNNNNNNNNNNNNNNNNNNNNNNNNNNNNNNNNNNNNNNNNNNNNNNNNNNNNNNNNNNNNNNNNNNNNNNNNNNNNNNNNNNNNNNNNNNNNNNNNNNNNNNNNNNNNNNNNNNNNNNNNNNNNNNNNNNNNNNNNNNNNNNNNNNNNNNNNNNNNNNNNNNNNNNNNNNNNNNNNNNNNNNNNNNNNNNNNNNNNNNNNNNNNNNNNNNNNNNNNNNNNNNNNNNNNNNNNNNNNNNNNNNNNNNNNNNNNNNNNNNNNNNNNNNNNNNNNNNNNNNNNNNNNNNNNNNNNNNNNNNNNNNNNNNNNNNNNNNNNNNNNNNNNNNNNNNNNNNNNNNNNNNNNNNNNNNNNNNNNNNNNNNNNNNNNNNNNNNNNNNNNNNNNNNNNNNNNNNNNNNNNNNNNNNNNNNNNNNNNNNNNNNNNNNNNNNNNNNNNNNNNNNNNNNNNNNNNNNNNNNNNNNNNNNNNNNNNNNNNNNNNNNNNNNNNNNNNNNNNNNNNNNNNNNNNNNNNNNNNNNNNNNNNNNNNNNNNNNNNNNNNNNNNNNNNNNNNNNNNNNNNNNNNNNNNNNNNNNNNNNNNNNNNNNNNNNNNNNNNNNNNNNNNNNNNNNNNNNNNNNNNNNNNNNNNNNNNNNNNNNNNNNNNNNNNNNNNNNNNNNNNNNNNNNNNNNNNNNNNNNNNNNNNNNNNNNNNNNNNNNNNNNNNNNNNNNNNNNNNNNNNNNNNNNNNNNNNNNNNNNNNNNNNNNNNNNNNNNNNNNNNNNNNNNNNNNNNNNNNNNNNNNNNNNNNNNNNNNNNNNNNNNNNNNNNNNNNNNNNNNNNNNNNNNNNNNNNNNNNNNNNNNNNNNNNNNNNNNNNNNNNNNNNNNNNNNNNNNNNNNNNNNNNNNNNNNNNNNNNNNNNNNNNNNNNNNNNNNNNNNNNNNNNNNNNNNNNNNNNNNNNNNNNNNNNNNNNNNNNNNNNNNNNNNNNNNNNNNNNNNNNNNNNNNNNNNNNNNNNNNNNNNNNNNNNNNNNNNNNNNNNNNNNNNNNNNNNNNNNNNNNNNNNNNNNNNNNNNNNNNNNNNNNNNNNNNNNNNNNNNNNNNNNNNNNNNNNNNNNNNNNNNNNNNNNNNNNNNNNNNNNNNNNNNNNNNNNNNNNNNNNNNNNNNNNNNNNNNNNNNNNNNNNNNNNNNNNNNNNNNNNNNNNNNNNNNNNNNNNNNNNNNNNNNNNNNNNNNNNNNNNNNNNNNNNNNNNNNNNNNNNNNNNNNNNNNNNNNNNNNNNNNNNNNNNNNNNNNNNNNNNNNNNNNNNNNNNNNNNNNNNNNNNNNNNNNNNNNNNNNNNNNNNNNNNNNNNNNNNNNNNNNNNNNNNNNNNNNNNNNNNNNNNNNNNNNNNNNNNNNNNNNNNNNNNNNNNNNNNNNNNNNNNNNNNNNNNNNNNNNNNNNNNNNNNNNNNNNNNNNNNNNNNNNNNNNNNNNNNNNNNNNNNNNNNNNNNNNNNNNNNNNNNNNNNNNNNNNNNNNNNNNNNNNNNNNNNNNNNNNNNNNNNNNNNNNNNNNNNNNNNNNNNNNNNNNNNNNNNNNNNNNNNNNNNNNNNNNNNNNNNNNNNNNNNNNNNNNNNNNNNNNNNNNNNNNNNNNNNNNNNNNNNNNNNNNNNNNNNNNNNNNNNNNNNNNNNNNNNNNNNNNNNNNNNNNNNNNNNNNNNNNNNNNNNNNNNNNNNNNNNNNNNNNNNNNNNNNNNNNNNNNNNNNNNNNNNNNNNNNNNNNNNNNNNNNNNNNNNNNNNNNNNNNNNNNNNNNNNNNNNNNNNNNNNNNNNNNNNNNNNNNNNNNNNNNNNNNNNNNNNNNNNNNNNNNNNNNNNNNNNNNNNNNNNNNNNNNNNNNNNNNNNNNNNNNNNNNNNNNNNNNNNNNNNNNNNNNNNNNNNNNNNNNNNNNNNNNNNNNNNNNNNNNNNNNNNNNNNNNNNNNNNNNNNNNNNNNNNNNNNNNNNNNNNNNNNNNNNNNNNNNNNNNNNNNNNNNNNNNNNNNNNNNNNNNNNNNNNNNNNNNNNNNNNNNNNNNNNNNNNNNNNNNNNNNNNNNNNNNNNNNNNNNNNNNNNNNNNNNNNNNNNNNNNNNNNNNNNNNNNNNNNNNNNNNNNNNNNNNNNNNNNNNNNNNNNNNNNNNNNNNNNNNNNNNNNNNNNNNNNNNNNNNNNNNNNNNNNNNNNNNNNNNNNNNNNNNNNNNNNNNNNNNNNNNNNNNNNNNNNNNNNNNNNNNNNNNNNNNNNNNNNNNNNNNNNNNNNNNNNNNNNNNNNNNNNNNNNNNNNNNNNNNNNNNNNNNNNNNNNNNNNNNNNNNNNNNNNNNNNNNNNNNNNNNNNNCUCGCGUUAGUAGUGACAUAGUUGAUGCAAGAUUCAAACUAUGCAAUUCAGCUGAAAAAAAUCUCCCAACAAUAGUAAGGUCGGUUAAACUAGGAGCGAAAUCUCAUUCUACGGUUUUAAACUUAACUGGCGCAUUAGAUGAUAGGUUUAUUUUGUAUUUACAUUGAAAUCCUGUGAGCAAUUCAGUGAAGCUGAUGGAAAAGACCAAGCGAUAUUAGUCUAAUACCGUUCCACACGUAAUUGAUCACUGUACCUGGAAAAUGCAGAUAAUGCCAAACAAGGGCUCAAAGAAAAAAGGAAGAAGGACAGACUCCCUAAGUCUUGGUCUUCUCUUUAUUAUUAAGGAAACUUCUGUAAAAUAUGAAAUGAACCUGUUAGGAAUAAUUGAUCCCCGAAAACUGGAUUCGACACUAAAUUGAACCCCUAAAUCGAUGCGGAAGACGAGGUCCGGGAAAAUCACGUAUCACCGAUUGUAAAGCACACCACGGAUUCGAGCGUACCUUGUUAGCCACAGAUUAGAUACCAAUGCCGAAGAUUGAGGAAGAAAUUUUGAUCCAAUGAUGCCAAUUUGCCUUGAAGCGAAGAUAGUGUCGCCGUAAGCGUUUUUCUUCUUUUUCUUGGAGGGAGAGAGGGAGAGGAACGUACGUACGUUCUUAUGUCAAAGGGUGCCUUCUCCCUCUCUCUCCUCCCUUUAUAUACGUUCCUCCAAAAAGGAAUCGUACCCCUUCAUCCAUGGGCCUAAUCUAGUGGGCCGGGCUUUUAGGCCCAACAUGGGCGGACAGGCCAACUCAGGCCCAUCAAUAAAGAAAAAAUCCAUCAUCUCCCACUCGCACAUGGUGGUCCAAAACCAACAUGGGCGGACAUUCCCUACUCAGCCCCAUCAGAGAAAAAUCCAUCAUAGACUCUCACUUAACAUGGUGGGUCGAACAGAAUCCUCUUUUCCUCUCUUCAACAUUCAUACUGGUGAAUAAUUCGUGCGACCAGCAUAUUUUGAGAGCUCGUUGCCAUACAUCUGUUAGGAAUAUAUAGCAGCUCAUAAUGGGCAUCACAUCCUGAGUAGAUUUAGUAUGCAGUACUCUAGAUCGAUCGAUCACAUUUAUAUCUCUCUUGAUCUCUUUUAAACAAUGAUUGAUAUAUAUAUAUAUAUAUAUAUAUAUAUAUAUAUAUAUAUAUAUUGUAUUCACAAUUAUGAUUAUCACAAAGAUAGAGAUAGGUGAACGGGAGAAAACAAAACAACAAUGUGAUUCUCAGAAAGUGAGUUUGCUCUUUUCUUAGAACUCUUAAUUUCAGUUCAGUUGGCUGUGCGGAGAGGGGCGCGUGUGUGCGUGUGUGUGUGUGUGCGUGUGUGUGUGUGUGUGUAUAUCAAAACGAAAAUAUAAAUCUAGAUAAUAAGUAAGAGUCAUGAGGGGACUAAAACUGAGGAACUCUAUUCCUCAAGAGUCUCACACGGCAUAAAAAUUGAGAUCAAACUUUUGCCACUCUUAUGGGUCGUCUCAUGCAUACGUAGUAUGAAAUACGUAUUACGGUAUUAACUCAUUUCCCAUGGAGCAUAUGUCUACACCUUUCAAUACCGUACAGAUGAUAGUUCAGACAUACCUAAUGUCUAACUUGAGUUCACGUACCUACUCUUUUACAAAAUUCAUCAGAACUCACAUCUGGCAUCUUAGACAGAUAAAGUAAAAUAUGUGGGGUAUUUUACUUUCGGACAUCGUAAGUAUUAUGUCCUCAUCUUAACACUCAGUUAAGGCGACAUAUGUUUUUUUAAGCUUGAGCUCUCGAUUAUCACCUAGAUAAUAAGCUUAAAAUCAGUCUCAUCUCUAUUUAUCACACAGUAAACAGAGGCGAUUACCCGUGUGAGUGGGCUAAUCUUAUAUCCGUCCGACAUACUUCUCAACUUAAAGCAAUGCACUAAGCAUUAAGAUGCAUAAAGAUCAAACAAAGAUUCAUAGGCAUUAAUGAUGAAAACACAAAUUCAUCAAAUGUGAACACUUAGGGAAAUUACAAUAUUCAGUACAUUAGCCUCUACGCAAUCUUAGAGAUUUCAUAUGACCACAAAACACAUCUCUAGGUAUUGGCUUUAUCAUAGAAUCUGCUACCAUUCUAUGCGUAGUAUGUACUCUAAGUUCACAUUUUUUCGUGCAACCAUAUCCUUGACAAGAUUAUAUUUGGUAUCUAUAUGUUUGGUCUUGUCAUGAUAUUUUGGAUCUUUGGUGUACGCUUUUGCUGCUUGGCUAUCACAGUUAACCAACAAUUAAUCUGCAGCACUUCCAAUAACACCUAAAUGAUCCAAAAAUCUCUUAAACCAAACACUUUCUUACACUGCUGUUGAUAAUGCCACGAACUCAACUUACAUCGUGGAUAAGGCUAUACACUUUUCUUUCUUAUUGCUCUAACAUAUGGUGCCAUUAUUCGGUAAGAAAACAAAUCCAGAGGUAGUCUCCCCCAAUCAGCAUCAGAAUAGCCUUUGAAUUGUAGAUCAUUUCAUUUAUAACUCAGCGUAUAAUCAGCAGUUCCCUUUAGAUACCUUAGUAUUCUUUUAACGGCUUUCCAUUGUGCUAGACCUGGAUUGGAUUGGUAUCUACUCACCAUUCCAACUGUAAAACAUACGCCAGGUCUUGUACACAUCAUAGCAUAUAUCAAGCUCCCAACAGCACUAGCAUAAGGUACAUAUUUCGUUUGUUCCUUCUCUUGUGGAGUUCUUGGACACAGACUAUGGCUCAAUCUUUCACCUUUUUGCAAUAGGAGUAUCUAUGGGUUUACAAUCUUGCAUAUGAAAUCGUUCAAGAAUCUUAUUUAUAUAUGAUUCUUGCGAAAGAGACAACGAUCUCUUCAAAACGAUCUCUUGAAAUCUUAACUCCAAGAGUGUAUGUAGCCUUACCCAUAUCCUUCAUCUCAAAGUUGGAAGACAACUAACUCUUGACAGUAUUAACAAACUCCAUAUUGCUUCUGGCAAUUAGUAUAUCAUCAACAUAUAAUGAUAUGAUCACAAAUUGAUCAUUGGAUAUUUUGAUAUAUACACAAUGAUCCUCAUCAAUACAUGUAUACCAUUGUCUUGAUGACUGCUUAAGACCAUAUAUCGACCUCAAAAGUCGACAUACUUUUUCUUCUUGGCCUUUUACUAUGAAACCAGCAUGUUGUUCCAUAUAUAUUUCUUCAUCUAAUUCUCCAUUGAGGAAAGCAGUCUUUACAUCCAUCUGAUAUAACUCAAGAUCUAGACUAGCCACUAUUGCCAGAAUAAUGCGAAUCGAGAUAAAUCUUACUACAGGAGAAAACGUAUCUUCAUAAUCAAUUUCUUCCUGUCGAUUAUAUCCCUUUGCUACAAGGCGAGCCUUAUGCCUUUCUAUCGAGCCAUCAGCCUUUCGCUUUAUUUUGAGAACCCACUUGUUCCCAAUAGCUUUGUGUCUUUUUGAAAGAUCAACCAGUUCCCAGACUUGGUUUGAUUUUAUUUACUCCAUUUCCUCUUUCAUUGCAUGAAUCCAUUUUUCCUUAUUAGGGUAAUUCAGAGUCUCAUUAAUAUUUCUUGGCUCAUCCUCAUCUUGUGGAGCAACCAUAAAAGUUUCCCUUUCAAUGUCAAAACAUUGAUGGGGAAUACUUUGGCGACUUGUUCACCGUAUGUGAGAUUGUACACUUAGCACAUCAUUCCCCAUCAUGCUUCCACUUGGAUUAGGUAAUGAUGAUAUCAUCACAUCAGGUGGUUGCAAUUGAGAAUGAGUUGAAUUCAAUUCAUCACAUCUCAUUUUACUCCCACUUGGACGAACUCCACUGACAUCAUUAUCUUGAUCCAAGGUGGNNNNNNNNNNNNNNNNNNNNNNNNNNNNNNNNNNNNNNNNNNNNNNNNNNNNNNNNNNNNNNNNNNNNNNNNNNNNNNNNNNNNNNNNNNNNNNNNNNNNCUUUCUCAAAAGUGUUUCAGAAACAAGAAACACAAAAUUUGUGUUUCUUGUUUUUGUUUCUUUUUUGUUCCUGGGAACAAAAGAACAAAAAAGGAACAGAAACACGUCCAAAUGCGUUUCUGUUCCUUUUUUGUUCCCAGGAACAAAAAAACAGAAAAAGUGUUUAAAAACAAAAAAAAGAAACACAAACAAACGGGGCCUUAACCCCCGAUUUUUAUGUAUAUCUAAUGAACAACUUGUAAGAAAUCUAAAGAUAAAGAAUUUUUAAGAAGAGAUAAUGAGAAUACUCCUUUCUUGCUCUAAUCAUUUCGUUUAUUUACUCGUGUUGGUAGUGACAAUAGUUGAUGCAAGAUUCAAACCAUGCAAUUCAGCUGAAAAAAAAAAUCUCCCAACAAUAGUAAGGUCGGUUAAACUAGGAGCGAAAUCUCAUUCUACGGUUCUAAACUUAACGGGCGCAUCAAAUGAUAGGUUUAUUUUGUAUUUACAUUGAAAUCAUGCGAGCAAUUCAGUGAAGCUGAUAGAAAAGACCAAGCGAUAUUAGUCUGAUACCGUUCCACACGUAAUUGAUCACUGUACCUGGAAAAUGCAGAUAAUGCCAAACAAGGACUCAAAGAAAAAAGGAAGAAGGACAGACUCCCUAAGUCUUGGUCUUUUCUUUAUUAUUAAGGAAACUUCUGUAAAAUAUGAAAUGAACCCAAGUGAUCCGGGUGUUGAAUGAAGUGAGCAUGAAAACGCGGAGAGAAACAGUAGAUUCACCAUUAUUUAAUCUGCUAAACAAUGAUGGUGAUGGGAGUCGCUUAAAGUUAAGUAAAGAACUAAUAUAAAAAGACCAAGACUUCUUUUGAGCCUAAUAUAUAUAUUUUUUUUCCUAAUUUCAGUUGCAUCUUAGUCAGAGGCUUUCCGAGUUCGAAUGUCUCUCUGUUCACACUCGCCAAUCUGCAAUAUUUACUCGAAAGCCAUUGGCAGGGGCGCAGCGAAGUUGAUGUUGAUUACCAAUCUCGAGAAAAUUAUAGUGCUUGCCAAUUCUUUUCACUGAAGCUUUGAUCUACUGUAGUUGAACGACCGUGUAACGACCAUGCAGCAACACCGACCAGCCACUCCAUCGUUAGCAACUGAUUGUAUGUAGCAAUCUGCACUGAGUAUAGAAGUUAAAUAAAAAAUAAAAAAAUUGCAAUGGUUGAUUGAUGAACUAGUCAUCCGAGUAAAUUCCUUCUUUACAAACUUUUCUGAACCAAUUCCAAUUGCUGGUGAACCAUGACAAUGAGGGACGUAAUUCAUUUGAAUGCGACAUGGUAGAAAAGCAUUAAUCCUCUGAUUAAAACAUCAGAGUACAGCAGUUUUUGCUCCCGUCCAACCACCCUGAUGUGCAUAAGUAGAAACGCCAAAAGGAUUUUUCCAGCUGAAUUCGACUACUAAAGGAGCUCAUUUAUCUUCAUCGAUUUUGAGGGAUUAGACGAGAGAACAGCCGCGGAUACACAAUGAAUCCCCAUGCUGUUAGACGUUUACUCAGGGUGUCGACUGACUUUGUUUUGUCCCAAAACAACUGUUUGACUGACUCUGGAUGCUUCCACAAAAUACCUCCCCCGCAGAAACGUUCUUCAUUUGUAGUUCAGUACGCCUCCACCUUCUUUCGCCGUGUUUUCUACGAACCUACCUGAAUUCGAGCCUAAAGCAGGAGAGGUAUUCUUCUCUAUGCAAUGAUGGACCCCAGCAGGAACUGAAUAAAAAGCUGAACGUCAACCUGAGUAAAUGUAAUUCUGCCCUCACUUUUCCUAAAGCCAUUUUUUUUUUUACCCUUAUUGGGUUGUCGUACGACGGAACAGUGUGUUGGACAAUAUUUUGCCAUGAAAAACAGAUUCUCUGACGUGGAAUAUGAGAGAGUGGGUCAUGAAAAGUCGGUUCAUGGUGGGAUUUUGAUGAUGAUCUGAUUCUUGAUUUUCCACAUUUCAUUAAGUCAAUUAACUUCACAAGACAAUCGUUAUUAGGACCAAUCAAUCCUGACAAUAAUUGAAAAAAUUAGGAUCAAAUCUCUCAUAUGUUGUUGAUAAGUGCAUCUUGAGAAAAAAAGGUCAAAUUCAAUCACGCAAAAUGCAUUGUUUUAAUGUAUUUUACCUAGAAAGUCAAUAUGGUUUGGUAUCUUCAGAACUAAAUUGUACAUUACUAAAGCAUAACAGCUCCGAUUAAGUGGCGAUCAAAUAUAAAACAUGCCUUAUAGCAAAAGGAUUCAAUAAUCUUAACAACUUAACAAGUGAAUGCACUUCCCCUAACUCGGAAGAACAGCGGCCACCCAAGUCAAAGCAUUAAAAGAAGUAAUGCCUUUUCACAAUCUUCAGAGGUUUGUGGCGGUACCUGAUUCAAGUGCAACCAUUUUUGGAGCAGUGUCCAAGACUAAUGCUCUAUAAAUAGCUUCGUCGAUUGAAACUGGAGAUUAAGCCUCAGCUGCACCAAUUGAGAGAGAGAGAGAGAGAGAGAGAGAGCGAGAGUCUGUGCGUGUGUAAUAUAAUUGUUUAUUUGAGAGUAAUGAUUCAAUUUGACAGAUAACGGCAUCUGUCAAUGUUCUACAUACAUAAAUUUUAGCAAUUACAUCGUUUCCGCAACUUCACUCGACGUUGAAUUAUAUUUUGGGAGACGUGGCCGCUCAUUCCAUCCUCCAAUACCUCCGAGUUUAUCGAGCUCUGUAGCGGAGAAAUAGUUGCGAUUUUUGUCUUAAUUACCUUCAAAUUCACAGACCAUCUUGCCUUGUGGAUUAAGAUGUCAAGAUAAAUCGGUGGGCAAUCGAUGAAUGAGUCAAAAGGACCCCCUGAUGGGGUUUCCAUGGGCAAUAAUUUCGUGCGAAAAUUCUCGUUUUGACAGGAGUUUCCCUCUUCUAUUAUUCUCUCUUUCAUACUGCUUUUACCCUUGCUUGUACGGCUGCCUCUGCUCGCUCUUUUCGGUUCGCAUCUUAGCACAGGAAUACGUGGGAAAUUUCUGCGAAGCACAAAUCUAUUCUUCUCUCUUUCACACUGCUUUUACCGUUACUUAUACAGCUGCCUAUGCUCGCUCUUUUCGAUUCGCAUCUUAGCGCAGCAAUACCUGGGAAAUUUCUGCGAAGCAGAAUUCUAUUCUUCUCUCUUUCAUGCUGCUUGUACCCUUCUUAGCACAGCAAUCUUUGAGAAAUUUCUGCGAAGCACAAUUCCAUCCUUCUCUCUUUCAUACUGCUUUUGCCCUUACUUGUACGGCUGCCUAUGCCCGCUCUUUUUGACUCGCAUCUUAGCACGGCAAUGCAUGGGAAAUUUCUGGGAAGCCCAAGGAGGACAAUGCUAUCAACUCUAGCCAAAAUUGAAGCAAAUCUAGCUUUUUCUUUUUACUCAUGUCGGAGAUAAAUGAAGAGGUCCGGAAUAUUCAAAUGAAAAAUUCUCAUCUAUGAAAUUGAGGGCGCAUCCGUAUUUUCCGCUAUUUUUCCCCCAACGAGCCGAAAGUAUCUUCAGAAACAUGGAAAAUUCCUUUCAGGAGUCGUAAUGGGAGGUGUCCUCCGUUUUUUUGCGGGUCAUUAUUGGGUGGUUGAAUAUGGAAUUUCGAUCUUAUGACUUGCAAUUAACAUGGCAGCAUGUUGAUCUAAAUGUGUAAUGUGCAUUGCAUUAUGUCCUACACUUUUUGACAUGGCCAUUCAAUAAAUGAUGGAGUUCGUCACCACAUCAUUGACUAGUGCUCUAAAUGCCCGAUAAUUGUAAUUAAAAUUGCAUGAAAUACUCAAUAAUUAAUAGCAAUGUGAUAGUGAUAUCUAAUUUCUUGCUUAGGGUGCAUUAUCAUAAUUGACAUUUAAAUAGAUUUAAUUAGGUCCGACAACUUUGUUAUGACCCGCAAUGCUUUUCUGAAUUUUGAAUUGAUUCAAUUAGAAUGCUAUACUUUUGUUUAUAGUGUGUGUAAUUGAUUCAUCCCUGGAACUUCUGCUUGUUCUUGUGAAAUUAUAUUAGUAUGUUUCAUAUGGCAUACGCCCAUUGAUUAUCCUAAAGGAAAUUUCUAAAAUGGACAACAAUCUACAAAAGCCAAUAAAUUGAAAAAAAAAAUAUACAGUUAGAUUUCCCAUGUGUAACAAUCAUCCGAAAUUAGAAAAUAAAUGAUACGCAUUCAGUUUUUAUGUGUGAUUCAUUUUUAACAAACAAAUUUGCUUAGUCCCUUUAAUCAUUCUCAUUCAUCAUAUCAGCUGGUGAGAAGUACAGAGGAUUUUGCUGUUCUUUUCAAAGCAUAGCAAACAAAUCCAUUCUCCAUUUCACAUGAUUUCCAUUGAAUCACGAAGAAGGCACAAAAGGUUUAUCCUAGUCCCAAACCCUUCUCAAACUUAAGACGAUACUGAAUAUUUGAAAAUGAUUUAGGAACCUCGUUAAUUUAUAACCAAUCGAAAGUUUUGUAGCAACAAUGCUCUCAGCCAAAGCGUAGACCUACUUGAUAAAUUGAAAGGCCGGGCAUAUCAUUAGACGUUAACUGACAUGGUGAAUUUUCAGGACCAAAAUUUGAAAACUAGUGGNNNNNNNNNNNNNNNNNNNNNNNNNNNNNNNNNNNNNNNNNNNNNNNNNNNNNNNNNNNNNNNNNNNNNNNNNNNNNNNNNNNNNNNNNNNNNNNNNNNNNNNNNNNNNNNNNNNNNNNNNNNNNNNNNNNNNNNNNNNNNNNNNNNNNNNNNNNNNNNNNNNNNNNNNNNNNNNNNNNNNNNNNNNNNNNNNNNNNNNNNNNNNNNNNNNNNNUACAUCCCUAUGCAACAGAAGUUUGAAGGAACUAUCAGCUGUCGGCAGACUGAGUAGCUUCAUUCCGGGUGCACGAAAUUUUUUAUUGAAAUCGCGGACAAUCUGUCGAAUACGUCAGCAGACGGAUUUGCAAAUAGAUGAAUCGCACAAAGGGAUAUCACUUGCUUACUUCAAGCCAACUGAAAAAGGGUGAUCACUUUCCUUAAUUGGGUCGUCUAUUAAAAUAUAUCUAGAAUUUAAGCCAUUGAACAAAGGCCGACUAAUGAGAAUGCGUGAACUCGACCAUGUGCAAGUCAAAAAUUGGCAUACGAGAAUUGGCUGGCCGAGAUUGCAAAAAGCGUGAAGAAAAAUCAAUAACACGUGACUCUGUUGCCUUCUCCAAGUCCAAUUUAUCGUGCAUGUUGGAUUCUUUGGCAUGCUGAAUUUGUUGCCCUAGAAGAAGGGGCUCACACACACAUAUAUAUACACGUGAUCAUAUUUUACUUUAAAUUGAUUUACUUAGGUUCAAGAACUUUAUUCUAAUAUGCAAUGCAUUCAUGCUUUCACAUGAUUUGUUUAGAUGUCCUACACUUUUGUUUAGUAUGUGAAAUUGGUCCAUUUCUAGAACUUUAGUUUGUUCAAUUCUGUCUCUUGAAAUUACAGGCACCCGAUGAUUAUCGAAAGGGAAUGGCCACAAUGGACAACAAUCAACUGAAGUCACUGGAUAAAAAAAUUAUACAAAUGGAUUUCGUGUGUGUAAUAUGUUUCCUAAAUGAUAAAAAAAAAAUAUAAUACUCAUUCAUUUCUUAUGUGUAAUUCAUUUGAAACAAAAGAUUUGCUUGGUCACUUUAAAUGGUGAUUCUUAUUCAUUAUCCCAAAACGUCAGCUAAGUAUGUAUUUUACUUUUCUUGUCAAAGCAUCGCCAACAUUCCGCUCUCCUUUAACAUAUUAUGCUUGGAUCGGGGAGAUAGCACAUUGUUUUGUUAAGUGAGAGGUUUUAUCCUUAUCUGGAAACUUUUUUUGAACUUAAGAAUGAUAUUUGAAUAUUUGCAAAUAAAUUAGAAACCUCAUUAAUUAAAAACCGAUAACAAGUUCAAGAGGGACAAUACUCUUUGUGUCACACCCCGAAACCAUCAUAAAUGGGGGGUGACACAGCUGUCCUUCCACUCGAAGGACGCAGCCUUAGAGCUCCUAAAAUCCCAUUCCUAAAAGUUCACUCAUCGAUAUUGCUUUUGUGCUACUUAUCAUAGCUGAGGAAUCUAAAAAAGAUUGGCAAAUAGAGAGGUGAGCAACCACAGCUCAGUGAGUAAUGCAUUCCUUCUAAGCGGAUCAAGCACCCAUUAUACAUAUUUACAAAACCAAACUACAACUCUUUUAACACAAAACAUAUUUACAAAACCAAACUACAACUCUUUUAACACAAAACAUAUUUACAAAACCAAACUACAACUCUUUUAACACAAAUCUAGAAUAUAACAAAUAAAUAAUAAGAGAAUAAGUUACGUACACUUAAGAAUAUCUACAUUCAUUUCACAAUAACAUCAAAACAAAUGUCAGUGGUAUUUUCACAAUAACAUCAAAACAAAUGUCAAUGGUCAAUUCCACUGAUUAAUCUCAUUAAGUCACACACCAAUGGUUCAUUCCAUUGGUUAGUCUCAUGCCACAUAUCAAUGGUCUAUUCCAUCGAUCCAUCUCAGAGGAAACCACAUGUCGAUGGUCCAUUCUAACGACUAAACUCAAAUCACAUGUUAAUGAUCUAUUCCAUUAACCAAUCCGUUGCUCAAUAUCAAACCAUGGUCACGAUACAAUGCUUAGUGACGAGGCGACCAAAAUUUUCCCUUUAACAAAGUCUCCACCUAUUAUUAGCCGUGGCUCGGCCCACAAGGAUACAUUAGACUAGUAUGCGCAUACUUACAAGCUUCUCGCUAGGCUCACAGUGAUAUUAAGUAUCAAUAUCAAUCCAAAACAACACCAUCUAUAAUUCACAAACCAAAUCCAUAAAUCAUUUCAUAUAUCACCAAAAGAUUUCACAACUGUUUUUUAUACCAGGUUAGGCAGACAGUGAUGGAGCGGGGGGACACUGGUUUUGCAAGAACAUCGGAUGGAUACUAAAAAUGAAGCAAGCGCAUCAUGUACUGGAAUUCCUUAUGUUCUGAGAUUCUUACACGAAGUGCCGAAGAGAAAAUGAAACAAGAAGAGAGGAGAGAGCAAGCACAUAUAUAGAGGCUUUCCGGGUUUGAAUAUCUGUUCAAGCUACUCUGCACCCUCCAAUCUGCUGCCUUUAGUUGACUAGCCCAUUGGGGCGGGCAGAGGGAAGACGAUGCCGAUUACAUUCUCGACAGAAUUCUAGCGUUUGCCAAUUCUUCUCACCUAAGCCUCAAUCUACGACUGUAGUUGGAUGAGGGUGUCACGACUGAGCAGGAACACUGACCAGACGUUCAAUCAUUUGCAACUGAUCAUAUGGAGCAAUCUGCACAAAGGAGAGGAGUUAAAACAGAGAAAAAGGAUAACGGUUGAUUGAUGACGGUAUCAUUUGAGUAAAAGUGCUUCACAAACUGUUCGGAACUAACUCCAAUUACUGGUCAACCAUGACGAAGAGUGACAUUAUUCGUUUGAAUGAGACACAGUAGAAAAGCGUUGGUCACCUGAUUAAAUCCGCCUGGCCAAACUAUGGACACGGCCUAGUUUCCCAUUGGCUGAAUCUCUUCUGGUUCGAUGUCUUCCGGAACAUUGGAAUACUGCAGUUUUUGCUCCCCUGUCCACUCAUCCUGAUGUGCAGAUAAGUGGCAUAAGAAAGAAUCUCUUCAGUAGUCCUAGUCACAAUAUCUAAGACAAGCACGGGACGAGUAGAAACUUCGGAAGGAAUAAUUUAAGCUAAAUUCCACCCCUAAUCUUCAUCGAUUUUGAGGGAUUAGACUGGAGAAUAACUGCUGUUAUACUAAUCCCUAUGCCGUUCGGCAUUUAUCAGCAUGCCAAAGGAUGCCAAAGGAGGAAAUCAGAGUAAAAACUUUUGAGGCAAGAAGUAUUUUUAGUCGACUGAAUAGAUUUAAAUGAAGAAGUUCAAUGCUAAAAAAUCUACCAUGCCAAAUCACUAAUACUCAAGAAUUCAGUUGAUAGAACACUCAGAUUACUGAGAUCUGGUAUGGUUAGCUUAAACCAUCAUGUGAAGAUAAGAGGUAAGGUUCGAGUGAAAACAUGCUCGACCUUCAUGUACGGGUGCUUGGAUUAUGGGUAAUGGCAUGAAAGCUGCUCAAAUCCACUUCUCUACAUUUUUAAAAUGCGACCUUAGACCUCUGAUUUAAUUUAAAAGAAGGGUCAUAAAUUAGCUUGGAGGUCCAUUUGUAGAAUUAAACUAAGCUUGUCUGGUGAAAUGCAGCAACUGGCCUGAACAUUCUAACUAUAGGAUUAGCAUCUAUCUAUUUCCCAAGGUUAUGCAUGAUUGUGUUGACACCGCUGCAAUAAAAACCUACAUAAUCUACUUUCCAUUUGCAAAGAUAAAAAAAAUCAGAGGAUUUUUCCAGGUCAAAGGAAAGUCCUUAUACCACACUUUGAGCUGAUUGGUUGUUUCUUCUCACGGUGUGGGGUGUAGAAAGAACUCCUCGUCUGAAUCCGGAACCUUUGCUGUGAUUGCCUUGAUAACUUUAUCAUGAGUUACGGCUGUUGACACUGGAAAGGAAGAUGACACUUUGAAUCAUUUAAUUAUGAAAGCCAAAAAUAAAAAAGAUAAGCAAUUUCUGAAGGUAUUCCUUUAAUCGUCAGAGGGGAGAUGAGCCUAAAAUUUUAGUGGCAAAUGACGAACUGGGAAAGUUCUCAUCUUAGGAAUCUAGUUAGACACUGGCACUGGAUUCUCGAAACACAGAUAUCUCUCUCAACCUUUAUCAAGAAAUUGUUUUAACCUAGUAAAUAUAAACUACCUUGUUUACGAAUCUUGGCACAUGGUUGCACAACACACACUCUGAGGUCCUGGAGUGUCUUGGCAACUUCUCCUAGAGGAUCUGCCACAACUUCUGGCAUUCCACUAUCUCCAGAGGCUGAUAACUAAUAUCAAUGGAAGAAAUCAUUAUUAUCCAUCAUGCUUCACCAGGAGUAAGAAUGGACAUUAAGAGAACAAAGGCACAACAACGAGAGAUAAGAUCAAAGAACUUGUCAGAGGAUAUACCAUUGGUCUAAUGGGAAGAUUGAAUAAAUGAGGAAUUCCGAACUGCUGGACAACCUGUAAAUAAAUCCAGCACACUCUGAGGAAACAGAGAAUCUGCUUCAUCCUUUAACACCAGAGUGUAACCCUAGGAUUAGCGCUCUGGCAUUCCUUUGUAACAAGUAAACCAAACAAUAAGUAAUUGGAGAAACAUGCCUGAGAGCCUGAUCCUCUAUCAAGUGGGUAAUAGCGCUUUCCAUUGGCAUCAAAGUGGCACAUAUUUUCCACAGCAGCAACACAGGGUACCCGUGUGCAUGAACAGUGGAUUGUCAAAAGAUGACUCUUUGAUAGAUAAAAGAAGAUCAACUAUAGGGCACCGAGAGGGGAAGGGAGGGUUGCAAACCCUAUACAAAAAGAGCCCAAAACUAAAGACAUACACAAAACAGCUCACAAAAAUGAAAAAAGGAGCUCAAAUUAAGGAUAAAUUACUGAUGAUAUCAACUAGAACUAUACAUCCAUAUUCAAGUUUCCACUGUACCAAAAAUGUAUAACUUUAAGCCAAUUUUCAAUAACAUUCUGUCCAAUAAUUGUCAUGGUGAAUUUGUAUCUUUUAAAUUACAUUUCCAUGUUUCAUCAUAUUUCCAGAAUUCUUGACAUAUGAUUCAAAGGAUAAUCAAAGGAUAGUGUUGAAUGGGGAUUGUCAAUAGUACAAAGGCACAAACCACAAGUUUUGAGAACAUGCGAAUUCCCUUCGCUACAUCUAUAAAUGCAAGCUUUUGAGGGGUGGUAACAAUGACGGCAGCUGUUAAGGGUACAACCUGAAAAGUUAACAUCAUUACAUUAAGAUUGAAAACUGCAGCAACAAACAAAACUUGCAAGAGUAUUAUCUGAUGCAAAAUGCCUGCAACUAGCAGCUUCUAAUUGUAAAGAUGUGCUUGUUUGUAAAAGGAUAGAGAAAUAAACAUUAAACCGUUCAUAAUUACUGAUCUAAGAUGAAAAGGCACAAAAUGCAAACCUGGCAUAAUGUAAGCUGAAUGUCGCCAGUCCCCGGUGGCAUGUCAAUAACAAGAUAAUCCAACUCACCCCUGCCCGACCCAGAAGCCAAAAAAAGGAGAAUGAUGAGAGAAAAUCAUCGUUUUUGAUUAACUGUAGUUUGCUUUGAAUCAUGCACUUCUCUUAUAGGAAUAAAAUACGCUUUGACAACAAUGACAGUGAACAGAAAUUUGAAUAUAAUAACCACAGCAUGCAAGCAUGAUGAACAUUCCCCUGCAAUCAGCCAACGUCAUAGAGUUCCAACGAUUUUUCAUACCACUUGGUAGUAGUCAAGAGUUGGUUGAUGACACCAGAAACCAUUGGACCUCACAUAAUCGCACGGCCUUGUCCAGCAAAUCCAAAAGAUACCAGCUUCACUCAUAGGUAUUCUGUGGGAAUUAUGCUUCUUUUCUCUGGGUUCUAGAAAAGGUAGGUGGAAAUAUAAAUGCAUUACUUCACUAAACUAGAAAUUAAUUUCGUUGUAGUGGAAGUGGAACUAUAAGCUUUAUUUAUCAGGGGACACCAUUGUUGGUAAACUUGGACCAUACACAUCGGCAUCGAAAAUACCAACUCGAGCUCCCAUUCUAGCCAAAGUAUAUGCAAGAUUUACAGCUACAGUUGAUUUUCCCACGCCUCCCUGAACAGUUCUGACAGACAGCAGUCAUAAUAGAAGAAAUUAAAGAAUAGUACUUUUUAAUAUUAGUAACCUAACAACAUGUCAAACCACAAUUUGGAAAUACUCAAAGAAAAAUCUUUUCCAUUAUAAAAUUCGCUAAUCGGGGAAGUCAUCACGAUGGAAUGAAACUACAGGUCAUCCUUAUGUCACAGUCAACCUCUCAAAGCAACCCCAAAAACGUCUUGUAGCCAAAUGUCAUGCAACGAAAUAGCUACUUUGUCAUAACCUGGAAUAUGAAGUGCAACAAACAGUCAACCUUCUCAAAGCAACCCUACCUUGCAGCUUGAAACUGCUAUAAUGUUUGAGAUCGUCUGUAACCCUGGAGGAAGUUCACCUGUGAAAACAGGUUUUGCUGGUUGUGCUGACAUAAUUACUUUUAACAUUCUUGACCCAAUGAAGAUUAGCCACCACCUCAUUUGCCUGCUGCUCAAACUGUCAAGGAAUACUCAUGCUGUUAAACUAUUUAAGGUUCAGUAACCUGAUAUAUCAGGCAAAGACUCUGAGGAAACCAUUAGGAAGCAGAAAGACAACGAUAGAUUAGUUUCAAAAAUACUUUGAAAUUGUACAUGCACAAAGAGAUUUAUGGAAGGGUGUCAAAAGGAGCAGGUGUCAAUGGUUUCUAAAGUAAUUAAUACACAAGACAGAACAUCUAGUGCAUGAGCAAGUAUUCGGUUACUGAGCAAGCAACAUAGGUUGUGUUAUUUACCAUGUCCUUGAUUGGACAUGCAGGUGUAGUGAGCUUUAACCGGAAUGAAACCUGAGAAUCAAAGCCAAGACAUUGUAGGGUAAGGGUGUCAUUCCUUACAGAUGUAUAAAGAAUAAAUUCCAGACUAAUUCUUUAAUAACCUCUCUAAGAGCUUCAUCUCUGAGGAGGUCCUUAACAAAACCUCAUGAAACAAUGUCCGUUCCAAAGUCAGGAUCAAUAAUUUGAGACAAGGCUUUCAGCACAUCACUUUCAGCUGUAUGAGCUGAAACUGCAGAAGUACUCUCUACAAUUACAAGAGCAGAAAAUGUACACGGAAUGAUGUCAAGCUUAUGAGAUGAACAAGAAAAAAUCAGAGGUGAACAAUCGGUGAAAACUAAGCAACCAAGUCCAGUCAAUUUUGCUCAGGGCAUACAGGAUAGGCAAUUAUUUUUGGCCCUUAAUCCCUUAAGAUUAUAAGCUGUAAUAAUCUUCUGUAUCUACUCAGGGCCAUUCAAAUUUGGUUUUGACAAGGGGUAGCCAAGAGUAAUUGGUUUGGAUGGGUUCUCAAUAGUACAAUGCAUGCUCAUGUGCACAAACACAAGACUGCUUUAAUUGUUUUCUGUUCGUGUAUAGUUUCUUUGCAAUUCCAAGAAAAUAGUUUGACAGAGCUAGCCCCUUUUAUUUGGCCUACCAAAUAAUCCUCCAAAAUUUUCUUCAAGGCAGAACAUGUAAAUAUGUCUUCGCAGAGAGUAUGAUAUGUAUUAGUGGAAGCAGAUUGAUCUGAUGGCACUAGCCAACGGUUUCACCAUAAACAUACUCAUUUCUAGAAACUCACAACUUUAUAAGUAGCAGAUUAUUAGCACCAAAAAAUAAAUUGCAGAAAGUUACCAAGAAUCGAACAUGGACGCCUCAGUAAAGUUAAUUAGGUUUACUUACUAUGAUACGAUUAAUUAAAUCAGGCUAUAGGCGUACUAGAAACAAUCUUAACUGUAUCACUUGCACUCGCUCCACAAGAUCACUCUGUCAAAUUCUCGACAUUUUCAUGAAAAUAGCUACUGGGUUCUCAUAGCUCAGAUAGAUAAAUACUCGAACAUUAAAAAAAAAAAAAAAGAAGAAUCCCAUUUGGGUAUUUACCAAAUAUUACAGGCACCCGAUAAUCAACGAAUUCAAAUUAUUCAUAGAAAGUACCUUCCACUGAAGCAGCCUUAGCUGCAGAGGAAUUCGAGACGGGCGGUUUGCGAGAUACCCAUCUGGAGCUUCGAAGCCAUUGUUGCUUGACAUAAGAGCCGGUUGUCGAUGGUGCGAGAGAAUUCGUCAAGAGACACGGUCCUACAACAGAAAGGCCCAGGCGAUGAGACAGUGGCAGUGACAGUGUCGGUUCGAAGAUCAUUGCAUGAAUUAGCGCAAAAGUUACCUCUGUUCGGUUGGACUUUUGAGCAGCAUAGGAAGAGAGAUGGAGAAGAAGAUGGGCACUGCAGUAGGUGCAUUUUCUUGAGAGAGAGAGAGAGAGAGAGAGAGCAGAGAGCUAAGAGUGCUCUUGCAGGAAAAAUGAGAGGUGGCAAAUGCUUCUGAGCCUCGCGCUCUCUGCUCUUAGUGCAAAAAAGCGCCAGCCCAGCCUCAUGUUAACAGAAGAGGAGUUCGUUAAUUUUAAAAGAAAAAAAUAGAAGACCUUUAUUCCAUCUAAAGAAAAAUGUGUUCCUUUGGACUUAAAUAAGAGCAAAAAAGUAUUUAUAUCUUGUACUUUUCCGUUCAAAAUUAAGAAUAUAAUUUAAAUUUUAAAUAUUCUAAAAAAACUGUAUGUGAAUCCAAGUAUCAAUAGUGAAAAUUUCAAGAAUUUCGAAGUUAAUUAAAGUCCAAACGCAUAAGCCCGAGAUUUAGAUUAAAUAAAAAAUUUUAAAAAAAUCUAGACGAACCUUAUGGGUAUUGAACGAUUAUAUCUAUGUAUAUAUAUUUUCUAUAUAAUAAUAGCAAUUGGCGGAAAUAUUUCUUCAAAUAACUUAUUUUACUCAUCACCGCCACUUCAACAUAUGAAUAUACCAAAAAAAAAAAAAAACUCGCUUAAUCUUCUAUAAAAUUGUAUAAAGAAAAAGUUAUAUAUAUAUAUAUAUAUAUAUAUGUGUGUGUGUGUGUGUGUGUGUGUAUAGAUUCAAUCAACGCUAUUUAUUUCUCAUUAAAUUUACAUGAAACUUAUUGUUGCCAUACUUUCUACAUCUAUAUCAUCAUAUAGGUAAAUCCUAAACCAAAUUAAAGAUAAGUAGGACUCAAUUUGAAAUCAAGUUAAAUUAAUUACGUUAAAUAGUCAUUCCUAUGGCCCAUUACAAAAUUUUAGAUAUACGACUCUUCACUAUCGUCAUCUAUUAUCCUUCUUUUUGGUCAAGAUCAUUAUCUAUCAGUUUAGUUACUUUGAAAUUGUCAUUGUGGAUCAUGCCCAUACUCAGAUUCCUCUAUGCUCUGGGCAUACGAACGAGACAUAAUGGUGUAUCGAAGAGGUACACAUUAACCAACUUGGAUCUCGAGCGCCCUCAUCAUUGACCCAAAUCCAUGGCCGGAGGCGUGCGAUCAUAAGAGCUGUAUGUCCACAGUUGGUGCACUUGGGAGUUCCACCCGGAUCUCGUCAUUAAGGAAACCAUAUCGAACUUGACAACUGAGGCAACUUUUGAGUCCAAGUUAGCAUCGAUGAUUGGGUCAUUGAAGACGAGUACAGGUAACUCAAAUCAUUUUUAUACUUGGAAAGUAGUUCGCUCCAGGUAACUGGAUCUAAACUAAGAUACAACAUGGCAUGGAGCAACUGUUUAUUGCCGAAAUUCACAGCGAUAAGAACUAUCUUGACGGCCAAGCAAACACAUGGUUGAAGUUGUCAACACUUGAGAAGAAUUUCCGAAAAGAAUGGUCUCAUUCAUUACAUAAGUUCGCCAAACUCAAUCUGCUGAGACCUUUCAUUCUCUAUCCAGUACUGCAAAACGCUGAGGUGCUUCUAACUUUUUACAUACAGCCCGGCUCUUCCGUACACUAUUGCCGGGGAGCGCUCCAAGACUAAAAGCAGAUGACUUCUCCAUUUGAACAUCCACAUACAUUUGCCUUCUAUUGAUGGAAUCUUGUUGCUUUUAUAUUGAAAACAGAUUAUGUUUGUUGUCCUCACCGUACCCCUAUGCGACAGAGUUCCAAAGGAACUAUCAGCCUUGGUAAACUGAGUAGCUUUAAGCAGAUUGCACAUGUUUUUCCAUUAAAAUCACACAGACAAUCUGUGGCAUACAUUAAAAGACGAAACUGCAAAUAGAUAGAGGAGAUAUAACUAAAGUGAGUAUAUAUGUAUUGGAUUGUAGUACGAGUUAUCACGGGAAAUGAGUUGGCUGAAGUUACAUAUCAUACUUCUUAGGUGGUGUAGUUUUCCCGUGAUAAAGAAAAAUCACCAUGAAGUUCAUUUUCAUUUUCUGCUCUUUUCUUCCGCAAAUCUACUUUGAUAGCUAAGUAAAUCAUACAUAAGAAUAGAAUAUUUUUGCUUUCUACAAUAAAGAUUAUACCCCAAUUUGAAUUCCCAAAGGACAUUUUGAAUUACGCUCCAUAUCAUUUAUAUUCCCAAAAGUAAGAACAAGAUGAAGCAAAUAGCACUAAGAGAAAGCAAUAUUAUUCUCUCACACAACCUCUUGACUUGCACUGUACAUGGUAUCAUAUUUUGAACAAUGACUACUUGCAUGGCUUGAUGUUUUGAACAAAGCUUAAAAGGACAAAUUGAUAUAACCAUCACACCCCAGCUCUACAAACAUAGGGAAAAUGACACGAUCGUCCUCCUAUCCAAAAGACGCAGUCUCAUAUGCAUAACCAACAUUAACCUAUCAUAAAAAAUAUACCCAUUAAUGUCUCAUAAAAAAAGAAGAAGCUGGUUACAUGACUAGAGUUCUAAAAUUCACCAAUAGAAAUAUAUAUAUCUAGUGACCGACAAACUAAACCGAAAAAGUACAUUAUAAAUUAUACACACAAUUAUCUCAAGUUAUACCCAAAAUCCAAAUUCCUAAGAAUCCUCCACUGAUGUAGCUUUCCUCCUAUAAGUCGGAAGCUGAAAAAGAAUUGAGAUGCCCCGGUAUAAGCAUACCACCUCUCAAUAAAUAGUGCACAUCUCUUCUCAACAAAUCAAGCAUCAGCAAUGCACAUUAUAAACAGUAACAGAAACACAACCAAAUCCAGUAUAUAAUAUAUGUAAAAGUCCAAAUAUGAGUUACAUCAUUUCAACAACAUUUUCAACAUAUUAGAAACACUCACUCAAUCAACAAUAUUUAAACAAACAUCAAUGGUUUAGUCCAUUGAUUACUCUAGUACUUCAUAUCAAACUAUAGCCAUGUUUANNNNNNNNNNNNNNNNNNNNNNNNNNNNNNNNNNNNNNNNNNNNNNNNNNNNNNNNNNNNNNNNNNNNNNNNNNNNNNNNNNNNNNNNNNNNNNNNNNNNNNNNNNNNNNNNNNNNNNNUAUGAUUUCAGAUCAUAGUGACAAGAGGAUAAAUCCAUCAACAUAAUCCCGUCAAAAACAAAACCAUUUCAGAACUCAUUUAAUAAAUUAUAUUCACAAAUCCAUACAACCCUUCGCAAUUCCAUCCACAAGAAGAAUACAUUCACGAAAAAUUUCUCAAACCAUUUUGUAAAUAAUCAGUCCUCCAACUAUUUCAGGAGAUAUCUUACUUUGCUAUUUCAAAUAACCAAAUAAGGAAAUAUACAUACGUGCAUGCGUGCGUGCGUGUGUAACCACAUAAGGAAAUAUGUGUGUGUGUAAUCAGCCCUCCAACUAUUUCAGGAGAUAUCUUACUUUGCUAUUUCAAAUAACCAAAUAAUGUGCGUGCGUGCGUACGGGCGGGCGAGCAAGCGGGCGGGAGUGCGUGCGUGUGUGCGUGCAUGCCGCGUGCGUCGUGCGUGCGUGCGUGCAUCGUGCACGUUGCGUGCGUGCGUGUACACAUAUAUAUCAUAGUGUGCAAUCUCUCAUUCAUAACUUAUAUAGCAUAUCUAAUUCCGGUGAUUUUCAAGCCAUGAGUUAACAUAUCAUAGAAGAGCUAAGCACCAAUCCUCACUUACAUAUCACUAACCUCAACUAAGAUUCUACUAGGUGACGCUAAUUUUUGAAGUCAAAAUGUCCAGUAUAAGUCGACAAAAAGGCCGCACAAGCAUCAUACUUGCAACGGGAAACAGAGCAGCAAUCUCAUCUUACAUUGUGAAUUUUGGCAUGUCAUACAUCUCUACUGAACUCCAUUCUAAGUGAGUUUACAGUCAAAAGAGAGCUUAUUCAAAGUACUAAAAGACCCAACAAAUCCUUAGAACCAAAAUUUGGUCGACAACUGAUGAAAUCAGGGACGAAACCCUGCUGGUUGCAGUCACUCUAAAUUAGUUUUCGAGAACUUCGAAGAACCAAUAUCUCUCAAACGGCAAUCCAUAAAAUCUCAUGAUUCCAAGAUCAACCUAAAGUUUCGAAACGACAUCAUGUCACUGCUCAACAAUCUCAAGAAUCAACUUAGCAACCCUAAAACCCGAACCGAUCCGAAAUUACAACUGAACAGAGCACAUAUCUUUGAUUUGAAGGUAUCGAAUUCUUACUGAGUGCUUCAAAAUGGUAUCGAUCUAGCUUGUCCUGGCCUCCGAACCGAAUCGCGCCAGAAGCCCCUUCCGCUCAUUCACGGAUUCCACACUCUUUCUUCUGUUCCCUCUUUGCUUUGCCGACUCGCUCCCUCCCCCUCUUUUUGCUGCUCUUGACUUUUCAUAUGGACCAGCUCUCGGGCAGUUCCAAGUAGUCGUACAACGUGUAUUUGGUACCUUUUGCAAUGAUGCACAAUCACGGACCUUCAACGAACAUAGCUUCUCCAGCUUCAAAGCAUCAGGGAGGGGCCUUUCUAUGGAACUGCAAUCUCCAGUUGAAGACGGUUCAAGUUCGAUCUCAAUUAAUUGUGGGCACUUCGUCACAAACAAAUUUUGAUGCUCCUUUAAGCUCGAAACAUUGGAUAUCCUCACAAGCCCCUCCCAUUCGAACACUUGCAGUGACUGGAGAUUCUUUAGCUGUCCAAUCACAUUGUCGAACUCGAUCUCUCCAAACCCACAGUCGUAGAGCAGUACGUGACACAAAUUGUCCAGGUUGGAGAACAUUGACCAUUCUAUUGGGAUCUUCACACCUUGUAAGUUCAACAAUUUCAAACUGGACGGAAACCCAGUUAGAAGCCGUAGGUUGGCACAGGUUAUUUCUAACCUCCAGAGUUGAGAAAGGGAUCUCAAGUCAGUUGGAUGCAUGGUGGGAUCGCAAAAAUCCACAUUAAACGACUGCAAUUUAUGAAGCCUUCAGAGAUAACUUAGGUUCGGACGUAGAAUUCGUCCUCGUUCAAAUAUGGAUGAUUGUUUAGUUGUUCUCACACAAGCAUACGUACAAUCACUUAUUAUUAGAUGAUUUAAACUAGUGAGGUUCGAGAGGUCGGGUACUGCCAGCAAUGAUGGAGACUUUAUCUUUAGGUCUGUUAAACUUGUGGGGAGGUCUGGUAGUAAUUGAAGCCUAUCACAAAAACUUAAAUCAAGUUCUUUGAGGUUAAAGAGCCGAUUAAUUGUCAUCGGCAAUCUACUAACCUUCAUGUUGUGCAAGUACAGAAUCUCCGAUUGAGAUAGUCCUGUGAUUUCACUAGGAUUUUUGCCCUCGAGAAUGUCACGAUCGUGGGCUGUUAGCUCCUCAAGAUUCUCCAAAGUCCCUAUACCAGUAGCUCUCUUAUCUUACUUUCCUGCAAAAUCAUGAGCUGCAACUGUCCACCAAUAGAAUGGGGUAAUUCUUCGAUAGGUGUAAAAGAUAAAUCCAAUUCGAGUAGCGAUUCUAGUCCUCCAAUGGAAUCUGGUAAUGCACUUACACUAGUAUAAUCUAAAUUCAAAUAAAGGAGUGAUGGCAACUUUCCAAUGGAAUCUAAAAGCUCUACAAGGUUGCAACACCCACUUAGAGACAGAUGCUUCAAAACUUGUAGCCCUUCUAUUGAGGGUGGAAGUUUUCUAAUGCCAUCCUGAUUUUCCAUCUUCAACAUCGACAAGGAUUUCAGACCAUCAAUUGCGUAUGGUAAUAGAGAAACGGGUGGAAUUCUCAGUAGUGGACAAUCCGUCCCAUCAAAUUCCAAAUACUUCAGGUGGCCUAACUGAUCAAUAGAGCUAUCAAUUUCUUCCAAUCUUGUACAAUUUUUUAGAACCAGUCUUUUCAAAUUCAAGGACUUGGAGAAGUUGGGUGUCCUCUUUAAAUAAUUGUAGCUUGCUAGAUAUAUGACUGUCAGGUUAUCAUUUACCUAUAAAACAACAAAUUAUUAAGGAAAAUAAUGGCAUAGGCAAAGGUCAACUCAAUGUAACAAAUGCAUACACACAUAAAUAAAAAAUUUGCCACCUCGUAAGAUUAUGCCCGUCAUCAAGUCUUGUGAGCUUUGAGUGCUACAAUGUUUUUUUGUUCCCUAAUAUUUUUUAGAGCACACGUUUAGACAUAAACCNNNNNNNNNNNNNNNNNNNNNNNNNNNNNNNNNNNNNNNNNNNNNNNNNNNNNNNNNNNNNNNNNNNNNNNNNNNNNNNNNNNNNNNNNNNNNNNNNNNNNNNNNNNNNNNNNNNNNNNNNNNNNNNNNNNNNNNNNNNNNNNNNNNNNNNNNNNNNNNNNNNNNNNNNNNNNNNNNNNNNNNNNNNNNNNNNNNNNNNNNNNNNNNNNNNNNNNNNNNNNNNNNNNNNNNNNNNNNNNNNNNNNNNNNNNNNNNNNNNNNNNNNNNNNNNNNNNNNNNNNNNNNNNNNNNNNNNNNNNNNNNNNNNNNNNNNNNNNNNNNNNNNNNNNNNNNNNNNNNNNNNNNNNNNNNNNNNNNNNNNNNNNNNNNNAUCAUUAUCUCUCCCUUUAGAUGGGAGUCGUAAUGGUAAAAAUUAGUUCUUUUGGAAUGUUGUUCAUUUCUCUCAAAUUAUGCAAAAUCAUCAAUGUCCCGUGUACAAAAAUGGGCGAACAUUUUGGAUGAAAAUGAACUCUAAAUACACAUAAUUGCAUGUUCAGAUUUUCUAGGCAUACCAGGUUAUUCUGAACCACAUUUGAGGCAGUCUUUGGACACCACACGACUGGCACACGACCCUCGCACGAUCACCGCACGAUCGUCGCACGAUUGCUGCACGACCGCCGACUGCUGCUGCACAACCGCCACACGAUCAUCGCACGACCACUGCACGACCACCGCACGACUGCCACACGAUUGCUGCACAACCACCGCACGAUCGCCACAUGAUCGCUGCCCAAGGAUUGUCGCCCAUAGCGCACCGACCGCGGGAGGGGCGGUGGCUAGUGAGCUGUGGGUGGUGGUCCUACGGUAGCAGUCAGUAGCGAUGGUCGGCGGUUGUGUGGCAACAAGCGGCGGUCGUGCGGCAAUUGGCGACGAUAGGAUGCCAGUGGACGGUGGCAGUCGUCAGUCGGUGGGCUACGGGCGGCAGCCACCAUCAUUGGCGGUCGUGCGGUGAUCUUGGUGAUUAAGUGGGAUGAUAUUGUCAUCUUGGUAGUCAGUUUGGGGAGCUAAGGAAUGAGUGUUCCUAGUUGUAACAAUAAUUUUGCUUCCUGGCCCAAACCGACUAUACUUACCAACAAGCUUCAUGAGUUGAUCCUUCUUGUCCAUAUCAUUAAGAAUAAGGAUGACUUUCUUAUCACGGAGUCUUUCUUCGAUCAUGUCCCUCCCCUCAUACGCAUCAAUAACUUUUGAGUGUUGAAUACCAAGGAUGUCACGCGACAAUUUCUUUCGCAAACUUAAAAUGUCAUUUUCAUGGAUAUCUAAAAAGCUGUAACUUUGGAAUUGGAAAGAGAUACGUUCAAAGAUAGCCUUAGCAAGAGUUGUUUUCCCAAUACCCCAUACCGUGAGUCACCACAAUCAUACAUCAAUCAUGGCCUACGCCUAACAACUUGAUAAUGGCUUCCAUCUAUUGUGGAUUCCUACCAAAUCAUCACACCCNNNNNNNNNNNNNNNNNNNNNNNNNNNNNNNNNNNNNNNNNNNNNNNNNNNNNNNNNNNNNNNNNNNNNNNNNNNNNNNNNNNNNNNNNNNNNNNNNNNNNNNNNNNNNNNNNNNNNNNNNNNNNNNNNNNNNNNNNNNNNNNNNNNNNNNNNNNNNNNNNNNNNNNNNNNNNNNNNNNNNNNNNNNNNNNNNNNNNNNNNNNNNNNNNNNNNNNNNNNNNNNNNNNNNNNNNNNNNNNNNNNNNNNNNNNNNNNNNNNNNNNNNNNNNNNNNNNNNNNNNNNNNNNNNNNNNNNNNNNNNNNNNNNNNNNNNNNNNNNNNNNNNNNNNNNNNNNACAACCAAGUGCAUGAUCCAGACAAUUUUUUUUUUGGCUUGUGCCACCCUUCUAGCAUGACAAAGGGUGAAAACAGACCAAAUGGCACAUUAAGUAGGGUGAAAACAGACCAAAUAACCAUAUUUUUCAUCUAUAUAUUGAGUUUUCAUGAUUAAGAAACAAUGAUCUAAAUUAAGAAAUGAAAGUAUAGAAAUUGUUAAUUACCGGUGAUCUUUUAAGUUCAAUCCCUUAAUUCCAGCGACCUCUUUUAGGGCCUCCUCCCACUGCUUGGCCACAAUUUUGCCAGACUGUUUCUCAUGAUUUUCUAAGGCCUUACCGUGUGAUCCAGUUCUGAGCUUAAGAUCUAAUGCAUCCACCUCAUAGAAGAUGGGCAAGAUCACUUUCUCACCUCUCUUCCUAUGCUCCACCAUGUGUGCGAGCUCACGAAGACACCAUUUGCUAGAAGCAUAAUUUUUAGAGAAGAUAGGUAUGUGGAUUUUUGAAUUAGAGAUUGCCCUUAGAAGCUCACCUCCAAUCUCUUCUCCUACAUGGAGCUCUUCGUUAUCUUUGAAGACACGUAUCCCAGCCCGAAUCAUGGUCUCAUAAGAGAGUCGAUGAUGGUUGAGCGAGAAUCGGGCCCUCUAAAGCUCAAGAACACCUCGUAUUCCCUCCUUGACGACGAUGAUGAUUCACCAUCAAGGGGGAGAGACUUUCCUUCAAGAUGUUCCAUUCCUACGAUCUUUUGCUGCGGAAGUGAUAUCAAACUAUUUUGCUCGUUCGAAAUUGCAGAGACCGAGGUGAGGGCCAUGAGCGAAGGCGAGAGACGGCCAGAGAAGAGCAAAGACCGAUGUGAGGGCCGCCACUUUGUGAUGCUGCAAUGGUCGGUGGUCGUGCGGCGGUCGUGCGGGGGUCGUGCGGUGAUCGUGUGACGAUCAUGCGGUGGUCGUGUGAUGAUCGUGCGGCGAUCAUGCGGCAGCGGUCGGCAGUCGUGGAAGUUGCAUAAGGGUAAGUGAAGAACUAAUAUAAAAAGACCAAGACGAAUUUCUGUUUUAUUUUUAUUUAUUUAUUUAUUAUUUUUUUUUUUUGCGUCUUGGUUUGUCAUUCCAUCAUCUCGAUGACCUGCUCUCACGUAUCUUCAACCCUGCACGAAAUGCUUUAAGAAAGGUUCUCGCUAUUGCUGAAAGAAGAAGAAAAACCCUAUGAGCAUAUGGUCUUGCAGCCAAAAUAAUUGGAAAACACCGUUAGUUGCAUAAAUUGUUCGGUCGGAUCCCCAUAUUCCAUGGCACUAGUUCAUAUUUCUGGUACAUCUAUCAAAUCUUCACAGGAACGAUUCUAUGGUUACUGGAUAUCAUGUAAAAGGAAUGAGGACAAAAGGCGAUUCAUUACAAUGACCUAUUUUGAGUGCAGAUAUCGAAUCCAGAGCGUGUUCAAUGCACUUUACCAAAUGAAAGGACCUCAUAAGAGCUUGCAUAACAGCUAUAAAGCUGUACUUAUAAGAUUAGUGCACCAUCCUAGACAUUAAUCUCAUCUUCAUUAAUUAUAUACAAUGCAUAUUGCUGGUCAGUGACCUGCCUAGACGAAUAGGCAAUUAUAAACCUUGCGUUCAGAAUAAUAACUGAAUAUAAUAUUCUUAGAAGAGACCUUUGAAUAAGAUGGAAAACCCAAGUUGAACUGCUUUUUCUUGAUAGUAUUAUCCUUGUAAAGAAUCAAAAUUAACGGACUCUAUUACAUUUUGGGAAUCCGUCCAUCCAACUGAAGUUCUCUUGAUUUUGUAUGCAAGGCCGGCUUCACGGAUAUAGAAGAGUAAUCCUGUUUCAUACUCAUGCAGGUAUCAUAGCAGUCAGCAUGAAGCAAGAUCCCACAUAACAUGAACAGUUACUGAAAUUGCACAAUCUGUACUAGUUCGAUCAUCAAACACUUAUGUAACAGAAUGUUACAAAGUAGUUCUUUCUGAAGUUAACGAGCACUUGAUUCUCCAACUGAGCCAGACAUGUACAUAAAUUAACAGAAAGUUCCUGCAAGCAAUAUAAUCUAUGAAAAAUAGUAUAUCAGAUUCAAACCACAAACUCAACCUUGUUUUGUUCACUUUUCAUCAAAACGUUCGUCGUCAUCUUCUCCAUCUUCAUCAACUUCUUCACUUUCAUCCCCUUCCUCAUCAUAAUAUCCUUCUUCUACAUCUUCAGCAUAGUUGUUGCUGUCAUCCUCUUAUCAUCAUCUUCAUCUUACGUGUCCACCUGAUUUGCCUACAAAGGUCAAGCACAAAAAGUAAGUCCAUAUCAUCUAAUUUAGUCUUGAGAGAGAUUAACGAAGCUACAAGAUUGCAGAUACAUGAUAAUGGCUAGCACUGACAGACAAAGAGAAGCAGCAAUAGCCAAAUAUGUGCAUCACUAUCACACUUUCAUUGUGGUUCAACAGCUCAACCAGAUAAAACAACGACAAGAAUCUGAGUUUCGAGCAUAACAUACAGAUGGAAUUGAAAAUGAGGGCAUUAAAUAUAUAACGCCUAACUGCUUAUUAGUAAAAUGAAGCAAGUGCAUGUACUGGAACUUCCUCUCUCAAUAUAGAGGCCCUCUGCAUUAGAAUGUCUCUCUGUGUUCACUGUUUGAACUACUCGCACUCUCCAAUCUGCUACCUUGAAAGCCAUUGGCAGGGCAGAGAGAAAAUGAAUGUUGAUAUUAUUAUUGAGAAAAUUUUAAUGCUUGUGAAUUCUUUUCACCAAAGCUAUGAUCUACUCUUGUUGAAUGAAUAUGUCAAGACCAUGCAGGAACACUGACCAGCCGCUCCAUUGUUUGCAACUGAAGAUAUGCAGCGAUCUGCAUCGACUAUAGGAAUUAGAUAGAGAAAAGAUGGUAAUGGUUAAUUGAUGAACGUGUCAUCUGAGUAAAUUCCUCCUUUACAAACUUCUCUGAAACAAUUCCAAUUACUGGUCAACCACAACAAAUAAGUACGUAAUACGUUCUAAUGCGACAUAGUAGAAAAGCAUUAAUCACCUGAUUAAAUCCGUCACAUGGCAUAGUUUCCCAUUGUUUGAAUUUCUUCAGGUUCGAUGUCUUCCGGUACAUCAGAAUACUGCAGUUUUCACUCCUGUCCAACCACCCUGAUGCAGACAAGUAGAAACGUCAAAAGGGUUUUUCUCGCUAAAUUCAACCACUAAAAGGAGUUCAUCUAUCUUCAUUGAUUUUGAGGGAUUUGAUGAGAGAACAACUGCAGUUAUACUCUGAAUCCUUAUGCUGUUAGACAUUUACUAGGUCAAAAGCUUUUGAAAUAACAAAGUUUUUUUAGUUGACCGAAUGGAUUUUGAUGAAGAAAUUCAAUGCUCCACUAGAAUCUACCAUGCCAGAUUACUAAUACUCAUGUUUCAGUUGAUAAGACAUUUGGUCAUUGAGAUCCAGCCGAGUCAAUUUAAACUAUCAUGUGAAGAUAGAAGGUAAGACUGAAGUGAAAAAAUGCUUGAACUUCAUGUGUGAGUACUUGGAUCAUAGAUAAUGGCAUGAAAGCUACUCAAAUCCACUUAACUAUGUUUUCAUAAUGUGCCCUUCAACCUUAGAUUCAAUUUAAAGGGUCAGAAAAGGUAUAGGCUUAGCCUAGUGGUCCAUUGUAGCUUUAAACUUAUGCUUGUCUUGAAGGGAAUACUUAACAAGCUACAUUAAAUGCAGCAAAACCAGCCUGAACAUUAUAAAUACAGGAUUAGCAUCUAUUUAUUUCCCAAGGUUAUGCAUUACUGUAUUGAAGUCGCAGCAAUAAAAACCUACAUAUCCUACUUUCCAUUUGCAAAACGAAAAAUAACGAAGGAAAGUCGUUAUACCGAACUUUGAUUGCCUUGGUGACUUCAUCACAGACGUUCCUUCUCACAGUUGCAGGGUGUAGAAAGAACUCCUUGUCUGAACCCAGAACCUUCACUUUGAUUGCCUUGAUGACUUUAUCAUAAUGACGGCUGUUGACAGUGGAAAGGAAGACGAAACUAUAAAUCAUUGGAAUAUGAUAGCCAAGAAUUGAAAAGAUAUGCAAUUUCUGAAAGUUAUUUCUUUAGUUUGAUCGUGGGAGGGAAGAUAAGCCUAAAAUCUCAGUAGAACAUGAUGAAUUAGGAAAGUUCUGAUCGUAUGAAUCUAAUUAGACACUCACACUGGAGUCUCGAAACACAGAGUACAUGCAGGAUUUACAGCUACAGUUGAUUUUGCCACACGUCCCGGAACAGUGCUGACAGACAGUAGUCCUGAUAAAAAAAAAUUAAAGAAUAGUACUUUCUAAUGAGAUAUAUCCACUCCAUUAAAGAUCCUACACCUAACUGCUUCAGCAAUCAAACAUGUAAAACCAUGAUUUGGAAAUACCCAAAGAAAAAUCUUUUCCAUUAUGAAAUUCAAUAUUCAGGGAAAUCACCACAAUGGAAUGAAACUGCAGGCCAUCCAUAUAUCAUAGUCAAACUUCUCAAAGCAACCCAAAAAUUUGUGGUCAAAUGUCAUGCGCUGAAAUACUGCAUCGUCACAACUGGAAAAUGGAGCACAACAAAAGGUUAUGCAAACCUACCUUGCAACUUAAAACUGCUAUAAUUUCGAGAUCAUCUGUAACCCUGGAGGAAGGCGACCUGUGAAAACAGGUUUUGCUGGCUCUGCUGACAUGGUUACUUUAACAUUCUUGACCCUAGGAAGAUUAACCGCCACCUCACUCACCUGCUGCUCAAACUUUCAAGCAGUACUUAUGUUGUUAAACUACUUUAGAAUCAGAAACCUGAUAUAUCAGGCAAAGACUCUUGUGAAACCAUAAUGAAGCAGAAAAAAUUUGCCUAGAUUAGCUCCUUGGAUACUUGGAAAUUGUACAUGCACAGAGAGAUUCAUGGAAGGAUGUCAAAAUGAGGUGACAAUGGUUUCUAAAAGUAAUUAAUGCACAAGAUAGAACAUUUAGUCCACUGAGCAUGUAUUUGGUGAUUGAUCAAGCAACUAAGGUUGUAUAAUUUACCAUGUCCUUGAUUGGACAUGCAUGUGUAGUGAGCUCUAACCGGAACAAUACUUGAGAAUCAAUGCCUAGACAUUGUAGGGUAAGGGUGUCAUUCCUUGCAGAUGUAUAAAGACUAAGAUCCCAUAUUGAUUCUUUAAUAACCUCUCCAAGAGCUUCAAUUGUCAGGAGGUCCUUAACAAAACCACAUGAAAAAGUCGGAUCAAUAAUUUGAGACAAGGCUUUAUUCCAGCUGUCUGAGCCGAAACAGCAGAAGUAUUGCUACAACUGCAAGAGCAGAUUCACAGAAUGAUGUCAAGCUUAUAGGAUGAACAACUAUUGUAAUAAAAAGAGAAAAAAUCUGAUGAGAAAAAGGGUGAAAACUUAGCAACAACUAACCAUUCAUUGACAGCACAUUAUAUUUGGCUUUUCAUCAAUUAAGAUUUUUAGCACUAAUAUCCUUCCGUAUCUCACUCAGGGCCAUUCAAAUUCUGUGUUGACAAGGGGUAGCCAAGAGUUGUUGGUUUGGGUGGGCUUCUCAAUAGUACAAGGCAUGUGUGCAAAAGCGUGCGCGCACAAACACAAGAUUGCUUUAAUUUUUUUUCUGUUGUAUGGUUUCUUGGCAAUUCCAAGAACCUAGUUUGACAGCAAGUCCCUUUUAUUAGGCCUAUAGGAUAAACCUCCAAAAUUAUCUUCAUGGCAGAACAUGUUGGUCAUCUUCGCAGGGAGUGUGAUAUCUAUUAGUUGAAGCAGAUCGAUAUGAUGGCACGAGCCAACGAUUUUACCAUAAAACCUGACCCAUUUUAUGGAACUCACAACUCAAUAAGUAGCAGAAUGUCAGCCCCAAACAACCAGUUGCAGAGAGAUGCAAAGAAUUGACCAUUGACAGCUCUGUAGAAAAACUUACUACGAUACAUUUAAUUGAAAAAAAUUCGAGAUAUUUGGCUUAAUAGAAAAACACUUGGCUGUAUCACCUGCACUCACUCCGCAAGAUCACUCUGUCAAAUUCUCAACAUUUCGUUGUAGGUUCUUGAAAAUAACUAUGAAUAACUGGGUUCUCAUAGCUCGGACAGAUAAAUAUUCAUAUAUAUAUAUAUAUAUAUAUCCAUUUGGGUAUAUCCCAAAUAAAACGGGCACCUAAUUAUCAAUGGAUUCGAACUAUUCAUGAAAUGGACCUUCUACUGAAGCAGCUUCAGCUGCAGACGAAUCUGAAACGGGCGGUUUGCGAGAUACCCACCGGGAGCCUUGAAGCCAUUGUCGCUGGAUAUAAGAGCUCGUAGUCGAUGCUUACAAAACAGAGUCUUACAACAGAAAGGCCCAGGUGAUGAAACAAGCAGUGGCAGUGUCGAUUAAAUGACCAUUGCAUGAAUAAGCGCUAAUGUUACCUGUGUCUGGUUGGACUUUUGAGCAGUACAAGGACAGAGAUGGAGAAGAUGGGCAGUGCAGGAGUUGCAUUUCCUAGAGAGAGAGAGAGCAAAGAGCCGAGAGAGCUCUUGCGGAAAAAGUGCGAGGUGGCAACUGCUUGUGAGCCUUACCGUUUCUGUUAGGAGAAGAAAAAGCGCGAGGCUUGUAUAAAUAAAAUAAGAAUUUGUUAAUUUUAAAGAGGAAAAUAGGAGACCUUUUUUCCAUCUUAAAAGAAGUAUGUUGCUUUGGACUCACAUCACACCACAGCACAUUUUUUCUUUACUUUUCUGACCGUAUUUUACAAAAUACUCAAUUGAAAACUAUAUAAAAAUCUACGUAUUAACAAUUGAGUAAUGUGAAAAUUAAAGUACAAAAGUCGCGUAAAUUAAAUUGAGUAAGAAAUAUAGUAAAAGUCAAUCCAUACAGAUUUUGUGGGUAUUAAUGGAUAUAAAUUAUGUACAUCUAUAUUUAUUUCUUAUCUAUAUAAUAAUACAUAACGUUUCUAAAAAUAACUUGUUUUAUUUAUGAAAUUCACGUCAAAAUCUAACUAUUAAAAGAAUAACUUAAGUUAUAGAUUCGUAAAUAAAUUAUAUUUGAUUCAACCGACAUCAAAGCUUUUUUCGUGUAUCUACUUCUCAUUAAUUAUCUUAAUUUAUGUAUACCUUGUUAUUUCCGUACUUAAUGCAUCUAUAUUACCAAGUAGGUAAAUACUAAAUUGAAUUGACAAAAAAAUGAGGAAAUCAACAUUAGAGUGCGAAAAAGGUUCGAUUGAAAAGUACGUUAAAUUAAUCACGGAGGAAAGUACCAAAAGAAUCAUAAACUUAUUGUAUUGGUAUCAACUUAGUCAUAAACUAUUCAAUUGGAUUAAUUCAAUUCUAAACUUUUCGCAUUAGUAUCAAUUUAGUCCUAAAUAUUAUAAUUGAACCAAUUUAGUCAUAAACAUUUUUACAAUGAUACCAAUUUAGUCGUGCUAUUUAGACGUAAACCUCGGGAGAAACUAGCACAAGACCCCACCACCAUGACUCUCCGCUUAAGACGUGUUAACAACGCAGAGAUUUGAACUCGUUCCCUCGGUGAUGAAGUAGUAAAGCCCAACCAAAUACGCUGCCCACUGGUGGAUAAAAAUUCUGACUUUUUAUGCACUUAGCAAUGGAUAAAAUUUAUCUGGGUGAAGUUACAAGAGAAAAAGGUAAAUAACAAUGCAUCUUUCAUUGAUAUAAUAAAGAACACUUAGGAUGUAUUUGGUACCCAUUAUGUUUUCGAAAAUAAUUUUUGUUUAGAAAUGAUUUUUUUUUAUUCUGUCCCUUGAAUGAGUUUCUAAGUAUUCGAAGGCGUUCGGUAAAUGCACAAAAUUUAUAUUCUUAAAUAGAAAUGUAUUUAGUAUGACCCUCAAGUUUUUUUUUGUAACUUAGAACUUCUUUUAAUUUUUUAAUAAUUUUAUUGCAUUUUUUCUCUUUUUUCCCUUUUCUUUUUUUUUUUCCUCUAGUCGUCGCUGGCCCCUGGUAAGGCUUGGCCGCACCUUGGCUAAGCGAGGCUCGGGUCGACAAGGCUCCAGCGACUGACUAAGGGAAGAAUAAGGAGAAGAAGAUAAGGAAAAGAAAAAAGAAAAUGCUUGAUUUUAAGACUAUUCUCGAGAAUAAAAAAAGUAACUUUUUUUUAAAUUGUUGAUUCUAUUCCAAAUCUAUUCUUAAGAACAAAAACGUUACCUAAUGGAUUUUUAUUUUUAUUUUAUUUUUUGUUCCAAGAAAUAAAAAAAAUAUAUAAUUAGAACUUUUGAUACAUUAUCAAAUAGAUUCUUAGUAAUUUUUUUGUGACAUUUCAAUUUUUUUUAAUAUAGUUGCUGGGUAUUUAAUCAUCCCCCUUUUCAGCUUUUUGCAGGCUAUUUAUUUUUAAUUAUAAUGCUUUGCCACGUGUAAAAAAUUGUGAGUGGUCUAAUUGGAUAGUUAUGUGCUACGUCCGUGGUUAACAAGACGCUUUGGUAUCACUGACCACUGAACAUUUCCCCGACAUUCUUGGACACCAUCUGCCAAUAUCCUCUUUGUGCACUCAUCUCGUCCUGUCCACUUUCGGCGACAUACCAUGAAAUGAUUGAUUUCGUUGAUGUUGUCCUCAAUUUCUCCCGUGAUUUGUCUGGUUUUCCAACAGAACACAGCAAAAGGUGAACUAAAGUGAAAAAGAAACCAUUAUUUAUGACUCAACAAGGUUCCAUUCUGAUUUACAGGUAUGUACCAUACAACACCGCACCCAAGUAGACCGAUAGCUGCACAUCCGAAUACCGGAAGAUGUCUAAUGACAGACUGAAAUAUCGGCGUCUCCAUUAUUUACCACCCAGUCGAUGCAAGCAACGACGGUGCGGUUUUUCCACGGUCAAACAAAAGUAAAGAGAAGGCUGUCCCCAUCCAUUGCAACAGAAUUCUUGAAACUUGACCACGCGACUACGUGUGAAGCAAAGAAGCUCAAAGUGGAGAAGAUAGGCGACCUUUAAUAAAAGUUCGCCUCGAAUCCAUCGGCAAGGCUUAAGUGCCAUCGGAUGGAGGCAAAGUGGCCGGGCCAUUCACAUUUAACGCCACCAUUGUCCUUGUUCCAUUCAUGCCUGCAGGUCGCAAGUCUUCAUCUUGCAGGACAUCGGGGAAACGAAAAAUUCUCGAUAUUGCGACUCCUAGGCGGAUGAUAUGGAAGGCUAUGCAGUUGAAAUAGCGCAUAUUUACCACGAAAGGAACGUACAUUGCCAUGUACAGAGCACAGAUAUGGUAUAGGGCAAUAGCUCCAAUCAACAGGACAAGAGAGGCGAGCCAGGUGCAUUUGCUUACGAGCACAUAGCCACCAGCCAUAAAUGCUACGGACAUUGUUCCGAGAGCUACCAACAGCCAUUUUAUUGCAAUUAUAUGGGCAGUUAGAGCAACGUAAGAGUCAUUCAAUUGUGCCCAAGACAACAUGAUAACCACACCUAUGGCACUGUACAUUGCGAUGGUGUUGCAAAUGACAAAUGCCUGGAACAUAUGCCUGUUCAGCAGUGUAGCCGUUCCCUGGUUAGGUUGAGAACUCUCAACGAAACCUCCAGGAACCGCAAAACCAGCUGCAAAGGUCACGGUUGCCACUAGCGUGGCGACGAUAGUUUGAGCAUUUGCCUGUCCCCUCAAUAUACCUCCGGUUUGGAGAGCAAGGACUGUAAAUUCCGCCAUAAUUUCUUGAUUUCUUGACUUAUAGAUAGCCAAAUCUUUACUUGUAGGUGCCCCGGCAGAUUUCAAAAUCAUUGAGGGUAAUCUCUAGGAAUGGGCCAAACAAGAAUAAUGCGGGGUUACUGUAAUUGGAAGCUGUCGUACAUACCGCAUGAAGAUAGAAGAGAUUCGCUUGAUUUUGGAGUUCCUAGUGAGUGAGUGCAUACCUUUUGAAGCGUAGUAUCCGUUCUUUUGAUUUGCUCUGUCGCAAUGUCAAGAGCCGUCAAGCAUUCGUUGUUGAGAAGCUUGCAAUCAACUCUUUUGUCCAGCACGAGAUCAAGCAGAACGACGGGGUGCCACGGCAAUGUGGCCAAAUGCAGAGGAGUGUUCCCGUCAUUGUCUCUCUCGUUGAUGAGCUUCUCUAGGUUGGCAUUCCCAAGUAUGUACCUCAAUGCCCGGAUUCUUCCAUGCUUGGCGCAGAUAUGAAGGNNNNNNNNNNNNNNNNNNNNNNNNNNNNNNNNNNNNNNNNNNNNNNNNNNNNNNNNNNNNNNNNNNNNNNNNNNNNNNNNNNNNNNNNNNNNNNNNNNNNCCACUGCCGAAGCAGCUCCUUUCAUUGCUUCAACAUGACCCUCUUUACAAGCAACGUGAAUCGGAAAAUGGCCGUCUCUAUCAUAUUCAACUGCACUCGAGGUGAAUUCUCUAAGUAGGAAUUUGAUGCCAUCACAGUAAUUGAUAUAUGCUGCCAAAUGAAGGGGAGUGCCUCGUCUAUCAUCUUUCAACUCAAACAAUCGUCGAUUUCUCCCACAUAUUUCCUGUAAACAUGCCUAGAUUAAGUGCAAAAUAAAACCAUGUGAAUAUUAAAUCACGCAUUCAUUUAACAAAUUAUUUUUUUAAAUAAUUGAUAGUGAUCCAAUAAAAUUUCACAUGAUUUUAGAGUACGAGAUCCUAAAUUCAAAUUUAUCUAGAUUUCUCAUUUGCCUCCCUAUAUAGUUACACAUUUUAAUCUUAAGCCAAAGUCUAAUCUUGCUUAAAGAAAAGUACUAAAUCAUUUAAAAUAUACCUGAAAAAAAAAACCCUAUACCUUCAGCUAAUAGCUUAAAUAUCUAAAACAAUUGAUAGUAGUCCUACACAAUUUCACAUGAUAUCAGAGCCACAUUCCGCCUUAGUUUGUGUGUGAAGCUCCCUAUUCAUCAAUGCCAUGUCUCGCUCUCAAACCAAUUUGCACGUGGGCCUAGUAUUCAUAUAAUCUCCCUUCACCUAUAAUUUAAAGUUUUAUAUUGAAAGAUUUAACAUUGUAUUAAAGGAGGAGGUGUGAGCUCCAUGUGUUUAUUUUACACUUUAAUCUAAGAUCAAAUUCUAACUUAUGUGUGAAGAAGAGUGUUAAAUCAACUAAAUAUUAAAUCACGUAUUUACUUAAUAGCUUAUAAAAAUUGAUAAUGGUUACAAAAUUUCACAUUAAAUUUUUGAAAAACAAAAAAGGUUAGUAUUAGAUGAGAUAUAUCUCUCCAUGUCUUCCUCUUCUUCCUUGCCCUCUCCCACUCUCGAUCUCACUCAGCAAGAGCCCUCCACUCCCUUUGUCGGUGCCAUUCCACUUGUUGCUGUCAUUGUCUAGGUCCCUCCAUCAUCUUCGCCAUCACUCCACCUUGGUCAUCUCUCUCUCUAGAUGGUCAAUUCAAUAAAUCCGACUAAUUUUAACCAGAAAUCACUUAAAUAGAUGCCAACCAUUUUACGUGACAUGAUCGAUGCUAACGUAUAUAAUUUUUAAUAAUAUUUUACUAGUUUUUUUAAAUUACUUAUUUAUUUAUUCUUUUUUUUUUGGUAAGAGGGACUUAUUUAUUUAUUCUUUUCUUUUUCCUUUUUAUAUUUUCUUCCUCUUUCUUUUUUCUCCUUCUCUUCUUCCUCUAGCUAGUCCCUAGACUGAGGGCUAGAGAGAUUGACCUCGUUGGCCUUGAGUGAAGCUCGCCUCCACCGACCACUGGCAAGGACGAGCCUCGCUCUCUCCUAGCAAGGCUCGACAUCACCGUUGCCUGCCACUAGGGAGUCUUGCCAAGUGAUGGCUCUGAUGAGCCAUGAGAUCUAGCAGGUUUCCUGCCUCUCUUCCUAUAGCCCAACAAGCAGAGCUUUUUUUGUCGAACAACAAGCAGAGAUCAACCCUUGCUUCCUAUUCACUCCAAUCUUCGCACUCUGACGAGCUGUGAGAAACACAUGAACAAUGCAACAACAGAACAUGAACCCCAAAAUUGUCAUCCACAUCCAUUACCUAGCAAGUGAACUUAAAAGGGUGAGUGAAACAAGCCAUCAUUUCAGUGUAUUCAACUUCGAUUUGAUGGCAACGGCUUGUCGUCACUAGGCAACCCUGGGUAGAUUUGGCAAGUUUAAACCUCACCCAAUGUGAGGUCAAGGCUUGUCAAGAGUGGACAAGCUUUGCCUGGCUGGUUGGAGACUAGCUAGAGGGAAAAGGAAUAAAAAAAAGUGACAAAUGGAAAAAGACAAGAAAAAUUGAAAAAAUAUUAAAAUAUUAAAAUAUUAUUAAAAAUUAUCAACGUCAAUGCCCACUACGUCACGUAAGAUGGGCGGUGUCCAUAUAGUGAUUUCUAACUAAAAUUGAUCAGAUUGGAUUAAAUUGANNNNNNNNNNNNNNNNNNNNNNNNNNNNNNNNNNNNNNNNNNNNNNNNNNNNNNNNNNNNNNNNNNNNNNNNNNNNNNNNNNNNNNNNNNNNNNNNNNNNCCUUAAGAUUUUUGGGUAAAUUUUGCCAUGAUCAAAUGUAGAGAGAGAGAGAGAGAGAGAGAGAGAGAGCAAUGAACGCCGGUGGUGGAUGGCAGCCUAUGGAGCAUUGGAGACGGCAACGUACACUGACGGAGCUUUAGACGCGCCGCCAUGCGAAGGUGGAGAAGAGAGGAAGAGAGAGAUAGGUGGGUGGGCAAUAAGGAUUAUUCCUUUUCUCUUAUUAAAUAAACUUAUAUAUGGAUAACCUCAUGUCAUGGUUGGCGUACUAGUUUGAGAAGCUGGGGAAUAUUCAGCUCAUGACUAGAGGCUAUCCAUUCAUAUCCUACCAGCUAUGAAUAAACUAUUUGACCUUAGGACCAUAUACACUGGUAAAAGAUUUAGACUUAACCGAUUUGUGAGGCUUAUAAGGUGUUUCAUUGGCCUCUAGGUAAUCAGACCUCUAUGCUCAUGCCCUAGGUUACAAAAUAAAAAAAUUAUGUAUAGAUGAUAUGCUUAUUUGUAACACGUAAAUUAAAAAGAUGGUAACGGGAAAUUUAAUUUCAUAUGGAACAAAAUAUAACAAUCAAAGAACAAGGCAAGGGAAAAAAGUAAGGCAGGCAAUCCAUGUUGUGUCGUAUUAAUUAUGUCAUAUCAAAAUAGGAGUAUAUCAAGAAUAUGAUUAAUCCAAACAUGACAAGUAUAAUAAACGUAUUGAAUUGCCUCAAUACGAACACGACAAACCUAAUAAAGCAAGUUGUAUGAUACAAUUAACAUAAUUAUCAAACUAUGUCAUUAUGUCAUGUAUUUACACUACAAAUAUACGUUAACCUUUGGUGUUAAUGUGUACAUCAUAAAGCUAAACAUGUUUAUACGUGAUAUGCCAAUUUAACAUGUUUAACACGCUGGUAAAUAAAUAACCGUUGUUCCACUUCACAUUACAUCUAGAGUUUAUUAAUGAGUUACCCUUUGUCAUCUUGUAUAACUUCUGCAUCCCUAAUGUGUUUUCAUCACGCCCUUUAUUCUUUUUAAAAUGGAUCUUACUUUUAUAAUCUUUUAAUAAUAAAAAUGUUAUUGGAGAUGAGUAUAAGGUGUUAAAACUUAGUCUUGUUUAAAAAGCCAACACACUAGCACUUUAAUUUAGAUGUGUGGGCUCGUGUCUGAACGGGUUCAGCAAGUAAUACGAAUUUUAUUGGGUCGUGAACGCGAAAACAUAGACCCAUUUAUGCCAAAUCAUUACUUGUUUGAUUGCGUGAGGUCUCGUAAGCGAAUGAUGCUGAGAAUUGCGAAGAGUAGAAAUUACCUAGUUUGCCGUGUAAGACAGCCGCAUGAACGGGCGACACGCCUUGAAUCCUUGAUGGAUCCAGCGGCACUGCCAACAGAAGCUUGAGAACCUCCAAGUCGCCACUCUCGACGGCCAGAUACAUCGGACAUUUACCUUGCUUGUUCUCCAAAUAUAUGGGUCGCAGGUCCUCACCUAUCAAGAUCCGAGCCACGCCAAGGUGGCCGUUCACAACGGCCUCAUGCAGGGGGGUGUUUCCCCUCUCAUUCUUCACUUGAACGAGAGCCCGCCGCAUCUCGCACCCACCAACGUCCGAUGCUCGGCCAAUGAGCACCCGGGCCGCGGGGGCCCUUCCGGUCCUGGCGGCCAAGUGAAGUGGGGUGUCUCCCCUGCAAUUUUUCCCGGCCACAGCCUGGUCGGGAAAGUGGCUGAUGAUGGCUCUCAGGAUCUCGUCUCUCUCGAGGCCCGCAGCGACAUGGAGCAACGAAUUUCGGGAGGGGCUCAGAAUGGCCCGCAGGCACAGACGUAGAUUGCGCUCGGAACAGCAACGUUCUACGACUCGGACGAAUUCGUCCGCAUCGCCUUGUUUUGCAGCAGUGAAUAGCUCCUGGGUCGUGGUCUCAUCGCACGAGACGGAGUCUUGCGUCAACAUCGCUUCCAAUCUCUGCAGCCCGUGUCUCCAGAAAGCACUCUCUUGCAUACUUAUCUCUACGGCCAUGACUUAUUGGUCUGAGGAAUGCUCUAACUUGGACUCGUAUGCAAUAACGAGCGUGGAGAGAGAAGUGAGCGAGCGCCAGAGCAGGGGCAGCCUUGAUGUGCUUCGUCAGCGACGGCAAGGGUGGUCAUCCUUGCUGACCUGCGCUAGGACCUACUUGAGGUUAGUGUGGAGGGCGUUGGUGGUGGCGUCGUUGGCCCGGGCGAGGUCCCUCCAAAUCUGGCUCUGCAUGAACAGCAACUUCGCCUGCUCCUCCAGCACCGAGUUGAGCUUCCCAAUCUUCUAGAUCUCCUCUUCCUUGGCUGGAGCAGGGGCGGCCAUAAUGUGCUUUGUCGGAGACGGUGGGGGAACAGCCACUUGACAAGUGCCAGAGCAACAACAAGCGUGAAGAGAGAAUUUGGGAUUCAAAAUUUGAAAGCCUUCAUCGAGGAGAAAGAAAUUGUUCGAGCUCUUGGAGGGAAAAUUUAAAGGGUUUGCUUCUCUUUCCUUCCUCCGGGAAGGAAAAAGUAAGAAGGAAAAAGUAAAUGUAUUGCACAAGAGACAGAGAGGAGGGAAGGAGGCUAGGGAGAGGAGAGAGAGGGAAGAAGCCUACUUUGUGCAGAAGAUGUCCAUGCCUCCAUGUGGUGCUUCAUAAAUGACCAAAGACCACUCUGACUUGGCGUUCCGGGACCACCCAAUAUUUUCUCAUUGGAGUUUAGUGGAGCAUCAAAGCAUGAGAGCCAUUAUUUUAUACAAGGGUAUGCAACCGAACUGGUUAUACUGGGAAAUUGGACCGGUCCACCCAGAAAAUAGGGUUGAGAACUAGUUCUCAUUGGAACCGGUCCGGGAACGGGUUCCCAAAAUUUUGAACCGGUUUAAACCGGUCGAAAAUCAGUUCUGAGUGAAUACCCACCCGGGAAUCGAUUUUUUAAGCAAAAGUCCAAAACUCUAUUUUCCCCCAAUUUCUAUUUUUACUCUUAUAGUCGCACGACAUUUUUCCUCUUGGCUCUCUCAGACGCACGCAACACUCCUCCUUCGUCAUUCCUCCUUCUCGCUCGCUUCUCUCCCUCGUCGGCUUACUGGCUCGCUGUUGCCCAUCGCCAGCUCACCGUUGCCCAUCGCCGGCUCCCUCUCGCACCUUCUGUUGCUACCAAAUUCCUAUGAUCCGAUUCAUAUUAUUGCAAAACCAAUAGGGCAAGACCAACCUCACCAAAUACUGUGUCCCCCUUGAGGACUCCGAGAAGCACAAGGUCAAGUAUGAGUUAGCCCCUCGUUUGCUCGAUUUUCCGCUCGUUCCUUGUUUCUCAAGGCUGAAUUGGCAUUUUGCUUGGCUCCAAUCUUUGUCUUCUCUUAUGUGUGUGGUUUGAUGGAUUUCUAGGUUCAUCGAUUGGUGGUCAACAAAGAUCCCAAAUUCACCAAUUUUGUCGAGGUUAGGAAUUUUCGAUAUUUUCUAUCUCAAAUUUGUUGGUCUCUUUUAUGCAGAUGCGCCGUUAGUGCACGUUAUACGGAUUUUUCCCAUUGAUUAUUUUGUCAAUUGGUGAAUUUUCGCUUAGCCACUCUAGAAUUGGGUGUCGACCUCAAUCUUCCCCUGAAAUGCUGCCGUGACGCAGUAACACCAUUCCCAACUUGGGCUAUUCUUGGUCAAUUGGGCAUGUUUUUUUUCCUUUGUCUGGUACGGACAUGCCACAAGAAGGUGGCAAAUUAGGUUCUCUCCCAUCUCUUUAAGCUGGUUACAAAUUAAGGAAUCACCUAUCAAAGUAUAGAGGAAACGAGUGUUGUAGAGAUAGAAGAAGUUCCAUUCUUUACUCAACCAAAUCAGCUGACCGUUGCUCGGGAUUCCUCCCUUUACAUCGAGAGCCAACGCAUGUAGUAUCUCUUCAAGGAUCUCAAGAUCCAAUUGCCGGCAUUAAAGCCCGAUUGAAUGCAAAAGAAUUUCGUACAUGUUAACAGCUUCUUGAUUGAACAAAAGAAGUAGUCACCAUCUAUAAUCAUCCCGAGAGGGAGAUCGAGAGAGUCCCAUGAAAUGUGAGAGUUUCUUACAGUAUUGUGGAAUCAAUGGAAAAUCUAGAUUGAUUUGCUAGAAGGAAUUAGUUAUUCUUUAAGUGCAACCAUUUGUCUCAUGUAUAAUUUUUUUUAGUAGAAUCCUAACAUUGUUGUAUAAUUUGUUUUCAGUGGAUGGAUCAAGACAAAAACAUAUCAACGGAAGUGGAUGGACAUAAUGAAAUGAGUCCGCUCAUGAAAUUGCCAUUCCAUGGAGCUGAUGAAGUGGAAUCUAUGACCGUAAGUGCGAUAAAUAAUGUGAGGGUACCUAACUCUUGUCCUCUUCAGAUAAAAAAACGAGCUAAUCAAUCAAAAGGCUUUGGAUAAUUUUUCAAGAAUCAUAAAUGAGAAAACACAUAAAACAGUUAGGGUGAAGUGCAUUCAUUGUGGGAUUGAGUAUGUAUAUAAUGUUGAUCAUGGAACAUCUACCAUGUGGAAGCACUUAAGAAAGUGGAAAAAGUAUCAUCAUACAGAUAAAUAGCAAAUGUUGUUUACACCAUGUAACAAAGAUGUGGCUAGCGAGGUAGAGGAAAAUACCACUUGUGGUGGUAGCAUCUUAACGAUAUGGAAGUUUGAUCAAGAACGUUGUAGGCACAUGCUUGCUCGGAAAAUUAUUAUUGAUGAACAACCAUUUUCCAUGGUUGAGCGUGUUGGUUUUCGUGAUUCUAUUACUGAAUUACAACCUUUUUUCCAACAUCUUUCAUAAUUUACGGUGGCUAGAGAUUGUAUGAACUUAUAUUUAAGUAAAAGAACUUAUUUAAAAGCUUACUUUGGUAAGCUUAAAUCUAGGAUUUCACUUAUGACGGAUAUGUGGAGUUUCAUUCAAAACUUGAACUAUUUAUGUUUCGUUGCAUAUUUUAUUGAUUUAAAUUGAUAGUUGCAUAAAAUAAUUAUCAAUUUUGUGAUGAUGCAUAAUCACAAUGGUAGGGAGAUUGGGAAAAUGGUGGAGAAAUGCAUUUGUAACUGGGAAAUAGAAGAAAAGGUGUCCACAAUGAUUGUAAAUAAUGCUAGUUCAAAUGAUGUAGCCGUUAGUUAUUUGAAGGAAAACUUUUCAAGAGAAGGGUUUUGAUUUUGAAUGACAAUAUUUUACAUAUGAGGUGCACUACUCAUAAACUUAACUUGAUAGUAAGAGAUGGAUAGAAUGAGGUGCGUGAUUCCAUUGCAUUUAUCCGAAACAUAGUGAGGUAUGUGAGGAGUUCUCUUGUAAGAGCCAAGACAUUCCAAUGUUGUAUUAAAAGUGAGAGGAAUGCAUAUAAUGGUUUGGUCUAUCUUGAUAUUGCCACUAGAUGGAACUCCACUUACAUGAUGUUAGACGCCGUCAUAGAGUUCGGGAAAGCUUUUCAAAGGAUGGAAGAAGAUGAUUUAUCUUUUUUAAGGAAGAUUGACAAUGAUUCUCCUCAAGAUGAAGAUUGAGAAAAUGCCAUCAUUCUUUCUAAAUUUCUAAAAUGGUUUUAUGAUGCAACCAAAAUGAUGCUAGGGAGUUCAUAUAUUACUUCAAAUGAUUAUUUUGAAAGUAUAACUAUGUUGUAUAAAUAUUUGAAUAGUGCGACGAAUUCUUUGGACCCAAAGCUUUAAGCUAUGGGCAUAAAAUUAAAGAAGAAGUUUGACAAGUAUUAUGGGAGUUUAGAUACAGUAAAUAUGAUGGUGUUGAUUGUAGUUGCAUUGGAUACUACAAGGAAGUUGAAUUAUGUAAAGUUCUAUUUUCAACAAAUUUAUGAUGGUAAAGCGAAUAUUGAUGAGAUGUAUGAUAAAGUGAAGGUUGCCUUGGAACGUUUAUACAAAUUUUAUGAGCAAUUUUUUAUUAGUUCUUCUAGUAAAGAAAAUUUUGGUAGUUCAAGUUUGAGUAAUAAUAGUAGUGCUUUCAAUGUUGAUACUAAUGACAAUGAGUGUGAAUUCAUGCUUGGCAUAAAAGCUUUCUCCACUCGACAAAAAGAGUGUUGGAUGAAAAUAAACUCGAGUUGGAUCGAUAUCUUGAAGUUGAAAGUGCAAAUGUCCUUAAUCUCGAUAUUUUGAUGUGGUGGAAGAGUAUUAGGUCAAAGUAUAAAAUUUUAUUUUUGAUGGCUCAUGAUUCUUUGUCUAUUAUUGUGACUAUAGUUGCUACAAAGUCGACUUCUAAUACAUUGAGACAUGUACUUGACAACUUUCAAAGUUCUUUGACUCCUAGAGUGGUGGAAGGUUUGAUGUACUCAAAAUUGGUUGAGAGCUAUUCGCAUGUCGAUUAAUAUUGAAGAGUACAUCAACAAUGUGGAAAAGUUUGAGGUGAGUAAGUUGUAUAUAUAUAUUUUUUCUAUCUUGUAAUUCAUUCGCCUAACUAUCUAUCGAGUGAAUGUUUUAUUUAAUCUCUUUCUUGGUUUUCAGAUUUGAAUUGUCUUACGAGGACAUUAUCAUUGAAAAAUAGACUUCAUUUUGUGGAAACUAUGGAAACUCUACCUUUGUGGUAAGUUAAUAGACUUUAUUAAAACAUAACUUUUGCAUAUUUCACUAUGGUUUCUUGUUGAUUUUUCUUUAUGUAUGAGUUUCAGGUCUUUGUCAGAGAUUUUGUACCACGUGGAUUGUCUCGCCUAAUUUCAUUUUUGAAUGAGGAGUUAUGCUGAUUUCGCUUUUGUAGGAGUUAUGCUUACAAUAAACAUUUGUUAACCGUUUUAGAUAAAUAAACAGCUUUAUGUAGUAGUUGUGGGAAUGAGACUAAUAUUAGACUCAUGUUUGUUGUAAUGUUUAUGCAAUGUUAGGAUUUUUGCUUUGUCUUAUGAUUUUGUUUAUGAUAAUUAGCCUUAUGAAUCCUUACUUUUUCAUUUAGUCAAAAAAAUUCAUGUACUUAUUGAUUACAAGUGCUUAAUAUUUCAAUUCAAAUUAAGAUGAUUACCUUAUUUUCUUGCUUAUUAAUGUAAAAUUCAAAGCCAUAUGGGAUGUUGGGCAGUUGCAAAACAGGUUUUAGUAGAAACAUGAUUGACCUUGGAACCAGAUCGGAAAAAUAUGAUGGUUUGGGUAUAGGAUGGUCCAAUGCAAACAUGGUUGGGUACAAUGUUCGAAAAAGGAGAACCGGUUAUAAUAAAGUCGGGCACAGGGUUCAGGUCUAGAACUUACCCACCCUGGACCGACCACCUCUACUUCUAUACACAAUGAUGGAGCCCACCAAGGCCAAAUGACCACCUCUGUGCAAAGUAAUAAUGUCCUCCUGCUUUUUCUAAAGCUACUUUUCCCCCUUAUUAGGUUAUAAUACAAUAUAAUAAAGUGCAUUGGACUAUAUUUUUGUCAUAGGAAAAUGUUUUUUCUAACGUGGAAUAUCAUAGCGUGGGUCAUCAAAAGUCAUUUCAUAUUAGGAGUGUGAUGAUCAUCUGAUUCUUGCUUUUCAUAUUCCAUUAAGUCCUGACCAAUUGAGUUCACAAGACAAUCAUUACUAGGGUUAAAAAGAAAUUAGGGUCCAGUCUCCCCUAUACUGUUCAUAAGUGCCUCUUGAGAAAAUUGUAGAAGUCAAUCAUUCAAAAUGCAUGAUUUUGAGGCAUUUUACCUUGAAAUUCGAUCUUAUUUGACAUCUUAAAACUAAAUUGUACAUUACUCAAACAUUACACUUCCAAAUCAUAUGUGAUUUGAUAUAAAAUAAUUUAAGAAUCUCAUUAAUUUAACACCAAUGAAAAUAGUUCAGAAGCGGCAAUGUUCCUUGGACAAAGUCAAGGACUUACUUGGACAAAUGGAAAGAUUUGGGACAUCAUAACAUGUAAACAAACGGUGGUGAAUUUUUUAAGAGGGGGCUUGAGAUAAACAACGACCAAUGAAGAUAAAUUUGUACUUCUUGCCAAGGUAGAGAUUUGUUGAUUAUGGCCCAAAGUUGUUCUCGUUUGAAUUGGAAUCAACAUGAGUUUGACUUGAUGUUUCUGGACACUCGACGUGUUUGUGGGGGCCGAUGUCCGAAAUCAUGUGAGCAAUUUGGUGAAGCUGAUAAAAAAAGACCAAGAGAUAUUAGUCUGAUACUUUCCAAUUGUAAUUGAUUACUGUACCUGAAAAAUGCAGAUAAUGCCGAACAAGGACUCGGAGAAAACAGGGAAAAGAGACAAGACUCCCUAAGUCUUCGUCUUCUCCUUAUUUAUCACGGAAACUUCUGUUAAGUGUGAAAUGAACCCAAGUGAUGCAGGUUUUGUUUGAAGUGAGCAUGAGAACGCGGAGACAAAUAGUAGAUUCACCAUUGUUUAAUCUGUUAAAUAAAAGCUCCAAAGAACAUUGAGCCAAUUGGAAGACGACCUGUCAUAUGUUUUUUUUUUUUUUUUUUUGGUCGUAACCUGUGAUAUGUUUGACAAGUUAAACAUCAGCCAAUGCAUUCCAAGUCUUUGCUGGAGUCCAUGUUCUUUGUAAGGUGAGAUGGUGAUGGAAGUCGCUCAAAGUUGUGAAGAACUAAUAUAAAAAGACGAGACUUCUUUUGAGCCUAAUAAUGUUUCUUUUCCUCAAUUUUUUCGCUUCUUAGUUAGAGGCUUUCCGAGUUUGAAUCUCUCUCUGUUCACACUCUCCAAUCUGCUACCUUUACUCGAAAGCCAUUGGCAGGCGCGCAGAGAAAUUGAUGCUGAUCACUAUUCUCGAGAAAAUUAUAGUGCUUGCCAAUUUUUUUUCUUACUGAAGCUGUGAUCUACUGUAGUUGAAUGAACGUGUAAUGGCCGUGCAGGAACACCGACCAGCCGCUCCAUCGUUUGCAACUGAUUGUAUGUGGCAAUCUGCACCGACUAUAAAACUUAAAUAUAGAAAAAAUGGCAAUGGUUGNNNNNNNNNNNNNNNNNNNNNNNNNNNNNNNNNNNNNNNNNNNNNNNNNNNNNNNNNNNNNNNNNNNNNNNNNNNNNNNNNNNNNNNNNNNNNNNNNNNNCAUGCCAUCCGAGUAAAUCCAUCUUUGCAAACUUUUUCUGAACCAAUUCCAAUUACUGGUCAACCAUGACAAUGAGGGACGUAAUUCAUUUGAAUGUGACAAAGUAGAAAAGCAUUAAUCACCUGAUUAAACAUCAGAAUACAAUUGUUUUUGCUCCCCGGUCCAACCACCCUGAUGUGCAUAAGUAGAAUCGUCAAAAGGAGUUUUCCAGCUGAAUUCAAUUACUAAAGGAGCUCAUUUAUCGUCAUCAAUUUUGAGGGAUUAGACGAGAGAACAACCGUGUAUAUACUCUGAAUCCCCAUGCUAUUAGACGUUUACUCAGGUGUCGACUGACUAUGUUUUAUCCCAAAACAACUGUUUGACUGAUUCUGGAUGCUUCCACAAAAAUACCUCCCUCGCACAACCGUUCUUCAUUGUAGUUCAUCGCGCCUCCAUCUUCUUACGCAGUGUUUUCUACGAACCUACCUGAGUUGAUUCGUGGGAAUUCUUCAAAUGCAUGAGAACUCGAGCCUAAAGCAAGAGAGGCAUUCUUCUAUACGCAAUGAUGGAGCCCAGCAGGAAUUGAAAAAAACAGUUGAACGACAACCUGAGGAAAUGUAAUAAUGCCCUCACUUUUCCUAAAAGCCACCUUUUUUUCUACCCUUAUUAGGUUGUUGUAUAAUGAUAUAAAGUGUGUUGGACAAUACUUUCGUCAUGGAAAAACAGAUUCUCUGAUAUGGAAUAUGAGAGAGUGGAUCAUGAAAAGCCGGUUCAUGUUGGGAUUGUGAUGAUCAUCUGAUUCUUGAUUUUCCAAUUCCAUUAAGUCAAUUAACUUCACAAUACAAUCAUUAUUAGGAACAAUCAAUCCUGACAAUAAUUGAAAAAAUUAAGAUCAAAUCUCUCCUAUGCUGUUGAUAAGUGCGUCUUGAGAAAAAAGGCUGAAUUCAAUCACUCAAAAUGCAUUGUUUUAAGGUAUUUUACCUUGAAAGUCAACCUGGUUUGGCAUCUUCAAAAGUAAAUUGUACAUUACUAAAGUAUAACAGCUCCGAUUCAGAGAUGAUCAAAUAUGAAACAUGCCUUGUAGCAAAAGGAUUCAAUAACCUUAUCAAGUGAAUGCACUCCCUUUAACUCGGAAGAACAGCGGCUAUGCAGGUCAAAGCAUUAAAAGAAGUAAUGCUUUUUCACUAUCUUCCAAGGUUUGUGGCAGUACCUGAUUCAAGUGCAGCCAUUUUUGGAGCAGUAUCUAAGACUAAUGCUCUGGAAACUGGAGAUUAAACCUCAGCUUCACCAAUUGUGAGAGAGAGAGAGAGAGAGAGAGAGAGAGAGAGAGAGAGAGAGAGAGAGAGAGAGAGAGAGAGAGAGAGAGAGAGAGAGAGAGUGAGUGUGUCCUUGCGUGUGUAAUAUAAUUGUUUAUUUGAGAGUAACGAUUCAAGUUGACGGAUAAUGGAUAAUGGCACCUGCCAAUGUUCUACAUGUAUUUUAGCUAUUACAUCGUUUCCACAACUUCACUCGAUGUCGAAUGAAAUUUGAGGGAGACGUGACCGCUUGUUCCAUCCUCCAAGACCUCGGAGUUUAUCGAGCUCUUUAAUGUAGAAAUAGUUGCGAUUUUUCUCUUACCUUCAAAUUCACAUACCAUCUUGCUUUGUGGACUAAGAUCUCGAGAUAAAUCGGUGAGCAGUCGAUGAAUGAAUCAAAAGGAACCCCCUGGUGGGGUUUUCUUGGGCAAUAAUCUCGUGCAAAAAUGCUCGUUUUGACAGGGGUUUCUCUCUUCCAUUCUUCUCUCUUUCAUACUGCUUUUACCCUUAGUUGUAUGGCUGCCUAUGCCCGCUCUUUUCGAUUCACAUCAUAGCACAGCAAUACAUGGGAAAUUUCUGCGAAGCGCAAAUCUAUUCUUCUCUCUUUCACACUGCUUUUACCGUUGCUUGUACUGCUGCCUAUGCUCGCUCUUUUCGAUUCGCAUCUUAGCACAGCAAUACAUGGUUUCUGCGAAGCCCAAUUCUAUUCUUCUCUCUUUCAUACUGCUUUUACCCUUCUUAGCACAGCAAUAUAUGGGACAUUUCUGGAAGCACAAUUCUAUCCUUCUCUCUUUCAUAUUGCUUUUACGCUUCUUAGCACAGCAAUAUAUGGGAAAUUUCUGGAAGCACAAUUCUAUCCUUCUCUCUUUCAUAUUGCUUUUAUCCUUCUUAGCACAGCAAUAUAUGGCAAAUUUCUGGAAGCACAAUUCUAUCCUUCUCUCUUUCAUAUUGCUUUUACCAUUGUACGGCUGCAUAUGCCCGCUCUUUUUGACUCGCGUCUUAGCACAGCAAUACAUGGGAAAUUUCUGGGAAGCACAAGGCGGACGAUGCUAUCAACUCUAGCCAAAAUUGAAGCAUUUUUAGCAUUUUCUUUUUGUUCAUGUCGGAGAUAAAUGAAGAGGUCCGGAAUAUUGGAAUGAAAAUUCUCUUCUAGAAAAUUGAGGGCGGAUUCGUAAUUUCCGCCAUUUUUCGCCCCAACACGCCAAAAAUAUAUUCGAAAAUAUGGAAAAUGUCCUUGCGGGAGUCGUAAUUGGACAUGCACUCCGUUUUUAUGCGGAUCAUUAUUGAGUGGUUGAAGAAGGAAUUUCGAUCUCACCACAGGCAAUUGACAUGGGAGCAUCUUAAUCUAAAUGUGUAAUGUGCAUUGCAUUAUCUCCAACACUUUUUGACAUGACCAUUCAAUCAAUGACAGAGUUCGUUACCACAUAUUGACUAGUGCUCUAAAUGCCCAACAAUUGUUAUUAAAACUGCAUGAAAUACUCAAUAAUUAAAGGCAAUGUGAUAGUGAUACCUGAAUUCUUGUUUAAGGUGCAUUAUCAUAAUUGAACUUUAAAUAGAUUUACUUAGGUCUAACAACUUUGUUACAACGUGCAAUGCAUUUCUGAAUUUUCAAUUGAUUCAAUUAGAACGCUAAGCUUUUGUUUAUAGUGUUUGUAAUUGAUUGAUCUUUGGAAAUUCAGCUUGCUCUUGUGAAAUUAUUUUAGUAUGUUUUAUAUGUCAUACGCCCACUGAUUAUCCUCAAGGAAAUUUCUAAAAUGGACAACAAUCUACAACAGCCAGUAAAUUAAAAAUAAAAUAAAAUUAUACAAGUAGAUUUCGCCUGUAUAACAAUUAUCUGAAAUUAUAGAGAAAUGAUACACAUUCGCUUUUUAUGUGUGAUUCAUUUUAAACAAACAAAUUUGCUUAGUCCCUUUGAUCAUUCUCAUUCAUUAUAUCAGCUAGUGAGAAGUGCAGAGGAUUUUGCUGUUCUUUUCAAAGCACAGCAAACAAAUCCAUUCUCCAUUUCACAUGAUCUCCAUUGAAUCAGGAAGAAGGCACAUUGCUCUGUCGAGUGAGAGGUUUAUCCUAAUCCGAAACCCUUUUCAAACUUAAGAUGAUACUGAAUAUUUAAAAAUAAUUUAGGAAUCUCGUUCAUUUAUAACCAAUCAAAAGUUUUGGAGUGACAAUACUCCUCGGGCAAAGUGUAGGACCUACUUGAUAAAUUGAAAGGCCGGGCAUAUCAUUACAUGCUAACUAACAAUGUUGAAUUUUAGGACUGAAAAUUCGAAAACUAGUGGUCUCACUGCCCCUAGAUUUGAUGAUACGUUAUUUGACGAAAUCAAUUGGAUUUGCAAUCUCCAAAGAGACUCGACAAUUAAAUUGAAAUUCCCGUUGGAUGAAAAGGUUAAAAGCAUAGCCACAAGCAUUUGCCUUUUAUUGAUCGAACCUUGUUGCUUCGAUGUUGGAAACAGACUUAAGGUUUUUUCUCCUCGAUAUGUCCCUAUGCAACAGAAGUUUGAAGGAACUAUCAGCUGUCGGCAAACUGAGUAACUUCCUUCGGGGUGCAUGAAACUUUUUAUCGAAAUCGUGGACAAUCUGUUGCAUACAUCAGAAGACGGAUUUGCAUAUAGAUGAAUCGCACAAAGGGAUAUCACUUGCUUACUUCAAGCCAACUGAAAAAAGAGUGGAAAAGUCCUGGCAGCUCUAUAUCAGUUUCCUUAAUAGGGUCAUCUAUUAAAAUAUAUCUCGAAUUUGAACAUGUUGAACAAAGCCCAACUGAUGAGAAUGUGUGAAUUUGACCAUCUGCGAGUCAAAAAUUGGCGUACGAGAAUUGGCUGGCCGAGAUUUCAAAAAGCGUGAAGAAGAAUCAAUUACGCGUGACUUUGUUGCCUUCUCCAAGUCCAAUUUAUCCUGCGUGUUGGAUUCUUUGGCACGCUGAAUUUGUUGCCGCAGAAGAAGGGGUUCACACACACACAGAGAUACGUGAUCAUAAUUGUACUUUAAAUUGAUUUACUUAAGUCCAAGAAUUUUAUUCUAAUACGCAAUGCAUUCAUGCUUUCCCAUGAUUUGUUUAGAUGUCCUACACUUUUGUUUAGUAUGUGAAAUUGGUCCAUCUCUAGAACUUUAGUUUGUUCAAUUAUGACUCUUGAAAUUAUUUUAGAAUGUUCAUAUGUCUGACGCCGUUUAUUACCCAAAGGAAAUGGCUACAAUGGACAACAAUCAACUGAAGCCGCUGGAUAAAAAAAUUAUACAAAUGGAUUUCGUAUGUGUAAUAUAUAUCCCAAAUGAUAAAAAAAUAGUAGACAUUCGUUUCUUAUGUGUAAUUCAUUUGAAACAAAAGUUUUGCUCGGUCACUUUAAAUGGUCAUUCUUAUUCAUUAUCUCAAAAUGUCAGAUUAGUAUGGAUUUUGCUGUUCUUGUUAAAGCAUCGCAGACAUUCCGUUCUCCUUUAACAUAUUAUACGCUAGGAUCAGGGAGAAAGCACAUUGUUUUGUCAAGUGAGAGGUUUUGUCCUUUUCUGAAACCUUUUUUGAACUUACGAAUGAUAGUGAAUAUUUGAAAACAGUUUAGAAACCUCAUUAAUAUAAAACCGAUGAAAAGUUCAAGAGGGACAAUGCUUGGGCAAAGUUAAGGAUUUAAUUAGACAAAUUGAAAGGUUGGGGACAUCAUAACACGUAAAUGAACAAUGGUGAAUUUUUUAAGACUCUUAGUGUCCUUGGACUUGGUUAGCAUUUGCAGUGAAUGAGGAGACCAAGGAGGCUCCAAGAGAUAUGAGAUGAUAAAUUGGGAUUUUCGCCAAAGUGGAGAUUUAUUGAUUAUGACUCGAAAUUAAAUUUGUUUAGUUUGGAAUCGACACUAGCUUCAUUUUCGGACACUCAAAAGUGUUUGUAAGGGCUUGGAAAUGGAGACGGACGACUGGAGGAUGCAAGAAGCCGGCCCCCCUAGCCCUAGCACCUGCACAAACCGGGCAACUAGGCGAGGACUUGGCCAAGAAGUGGCAGGGUUGCCGGACACCCGGCAAACCUCCUAAGCGAGAAGCGUUUUCCAACAUAGUGCCCAAGUGUCCGGGCCUAUUUUGGUCAGAUACCCACCCCCUAUUUUUAUGUAUAUUUCUAAAAGGGAUUUAGGAAGAGUGAGUGAGAAAACUCCUUUCUUACGGUUGAUUCUAGUGGACUCGGGUUUUAUCUAGGACCCUUGUGAGUAAAUGUGAUUAAACGAUUUUAAUCUUCUCUUUACCGAUUAUAGUAGAACCAUUUCAUUGAUAUCUCUAUAGAGCACACCGCCAGACAAUAUAAAACUUUUGUGUUUAGGUUUAAGUUUUACAAUUUAAUUCUCGCUCGAAUCAUUUCAUUUAUGUACCUGCAUCAGUCAUGACAAUAGUUGAUGCAAAAUUCGAACUAUGCAAUUCAGCCUAAAUAAAUCUCCCAAGAAUAGCAAGGUUGGUUAAACUAGGAGUGAAAUCUCAUUCUACCAUUCUGGACAUAGUGAGCGCAUAAGAGGAUGCUGUAUUUUGUUUUUACAUUGAAAUCGCGUGAGCAAUUUGGUGAAAAGGAUAAAAAAAGACCAAGACAUAUUAAUCAGAUACUGUUCCACGCAUAAUUGAUUACCGUACCUGGAAAAUGCAGAUAAUGCCAAACAAGGACUCGCGAUCAUGAUUUUCCUACCUCCAUAGGGAAAAGAAAAUAGGAAGAAGAGACCGACUGCCUAAGUCUUCAUCUUCUCCUUAUUUAUCAAAGAAACUUCUGUAAAAUAUGAAAUAAACCCAAGUGAUGCAGGUUUUGUAAAAGUGAACAUGAGAACAUGGAGUCAAAACAGUAGAUUCACCAUUUUUUAAUCUGAAAACAAAAGCUCUAGAGAGUAUUCAGCCAAUUGGAACAAGACCUGUCAUUUGUUUAACAAAAUUAAACAUCAGCAAAUGGAAUCCAAGUCUUUGCUCUAGUCCACCCUCUUAGUACAGGUGAGAAGAACUAAUAUAAAAAGACCAAGACUUCUUUUGAGUCUAAUUAUGUUUUUUUUUCCUCAUUUUUUUCUUUUUUGCAUCUUAAGGAGUCCUCUCAUCUAUAUUCAACCUUGCACGAAAAAAGAUGAAAAACCCUAUGAGCGGAUGGUCUUGCAGCCAAAAUAAUUGGAAAACACCGGUAGUUGCAUAAGUGGUUCGGUCAGAUCCACAUAUUCCAUGGCAUUAGUUCAAAUUCAUGCGACUUUUAUCAAACCUUCACAUGAACGAUUCUAUAGUCGUUGGAUAUCAUGUAAAAGGAAUCAGGACAAAAGGCAAUUCAUUACAAUGACUUAUUUUGAAUGCGGGUGUCGAAUCUGGAGUGUUCUACUCACUAGACCAAAUAAAAGACCUCAUAAGGGCUGUAUAACAGCUUUAUACCAGAAUUACACAUAGAGAAUGGCCUGGAGACCAAAUUAAAUACUAUAAUUAUAAGAUUGGUAUACCACCCAGGACAUUAAUCUUGUCUUCAUUAAAAUAUACAAUGCAUAUAGCUGUUUAAUGACCUGCUUAUACAAAUUGGCAAUUAUAAACCUCGUGUUCAGAAUGAUAACUAAGAUGGGAAGCCCAAGUUGAAUUGCUUUUUCUCAAUAAAUAUCCUUGUCAAGAAUCGAAAUUCACAGACUCUAUUACAUUUUAAGAAUCUGUCCAACUAAGGUUCUCUUGAUUUUGUAUGCAAGGCUGGCUUCGGGAUAUAGAAGAGUAAUCCUGUUUCAUACUCAUGCAGGUAUUAUAGCAGUCAAUAAAUCACGAUCCCACAUAACUUGAACAAUUACUGAAAUUGCACAAUCUGUACUAGUUCGAUCACCAAACACUUAUGUAACAAAAUGUUACAAAGUAGUUCUUUCUGAAGUAAACAAGCGCUUGGUUCUGCAACUGAGCAAGAACAUGUACAUACAUUAACAGAAAGUUCCUGCAAGCGAUAUGUCUAUGAACAAUAAUAGAACUGAUUCAAACCACAAACUCAACCAUGUUUUGUUCACUUUUCAUCAACACAUACUUCGUUGUCUUCUUCUCCAUCUUCAUCAACUUCUUCACUUUCAUCUCCUUCCUCAUCAUAAUAUGCUUCUUCUUCAACAUAGUUGUUGCUGCCAUCGUCAUCAUUUUCAUCGUUAAGUGUCCACCAGAUUUGCCUGCAAAGGUCAAGCGCAAAAAAGUACAUAUCAAUGCAAAAUAACUUGACACUAACGAAAACUCUUCCCAAGCCAAGACCCCAACUUAAAUUUAUAGCACAUAGCAGAGCAAAUUCUGGACGAAAUCAUCUAAUUUAGUCUUGAGAGAGAGAGACUAACAGAGCUUACAAGAUUGUAGAUAUAUAAUGAAAGCUAGGACUGACAAACGAAGAGAAGCAGCAACAGCCAAAUCUUGUGUAUCACUAUCACACUUUCAUUGUGGUUCAACCAUUCGACCAGACAAAACAAUGACAAGAAUCUGAAUUUCGAAGCAUAACAUACAGACAGAUUUAAACAUGAGGGCAUUAAAGAUACGACACCUACCGCUUAUAAAUAAAAUGAAACAAGUAAAUGUACAGGAAUCUUUUACAUUCUGAGAUUCUUACACAAAGUGCUAAGAGAAAAUGGAAAAAAAGAGAAAAGAGAGCAAGCACAUAUAGAGACUUUUUGAGUUUGAAUUUCUCUCUGUUCACACUCUCCAAUCUGCUACCUUUACUCGAAAGCCAUUAGCAGGCACGCCGAGAAAUUGAGCUAGAUUAUUAUUCUCGAGAAAAUUAUACUGCUUGCCAAUUCUUUUCACCAAAGCUUUGAUCUACUGUUGUUGAAUGAACAUGUAAUGACCGUGAAGGAACACUGACCAGCUGCUCCAUCAUCUGCAACUGAUCAUAUGUAGCAAUCUGCACCGACUAAAGGAGUUAAAUAUAGAAAAAAUGGCAAUGGUUGAUUGAUGAAUGUGUCAUCCGAAUAAAUUCCUUCUUUACAAACUUUUCUGAACCAAUUCCUAUUGCUGGUCAAAUAUGACAACGAGGGACAUAAUUCAUUUGAAUGCGACAUAGUAGAAAAGCGUUAAUCACCUGAUUUAGACGUCAGAAUACAGCAGUUUUUGCUUCCCUAUCCAACCACCCUGAUUUGCAUAAGUAGAAACGUCAAAAGGGUUUUUCCAGCUGAAUUCAACUACUAAAGGAGCUCAUUCAUCUUCAUUGAUUUUGAGGGAUUAGACGAGAGAACAACCGCAGAUAUACUCUGAAUCCCUAUGCUGUUAGAAGUUUAUCAGCACAACAAAGGAUGCUGGAUGAGGGGGAAAUCAGAGUAAAAACUUUUAAAAAACGACGAAUUCUUUUUUUCUGUUGACCAAAUGGAUUUUGAUGAAGAAAUUCAAUGCUCCACUAAAAUCUACCACUAAUACACAAGAUUCAGAUGACAAGACACUUGGAUUAUCAAAAUCCAGUAGAGUCAAUUUAAACCAUCAUGAGAAAAUAUAAGAGGUGAGAUUGGAGUGAAAAAAUACUUGCCAUGCAUUUAUGAGUAUUUAGACAUGCCAUGAAGUGACCUUUCCUGAUAAUCAGGUCACUGAAUAUAACUACCAGGUAACCUGGUCAUUGUUAGAGUGGGAAAGUAGUUCGCUCCAGGCAUUACAGUAAAACUAACGUACUGCAUGAGCUUCCAUUUUUCGCUGAAAUUCGCAGCCAUAAGGAAUACCUUGAUGGUAAAGCAAACACAUCAAUGGAGUUUCCAACACUAGAAAAGAAUUUUGGAAUGGAAGGGUCUUAUUAAUUACUAAAGCUUGCUAAACACAACCUGCUAUUACCUUUUACUCUGUAUCAAGCAUUGCGAAACAUUAAGGUGUUUCUGACCUUUUACAUAGGGUCGACUCUUCUGAACACUUAUGCCAAUUUGUGCCCCAAGAUUAUACAACAGGCAUUUGCCUCGUAUGGAUUGAAUCUCGUUGCUUUUAUAUUUGAAGCAGAUUGUUUUCCUCGCUAUAUCCCUACCCAACAGAGUUUCGAAGGAACUAUCAGCUGUUGCCAAAUUGAGUAGCUUUAAACCAAAUGCAUAAGAUUUCCGAAUAAAAUCUUGGACAAUCUGCUGUAUACAUUAAAAGACGAAGUUGCAAAUAGAUGAAUUGCAUGAAGAGAUAAUGAAGAAAGAGCGCACAAGAGUCCUAGCCGUGCGAUGUCGCUUUCUAAAACAGGGCUGUCGACGAAUUGAUUAGAAGCAAACAAUACUUGUCGAGCAGAGUUAAAUGUGCAAGAGACGUAAUUCAGAUUUCUCAGCGACCAAGGCAUAGCGGUUUAAACUUUAACAACCAGGAGAUUGAUGGAAGCAACCAAUCCCUCAGUUGUUUAAAAAUUUUAUGCUCAGCAUUGGUGUGAAGGGGUAAUAGAAGCGAACCUAUGUGAUUAAAUCUAGCAAUACUUCUCUAUCCUAUUAGAAUGAAUAUGUACGCAGUAAGAUUGUAUAUCAGGCAUUCCUGUCAGGAAGACAGAACUUUCCAAUCAUUAUAAUAGUUGGCGGUCAAAAGAGGUGGCAAGCAAAAUGAAAUUCACAGGAGUGGGUGAAGGUACACGCAAUCAAUAUCUGUCCUGUGCUUAUUAUUGAAGGACAUUGAAACUCUAGAUCUAUCAAUGCCUAAAUUUGAUUGAAGCACAAUAAACCUAAAAAUAAAUGGUUAUACUACUAAAGUGACCGUAUAUAUAUUGAAUUUUAAUGCGGGUUGCUUCUGGAAAUGACACCAUACUCCUGCAGGUGGUGUAGUUUUCCUGUGAGGAAAAAACAAAGAUCACUACAUGGUUCAUUUUCAUUUCCUCCUUUUGUCUUUAGCAGAUCUACUUCAAUAGCUAAGCGAAUCUUACUUAGAAUAGAACACCUUUGCUUUCUACCAUCUAUAUGAAAUUUAUACCCCAAAUUGAAUUCCUAAGGGUAUGUACAUUUCGUGUUAUGCUUCACUUCAUAUAUAUGCUCAAAUACUAGAACACAAAAUUAAGAAACCAUUAAAUGAAAAUGGCUUUCAAAGAAUUUCAUCGUUUAUUUGUUUUGGGUGUUCAAAAUACAGUAACGGAGAAUUGACCGUAAAUAUAGAGCACAAAGGAGAAUAACAAAAGCUGCAGCAAAUUACACCGAGCGAACGCAACAUUAUGCUCUCACGCAACCUUUGACUUGCACUGGACACGGUCUCAUAGUCCGGACCCAGCAUUGGGCUUUCAGCAUUGGGGAUGCUAGCAUUGGGCAAAUGGGCAUUUAAAAACACAUACCAAACACCAAAAAUUUUCCCCGAGGGGCUUUGGGCUCCCAAAGCCCCUUGGGAAUGCCCAACCAAACACCCCCUAUGACUCCUUGAACAACUUGACGUGUCAUAACAAAAGCUCGAAAGGGCAAGCCACUAAAACCCGGGCAUCCUAUAGCAGGAAAAUUUUCCAAAAAAUACCUGAAGUACGGUCGUGUUUGCGAAGGAAAACUCUAGAAUAAUGCUUGCCUCGAAGAAGUCCUGAAGUUGAUGACUUCAUCUCAACUGACCCCGGCUCACCAGUAUCUCAAAUCCUCGCGUUUCCUCGUUCACAGCUACCACGUCUAGCUGCAGCCAUCUCGACCUCCAAUGCAGCAUCACAACCUCUGGUAACCCUCUGCGACCGCUGACAGUCAUCGGAAUCGUCUCCAGCGUGCUUGGCCGAGACACCUCUGUCUACGGCUCCACCAUUUUUUAACAUCCAAGAGCUCUCCUUUUUUUUUUUUUUUUUUUCAGGGGAUCUUUCGAGCAGGUUCGAGCUUGGCUGAUCGGUCUUCCGUGCAUUAAUCUUCUCAGCUCGAAUAUGCGGGCUUGGCAGGCGGGGCUGGACUUGGGCGGAGGAGCUUGGGAAGUAGGCACAUGCAAUAGCUUACCAACGAAAUAAUUUUGACCACUUAGCAGGUUCAGGGAGGGGCUUAGACUUCGCGAAAACGGCGUUUUCGCUCAAAUCUGGUCUUCACAUCGUGAUGGAGCGCAAACCCCAGUCAUCUCGGAGUACGGCCGAAACUUCCUCUCCGGCUUCCUGAAUUGUAAUCCAGAGUCUCGCCUCUUUCGAUUCAACUCAUCCAGGGAUUCGAAUGAUGCGAAUCAAUCAUCGAACGAACUAGGGCUUUCGGUUUUUGGGGCUCACCGUUUCGUUGAUUUUAGCGCCGGCAUUGGGGCUUCCGGUCUUCGACUCUUCUUCCAUGGCGCGGACGAUGGCGGGACACUUGCAUGCCUGGAUUUAGAUUAAAUAAAAGGUAAAAUGUAAAAAUAAAUCUAGACGAACUUUAUGGAUAUUAAACUAUUAUAUCUAUAUUUUCAUCCUAUCUAUUCAAUAAUAGCAAUUAGCGGGAAUAACUCUUUAAAUUACUUAUUUCAUUGAUGACUGUCGUUUCAACACUUAAAGAUGGAAAAAGACUUGAUUAAUUUUUAUAAAGAAGAAAGUUGUAUAUGACUCAACCGGCUCGAUCUAUUUCUCAUUAAAUUUAUAUGAAACUUUUUAUUUGCCAUACUUUGUACAUCUAUAUUAUCAUAUAGGCAAGUCCUAAACCAAAUUAAAGGUAAGUAGGAUUCAAUUUAAAAUUUAGUCAAAUUAAUUACAUAAAAUAGUCAUUCAUAUGGCUCGAAGUUUUUACUCUUUACCAUCAUCAUCUAUCAAUUUAGUUAACUCGAAAUUGCCAUUGAUCUUGAUCAGGCUAAUCCUCUCGGAUUCCUUUAGGUCUAGACAUACUAAUGAGACGAAUAGUGUAUCGAAGAGGCACUAAUUCACCAACUCCGAUCUUGAGCGCACUACAUGUUGGCCCAAAUCCAUGACCGAUGGCGUUUGAUCGCAAGAACCGAUGUCCACAGUUGGUGCAUUUGGGAGCUCCACCCGGACCUUCGAAGCAAGAUCCCCGAGGAAAUUGCAUCGAACUUGACAACCGAGGCGACUUUCGAGCCCGAGUUGACGUCGAUGAUCGGGUCAUUGAAGAGGACUACAAGUGAGCUGGUCAUUUUUAUACUUGGAAAGUAGUUCGGUCUAGGUACAGCGCUAAACUAAGAUACUGCAUUGACACGGAGCUACUAUUUAUCGCCGAAAUUCACAGCCAUAAGAAUUAUCUUGAUAGUAAAGCCAACACAUCGUUGAAGUUCCCAAUGCUUGAAAAGAAUUUCGGAAUAGAAGGGUCUCAGCCAUUACAUAAGCUCCAAUUCGACCGCUAAUUGAACCACACAUAAGAAUAGAACAUUCUUGCAUUUUACCAUGAAGGUUAUGCCCCAAUGUGAAUUCCCAAAGGUAUUGAAAUUUAGACUUGCAUUCCAUAUCAUAUAUAUUCCCAUAUUCCCAAAGCUCAAGAACCAAAAAAGGAAAAAAGGGUUAGAUGAUGCCUUUCAAGUUUUCACUUAUUAGUUUUGGGUGUUCAAAAUACAGUAACAGAAAAUGGAAUAUAAAAAUAGAGCAUAUAAAGUUAGAACAAGAGCUGAAGCAAAUAACACUGAGCAAAAGCAAUAUCAUCCUCUUACACAACCCCUUGACUUGCACUGUAUGGGGUAUCAUAAUCUGAACAAUGACUACUCGCCUGGCUUGAUGUUUCUGAAAAAAACUUAAAAGGACAAAUUGAUAAAACCAUCACACCUCAACUCUACAAACAUAGGAAAAAUGGCACAAUUGUCCUUCAAUCCAAAGGACGCAGUCUCAUACAAGUUACCAAUAUAAACCUGUUAUCAAAAUAUAUAUUCAUUAACAUCUCAUAGGAAUAAUAGGAUAGUUACAUGACUAGAGUUCUAAAAUCCACCAACAUAAUAUAUAUAUCUCCAGGGACUGACAAACUAAACCCAAAAAGUAUCAUCACAAGUUAUACGUACAAUUAUCUCAAGUUAUACCCAAAACCCAAAUUCCUAAGAUUCCUCCAGUGAUGUAGCUUUCCUCCUAUUUUUCGGCAGUUGAAAAAGAAUUGCAAUGAAUGGUAUGAGCAAAGCACCUCUCAAUAAAUAGUACAUUUCUCAACAGAUAGAGCAUAAACUAUUCACAGUAUAAACAGCAACAGAAACACAACCAAAUCCAGUAUAUAAUAUACGUAAAAGUCUAAAUAUGAGUUACAUCACUCUAACAAUGUUUUCAACGUAUUAGAAAAAUGCUCAUUCGAUCAACAAUAUUUAAGUAAACAUCUGAGGUCUAGUCUAUUGAUCACUCUAGUACUUCAUAUUAAACUAUAGCCAUGUCUAACGCCCCAUGACAAGGCUUACCAAGGUAUCCUUCUAGGCAUAGGUCUCCACUAAUCUCAGCUGGUGGCUUUGGCUAUACAAGACAUCCUGAGAACAUGUUUGCUUACUCACAUCCCUUUAAUGAUUUCAGAUCAUAGUGAUAAGAGGAUAAAAUAAUCAAUAUAAUCCUAUCUGCAACAAACCCAUUUCAGAACUCGUUUGAUAAACCGGAGUAAAAAAUCGAUACAACCCUUCACAAUUCCAUCCACAAGAAGAAUACAUACAUGAAGAAUUUCUCAAACAAUUUCAUAAAUAAUAAACUGUCCAACCAUCUCAGGAGAUAUUUUACUAUGCUAUUUCAAAUAACCAAAUGGGUAUGAAAUGCAAGAUCUAGCUUUAUACAACAAAAAUGUUCUAAACACCAUUUAAAAAAAAAAAAAAAUCAUAGCGUGCAAUGUUCUCGUUCAUAACUUAUGGCAUAUGUAAUAUCUAUGAUUUUCAAGCCGUGAGUUUACAAAUCAUAGAAGAAAUAAGUACCACUCCUCGCUAACCAAAAGCUAAAUUAAAAGCUUUACCACCUGAAAAGCUAAAAAAUCCUAUCAAAGAAAGCAUUAACCAAAUGUGAAACUUACAUAUCACUAACCUCAACUAAGAUUCUACAAGGUGACACUAAUUUUUGGAGUCAAAACAUCCAAUAUGAGUCGACAAAAACGCCACACAAGCAUCAAACUUGCUACAGCAAACAGAGCAGCAAUCUCGUCGUACGUUGUGAAUUUUGGCAUGUCAUACAUCUCUACUAGACUCCAUUUUAAGUGAUUUUACCGUCAAACGAGAGCUAAUUCAAAGUACUAAAAGACCAAAAACUCCUUAGAGCCAAAAUUUGGCCGACGACUGAUGAAAUCCAGGACAAAACCCUGCUGGUUGCAGUUACUGUACAUUAGUUUUUGAGAACUUCGAAGAAUCAAUAUCUUUCAAACGGCAAUCCGUAAAAUCUCACAAUUCCAAGACCAACCUAACGUUUCGAAACGACAUCAUUUCAAGGCUCAACAAUCUCAAGAAUCAACCCGGCAACCCUAAAACCUGAACCAAUCCGAAAUUACAACUUAACAGAGCAAAUUUCUUUGAUUUCAUUAGAUUUAUCAAGGUUUGGAAUUUCUUACCGAGUGCUUCAAAACGGUAUGAAUCUAGCUCGUCGUGGCCUCCGAGCCGAAUCGCAGCAAAAGCCCCCUUUCGCUCACUCUCAGAUUCCCCUUUUCUCUGUUUUCUCUUUCUUUUACCGACUCGCUCCACUCUCUCUUUUUUCUGCUCUUUAUUUUUUGUAUGAACCAACUCCAGAAGAGAACGAGAAGAUGGGCUAAGGACUCUUGGGCCUAAUUUUUCUAUUCCAUGAGAGGCCCAUAGUCGAGGAGGCCCGUUUAUGGCUUAGAAUGCCAAGUACCACCAAUCCAUGGGCAAUUGUUAACACGCGUAGUUCGUACGAUUGGUAUCUUUUGCAAUGAUUCACAGUCAAAGACCUUCAACUCCCCUAGCUUCUCUAGAUUCGGAGUAUCAGGGUUGGGCCUUUCCGUGGAACUGUAGUCUCCAAUUGAAGGCCGUUCGGAUGCGAUCUCAAUUAGUUGCGGGCAGUGACUUACCCCUAGCGAUUGGUGCUCCUUUAAGCUCGAUACAUUGGAUAUCCUCACGAGCGACUCGCCCCUGCCCACCUCCACUCGCUCCAAGUUCUCUAGCUGUCCGAGCACGCUGUCAAAUUCGAUCUCUCUUAAUGGACAUACGGAGAGACAUAAUAUAGACAUAUUGCCCAGGUUGGAGAACAAUGACCAUGCUAUUGGGGUCUUCACACCUUUUAAGAACAAUCCUAUUAAACUGGACGGAAGCCCGGUCAAAGAUUGUAAGUUGGCACAAGUUAUUUCAAGAUACUCGAGCUGAGAAAGGGCGCUCAAGUCAAUCGGAUGCAUGUUGGAAUCGGAAAAGAUCACUUCCAACUUAGACAAUCUAUGAAGCCUUCCGAGGCACUCUAAGUUCGGAUAUACAAUUUGUCCUCGUUUAAUUAUGGAUAACCCAGUAUCAAGAUCACUAUCACUUAUUGUUAGAGAAUCUAAAUUAGUGAGGUUCGAGAGGUCGGGUACUGCUUGCAACGAUGAAGACGAUAGAUUUAGCGUCUCUACACUUGUGGGGAGAUUUGGUAGUAACUGAAACUCCGUACAAUGCCAUAGAUAUAGUCCUCUGAGGUUAAAGAGCCGAUUGAUUGUCAUCGGCAGUCUACUAACCUUUGUCCCGGACAAGUCCAAAAUCUCCAAUUGGGAUAGUCCUGCGAUUUCACUAGGAAUUUCCCCCUUGAGAUUGUCACACUUGUCGGCAAUUAGCUCCUCAAGAUUCUCUAGAGUCCCUAUGCUCUUUGGUAGCUUUCUUAUCUUACUAUAAGACAAAAUCAUGAGCUUCAACUGUCUAAGGUUGCCAAUUGAAACUGUAAUAGGUGUCGAAGAUACAUCCAAUUUGUGUAGCGAUUCUAGUCUUCCGAUGGAAUCCGGUAAUGCACUUAUACCGGUUCCUUUUAAAUCCAAAUGGAGGAGCAAUCUCAACUCUCCAAUGGAAUCCAGAAGCUCUCUAAGAUUGUAACACUCUCUUAGAGAUAGAUCCUUCAAACCCACCAGUAGCUCUCCUAUUGAGGGUGGAAGUUUUCUAACACCAUCCUGGUAUACCAAAUUUGGCACCAACAAGGAUUUCAGACCACCAAUUGAGUCUAGUAAUGGAGGGAUGGCUGGAGAAAUAUUUCUCUGCAGCAAAUGAUUGCUCCCAUAGAUUUCCAAAUACUUCGGGCGGCCUAGUUGAUCAAUAGAGCUAUCAAUUUCUUCCAAUCUUAUACAAUUUUGGAGAACCAAUUUUUUCAAAUUCAGGCACUUGGAGAAGUCAGGUGUUCUCUUUAAAUAAUUGCAGCUUGCCAAAUAUAUCACUUUCAGGUUGUCAUUUACCUAUAUAAAAAAAAAAAAAAAGAACCCAAUUAUUGAGGAAAAUAAUGGCAUCGGCAAAGGUUAACUCAACGUAACAAAUGCGUACACACAUAAAGGAAAAAACGAAUGCAUUAUAUGAAAUUGUACCAUGCAUGCUCCCCAGCCAUUCCAGUCUUCACUAAUAUCACUCUCUAAAAGCUUGAGAACGGCCAAGUUCCUUAGACAUAAACUAGUGGCAUCUAGGUUUGAAGGGCAAUGAUGCCAAGAGAGCCAUGUUAAAUUAGAGAGAAGAUUUUUGAAGUCUCCUACAAAGUUUCCCCCAUUCAAUUCGAGGAACCUUAGACUAGGUAGCCUUGAAAAUUCAGCACUCGUGAAGUUAUGCCCAUCGCCAAGUCUUGUGAGUUUGAGUGCUACAAUGCUUUCUGUUCCCUAAUAUUUCCAGAGCAACAAGUUAGCAGCAUGAUUGAACUAUUUAGAGUAAGUACUAAAUAUCAAAAUAGGGAACAUAUAUCUAAAUUCAACUAAUAAUAAAUAUGAGUGUACUAGCUAAAAAAUGGGGCAUAUAGAUAUUAUCUUAUACAAAAAGGGGCAAAUUCAUGAAUCAUUAUCUCUCCCACUUACAUGGGAGUUGUUAUGUAAAAAUUAGUUCUUUUGGAAUGCCAUUCAUUUCUCUCAAAUCAUGCCAAAUCAUCAAUGUCUUUUGUACAAAAUUGAGCGAACAUCUUGGGUGAAAAUGAACUCUAAAUACACACAACUACAUGUUUAGUUUUUUCAUGAGCAAUUAAUUUGUUUACUAAGACAUACCAUGUUAUUCUGAACCACAUCCAAGGCGAUCGUCGGACACCACAACCUGCUGCGCUUUCCAGGAACUAUAAAGCAUUCUUGCCGAACAAUCUCUCUUCCAAGAUCUCUCAGUUGGUCGUGCAUCCACAGUCUAUCAUCUUUGAGUUUUAUCAAAGAUAAAUGAAUGAGAACACGAAGUCCGGUAUGCGGAAAAAAAUCACAAGCUUUCCACAUGUAAUAUGUGGGGAUUCUUUCUUCCCCAAUGCAAUGACAUGCGAUAUCAAGAAAAAUUUGUUUUUGCUCAUACUCCAAUUCUUCAUAACUUAUCAAUAACUUUUUCUGGACAUCUUGAUUGGGCACUUCCUUCAACUUCUUCAAUGUUUCUUUCCAUGUUUUCUUGCCUUUUGAAUGGAGUAAAGAACCUAUGACCUCGAGAGCCAAUGGUAGUCCUCCAGUGGUUCCAACAAUUUCACAUGAAACUUUGAUGUAAUCAUGUGGAGGUGAGUCACUUUCAAAGGAGUGCUUGCUGAAUAGUUGAAGAGCAUGGUAAAACCGCAAUUCCUUCAUUUCAUGAAAAUAGAAAUCUCGGUGAUGCAUAGGGAUGAUAUUGUCAUCUAGGGUCUUGGUUUCGGGAAUCAAAAAGGAGGUGUUUCUAGUUGUGAUAAUAAUUCUGCUUCCCGAACCAAACCAACUUGACUCACCAGCUACAUUUAUGAGCUUGUCUCUCUUGUCCAUGUCAUCAAGAACAAUGAAGGCUUUCUUAUCAUUGAGUUUUUGUUUGAUCACGUCCCUCCCCUCAUUUGCAUCGAAAACUUUAGGAUGUUGGAUACCAAGAAUGUCAUGUAAUAAUUUCUUUUGCAGAUUUAAAAUAUCGCUUUCACGGAUAUUUGAAAGAAAGCUGCAACUUUGGAAUUGAGAAGAAAUACGUUUGAAGAUAGCCUUAACAAGAGUUGUUUUUCCGAUACCGCCCAUACCGUGAAUCACCACAAAUCGUACAUCAGAAGUGCCUACGGCUAACAACUUCAUAAUGGUUUCAAUCUGAUCGUGAAUUCCCACCAAGCCGUCACACCAGUUUCUGUGCAUAGGCAUCAACUUACCAGAAACUUCUUCCAGAACAAGGGCUAUAAGUUUAUCUUGGCUGCCACAUACAUAAUGCAACCGUCUUAGUUUUAGAAACCACAAACAUGUGCAGAAGCAUAAAUAUGUAAAACCAUAAAUUUUGAUAGUUAAAACCAAGCAUGGAUUAUUAGUUUAUUUCAUAUUCAGUCCUCCCCAAGCCGAGAAGAUAGAUCUCAGUUACAGAUAACGAUUGUUGGAUAUUGAUGUGGGGGGCGGUUCUGAGGAGCUUUUAGAUGGUCAAAUCAGUGACGUUCUAAAGUGCGAUGUAGCCAUCAAACUAGCUCUAUAGCCAAGCGGGCAAACCAGACCAAUUGUUUUGGUUCGUGCAAUGCAUCUAGCUUGACAAAGGGUGAAAAUAGACCAAAUCGCACAUUAAAUAGAUAGAGCAUUCUUGAGUGGGGCCGACACUGACGAAGAUGUCAAUACUUUUUAGUGCAGGAGUUUGGGGCAACACAAUCCCACAUCGAAUGGGGCACACCUUUUUGAACUAAUUCAUGGGUAACGUCCACCCUUAAAUGGUCACUUUAAAAUUCUACUGUAAUAGGAAUUACCACAAGGAAGAAUGUCAUAAGAUGUGAUAGAAACUUUAUACCAAAGUGCCGUCAAUGGAUCGGUUACGAGUUCUGAAAAAUUAUAUGCCUAAUGAAAUUGACUUGAUGAAAACGAACAUGGUAAUUUGCACAACCAUUUCAACUUCCAUUGUUAAAAGGAGGGGGGAGGGGUUGAUCUAUAAAUUGAGUUGUUGCGAUUAAGAAACUAUGAUCUAAAUUAAGUAAUGAAAGUACAGCAGUUGUCAUUAAUUACCCGUGAUCUUUUAAGUUGUAUCCCUUGAUUCCAGCGACCUCUCUGAGGGCCUCCUCCCACUGCUUCGCCAUAUCUUCACCAAACUGUCUCUCAUGCUUUCGUAGGGCAUUACCGUAUGAUCCAGUUUUGAGCUUAAGAUAGGAUGCAUCCACCCCAUAGAAGAUGGGCAAGAUCACUUUCUUGUAUCUCUUCCUACACUCCACCAUGUGUGCGAGCUCACGGAGACACCAUUUGCUGGAAGCAUACUUUUUAGAGAAGAUCGGUACGUAAAUUUUUGAAUUGGAGAUUGCUCUCAAAAGCUCGCCUCCGAUCUCUUCCCCAACACGGAGCUCUUCAUCAUCUUUGAAGACACAAAUCCCGGCUCGAAUCAUGGCCGCGUAGAGAGAGUCCGUGAUGGUUAACUGAGUGUCGGGCCCUCUAAAGCUCAAGAACACCUCGUAGUCCCUCCUUGAUGAUGAUGAAGAUUCAUCACUGAGGGGGAGAGACUUUCCUUCGGGGCAUUCCAUUCCUGUGAUCUUUGGCCACAAAAGCAAUAUCAAAUUAUUGUGCUUGGUCGAAAUUGCAACUUUCCAGUUUCCUUGCGGCCGUUGCCAAUUUAUAAGAAAACGGUAGACUGACUCUUUUCGUCCUAAAACAACUAUUGACUGAUUUAGGUUCACUGUGAGCGACAGAAGAUGCAAAGAAAGAUCACUACUGCACGCUUCCACGAAAUCACCUACCUCGGACAACCGUUCUUCACUUGUAGUUUUAACGCACCUCCUUUUCCUGAGAACCAAGGAGAGCCAUCGUUUUUCGCAGUAUUUUCUCGGAACGUUCCUGAGUUGAUUCGGGGAAGUCUUCGAAUGUAUUAGGACUAGAGCUUAAUUCCCUAAAAAAAGCAUCGAUUUUUAGUGUUGCAUCAAAGCAUGAGAGGCAUUCUUCCAUACGCAAUGAUGGAGCCUAGUAGGAAUUGAAAUGAAAAGCUGAACGUCCAAACCUGAGGGCAUGUAAUAAUGCCCUCUCACUUUUCCUAAAGCCACUUUUUGCCCCUUUAUUAGGUCGUCACGUGAUAGAAUAAAUUGCCUUGGACAAUACUUUUGCCAUGAAAAAAACAUUUUCUGGUGUGAAAUAUGAGGAGGUGGGUCAUCAAGAGUCAGUUCAUGCUGGGAAUGUGAUGAUUAUCGGAUUCUUGAUUUUCAUAAACCGCUAAGUCCAGAUUAAUCGAGUUUUCAAUACGAUCAUUGUUAGGGUAAAAGAAAAAAAAAGAUCAAGUCUCUCCUAUAAUUUUAAUAAGUGCAUCGAAAUUCAAAAUGCAAUGUUUUAAAGAUGUUUCACCUUGAAACUAAAUUUGGUUGACAUCUUCAAAACUAAAUUGUACAUUGUUUAAGCAUAGUAGUUCCGGUUAAGUGGCAAUCGGAUAUUAAACACGCCUUAUUGCGAAAGGGUUCAAUAGCCUUAUCAAGUGAAAGCACUUCUAACUCGGAAAAACCAUACCUACUCAAUUCAAAGCGUUAAAAAGAAGGUACAAAUGUAUUAGAAGUCCUAUAACUUGUUAUCAAGGUGUAAUGAAGUAUAAAACUUUUAAGAAAUAUAAUUAAAUUCUAAAACUUAUCACAAAGUACAAUCAAAUUUUAAAAUUUUCAAAAAAUGCAAUCAACGAAAUACUUGAUUGGACAAAUUUGAUAAGUUUUAAAAUUUUAUUGUAUUUUUUAAAAAAAAAAUUAAGACUUAAUUGUACUUGCUUGACAAGUUUUAACGCUUUCAAGAUACUUAUUCCUUAAAAGUAAAGCUUUUUCACAAUCCUCCAAAAUUAGUGACGGUGCGUGAUAAAGUGCAGCCAUUCUUGGAGCAAUGUCUAAGACUCAUGCUCUAUAAAUUGCUUCGUUGAUGAAACUAGAGAUUAAUACUCAGCUUCAAAUUCUCUAUGCGAGAGAGAGUGUGUUUGGGUGUGCAUGCGUGAUAUAAUUGUGUGAAAAAAAUAGUUUAUUUGGAUCAUAUCCACGUGUAGCGUGAUGACCAUUCAAUCUAACAAAGCUUGUUACCACAUUAUUUAUAGUGAGCUAAAUGUCCACCGAUUGUUAUUUAAACUUCAUGAAAUACUCAACAAUUGGUAGCAAUGAGAUGCUGAUACCUUGCCUAAUAUGCAUGAUCAUAAUUGUAAUUUAAAUUGAUUUACUCUAAUUUCAAAAACUCUAUUCUUAUAUGCAAUGCAGUCCUGCUUUCAAUUGAUUUGAUUCCUACACUUUUCUUUAGUUUGAGUAAUUGAUUCAUCUCCAUUACUUUAGUUUGUUCAAUUAGGUCUCUCAAAAUUAUUUUAGUAUGUUUCAUAUGUCAUACACUGGUUGAUUAUCACAAAGGAAACUGCUAAAAUGGACUACAAUCUACUGAAGCUAUUGGAUUAAAAAAAUUACACAAAUGGAUAUCGUAUGCGUAAUAUAUAUUCAAAACUAUUGAAAAGAAAUACACAUUUGUUUCUUUCGUGUAAUUCAUUUGAAACAAAUUAUUUGCUCGGUCACUUUAAGAGGUCAUUCUUAUUCGUCAUCCCAAUAUGUCAGCUAAGUAUGGAUUUUGCUGUUCUUGUCAAAGCACACCAAAUAAUCCUUUCUCCAUUCACACAAUAUCGAUUGAAUGAAGAAGAAAGCACAUUGUUUUGUUAAGUGGGAGGUUUAAUCCUUAUCUGAAACAUUUUCUUGAAUUUAAGAAUGAUACUGAAUUUUUAAAAUAAUCUAGGAACCUCAUUAAUUUAAAGCUGAUGAAAUGGUCAAGAGAGAGAAUGCUCCUUGGGCAAAGUUAAGGGCUUAUUAAAUAAAUCAAAAGGUCAAGGACGUCAUAACACGUAAACGAACAAUAAUGAAUUUUUAAGACUCCUAGGGCGUGCAUGGAAACACUCCAAAAAAGUGUUUCCGGCACACUUCUGUACGGAAAGUGUUCCCGGGAACAAAAAAGGAACAGAAACGCGUUUGGUUGCGUUUCUGUUCUUUUUUUGUUUUUUUGUUUCUGGAACGAAAUAGAAACAGAAAAAAGAAACAAAAAAAAGUUGUUUCUCCUGAAAGAAACACUUCUCGGAAGGAACAAAAGAACAAAAAUCACUCUUCUCUCUCUUCUUCUUCUCUUCUUCUUUUUUUUUUUUUUUCUUCUUUUUCAUUUUGGCCGGUCGCCGGCCUCGGCCAUGGCCGGCGACCGGCCGUCGAGGCUCGGCGUCGCCGGCGCGGGCGAGGCCGAGCGUCGCCGGCCCCCGGCGAGCCCAAGCCUCGCCGGGGGCCGGCGAUGCUCGGCCUCACCGGAUCUAGGCGAGCCCGAGCUCGCCCAGCCAAGGCGAGGCCGAGCCUCACCCAACCACGGCCAGGCUCGGCCUCGCCGUGGGCCGGCGAGCCUCGCCGUGGCUGGGCGAGGCUGCCAGCCCCGUCGGCCGGUCGCCGGAGGCCGGUGACCGGCCGAAGAAAAGAAAAAAUAAAAAGAAAGGAAAAAUAAAAAAAUAAAAAAAAUGUUUAAAAAAUUAAAAGAAACAAAAAAAUAAUAAAAAUUACCAAACGUGUUUCUGUUCAUUUUUUAUUCCCGGACCAAACGUUACCAAACGUGUUCUUUUGUUCAAAAACUGUUCCCCAAAACAGAAACACUUUUUUUUGUUUCUGUUCCCAGGAACAAAAAAAGAACAGAAACAAAUCCAUGCGCACCCCUAGCUUCCUUCGACUUGGUUAGCAUCUGCAAAGAGUGAGGAGACCAAACCCCCUAUUUUAAGAAACCUCCUAGCUUCCUUGGUCAAAAAGCGACCGGCCGUACAUAGUCAAUAGUCGAAAAUUGCAUUCGUCCUUUUUCUUUUUUCUUUUUGUCUUCAAAUCCAAAAUAAACUCAGAUGGAGGUUACAAACACUGGAUCCAAUCAGCUAUAUUGAAUAACGAAAACCAAAUACUAAACCUGAUUUAGGAAUAAAGAACCUCUAUUUCUGCAAGGCGAAUUCAUCNNNNNNNNNNNNNNNNNNNNNNNNNNNNNNNNNNNNNNNNNNNNNNNNNNNNNNNNNNNNNNNNNNNNNNNNNNNNNNNNNNNNNNNNNNNNNNNNNNNNGAUUUGCAAUUGAAAAUUAUAUGUUAACAAGCAUUUGGUCCAUAAAGAUUAAAGUCCAUCCUAAAGUUGGCCAAAAAAAAAAAAAAAGCAAGAAAAAAAAGGCCAAUUGAGGCGGGUUUUUGGCGGAAGUAUUUCUUGAUCAAAACUGCAGUAAAAAAUCCUUCUCGUUGAACUCGUAUCUAUAGUUUUCGUGAAACUACAUAUAAAAAUGUUGCUAGCUUGACAUGUCUCUAGUAUUUUGCCGAUUUUGCAUGAUAGAAGAUUUGUUUAGCAUGUAGUCUUGUCGGCACCUAUUCAUUUUUUUUUUUAUGGGCUAAUAUCCCGAAAAAUCCCAAACUGUUAUAUAUGUGAUAAAUUUACCUCAAAUAAAAUUUUUGAUCACAAAAAAUUAUAAACAAAUAUAUAUGUGAUAAAUUUGCCAUAAACUCAUUUUUUGACCACUAAAUAGUUCAAAUUGAUAUGCCUAUAACAAAUUUAUCAUUUAUUAGUUUCCGUUAAAUUUUAUUGUCAAAUUGCUAAGUUAGAAUACAUGUAACCGUUAGCAAUGUAGUAAUAUGAGGUUCUACCUUUUAUUUGUCAUAGAUAUACUGAUUUUGUGGUUUUUCAUGGUAUUAAUAUAAUUUUAAGAAUGGUAUGUUUGUUAUAAAUGUAUUAAUUUGUGAUUUUUAGCAAUAAAAAUAUUAAUUUGGGACAAAUUUAUCAUAAGUGUACCUAUUUAAAAUUUUUAGUGAUAAAAAAUUAAUUAAGUAAAAAUUUAUCGUAUGUGUAUUAAUUUAAAAUUUUGGUGAUAUUAAUUUUUUUUAUUGUGUUCCCGUUCAAGGACAGCAUGCCCACAUCAAAUGGUAAUUUAGGGCAGAUCGAGAAUCUUUUAUGAUCAGGCCAAAUGUACGAGCUGCCCCGGAAUUUUCUCCCGGAACUUCCCAUCUUCCUCUCUCAUUCAAACUCUCUUGGUUAGGAUCACCCAAAGGAAAAUGAUUGAAUCCUCCUGUCGGCCACUUGCCCCGGUAUUUUCCUUGCUCCUUCACAGAUAGCGUGAGAGGCACGCCCACUUUGUCUUGAUCGCAAUGUGUAUUAUGGGUGAAAAGAUCUUUCUUUGGGCUCAGUUCCUUCUGCGUCUUUCUGAGAUCUGAGAAAUUCCCCAAAAGCAAAUGAAAUCCGUGUGUCUGCACCUUUUUCGGGGACGCGUCUGGUUCGUUCUUUCACCCCCUGCUUCGUUUAUCUUUGAUUUCUUGUCAGCAAAACUGAAGAGAUAAAGUUAAAAAAGAAGAAGAAAAAACAGAGGGAAAGCAGAGGAUUCGGCGGAUAAGAACAAGAUAAGCGGGAAGAGGACACAAUAAGGGCACGUGAAAGGAAAAGAAAAAGGUCACCAAAGGAAAGAAAACAGAGAGGACAUGAGUUUGAUGCUUCCGGACACUCGACGUGUUUGUGGGGCCUUGGAAACGGAUAUAGAUGACUGGAUGAUGCAGGAAGCCGACCCCCCUAGCGCUUGAACAAACCAGGCAACUAGGCAAGCACUUGGCCAAGAGGUGGAUGGGCUGCCGGACACCCGACUGUUGGAAUUUUGUUUGUUAAAACAAAAUGGGUGCCUUUUACUUUGUCCCACAUAGAAAAUGUGGGAGCAAGUGGAUCAGUUUAAAUAUGCGGGAUUUCCUUUUGUAGUUAAAUAAGUGAUUAGGUGGGGGUGGACCCGACCAUACCCGCGUGCGGGUGCGCGAUUUUGGCGCGAUUUUUUAUUUAUUUUAUUUUUAGUUCAAAGGUUGCCUUUUAAUAACAUUGGAGAGCAAUUACUAGAAUUUUUGGUUAUCUUAAGAGAACUAAAAAUUUAGGAUUGUUCUACAAUAAUUAUCCGCCUAUAUUAGAAGGAUACACCGAUGCUAGUUGGAUUACAAGUGUGGGAGAUGAGCGUUCCACUUCUGGAUGGAUCUUCACACUAGCUAGAGGUGCUGUAUCUUGGGCGAGCAAGAAACAGACAUGUAUAACUCACUCAACAAUGGAAUAUGAAUUUAUUGCUUUGGCGGUAGCUGGGAAAGAGGCUGAAUGGAUUAGAAAUUUGUUGUUGGAUAUCAAAUUAUGGCAUAGUCCUAUGCCUCCUAUUUCUAUCCACUGUGAUAGUCAGGCCAUUUUGGCAAGAGCCUAUAGUAGCACCUAUAAUGGUAAGUCUAGACACAUUAGUCUAAGACAUGAAUAUAUGAGACAAUUGAUUAAAGAUGGUACCAUAACAAUUGUCUAUGUGAGGUCAAGUAAAAAUCUUGCCGAUCCUUUGACGAAGGCUUUACCAAGACAUAUGGUAAUAAUGACCUCACAAGAAAUGGGGCUGAAACCCUUUAAUUGAAAUCACCAAUAAUGGUAACCCGACCUUUUUCUAGAAUAUCACUAGUUACAAGGUUUAAUGGGUAAGAACAAGUUAUUGAAUGUGAUUGUUUGAUACUGACAUAGCUUUGAUAUGAGAAGUCAGUAUCGUCUGUUACGUUUUGAAUGCUGAAUUGAAUUCUUAAUGAAGUAUGAUACUAGUUUGUAGUGUGUUGAUAGUAACAGAAACACAUGGUAGAUACUUCACCUAUACGAGCUUAGAAGUAGUGCCGCUUCUUACGAAAGUUAGGGUUGCUUUCUAGAGAGCUCAUGAAACAGGAUCAAGCACAAGGCCAUAAUAGUGCGGAGUAAUAUAGAAAUUCUCGCUGAAACAAGAGAUUAAUGUAUGUGUGGUAUGUCUGGUUCUAUUACAUAAAAGUACAAGUUUAAAGCCGAGCUACUUGUCACUUUGAUAGAGCUUUGAUAUAUUUGCACUAAGUAAAGGUUUAACUCGAAAGAGACCUUUAUGUAUGUAUAUUAAUCUUACUGAAGCUUUGGCUGUAUGGUUUUUAAAAAUUUUAUUUUGAAAUAUUUGUUUUACAAACAAAGUGGGGGAUUGUUGGAAUUUUGUUUGUUAAAACAAAAUGGGUGCGUUUUACUUUGUCCCACAUAGAAAAGGUGGGAGCAAGUAGAUCAGUUUAAAUAUGUGAGAUUUCCUUUUGUAGUUAAAGGAAUGAUUAGGUGGGGGUGGACCCCACCAUACCCGCGUGCGGGUGCGCGAACAAUUGUGCGAUUAUUUAGUGCACUUGGCACGCCUGCGCGCCCCGCGGUUUAAUUAGCAUUAAUCCCUUGCUAUUUAUUUAUUUAUUUAUUUAUUUUAGUUCAAAGGUUGCCUUUUAAUUUGAGAAUUCCGGAAAUGAAAUAUAAAUGAAAAUUCGAAAUUCUAUUUAAAAAUUAUUAUUAUUAUUAAAUAAAAAUAUUUCGAAUUUUGUUUGUGUCUUUUCAAGACAACCUUUGGAAAAUUACCUAUUUGGUUUUUAACUUUCCCGAAGGAUUGCAAUUGUUCGUUUUUCGACUUCUUCUGAAGAGUUGCAUUUGUUUAUCCGAACAAUUUUCUAAAGACGUGUUUGUUCGCAAUUUUCACGAAGAGUUGCAAGACUGUUUCAUAUAUAUACUUGUCAUUUUUCGGAAAGAAAAGUGUGGUCAUUUUCGAGUCUUCUUUAUGAAAAACUACAGCCAAUUGUUCGAUUGUUUCUUAGAGAGACCCUGGAGAAAUACUAGAAUUGCUAUUUAGUAUUUUCAUCCGAGACUUUGUUGUAUCAUGGAGGAUUUUUGCCGGUGACUAUGAGCAACGUUGUGGGGCAAAUAAAUCCUUAAAGAAAGUUAUAUUACGCCUCAAAGUCCGAGUUGUUUUACUCGAUCCAAUUUCAUUGUUCAACCCAUUUCGAAGCCAUAUUUACCAACACCGACAAACCUCCCAAGCCAAAAGUCUUUUCCAACAUAGUGCUCGAGCGACGGGCCUAUUUUUGUCAGACACCUAAGCCUCGAUUUUUAUGUAUAUCUAAUGAACAACUUGUAAGAAAUCUAAAGAUAAAGAAUGUUUAAGAAGAGAUAAUGAGAAUACUCAUUUCUUGCUCGAAUCGUUUCGUUUAUUUACUCGUGUUAGUAGUGACAAUAGUUGAUGCAAGAUUCAAACUAUGCAAUUCAGCUGAAAAAAAUCUCCCAACAAUAGUAAAGGUCGGUUAAACUAGGAGCGAAAUCUCAUUCUACGGUUCUAAACUUAACGGGCGCAUCAGAUGAUAGGUUUAUUUUGUAUUUACAUUGAAAUCAUGUGAGCAAUUCAGUGAAGCUGAUAGAAAAGACCAAGCGAUAUUAGUCUGAUACCGUCCCACACGUAAUUGAUCACUGUACCUGGAAAAUGCAGAUAAUGCCAAAGAAGGACUCAAAGAAAAAAGGAAGAAGGACAGACUCCCCAAGUCUUGGUCUUCUCUUUAUUAUUAAGGAAACUUCUGUAAGAUAUGAAAUGAACCCAAGUGAUCCGGGUGUUGAAUGAAGUGAGCAUGAAAACGCGGAGAGAAACACCAGAUUCACCAUUAUUUAAUCUGCUAAACAAUGAUGGUGAUGGGAGUCGCUUAAAGUUAAGUGAAGAACUAAUAUGAAAAGACCAAGACUUCUUAUGAGCCUAAUAAUUUUUUUUCCCUAAUUUCAGUUGCAUCUUAGUUAGAGGCUUUCCGAGUUCGAAUGUCUCUCUGUUCACACUCGCCAAUCUGCAACAUUUACUCGAAAGCCAUUGGCAGGCGCGCAGCGAAAUUGAUGUUGAUUUCCAUUCUCGAGAAAAUUAUAGUGCUUGCCAAUUCUUUUCGCUGAAGCUUUGAUCUACUGUAGUUGAACGAACGUGUAAUGACCGUGCAGCAACACUGACCAACCGCUCCAUCGUUAGCAACUGAUUGUAUGUGACAAUCUGCACUGAGUAUAGAAGUUAAAAAUAGAAAAAAUGGCAAUGGUUGACUGAUGAACAUGCCAUCCGAGUAAAUUCCUUCUUUACAAACUUUUCUGAACCAAUUCCAAUUACUGGUGAACCAUGACAAUGAGGGACGUAAUUCAUUUGAAUGCGACAUGGUAGAAAAGCAUUAAUCCCCUGAUUAAAACAUCAGAGUACAGCAGUUUUUGCUCCCGUCCAACCAUCCUGAUGUGCAUAAGUAGAAACGUCAAAAGGAUUUUUCCAGCUGAAUUCGACUACUAAAGGAGCUCAUUUAUCUUCAUCGAUUUUGAGGGAUUAGACGAGAGAACAGCCGCGGAUACACACUGAAUCCCAAUGCUGUUAGACGUUUACUCAGGGUGUCGACUGACUUUGUUUUGUCCCAAAACAACUGUUUGACUGACUCUGGAUGCUUCCACAAAAUACCUCCCCCGCAGAAACGUUCUUCAUUUGUAGUUCAGUACGCGUCCAUCUUCUUUCGCAGGGUUUUCUACGAAACUACCUGAAUUCGAGCCUAGAGCAGGAGAGGUAUUCGUCUACAUGCAAUGAUGGACCCCAGCAGGAAUUGAAUAAAAAGCUGAACGGCAACCUGAGUAAAUGUAAUAAUGCCCUCACUUUUCCUAAAGCCAAUUUUUGUUUUUUUGUUUUUUACCCUUAUUGGUUUGUGGUACGACGGAAUAGUGUGUUGGACGAUAUUUUGCCAUGGAAAAACAGAUUCUCUGACGUCGAAUAUGAAAGAGUGGGUCAUGAAAAGUCGGUUCAUGCAGGGAUUGUGAUGAUGAUCUGAUUCUUGAUUUUCCACAUUUCAUUAAGUCAAUUAACUUCACUAGACAAUCGUUAUUAGGACCAAUCAAUCCCGACAAUAAUUGAAAAAAUUAGGAUCAAACCUCUCCUAUGCUGUUGAUAAGUGCAUGUUGAGAAAAAAAGGUGGGAUUCAAUCACGCAAAAUGCAUUGUUUUAAUGUAUUUUACCUUGAAAGUCAAUAUGGUUUGGUAUCUUCAGAACUAAAUUGUACAUUACUAAAGCAUAACAGCUCCGAUUAAGUGGCGAUCAAAUAUAAAACAUGCCCUAUAGCAAAAGGAUUCAAUAAUCUUAACAAGUGAAUGCACUUGCCCAAACUCGGAAGAACAGCGGCCACCCAAGUCAAAGCAAUAAAAGAAGUAAUGCUUUUUCACAAUCUUCCGAGGUUUGUGGCGGUACCUGAUUCAAGUGCAACCAUUUUUGAAGCAGUGUCCAAGACUAAUGCUCCAUAAAUAGCUUCGUCGAUUGAAACUGUAGAUUAAGCCUCAGCUGCACCAAUUGAGAGAGAGAGAGAGUCUUUGCGUGUGUAAUAUAAUUGUUUAUUUGAGAGUAACGAUUCAAUUUGACGGAUAACGGCAUCUGCCAAUGUUCUACAUACAUAAAUUUUAGCAAUUACAUCGUUUCCGCAACUUCACUCGACGUUGAAUUAUAUUUUGGGAGACGUGGCCACUCAUUCCAUCCUCCAAGACCUCCGAGUUUAUCGAGCUCUGUAGCGGAGAAAUAGUUGCGAUUUUUCUCAUAAUUACCUUCAAUUUCACAGACCAUCUUGCCUUGUGGAUUAAGAUGUCAAGAUAUAUCGGCGGGCAAUCGAUGAAUGAGUCAAAAGGACUCCCUGAUGGGGUUUCCAUGGGCACUAAUUUCGUGCAAAAAUGCUCGUUUUGACAGGAGUUUCCCUCUUCUAUUCUUCUCUCUUUCAUACUGCUUUUUACCCUUGCUUGUACGGCUUCCUGUGCCCGGUCUUUUUGAUUCGCAUCUUAGCACAGGAAUACGUGGGAAAUUUCUGCGAAGCACAAAUCUUUUCUUCUCUCUUUCACACUGCUUUUACCGUUACUUGUACAGCUGCCUGUGCUCGCUCUUUUCGAUUCGCAUCUCAGCGCAGCAAUACAUGGGAAAUUUCUGCGAAGCACAAUUCUAUUCUUCUCUCUUUCUUGCUGCUUUUACCCUUCUUAGGACAGCAAUAUAUGAGAAAUUUCUGCGAAGCACAAUUCCAUCCUUCUCUCUUUCAUACUGCUUUUGCCCUUACUUGUACGGCUGCCUAUGCCCGCUCUUUUUGACUCGCAUCUUAGCACGGCAAUGCAUGGGAAAUUUCUGUGAAGCAUAAUAUUAUCGUCUCUCUUUCAUAUUGCUUUUACCCUUACUUGUACGGCUGCCUACGCCCGCUCAUUUUUACUCGCAUCUUAGCACGGCAAUGCAUGGGAAAUUUCUGGGAAGCCCAAGGAGGACAAUGCUAUCAACUCUAGCCAAAAUUGAAGCAAUUCUAGCAUUUUAUUUUUACUCAUGUCGGAGAUAAAUGAGGAGGUCCGGAAUAUUCAAAUGAAAAUUUUCUUCUAUGAAAUUGAGGGCGCAUUCAUAUUUUUCACUAUUUUUGCCCCAACGCACCGAAAAUAUCUUCAGAAACAUGGAAAAUGUCCNNNNNNNNNNNNNNNNNNNNNNNNNNNNNNNNNNNNNNNNNNNNNNNNNNNNNNNNNNNNNNNNNNNNNNNNNNNNNNNNNNNNNNNNNNNNNNNNNNNNNNNNNNNNNNNNNNNNNNNNNNNNNNNNNNNNNNNNNNNNNNNNNNNNNNNNNNNNNNNNNNNNNNNNNNNNNNNNNNNNNNNNNNNNNNNNNNNNNNNNNNNNNNNNNNNNNNNNNNNNNNNNNNNNNNNNNNNNNNNNNNNNNNNNNNNNNNNNNNNNNNNNNNNNNNNNNNNNNNNNNNNNNNNNNNNNNNNNNAGUGGGAAUGCGAAAUUUGAUCAUUGGGUGAGGUGCCUUUCAUUCUCCCUAUAUCCCCGUCGAAACGACUUCUCCAAAUCUGGGAAGGGUCGGUCCUUGCCCGCCCGUGGCGGGGUAAUGCGUCGUUAGAUCUGUGCGACGGCCCGCCUCGGCGUUCGACCAGAGGAAGGAGAAGAAGGCAAAAAAAAAAAAAAAAUUAAAAAAAAUUUUAAAAAUUCGAAAAAAAAUAAAAAAAAAUUAUUUUAAAAAUAAAAAUUACCUCGCCGGCCGGCUGUCCCCUGUCGGCGUCCACGUCAGCGCCGGCCGGCCAAUUUUGGCCGGAUGGACUGAAUUGGCACAAUUAUAAAAGGUUUAGGAUUAAAUUGGACAAAAAAAAGUUUAGGACUGAAUUGGCACAAUUACAAUAGGUUUAUGAUUUUUUUGGUAAUUCUCCCCAUUAUUGAGUGGUUGAAGAAGGAAAUUCGAUCUUAUGACUUGCAAUUAACAUGGCAGCAACUUGAUCUAAAUGUGUAAUGUGCAUUGCAUUUUGUCCUACACUUUUUGACAUGGCCAUUCAAUAAAUGAUGGAGUUCGUCACCACAUCAUUGACUAGUGCUCUAAAUGCCCGUAAUUGUUAGUAAAACUGCUUGAAAUACUCAAUAAUUAAUAGCAAUGUGAUAGUGAUAUCUAAAUUCUUGCUUAAGGUGCAUUAUCGUAAUUGACAUUUAAAUAGAUUUAAUUAGGUCCAACAACUUUGUUACGACCUGCAAUGCUUUUCUGAAUUUUGAAUUGAUUUAGUAGAAUGCUAAACUUUUGUUUANNNNNNNNNNNNNNNNNNNNNNNNNNNNNNNNNNNNNNNNNNNNNNNNNNNNNNNNNNNNNNNNNNNNNNNNNNNNNNNNNNNNNNNNNNNNNNNNNNNNNNNNNNNNNNNNNNNNNNNNNNNNNNNNNNNNNNNNNNNNNNNNNNNNNNNNNNNNNNNNNNNNNNNNNNNNNNNNNNNNNNNNNNNNNNNNNNNNNNNNNNNNNNNNNNNNNNNNNNNNNNNNNNNNNNNNNNNNNNNNNNNNNNNNNNNNNNNNNNNNNNNNNNNNNNNNNNNNNNNNNNNNNGCUAGUGAGAAGUACAGAGGAUUUUGCUGUUCUUUUCAAAGCAUAGCAAACAAAUCCAUUCUCCAUUUCACAUGAUUUCCAUUGAAUCACGAAGAAGGCGCAAAAGGUUUAUCCUAAUCCCAAACCCUUCUCAAACUUAAGACGAUACUAAAUAUUUGAAAAUGAUUUAGGAACCUCAUUAAUUUAUAACCAAUCGAAAGUUUUGUAGCGACAAUGCUCCUCAGCCAAAGCGUAGGACCUACUUGAUAAAUUGGAAGGCCGGGCAUAUCAUUGGACUUUAACUGACAAUGUUGAAUUUUAGGACCAAAAUUCGAAAACUAGUGGUCUCACUGCCCCUCUAUUCGAUGGUACAUUCGUUGAUGAAAUCAAUUGGAUUUGCAAUUUUCAAAGAGACUCAAAAAUUAAAUUGAAAUUCGUACUGGAUGAUAAGAUUAAAAGCAUAUGACCAUUCCGUUUGCACAGCCACAAGCAUUUGCCUUUUAUUGAUCGAACCUUGUUGCUUCGACGUUGGAAACAGGUUUUUUUCUCCUCGUAUAUCCCUAUGCAACAGAAGUUUGAAGGAACUAUCAGCUGUCGGCAAACUGAGUAGCUUCAUUUGGGUGCAUAAAAUUUUUUAUUGAAAUCGCGGACAAACUGUUGAAUACAUCAGAAGACGGAUUUGCAUAUAGAUGAAUAGCACAAAGGGAUAUCACUUGCUUACUUCAGGCCAACUGAAAAAAGGGUGAAAGAGUCCUGGCAGCUCUAUAUCACUUUUCUUAAUAGGGCCGUCUAUAAAAUAUAUCGAGAAUUUAAGCCCAUUGAACAAAGCCCGACUAAUGAAAAUGCGUGAACUCGACCAUGUACAAGUCAAAAAUUGGCAUACCAGAAUUGGCUGGCCAAGAUUUCAAAAAGCGUGAAGAAAAAUCAAUUACAUGUGACUUUGUUGCCUUCUCCAAUUCCAAUAUAUCGUGCAUGUUGGAUUCUUUGGCACGCUGAAUUUGUUGCCCUAGAAGAAGGGGCUCACACACACGCAUACAUAUAUACACCUGAUCAUAUUUUACUUUAAAUUAAUUUACUUAGGUUCAAGAACUUUAUUCUAAUAUGCAAUGCAUUCAUGCUUUCACAUGAUUUGUUUAGAUGUCCUACACUUUUGUUUAGUACGUGAAUUGGUCCAUCUCUAGAACUUUAGUUUGUUCAAUUAUGUCUCUUGAAAUUAUUUUAGUAUGUUCAUGUGUCUUAUGCCCGUUGAUUAUCGAAAGGAAAUGGCCACAAUGGACAACAAUCAACUGAAGUCGCUGGAUAAAAAAAUUAUACAAAUGGAUUUCGUGUGUGUAAUAUGUAUCCCAAAUGAUAAAAAAAAUAAUACUCAUUCAUUUCUUAUGUAUAAUUCAUUUGAAACAAAAGAUUUGCUCGGUCACUUUAAAUGGUGAUUCUUAUUCAUCAUCCGAAAAUGUCAGCUAAGUAUGGAUUUUACUGUUCGUGUCAAAGCAUCGCCAACAUUCCGUUCUCCUUUAACAUAUUACGCUUGGAUCGGGGAGAAAGCACAUUGUUUUGUUAAGUGAGAGGUUUCAUCCUUAUCAGGAAACUUUUUUUGAAAUUAAGAAUGAUAUUUGAAUAUUUGCAAAUAAAUUAGAAACCUCAUUAAUUAAAAACUAAUGACAAGUUCAAGAGGGACAAUGCUCCUUGUGUCACACCCCGAAACCAUCAUAAAUGAGGGUGACACGGCCAUCCUUCCACUCGAAGGACGCAGCCUCAAAGCUCCCAAAAUCCAAUUCCUAAAAGUCCGCUCAUCGAUAUCGCUCUUGUACUACUUAUCGUACUAGUUAUCAUGAGCUGAGGAACCUAAAAAAGAUUGGCAAAUAGGGAGGUGAGCAACCACAGCUCAGUGAGUAGUUCAUCAUUUCUAAACAGAUCGAGCACCCACUAUACAUAUUUACAAAACCAAAGUACAACUCUUUUAACACAAAUCUAGAAUAUAACAAACAAAUAAUACGAGAAUAAGUUAUGUACACUUAAGAAUAGCUACAUUCAUUUCACAAUAACAUCAAAACAAAUAUCAAUGGUCAAAUCCAUUUAUCAAUCUCAUUAAGUCACACGCCAAUGGUUCAUUUCAUUGAUCAGUCUCAUGCCAUAUUUCAAUGGUUUAUUUCAUUGAUCCAUCUCAUAGGAAACCGCAAAUUGAUGAUCCAUUCUAACGACUAAACUCAAAUUACAUGUUAAUGGUCCAUUCUAUUGACCAAUCCAUUGCUCAAUAUCAAACUAUGGUCAUGAUACAAUGCCUAAUGACGGGCAACCAAAAUUUCCCCCUUAAUAAGGUCUCCACCUAUUAUUGGCCGUGACUCAGCCCACAAUGAUACAUUAGACUAGUAUGUACAUACCCACAAGCCUCUCGCUAGACUGGCAGCAAUAUUGAGCAUUAAUAUCAAUCCAAAACAAUACCAUCCAUAAUUCACAAACCAAAUCCAUAAAUCAUUUUUUAUAUCACCAAAAGAUUUCACAACUAUUUUUUAUGCCAGGUUAGGCAGACAAUGANNNNNNNNNNNNNNNNNNNNNNNNNNNNNNNNNNNNNNNNNNNNNNNNNNNNNNNNNNNNNNNNNNNNNNNNNNNNNNNNNNNNNNNNNNNNNNNNNNNNUUAUGUUCUGAGAUUCUUACACAAAGUGCCGAAGAGAAAAUGAAACAAGAAGAGAGGAGAGAGCAAGCUCAUAUAUAGAGGCUUUCCGGGUUCGAAUGUCUCUCUCUGUGUUCAUAUGUUUGAGCUACUUUGCAGCCUCCAAUCUGCUGCCUAUAGUCGACUAGCCCAUCGGGGUGGGUAGAGGGAAGACAAUGCCGAUUACAUUCUUGAGAGAAUUCUAGUGUUUGCCAAUUCUUCUCACCUAAGCCUCAAUCUACGACUGUAGUUGGAUGAAUGUGUCACGACUGAGCAGGAACACUGACCAGACGUCAAUCAUUUGCAACUGAUCAUAUGGAGAAAUCUGGAGUUAAAACAGAGAAAAAGGAUAAUGGUUGAUUGAUGAAGGUAUCAUCUGAGUAAAGUGCUUCACAAACUGUUCGGAGCUAACUCCAAUUACUGGUCAACCAUGACGAAGAGUGACAUUAUUCGUUCGAAUGAGACACAGUAGAAAAGCGUUGGUCACCUGAUUAAAUCCGUCUGGCCAAACUAUGGACACGGCCUAGUUUCCCAUUGGCUGAAUCUCUUCUGGUUCGAUGUCUUCCGGAACAUUGGAAUACUGCAGUUUUUGCUCCCCUGUCCACUCAUCCUGAUGUGCAGAUAAGUGGCAUAAGAAAGAAUCUCUUCACUAGUCCAAGUCACAAUAUCUAAGACAAGCACAGGACAAGUAGAAACUUCGGAAGGAAUAACUUAAGCUAAAUUCCACCACUAAUCUUCAUUGAUUUUGAGGGAUUAGACUGGAGAAUAACCGCUGUUAUACUCUGAAUCCCUAUGCUGUUCGGCAUUUAUCAGCAUGACAAAGGAUGCCAAAGGAGGGGAAAUCAGAGUAAAAACUUUUGAGGCAAGAAGUAUUUUUAGUCGACUGAAUAGAUUUAAAUGAAGAAGUUCAAUACUCUAAAAUCUACCAUGCCAAAUCACUAAUACUCAAGAAUUCAGUUGAUAGAACACUCGGAUUACUGAGAUCUGGUAUGGUUAGUUUAAACCAUCACGUGAAGAUAAGAGGUAAGGUUUGAGUGAAAACAUGCUCGACCUUCAUGUACAGGUGCUUGGAUUAUGGGUAAUGGCGUGAAAGCUGCUCAAAUCCACUUAUCUACAUUUUCAAAAUGCAACUGUAGACCUCUGAUUNNNNNNNNNNNNNNNNNNNNNNNNNNNNNNNNNNNNNNNNNNNNNNNNNNNNNNNNNNNNNNNNNNNNNNNNNNNNNNNNNNNNNNNNNNNNNNNNNNNNNNNNNNNNNNNNNNNNNNNNNNNNNNNNGGUUAUGCGUGAUUGUGUUGACACCGCUGCAAUAAAAACCUACAUAUCAGAGGAUUUUUCCAGGUCAAAGGAAAGUCCUUAUACCACAAUUUGAGCUGAUCGGUUGUUUCUUCUCAUGGUCGUGGGGUGUAGAAAGAACUCCUCGUCUGAAUCUGGAACCUUCGCUUUGAUUGCCUUGAUAACUUUAUCAUGAGUUACGGCUGUUGACACUGGAAAGGAAGAUGACACUUUGAAUCAUUUGAUUAUGAAAGCCAAAAAUAAAAAAGAUAUGCAAUUUCUGAAGGUAUUCCUUUAGUUCAAUCGUCGGAGGGGAGAUGAGCCUAAAAUUUUAGUGGCAAAUGACGAACUGGGAAAGUUCUCAUCUUAGGAAUCUAGUUAGACACUGGCACUGGAUUCUCGAAACACAGAUAUCUCUCUCAACCUUUAUCAAGAAAUUGUCUUAACCUAAUAAAUAUAAACUACCUUGUUGACGAAUCUUGGCACACUGUUGCACAACACACACUCCAAGGUCCUGGAAUGUCUUGGCAACUUCUCCUAGAGGAUCUGCCACAACUUCUGGCAUUCCACUAUCUCCAAAAGCUGAUAACUAAUAUCAAUGGAAGAAAUCAUUAUUAUUCAUCAUGCUUCAACAGGAGUAAGAAUGGACAUUAAGAGAACAAAGGCACAACAAUGAGAGAUAAGAUCAAAGAACUUGUCAGAGGAUAUACCGUUGGUCUAAUGGGAAGAUUGAAUAAAUGAGGAAUUCCGAACUGCUGGAAAACCUGUAAAUAAAUCCAGCACAAUCUGAGGAAACAGAGAAUAUGCUUCAUCCUUUAACACCAGUGUAACCCUAGGAUUAGCGCUCUGGCAUUCCAUUGUAACAAGUAAACCAAACAAUAGGUAAUCCGAGAAACAUACCUGAGAGCCUGAUCCUCUACCAAGUGGGUAAUAGUGCUUUCCAUCGGCAUCAAAGUGGCACAUAUUUUCCACAACAGCAUCAUGGUACCUGUGUGCAUGAACAGUGGAUUGUCAAAAGAUGACUCUUUGAUAGAUAAAAAGAGAUCAACUAUAGGGCACCGAGAGGGGAAGGGAGGGUUGCAAACCCUAUACAAAAAGAGCCCAAAACUAAAGACAUACACAAAACAGCUCACAAAAACGAAAAAAGGAGCUCAAAUUAAGGAUAAAUCACUGAUGAUAUCAACUAGAACUAUACAUCCAUAUACAAGUUUCCACUGUACCAAAAAUGUAUAACUUUAAGCCAAUUUUCAAUAACAUUCUGUCCAAUAAUUGUCACGGUGAAUUUGUAUCUUUUAAAUUACAUUUCCAUGUUUCAUCAUAUUUUCAGAAUUCUUGACAAAUGAUUCAAAGGAUAAUCAAAGGAUAGUGUUGAAUGGGGAUUGUCAAUAGUACAAAGGCACAAACCUGAAGUUUUGAGAACAUGCGAAUUCCCUUUGCUACAUUUAUAAAUGCAAGCUUUUGAGGGGUGGUAACAAUGACGGCAGCUGUUAAGGGUACAACCUGAAAAGUUAAUAUCAUUACAUUAAGAUUGAAAACUGCAGCAACAAACAAAACUUGCAAGAGUAUUAUCUGAUGCAAAAUGCCUGCAACUAGCAGCUUCUAAUUGUAAAGAUGUGCUUUGUUCGUAAAAGGAUAGAGGGAUAAACAUUAAACCGUUCAUAAUUACUGAUCUAAGAUGAAAAGGCACAAAAUGCGAACCUGGCAUAAUGUAAGCUGAAUGUCGCCAGUCCCCGGUGGCAUGUCAAUAACAAGGUAAUCCAACUCACCCCUGCAAGGGGAGUUUAGUAAUGCUUAGCUGCAGAAGCCCGACCCAGAAGCCAAAAAAAGGAGAAUGAUGAGAGAAAAUCAUUGUUUUUGAUUAACUGUAGUUUACUUUGAAUCAUGCACUUCUCUUAUAGGAAUAUAAUACGCUUUGACAACAAUGACAGUGAACAGAAAUUUGAAUAUAAUAACCACAGCAUGCAAGCAUGACGGACAUUCCCCUGCAAUCAGCCAACGUCAUAGAGUUCCAAUGAUUUUUCAUACCACUCGGUAGUAGUCAAGAGUUGGUUGAUGACACCAGAAACCAUUGGACCUCACAUAAUCGCACGGCCUUGUCCAGCAAAUCCAAAAGAUACCAGCUUCACUCAUAGGUAUUCUGUGGGAAUUCUGCUUCUUUUCUCUGGGUUCUAGAAAAGGUAGGUGGAAAUAAUAAAUGCAUUACUUCACUAAACUAGAAAUUAAUUUCAUUGUAGUGGAAGUGGAACUAUAAGCUUUAUUACCAUUUCCAGAAGUCGGUUAUCAGGGGAAACCAUUGUUGGUAAACUUGGACCAUACACAUCGGCAUCGAAAAUACCAACUCGAGCUCCCAUUCCAGCCAAAGUAUAUGCAAGAUUUACAGCUACAGUUGAUUUUCCCACACCUCCCUAAACAGUUCUGACAGACAGCAGUCAUGAUAGAAGAAAUUAAAGAAUAGUACUUUUUAAUAUUAGUAACCUAACAACAUGUCAAACCACAAUUUGGACCAUCCCACGGGCCUUCCCUUCCUUGCGCACGUCCGGGGACCAAGGCACGGACGCACCGCCAUCCCUCCUCCCCGCGUGGCCCCACACACGAUCGGGAGUCGGCUCUGAUACCAUUUGUAACGACUCGGGCCCCAUUUUGAAUAUUGUCCGCUUUGGACACUGAGUUAAAACGCGUUAAAGCAAAGGCAGAGGACCAUCCCGCAGGCCUUCCCUCUCCCAAGCCAUAAUAUUGUCCUCUUUGGGUCCCACAUUAGCGCGGAUGCACCGCCGACCCAAUCAAGCCACCCUCAAGGCUUUGUUCUCAGCAUAGCGGAAGCAUGUGUGAAAUGCAUUACGCAAAUUAAAAGGGCUCAAACCUUUAUAAACAAGCUCAGGACUCCCUUCUAAGCGAUGUGGGACUAAAGAGGGACCCCUUCCCCUUUAUUGCGCACGUUCGGGGACCGAGGUAUGGACGCACCGCCAUCCCUUCUCCUUCUGCACCAUCGCUUGGGCUGUCACAUUGGUUGUCCCAAAAUCAAGCCAAAAAAUGACACGGGCACAAAGCUGCUGGACGCGUGGAAAUUCAAAAUUUUGUUUCGGACAAACCAUAAGCUCAAAUCACGAUCCGUUUUGCUGGACGCGUGGAAAUUCAAAAUUUUGUUUUGGACAAACCAUAAGCUCAAAUCACGAUCCGUAAAAUCCUAUGGCUCCACAACACCCUAAACUAUCAUUUCUAUAAAAAUAUACGGCUCAACAACUCCAAAAUCGGACCCCACCGCUCAAUUUUCCCAAAAUUCCGAAUUUCAAGCCCUAAUUCCGAAACUACUCCAAUUGGAAGGAUGAAGGCUGCGAUCACUUACCAGGUGUUGUAAAUAAGCUCAGUGAGUUGCCCGUAGCGUGAACACACAAAGCCUCUCUCUUCUUUCUUCUUCUUCUUCUUCUUUCCUCUUUUAUUCUGCCUAACCUUCUGCCUGAACGUGGGCUUUCUUUUCCUUUUUAUCUCUUCCCCUUUUUGUUUUCUUUUUCUUUCUUUAUUUAAAGUGGGUCCCACCACCUUUUCUUUGACCUAAUAAAAAAUCUCGAAUAUUACACAAACUGAGUAGCCUUAAGCGGAGUGCAUAAGAUUUUCAAUUAAAAUCAAUGACAAUCUGUUGUAUGCUUUAGAAGACGAAAUUGCAAACGGAUGAACUGCAAUAAGAGAUAUCACGUGCUUCAAGUCGAUUGAAAAAACCAAGUGCUUAAGAGUCCUUGCAGCAGAAUAUUGCUUUCGUGAAAUAGGGCCUUUGGCGAAUUGAUUACAAGCAGAUCAUACUUGUCGAACGGAGUUAAAUGCGCAGGAAUAGUAGUUCAGAUUUGUCAACAAACAAGGCGUAGUGUUUAAACUUUAAUGACUAGGAUACAGAUCAAACAACCAAUACCUCAGUGUUUCACAAUUUAUGCACAGCCUGGGCGUGAAGGGAGCAAUGGAGCAAACGGAUGCAUUAAACCUAGAGUACUCCCAAACUUUUUAANNNNNNNNNNNNNNNNNNNNNNNNNNNNNNNNNNNNNNNNNNNNNNNNNNNNNNNNNNNNNNNNNNNNNNNNNNNNNNNNNNNNNNNNNNNNNNNNNNNNNNNNNNNNNNNNNNNNNNNNNNNNNNNNNNNNNNNNNNNNNNNNNNNNNNNNNNNNNNNNNNNNNNNNNNNNNNNNNNNNNNNNNNNNNNNNNNNNNNNNNNNNNNNNNNNNNNNNNNNNNNNNNNNNNNNNNNNNNNNNNNNNNNNNNNNNNNNNNNNNNNNNNNNNNNNNNNNNNNNNNNNNNNNNNNNNNNNNNNNNNNNNNNNNNNNNNNNNNNNNNNNNNNNNNNNNNNNNNNNNNNNNNNNNNNNNNNNNNNNNNNNNNNNNNNNNNNNNNNNNNNNNNNNNNNNNNNNNNNNNNNNNNNNNNNNNNNNNNNNNNNNNNNNNNNNNNNNNNNNNNNNNNNNNNNNNNNNNNNNNNNNNNNNNNNNNNNNNNNNNNNNNNNNNNNNNNNNNNNNNNNNNNNNNNNNNNNNNNNNNNNNNNNNNNNNNNNNNNNNNNNNNNNNNNNNNNNNNNNNNNNNNNNNNNNNNNNNNNNNNNNNNNNNNNNNNNNNNNNNNNNNNNNNNNNNNNNNNNNNNNNNNNNNNNNNNNNNNNNNNNNNNNNNNNNNNNNNNNNNNNNNNNNNNNNNNNNNNNNNNNNNNNNNNNNNNNNNNNNNNNNNNNNNNNNNNNNNNNNNNNNNNNNNNNNNNNNNNNNNNNNNNNNNNNNNNNNNNNNNNNNNNNNNNNNNNNNNNNNNNNNNNNNNNNNNNNNNNNNNNNNNNNNNNNNNNNNNNNNNNNNNNNNNNNNNNNNNNNNNNNNNNNNNNNNNNNNNNNNNNNNNNNNNNNNNNNNNNNNNNNNNNNNNNNNNNNNNNNNNNNNNNNNNNNNNNNNNNNNNNNNNNNNNNNNNNNNNNNNNNNNNNNNNNNNNNNNNNNNNNNNNNNNNNNNNNNNNNNNNNNNNNNNNNNNNNNNNNNNNNNNNNNNNNNNNNNNNNNNNNNNNNNNNNNNNNNNNNNNNNNNNNNNNNNNNNNNNNNNNNNNNNNNNNNNNNNNNNNNNNNNNNNNNNNNNNNNNNNNNNNNNNNNNNNNNNNNNNNNNNNNNNNNNNNNNNNNNNNNNNNNNNNNNNNNNNNNNNNNNNNNNNNNNNNNNNNNNNNNNNNNNNNNNNNNNNNNNNNNNNNNNNNNNNNNNNNNNNNNNNNNNNNNNNNNNNNNNNNNNNNNNNNNNNNNNNNNNNNNNNNNNNNNNNNNNNNNNNNNNNNNNNNNNNNNNNNNNNNNNNNNNNNNNNNNNNNNNNNNNNNNNNNNNNNNNNNNNNNNNNNNNNNNNNNNNNNNNNNNNNNNNNNNNNNNNNNNNNNNNNNNNNNNNNNNNNNNNNNNNNNNNNNNNNNNNNNNNNNNNNNNNNNNNNNNNNNNNNNNNNNNNNNNNNNNNNNNNNNNNNNNNNNNNNNNNNNNNNNNNNNNNNNNNNNNNNNNNNNNNNNNNNNNNNNNNNNNNNNNNNNNNNNNNNNNNNNNNNNNNNNNNNNNNNNNNNNNNNNNNNNNNNNNNNNNNNNNNNNNNNNNNNNNNNNNNNNNNNNNNNNNNNNNNNNNNNNNNNNNNNNNNNNNNNNNNNNNNNNNNNNNNNNNNNNNNNNNNNNNNNNNNNNNNNNNNNNNNNNNNNNNNNNNNNNNNNNNNNNNNNNNNNNNNNNNNNNNNNNNNNNNNNNNNNNNNNNNNNNNNNNNNNNNNNNNNNNNNNNNNNNNNNNNNNNNNNNNNNNNNNNNNNNNNNNNNNNNNNNNNNNNNNNNNNNNNNNNNNNNNNNNNNNNNNNNNNNNNNNNNNNNNNNNNNNNNNNNNNNNNNNNNNNNNNNNNNNNNNNNNNNNNNNNNNNNNNNNNNNNNNNNNNNNNNNNNNNNNNNNNNNNNNNNNNNNNNNNNNNNNNNNNNNNNNNNNNNNNNNNNNNNNNNNNNNNNNNNNNNNNNNNNNNNNNNNNNNNNNNNNNNNNNNNNNNNNNNNNNNNNNNNNNNNNNNNNNNNNNNNNNNNNNNNNNNNNNNNNNNNNNNNNNNNNNNNNNNNNNNNNNNNNNNNNNNNNNNNNNNNNNNNNNNNNNNNNNNNNNNNNNNNNNNNNNNNNNNNNNNNNNNNNNNNNNNNNNNNNNNNNNNNNNNNNNNNNNNNNNNNNNNNNNNNNNNNNNNNNNNNNNNNNNNNNNNNNNNNNNNNNNNNNNNNNNNNNNNNNNNNNNNNNNNNNNNNNNNNNNNNNNNNNNNNNNNNNNNNNNNNNNNNNNNNNNNNNNNNNNNNNNNNNNNNNNNNNNNNNNNNNNNNNNNNNNNNNNNNNNNNNNNNNNNNNNNNNNNNNNNNNNNNNNNNNNNNNNNNNNNNNNNNNNNNNNNNNNNNNNNNNNNNNNNNNNNNNNNNNNNNNNNNNNNNNNNNNNNNNNNNNNNNNNNNNNNNNNNNNNNNNNNNNNNNNNNNNNNNNNNNNNNNNNNNNNNNNNNNNNNNNNNNNNNNNNNNNNNNNNNNNNNNNNNNNNNNNNNNNNNNNNNNNNNNNNNNNNNNNNNNNNNNNNNNNNNNNNNNNNNNNNNNNNNNNNCAUAUCUCGAGUGACUAACAAACUAAACCCAAAAAGUAUCAUUACAAAUUACACAUAUAAUUAUCUCAAGUUAUACCCAAAAUUAAAUUUCUAAGAUUCUUCCAUUGAUGCAGCAUUCCUCCUAUUUGCCGACAGCUGAAAAAAAAUUGAGAUGAAUGGUAUAAGCAAACCACCUCUCAAUAAAUAGUGCAUGUCUCUUCUCAAUAAAUUGAGCAUUAGCUAUGCACAUUAUAAACAGUCACAGAAACACAACCAACUCCAAUAUAUAAUAUAUGUAAAAGUCUAAAUAUGAGUUACAUCACUUCAACAAUGUUUUCAACAUAUUAGAAAUGCUCAUUCAAUCAACAAUAUUUAAAAAAACAUCUAUGGUCUAGUCUAUUGAUCACUCUACUACUUCAAAUCAAACUAUAGCCACGUUUAACGCACCAUGACAAGGCUUACCAAGAUUCCCUCCUAGGCAUAGGUCUCCACUAAUGUCAGCCGGUGGCUUUGGCCAUUCAAGACAUCCUGAGAACAUGUAUGCUUACUCACAACUCUUCAAUGAUUUCAAAUCAUAAAGACGAGGAUAAAACCAUCAACGUAAUCCUAUCAACAACAAACUCAUUUCAGAAUUCAUUUAAUUAACCAGAGUCACAAAUCGAUGCAACCUUUCGCAAUUCCAUCCACAAGAACAAUGCAUUCAUGAAAAAAUUUCUUAAACCAAUUCAUAAAUAAUCAGCUCUUCAACUAUUUCAGGAUAUAUUUUACUGUGCUCUUUCGAAAAACCAAAUAGAUAGUAAAUGCAAGAUCCAGCUUUAUACAACAAAGACGCUCUAAACACCAUUUUUUAAAAAUAAAUAUUGUCCCAUGCAAUGUCUCAUUCAUAACUUAUAGAUACAAAUCAUAGAAAAGAUAAGCACCGCUCCUCGCUAACCAAGAGCCAAAUUAAAAGCUUUACUGCUCGAAAAGCUCAAAAAUCCUAUCAAGUAAAGCACCAACCAAAUGCCAAACUUACAUAUUACUAACCUCAACUAAGAUUCUAUUAGGUGACUCUAAUUUUUGGAUUCAAAAUGUCCACUAUGAGUCGACAAAAAGGCCCACAAGCAUCAAACUUGGUAUAGCAAAUAAAGCAGCAACCUUUUAUGCUGCGAAUUCUCUACCAAACUCUGCUUCAAUUGAGUUUACAAUCAAAAGAGAGCUCAUUCAAAAUAUUAAAAGACCCAAAACUCCUUAGAACCAAAAUUUGGCCGAUAACUGAUGAAAUCCGAGGACGAAACCCUACCGGUUGCAGUCACUGUACAUUAGUUUUUGAGAACUUCAAAGAAUCAGUAUCUCUCAAACGGCAAUCCGUAAAAUCUCACGAUUCUAAGACAACUUAACGUUUCGAAACAACACCAUUUUAGGGCUCAGCAAUCUCAAGAAUCAAGUUAACAACCCUAAAACCCGAACCAAUCCGAAAUUGUAACUUAACACAGCAAAUCUCUUUGAUUCAUUAGAUGUAUCAAGGUCUCAAAUUCUUACCGAGUGCUCCAAAAUGGUAUCAACCUAGCUCAUCGUGGCCUUCGAACCGAGUCGCGCCAAAAGCCCCCUUCCGCUCACUCUCUUUUUCCACUCUCUUUUCUUCUGUUUUCUCCUUCUUUUACCGCUUCGAUCCUUUCUCUCUUUCUGCUCUUGAUUUUUCCUAUGAAACAGCUCGAGAAGGGAAACAGAAGAUGGGCUAAGUGCCUAGCACCGAAAUCAUCUCUUUCAGAAGAGGCCCUUUGUGGGCUGAGGCCUUCUUUUUAAGGUGAGGCCCAUAGUUUGUCAAGAAGGCCCGAAAGAUCUACUGGGCCCAUCCUUUCUCUAUCAUAAACGACGCUUUGGUCGUCGAAACCAUCUAACAACGGGCAUCCCAAAACAUCCUUAUGACAUGCAUUUGGUAUAUUUUGCAAUGAUUUACAAGAUACGACUCUCAACCGACAUAGCUUCUCUAGCUUGAGAGCAUCAGGGAUGGGCCUUUCCGUGGAACUGCAAUCUCCAGUUGAUGAUGGUUCGGAUUUGAUCUCAAUUAGUUGUGGGCAGUUGUUCACGCUAAGCACUUGGUGCUCCUUCAAGCUCGAUAGAUUGGAUAGCCUCACAAGCAUCUUGCACUCGCUCACUUCUACAUGUUGGAGAAUCUCUAGCUGUCCGAGCACAUUGUCAAACUCGAUCUCUCUUAACCGACAGCGAAAGAACUUUAAUCUAGACAAAUUGCCCAGGUUGGAGAACAUUGACCAUUCUAUUGGGAUCUUCACAUCUCUUAAGGUCAAGUCUACUAAUCUAGAUGGAAGCCCAGUCAGAGCCCGUGGGUUGGUACAAGCUAUUUCAAGAUCCUCGAGCUGAGAAAGAGAGCUCAAGUCAAUCGGAUGCAUGUUGGAAUUGGAAAGAACCACAAUCAACGUCUGCAAUUUAUGAAGCCUUUCGAGCCACUCUAAGUUCAAAUGUAGAAUUUGUCCUUGUUCAAUUAUGGACAACUCACAUCUAUAAUCGUAAUCACUUAUUGCCAGAUAAUCUAAAUUAGUGAGGUUUGAGAGGUUUGGUGCUGCCUGCAACGAUGAAGACACUAACCUUAGUUUUGUUAAACCUGUGGGGAGAUUUGGUAGUAAUUGAAGCCCCAUACAAAACCAUAAAUCAAGUUUUCUAAGGUUAAAGAGUCGAUUCAUUAUCACUGGCAGUCUAUGAACCUUUGUCCAGGAUAGGUCCAAAAUCUUCAAUUGGGAUAGUCCUGAGAUUUCACUUGGAAUUUCACCCUUGAGAUUUUUACAGUUGUUGGCAUAUAGCUUCUCAAGAUUCUUUAGAAUCCAUAUGCUCUUCGGUAACUCUCUUAUCUUAGUACAAGACAAAUUCAUGAUCUGCAACUGUUUAAGGUUGCCAAUAGAAUAGGGUAAUUUUACAAUCUUUGUAAGAGAGAGAGCCAAUUCGAGGAGCAAUUCUAGUCUUCCGAUGGAAUCUGGUAAUGCAUUUAUACCAGUGCAAGAUAAAUCCAAAUGGAGGAGCGAUCUCAAGUCUCCAAUGGAAUCUGGAAGCUCUCUAAGGUUGUGACACUUAUGUAGAGAUAGAUGCUUCAAACCAAAUAGCUCUCCUAUUGAGUGCGGAAGUUUUAUAACACCAUCAUGCUUUUCCACCUUCAGCACUAACAAGGACUUCAAACCACCAAUCGUUUUUGGUAUUAGACGAAUGACUGGAAUAGAAUCUCUAUUUGGCAUAUGUACCUCCCCACUAAUUUCCAAACACUUUAGGUGGCCCAGCUGAUUAAUAGUGCUGUCGAUUUCUUCCAAUCUUGUACAAUAUUUGAGAACCAGUUUUUUUAAAUUCAUGCACUUGGAGAAGUUAGGUGUCCUCUUUAAAAGAUUGCAGCUUGUGAGAUAUAUGACUUUUAGGUUGUCAUUCACCUAUAAAACAACCAAUUAUUGGGGAAAUUAAUGGCAUAGGCAAAGGUCAACUCAAUGCAAAUGCUUACACACAUAAAGGAAAAAGAAUGCAUUAUAUGAAAGUAUACCAUGCAUGCUCCCCAUCCAUUCCAGUCUUCAGUAAUAUUGCUCUUUGAAAGCUUGAGAAAAGCCAACUUCCUUAGACAUAAACCAAUGGCACGUAGGUUUGAAGGGCAAUGAUGCCAUGAGAGCCAUGUUAGAUUAGAGAGAAGAUUUUUAAAGUCUCCUACAAAGUUUCCCCCAUUCAAUUCGAGGAACCUUAAACUUGGUAGCCUUGAAAAUUCGCCACUUGUAAAAUUAUGUCCGUCAACAAAUCUUGUCAGUUUGAGUGCUAUAAUGUUGUCUGUUCCCUGAUAUCACCAUAGCAACAAGUUAGCAACAUGAUUGAACCAUUCAGAGUAAGUACUAAAUAUCAAAAUAGGAAGCACAUAUCUAGAUUCAACUAAUAGUAAACAUGAGUGAACCAACAAAAAAACAGGGCACAUAGAUAUUAUCUUAUACAAAAAGGGGCAAACUCCAUGAAUCAUCAUCUCUUCCAUUUACAUGGGAGUCAUAAUGGUAAAAAUUAGUUCUUUUGGAAUUUUGUUCAUUUCUCUCAAAUUAUGCAAAAUCAUGAGUGUCCUAUGUGCAAAAAUGAGCGAACAUUUUGAGUGAAAAUGAAGUCUAAAAUGCACACAACUGCAUGUUCAGUUUUUUCAAAAGCAAUUUACUUCUUUACUAAGACAUACCAUGUUAUUCUGAACCACUUCUAAGGCGAUCGUUGGACACCACAACCUACUGCGCUUUCCAGGAACUGUAAAGCAUUCUUGCUGAACAAUCUCUCUUCCAAGAUCUCUGAGUUGGUUGUGCAUCCAUAGUCUAUCAUCUUUGGAAACUUUUAUCAAAGAUAAAUGAAUAAGAAUAUGGAGUCCAGUAAUUGGAAAAAAUUCACAAGCUUUCCACAUGUAAUAUGCAGGGAUUCUUUCUUCACCAAUGCAAUGACAUGCGAUGUCAAGAAAAAUUUGUUGCUGCUCAUAUUCUAACUCUUUGUAACUUAUCAACAACUUUUUCUGGACAUCCUCAUGGGGCACUUCCCGCAACUUCUGCAAUGUAUUUUUCCAUGUUUUCUUGCCUUUUGAAUGGAGUAAAGAACCUAUGACCUCGAGAGCCAAUGGUAGUCUUCCGGUAGUUUCGACAAUUUCAUGUGAAAUUUUGAUGUAAUCUUGUGGAGGCGAGUCACUUGCAAAGGAGUGCUUGCUGAAUAGUUGAAGAGCAUGGUAAAAUUGCAAUUGCUUCAUUUCAUGAAAAGAGAAAUCUCGGAGAUGCAUAGGGACGAUAUUGUCAUCUAGUGUGUCGAUUUCAGGAGCCAAAAAGUAGGUGUUUCUAGUUGUGAUAAUAAUUCUACUUCCCGAACCAAACCAACUUGACUCACCAGCUAGAUUCAUGAGUUUGUCUCUCUUGUCCAUGUCAUCAAGAACAAUGAAGGCUUUCUUAUCACCGAGUUUUUGUUUGAUCACAUCCCUCCCCUCAUUGGCAUCCAUAACUUUAGGAUGUUGGAUACCAAGAAUGUCAUGUAAUAAUUUCUUUUGCAAAUUUAAAAUAUCACUUUCACGGAUAUCUGAAAGAAAGCUGCAACUUUGGAACUGGGAAGAGAUACGUUUGAAGAUAGCCUUAACAAGAGUUGUUUUUCCGAUACCGCCCAUACCGUGAAUCACCACAAAUCGUACAUCAAAAGUGUCUACGGCUAACAACUUCAUAACGGUUUCCAUCUGAUCGUGAAUUCCCACCAAACCAUCACACCAGUUUCUCUGCAUAGGCAUCAGCUUACCAAAAACUUCUUCCAGAACAAAGGCUAUAAGUUUAUCUUGGCUGCCAUAUACAUAAUGCAACCGUCUUAGUUUUAGAAACCACAAACAUGCGCAGAAGCAUAAAUAUGUAAAACCAUAAAUUUUGAUUGUUAAAACUAAGCAUGGAUUAUCAGUUUAUUUCAUAUUCAGUCCUCCCCAAGCCGAGAAGAUUGAUCUCAGUUACAGAUAAUGAUGGUUGGAUAUUGAUGUGGGGGGCGGUUCUGAAGAGCUUUUAGAUGGUCAAAUCAGUGACGUUCUAACCUGCGAUGUAUUCAUCAAAACUUGCUCCAUAGCCAAGCGGGCGAACCAGACCAAUUGUUUUGGUUCGUGCAAUGCAUCUAGCUUGACAAAGGGUGAAAAUAGAUCAAAUCGCACAUUAAAUAGAGAGAGCAUUCUUGAGUGGGACCAACACUGACGAAGGUGUCAAUACUUUUUAGUGCAGGAGUUUGGGGCACCACAAUCCCAUAUCGAAUGGGGCACACCUUUUUUAACUAAUUCAUGGGUAAGGUCCACCCUUAAAUGGCCACUCUAAAAUUCUACUGUAAUAGGAAUUAUCACAAGGAAGAAUGGCAUAAGAUGUGAUAGAAACUUUACGCAAAAGUGCUGUCAAUGGAUCGGUUACGAGUUCUGAAAAAUUAUAUGCCUGAUGAAAUGGACUUUAUAAAACGAACAUGGUAAUUUGCACACCAUUUCAACUUCCAUUUGACUUCAGAAUAUUGUUAGAAGGAGCGGGGAGGGGUUGAUCUAUAAAUUGAGUUGUCGUGAUUAAGAAACAAUGAUCUAAAUUUAGAAAUGAAAGUACAACAUUUGUCAUUAAUUACCUGUGAUCUUUUAAGUUAUAUCCCUUGAUUCCAGCGACCUCUAUGAGGGCCUCCUCCCAAUGCUUCGCCAUAUCUUCACCAAACCGUCUCUCAUGCUUUCGUAGGGCCUUACCGUAUGAUCCAGUUCUGAGCUUAAGAUUGGAUGCAUCCACCCCAUAGAAGAUGGGCAAGAUCAAUUUCUUGUCUCUCUUCCUACACUCCACCAUGUGUGCGAGCUCACGGAGACACCAUUUGCUGGAAGCAUAGUUUUCAGAGAAGAUCGGUACGUAGAUUUUUGAAUUGGAGAUUGCUCUCAAAAGCUCGCCUCUGAUCUCUUCCCCAACACGGAGCUCUUCAUCAUCUUUGAAGACACAAAUCCCGGCUCGAAUCAUGGCCGCGUAGAGAGAGUCCGUGAUGGUUAACCGAGUGUCGGGCCCUCUAAAGCUCAAGAACACCUCGUAGUCCCUCCUUGAUGAUGAUGAAGAUUCACCACUGAGGGGGAGAGACUUUCCUUCAGGGCAUUCCAUUCCUGUGAUCUUUGGCCACAAAAGCAAUAUCAAAUUAUUGUGCUUGGUCGAAAUUGCAACUUUCCAGUUUCCUUGCGGCCGUUGCCAAUUUAUAAGAAAACGGUAGACUGACUCUUUUCGUCUUAAAACAACUAUUGACUGAUUUAGGCUCACUGUGAGCGACAGAAGAUGCAAAGAAAGAUCACUACUGCACGCUUCCACGAAAUAACCUACCUCGGACAAUCGUUCUUCACUUGUAGUUUUAUUGCACCUCCUUUUUGUCACACCCCGAACCUCGAGCAUGCGCACAUCCCUCAGCAAUCAAAUGAAAAUGCGACGUCCCAAGACACGUCACCGACCCAUUCUUUUUAUCUUUCAAUUAAGCACAUGCGGAAGCGAAUUAAAUAAACCUCCGGUCAAUAAACAAACCAUCGGGAUAAUAAAGCACAACAAAAAUUGCCAAAAACAACUUAUUUAUUUUUCAACUAUUAACCCUAGGAAGUUUAAUACUUACAAGCCUUUCUACGACCACUUCCUAUCGACCCUUUGCAAAAACCUUCAGGGACUAGGGUUAAUCUAAAGUCCACUAACAGUAGGGCCAGCCAAAAGGUGUCGCAUCUUGCGCCCACCAAACAUUCGUAUGGAUCCCGAUUAUCAAGUAAAACCGUUAUGGCACGUCCCAUACCAUGCCUUACAAUUUUUUCCCAUAAUCAAGCGCAAAGCAGUACAAUCAUACACACGUGUUUUGAUUAUACGACCCCUCGGGCCAUGGCUAACACAAGAGUCGGCGGUCUUUUGGCAUAACCGGGCAUCUUCCCGCCCCAUCGGGCACGGCAUCAUCCUAUGUAUUCAUACGCCUCAGGAUGGCAUUCCAUUAAGGAACUUCGUUCCGAAAUCCAUCUGUGAACGACAUCCCGUUGACUUGGGGGCAUCCGAACUUAAUCAGGCAUCGUCUCGCGUAAACGCAUUAGGACGGAUUCACUACCCCGCAUAAACGCAUCAAGGUCUUUAGGUGAUCACACAAGCAUACCAUCACUCAAGUCCAUUAUUUUCUUUCUCAUUAGCCAAGAACACAAAAAUCCUUUUUGCAAAUAAUAAACUUGGCAACUCUUUUUUUUUCUCUUUAAAACUCUUUGAAAUAAAUUCAUAUGUGGUCACGUACUCAAAAUCAAUCCAUUAAACUUUGCACGCUUCUACUAUAAAAUCUCCUCGUUUUAUUGAGCACAUAAAAUUUGGCGUCCAAACCCGACACCUCAUUUUUUUUCUAUUUUCUUUUCCAACCACCCCUUUUUGGAACUAAACUUGUGUAAUCUCCUUUUUCUUCUUUAAAACUUUUGGAACGUUCGUAGGCGCUCUCGUACUCAAAAUAAAUCUGUCAAACUUUGCACGCACCUAGUUUAAAACCUCAUUGUUUUAUUGAGUAAAUAAGUUUUGGUAUGCAAACAUGACACCUAAAUUUUCUUUCUAUUUAAAUGCCCAUAAAACCAUCUUUUGCAAUAAAAAUAGAUAAUUAUCAUAAAACAAUCAAUCACAUAAUAUUGUACGUGCAGCAUUCAAAAUCACGCAUAAGUUCUCAGCAUGCCAAAAAUCAACCAAAUCACAAAAUAUACAUUUUCGAGCAAGCAAGAUACCAAAAACAACCACAAGACUACAACCAGCCCUCAUUGGCAGAAACCGAGUCCACUCGCACGUCUCCAAGAUUAAUUCUAGAAAUAUAACCAAACGAAUUCAGAAAAUUCUCAAAUUUAAAUAUGUUAUAAAGAACACUUAAACAAACACUUUUUAUGAAGACACCUUAACUCAGAUUUUUCUGGAAUAUGAGAAGUAAAUCGCUCAAAUUAUUAUCAAAACUGUGUCCGUGUCCAGAAAUUACGUUUUCCAAAAUCAGCUUGGUUCGAGGUCCAAAACUUAUCCGUUUGCUCUGAAAUUUGACUAUGUUAAACUUAAAGAUGUGAUGAAAAACUUUUGUGAAGAAACUCUGUCAAAAAUCGAACCCUGAGAGUUGAUAAAAAUUCUUUAAACACCAAAAGGUCACGGGUUCUAGCACAAAACGAGAUUCUGCCUUGCAUAUAACGAAGUUGAAAUCUUGUUAUUUUAAAUUCAGAAAAUCUUGAGUAAAAUAUAUGUCAUAAAUGAAUAUGUUUAGAACAUUUUUCAAGGAAGAAGCAACCUCAAAGUCGUAGCACAUCUACGAAAAUAGCAAACAGCGAGUGUCCAAUAAACAGAUUUGAAGAGAAAUCCAGACUCAGCUCCUUUGAACACAUCUUUUGCAAGCUUAGUAGCCAUAAACCUUCAAGGAACUCACAUGCAAGACUUUCCACACAUCACAUUGUAGAUGCAAGCUAAAAUCCUACAUAGAUCUAGCUCCUAUAACUCGAAAAUCCAUUAGAUUGGGCUAAACCACCCUCAUUAGUACUAAUCUAACUACUCCUAGGAGCAAUUAAUGGCAUAAUUAAAGAUUAGGAAGUUAACUUACUGUUUUCGACGGCGACGGGCUCACGGCGACAGCAACGCGACGACGAUGAAAACACAAGACAACCGUGACUCGAACGGAGGCUCGACAGUGGCGAUGUCGGCCCUACAAGCUCUUGGCCAAGGGGGGCUUGGAUCGGCUUGGGGCUGUUCUCGAUGGCUGCUGGCGGUGCUGGAUGCUGGGGGCUGCUGGGCUAGAACAGACGCUAGACGGCUGGACGUUGGUGGGGUUGCAGGCGUGAAGAUGGAGAUGGCGUGUGGGGGUAGCUGGCGGUGAUGAUGCAGCAAGAUGAUGAAGGUGGCAGCGUGCGGUAGCAGAAGGAAGGGGAUGAGACUGGCGGUGGAGGAUGAAGAUGGGAUGAUGAGGGUGCAACAAGAAGAUGGGAAGGUGGGCUGGUGCAAGGUGGCGGCUUGGUGGAUGUGGCAGAAAAAGGAAGGAAAAGGGAGAAGCAGGUCAAGGUGGAGAGGAAAUGAAAUGGAGGGAAGAAGUGGGCGUGAGGAAGAAAAGAAGAAGGGAGUGGGCAGAAGGGGGGCUGAACGUGCGUGCGUGAGAGAGAGAGAAAACAAAGGCAGCGAAUCAACUCUUAGGAAGAAAUAUCUAAUUUAAUCAUCACAAAGCCACAAAAGUCCUAUGCCUCAAAAGUCCUAAGCUCAUCUUCACUCCACCAAUCACCAAUUAGCUCUAAUUUCCCUAAUUUAAAGCCUUUUUGGGCAGCAAAUUCCCCUUUUUCCUCUUAAUCUGAAUUUCAUUUCAUUUUUCUCUUUUUGUACAAAAAUCAUUUUUCCGCAAAAUUUCGGACUCGUCGAAAAUUCGCCAAAAGAUGAGAUGGCGUCCAAUAAAUAAAUCGUGAUAUGCUCGAACAUUCGAUUCCUGAAACUAAAUUUAGUUUCGUGGUUAAAACCAACCGAACGCGACUUUAGUACGACCUAAUCUACCAUGUAGCUUUUAGGAGUUUUAGCGCAUUUGACCUGUGGUCGAUAAUUUUCGAUCCACGUUUGUGCAUCUUUGAAUCGUAGAUGACUCUCGGUUGUCAUAUAAUUGCGAAGGUUCAAUUAUGUGUUCCGAAUAUAAUAUUGACAGAAAAUCGGUUUACUGUCGUUCGACGCGAAUAUCGUAAUCGUGCGGAACUACCCGCAAUUUAACUACAUAAUUCAAUCGAAUCGACUUAUAUCCGUUCGCAAAUCGAUUUAUAAUGAUAUCGUAUUGACUUUUGCCGAUUUUUAUGGUUGAGCAGUCGAUUUCUAAUUGAAUUAUCUAAUCUGUUGUGUUUAUAUCUCUUAACGGUCUCGCCUAAUAGAUUAGUUAACUCGAGAGUGGCAAGCUUCAAGUAAAAUAACCAUAAGCGUGUUGAUGAAAUAACCAUUUCAUAUAUUCGAAACCGGGCCAAAUUUCGGGAUGUCACACUUUUCUUGAGAACCAAGGAGAGCACUCGUUUUUCGCAGUAUUUUCUCAGAACGUACCUGAGUUGAUUCGGGGAAGUCUUCGAAUGUAUUAAGACUAGAGCUUAAUUCCCUAAAAGAAGCAUCGAUUUUAGUGUUGCGUCAAAGCAUGAGAGGCAUUCUUCCAUACACAAUGAUGGAGCCUAGUAGGAAUCGAAAUAAAAAGCUGACCGACCAAACCUGAGGGCCUCUCACUUUUCCUAAAGUCACUUUUUGCCCCUUUAUUAGCUCGUCACGUGAUAGAAUAAAGUGCCUUUAUUGGGAAUGUGAUGAUUAUUGGAUUCUUGAUUUUCAUAAACCACUAAGUCCAGAUUAAUCGAGUUUUCAAUAAGAUCAUUGUUAGGGUAAAAGAAAAAAAAAAGAUCAAGUCUCUCCUAUAAUUUUAAUAAGUGCAUCAGAAACUCAAAAUGCAAUGUUUUAAAGAUGUUUCACCUUGAAGCCAAAUCUGGUUGACAUUUUCAAAACUAAAUUGUACAUUGUUUAAGCAUAAUAGUUCCAGUUCAAUGGCAAUCAGAUAUAAAACAUGCCUUGUUGCGAAAGGGUUCGAUAGCCUUAUCAAGUGAAAAAACUUCUAACUCAGAAAAACAACACCUACCCAAGUCCAAGCGUUAAAAGAAGGAACAAGUGCACUAGAAGUCCUAUAAAUUGUUAUGAAAGUGUAAUUAAGUAUAAUUUUUUUAAAAAAAUAUAAUUAAAUCUUAAAACUUAUCACGAAAGUACAAUCGAAUUUUAAAACUUUCAAAAAGUGCAAUCAAUAAAACACUUGAUUGGACAAAUUUAAUAAGUUUUAAGACUUGAUUGUAUUUUUUUUUUUAAUUUUUAAGAUUUAAUUGUACUUUCUUGACAAGUUUUAAGGCUUUUAAUAUACUUAUUUCUUAAAAGUAAAGCUUUUUCACAAUCCUCCAAAAUUGGUGGCAGUGCCUGAUAAAGUGCAGCCAUUCUUGGAGCAAUGUCUAAGACUCAUGCUCUAUAAAUUGCUUCGUUGAUGAAACUAGAGAUUAAUCCUCAGCUUCAAAUUCUCUACGAGAGAGAGAGAGAGAGAGAGUGCGCGUUUAUGCGCGCGCGCGAUAUAAUUAUGUGAAAAAAUAGUUUAUUUGGAUCAUAUCCAUGUGUAGCGUGAUGUCCAUUCAAUCAAUAACAAAGCUUGUUACCGCAUUAUUGUAUAGUGCGCUAAAUGCCCACCGAUUGUUAUUUAAACGGCAUGAUAUACUCAACAAUUGGUAGCAAUGUGAUGCUGAUACCUUGCCUAAUAUGCAUGAUCAUAAUUGUAAUUUAAAUUGAUUUACUCUAAUUUCAAAAACUCUAUUCUAAUAGGCAAUGCAUUCCUGCUUUCAAUUGAUUUGAUUCCUACACUUUUCUUUAGUUUGAGUAAUUGAUUCAUCUUUAUUACUUUAGUUUGAUCAAUUAGGUCUCUCAAAAUUAUUUCAGUAUGUUUCAUGUGUCAUACACUGGUUGAUUAUCAUAAAGGGAACUGCUAAAAUGGACUACCAUCUACUGAAGCUAUUGGAUUAAAAAAAUUAUACAAAUGGAUAUCGUAUGCGUAAUAUAUAUUCAAAACUAUUGAAAAGUAAUACACAUUUGUUUCUUUUGUGUAAUUCAUUCGAAACAAAUUAUUUUCUCGGUCACUUUAAGAGGUCAUUCUUAUUCGUCAUCCCAAUAUGUCAGCUAAGUAAGGAUUUUGCUGUUCUUGUCAAAGCACAUCAAACAAUCAUUUCUCCAUUCACACAAUAUCGAUUGAAUCAGGAAGAAAGCACAUUGUUUUGUUAAGUGGGAGGUUUAAUCCUAAACCUUUUAUUGAAUUUAAGAAUGAUACUGAAUUUUUAAAAUAAUCUAGGAACCUCAUUAAUUUAAAGCCGAUAAAAUGGUCAAGAGAGACAAUGCUCCUUGGGCAAAGUUAAGGACUUAUUAUAUAAAUCAAAAGGUCAAGGACGUCAUAACACGUAAACGAUCAAUAAUGAAUUUUUAAGACUCCUAGCUUCCUUCGACUUGGUUAGCAUAUGCAAAGACUGAGAAGACCAAGCUUGUCACGCCCCAAACCUUGCGUGUGCGCACAUCCCUUGGUGAUCGACUAAAUUGUGACGUCCCUAGGAUGUGUCGCCAACCCAAACGAAUCAUGCACAUGCGGAAGCGAAAUAAUAACCCUCAGACAACAAAUAACAUGAGAUAGAAAAGCAGGACAACCAAACAUACAAAACAUACUUCAUCUACAGCCAGGUCAACCUACAGUUUAUACACCGAAGGUCUACCUCCAAAAAGAACUACUAAGGGUGCGUUUGGUUGUGUUUCUGUUUAAAAAUUGUUCCAGGGAAUAGAAAUAAAAAAAAGUGUUUAUGUUCCUGGGAACAAUUUCUGAACAAAAAAACGCUUUUGGUAAACUUGUUCCAAGAACAAAAAAUAAAUAGAAACACGUUUGGUAAAUUUGUAUAAUUUUUUUAUUUCUUUUAUUUUUUUAAUAUUUUUAUUUUAUUUUUCUAUUUUCUUUCUUAUUUAUUUUUUCUUUUUUUUCUUUUUUCUUCUUUGGCCGGUCGCCGGCCUCGGCCAUGGCCGGCAACCGGCCGGCGAGGGGCCGGCGGCCUCGCCCCACCUACGGCGAGGCUCGCCGGCCCCNNNNNNNNNNNNNNNNNNNNNNNNNNNNNNNNNNNNNNNNNNNNNNNNNNNNNNNNNNNNNNNNNNNNNNNNNNNNNNNNNNNNNNNNNNNNNNNNNNNNAUCACCUAAAAAAAUGAGCCGAACCCAACCAUCCUAAACAAAGUCUAGGAUCACUAGGCCUCAUCAAAGAAGCAUUCUCCUCAAGUAGAAUAAGCAGGUGGAAACCUUAUUCUUUAUUUUUUAAAAGGCUCGGCCUCGCCUUGGCUGGGCGAGCUCGAGCUCGCCCAGCCAAGGCAAGUCGGCCGGUCGCCGGCCAUGGCCAAGGCCGGCAACCGGCCAAAGAAAAAAGAAAGAAAAAAGAAGAAGAAAAGAAAAAAAAGAAAAAAGAGAAGUAUUUCUAGAUUUUGUUCCAGAAACAAGAAACAAUUUUUUUGUGUUUCUUGUUUCUGUUUCUUUUUUGUUCCUGGGAACAAAAGAACAAAAAAGGAACAGAAACGCGUACGCGUUUCUGUUCCUGGGAACAGAAAUAGGGUGCAGCCAAACGCACCCUAAGCCACCUAUACUCCUGACCCUUCCGCUUCAAACUCCGGGUUCUUCACACUAGGGACCUGAAAAUGGUAACCCACGACAUGAUGAGAUAUAAAUUUCAGUGAGUUCACAUCCUAAACCCCGAUUAGGAAGGAAAUAUGCUUAGAUGCAGUCUAACCACACAUCAUAGAAGACUCACCUCACCUCAACACCUUCCUGUACGUCAGUACAAUUCAUAUAAUAGACACGUGCAGUAAUAAUACUCGAUCAAUUGGAAUGCCUCAGUUCACAUCUCAAUCAAUCACAGUGGUCCCGAUUAUAAGGCUAAAUCGUUAUGACAUAUCCUAUAUUGUGCCACACAAUUUUGUCCUAUAAUCCGGCACAUCAAUUUCAACCAUUCAUGCGUCCCAAUUAAUUACGACCCAACGGCCACGACUGACUCAAUAGUCAACGGUCUUCCGGUAACCGGGCGUCAUCUCGCACUACCGAGCACAGCAAUGUACAUCUAGAUGACAUUCCAUAUAGGAGUAUUGGUCCAGUCUUCACUGCAACCAACAUCCGUUGACUUGGGGCAUUCCCGAAGGAGUAUCAUCCGGCUCAAAAGCAUCAUGACGGGUUUCUCAUAGCAAUUCCAUACAUAUCCAAUCCCGGCCAAGGACAUCGUACUUUGCACUCAAAUGUCUCAAUUAAAAUAACGUACUUGGUCUAUUUUCUUCGUAUUAAAAACAUACGGUAAAAUAAUUGUCUGUAGGUACACGGUUAGAUCGAACCUUAAAAAGUGAUAUCAUUCAUUUUAAAAAUCCCACUAUUUAAUAUAGUACUUAAAUUUUUUUUUUUUGCGUCAAAACCCAACACUUAGUAUUUUCUGAUUAAAUACCAAAAUCCAGAAUUUUAAAAUAAUAACUCAAAAAUCACAAAUCAUCACUCAAUUGCACAAAUUAGUACUCAAUUGCAUAAACUAAUUACACCACGACAAUUAGAACGAAAUUCUGACGAUCGGCUAUUUCGGUAUAAUUUUCGGAAAAUAUUAAAUAAUUAAAUAAAUUACAAAAUUAAUUAAAUAAAUACAAAUUAAUUAGAUAAAAUGCCUACUUAAGCUAAGAAAUGCUAAUCUAACCACCUAAUGGACUAAUUAAAAUACUCUAAUCUUAACUUAAUCUAACUAACUACAAGCACUAACCACCUAAUUAACUAAUUUAACUAAUCUAAUUUAACUAAAUAAGCUACUAUACACUAAUCUAAUCUUAACUUAAUCUAAUCAUCCCUUAAGUAUCAUUAACCUCAAAAGCAAGGUUUAGUGAGUAAACUCAUUGGUUUUGCGGGUCGAUGAGUUCACGGCGAUGACAACGCCAAGGCGGGUGAGACUCAAGCUUGGAAUGAUGCCAAAGGAGGCCCGAAAAGGUUCACGAAGCUCACAGCUUGGGCUAUGAGUUUGGCUCUAUCUAAGGGCUGAAUCGAAGAGGACCGAGGUUGGAACAAUUGGAACGGAGAGGAGACAAGUGGUGGAUAAUAGUGGUGAACCAGGCGGAGGGCGACGAUGGCUUGGACGACUUUCGGACGGUGAUGAUGGCUUGGUCGACGGUGAACAGGUGCGAGACAACGGCCUGGACGCACAGGCUCAGGUGAGUGGGACAGCACGCAGCUUUGGCGGCGCUCGGACGGGCAUGCGGCAACGAUGGGUGUGUAGGCGAGCUCGGGCAGUUGUUGCUGGCUUUCUCUGGUUUUGCUAGCUAGUUCUUGAGCUCUAAACAAUAACAAUGGAGAAAGGAGAGGCAAGAAGGAAGAAGAAGGUGGCUUGCUGGUUGAAGGGAGACAACAAGCCCUUAAAGUCUUCACAAAAUAUCCAAUACACUCAUCACUUGGCCCCCACCCGCUGCUGCCUCAUCCUCAGCCAUUUUCCCAUACCAAUCUUCCCGUAGAAGCCACCCAAGGUGGUCCAAAUGUUGCACCCCUCCUUGGCUACGAAUUUUGCAACAUUUCCCUUCCAAUUCAAUCCAAUUCCACUUCAAAUUAAUCCAAGUUGGUGCCCAUAAAUUCCAACUAAGGCAUCCACAUCCAUUCCAUGAUUUUUCUUGCCAAGUGAUCCAUCUUGAACGCCAAAGACAUGCCCAAUUUGGCUUAUCCGAGUUUCCUGAUCCAAUUUCACUAAAUUUUGAUUUUUCGCUGAAAAUCCGGACUCGUCAAAAAUUCUUUGGAGAAUGAGUCGACAUUCUUAAAAUAAAUCAUGACAUGAUAGAACUAGAAAUCGGGUUCAAGUUCGUAGUUAAUUCAACCGGAUGCGAUUUUAAUGUGACUUAAUCUAUCAGUUAGCUUUUAGGAAUUUUUAGCGCAUUUGACCCAUGGUCAAUUAAUUUCGAGCCACAUUGUGCAUCUUCGACUCAUUGGUGACUCUUGGUUGUCGUGAAAAUCUCGAGAUUUCAAAUACGGACAUAGGGUACAAAAACGACAGAAAAAUCGGUCUAGUGCCAUUCGACGAGAAUUUUGCAAUUAGGUGGAAUCACCCACACUUUAAUUAUAUACCUCGGUUGAAACGACCUAUCUCUAGUCUUUGAUCGAUUUUGACAGUGCCGUAUUGACUCUUACAGAUUAGCACAGUUCAGCAGUCGAUUUCUGGUCGAAUUCUCAAGUCAGUCACGUUUAAGUUCCUUAACGGCUUCAUCUGAUAGACUAGUUAUCUCGUGAGUGGCUAACUUAGAGAAAAAGGCAUAGGCGCAUCGAUGAAAAGCCCAACUCAUUCAAUCGAAAACAGAAUAAAAAAUCACGCUGUCACAAAGCCCCCUAUUUUAAGAAACCUCAUAACUUCCUUGGACUUGUGUUAGAAUAUUUAAAUAACAAAUAAUGUAUUUAUCUAACAGCUUAAACUUUUAGAAUUGUUGGUAGUGAUUCUCAUGAAAUCUCACAUGUUUUCAAAGCAUAAGGUUAUGAGUUCAAAUUUUCUAGGCCCUUAGUUGCCUCCACAAUUACAUAUUUUCACGCCUAAGCUUUGGCUAAAGACCACUCUAUACAUAAAGAGGAGUGUUAAAAUAUUUAAAUAACAAAUCAUGUGUUCAUCGAACAGCUUAAGUUUUUAGAAUUAUUGGCAAUGGUCCUCACAAAAUCUCACAACUUGUGAGAAAUCUAAAGAAUUGAAAUUCCAACACUCUUUAUCUUCCUUGCAACCUUUAAUUUUCAUACCUACCUUUCAAUUUCUUUACUUUUAUAGUCAAUUACACUCUUGUCCAAAAUCCCCCCCUCCCAAAAAAAAAAAAAAAAAAAAAGCCCCAUGUUUCCCUUUAAAUUCAUCAAUUUCAUUCCUUUCUCGAGACUUUCACUUUUUGAUGAGUGGAUCUAAGUGCUCUCAUUUUUUAAAUAGGAUUCGACCACUCAUUCUAUUUAAAGAAAAAUUACUUUACAAAUUGAUUGUAUGAUUGAAGCAAGUUCAUUUGAUGGGCCGCACAUUGCCAUGACUAUAAUUGCAAAAACUAAGUUAGAAUUCCUUUUUCCAAGGAUGGCAAAACAAAGCUUCCUUUCAAGUGCAAAAGCGACCAGUCAUACAUAGUCAAUAGUCAAAAAUUGCAUUCGUCUUUUUUCUUUUUAUCUUCAAAUCCAAAAUAAACUCAGAUGGAGGUUACAAACACUGGAUCCAAUCAGCUAUAUUGAAUAAGGAAAACCAAAUGCUAAGCUUGAUUUAGGAAUAAAAAACCUCUAUUUUUGCAAGGCAAAUUCAUUGAUGCCUCAAUCAAUUCUCAAUUCUCAAUUCUCAAUUUGGCUUUGUUUUUCAGUAUUCAUGCUCUAUUUUGAUUUAUUUGUCAUGAAGAUUAUGUACUUUUGUAUCUUUUUAAGUAAUUAAUAUAAUUUUCUUUCGAUAGAAAAAAAAAAUCAAUUCUCAAUUGAUGUGUAGAUGCAUUUCAAUGAGAUGCCCAUAGGAGCACCCUCUAAGGUAGAGGAUCAACGUACCUGAUUUGCAAUUGAAAAUUAUAUGUUAACAAUCAUUUGGUCCAUAAAGAUUAAAGUCCAUCGUAAAGUCGACCAAAAAAAAGCAAGGAAAAAAAAAGGCCAAUUGAGGCGGGCUUUUGGCGGAAGUAUUUCUUGAUCAGAACUGCAGUAAAAAAUCCUUCUCGUCGAACUUGUAUCUAUAGUUUCAUGAAACUACAUAUAAAAAUGUUGUUGGCUUGACAUGUCUCUAGUAUUUUGCCGAUUUUGCAUGAUAGAAGUUUCGUUUAGCAUGUAGUCUUGCUAGCACCUAUCCAUUUUUUUUAUGGGUUAAUAUCACGAAAAAUCCCAAACUGCUACACAUAUGACAAAUUUAUCUUAAAUAAAUUUUUUGAUCACAAAAAAUCUUAUAUGGAUAUAUAUGUGACAAAUUUACAAUAAAUUAAUUUUUUGACUACUAAAUAUUCCAAAUUGAUACGCUUAUGACAAAUUUACCAUUUGUUAGUUUCCGUUAAAUUUUAUUGUUAAAUUGUUAAGUUAGAAAACACGUAACAAUUGACGGAUAUACCAAUUUGAAGUUCUACCUUUUAUUUGUCAUAGAUAUACUGAUUUUGUGAUUUUUUGUGGUAUUAAUAUAAUUGUAAAAAGGGUUUUUACCAUAUAUAUAUAUAUAAUUGUAAAAAUGGUAUGUUUGUUAUAAAUGUAUUAAUUUGGGAUUUUUAGCAAUAAAAAAAAUUAAUUUGAGACAAAUUUAUCAUAAGUGUAAUAGUUUAUAAUUUUUGAUAAUAAAAAUUAAUUAAGUAAAAAUUUAUUGUAUGUGUAUCAAUUUAAAUUUUUGAUGAUAUUAAUUUUUUUUUUUAUUGCGUUCCCGUUCAAGGACAGCACGCCCACAUCAAAUAGUAAUUUAGGGGAGAUCGAGAAUCUUUUAUGAUCAGGCAAAAUGUACGAGCUGCCCCGGAACUUCCCCUUCUUCCUCUCUCAUUCAUAAUCUCUUGGUUACAGAUCACCCAAAGGAAAAUGAUUGAAUCCUCCUGUCGGCCACUUGCCCCGGUAUUUUCCUUGCUCCUUCACAGAUAGCGUGAGAGGCACGCCCACUUUGUCUUGAUCGCAAUGGGUAUUCUGGGUGAAAAGAUCUUUCUAUGGGUUCAGUUCCUUCUGCAUCUUUCUGAGAUCUGAGAAAUUCCCCAAAAGCAAAUGAAAUCCGUGUGUCUGCACCUUUUUCGGGGACGCGUGUGAUUCGUUCUUUCACCCCCUGCUUCGUUUAUCCUUCUUUGAUUUCUUGUCAGCAAAACCGAAGAGAUAAGGUUCAAAAAAAGAAGAAGAAAAAACAGAGGGAAAGCAGAGGAUUCGGCGGAUAAGAACAAGAUAAGCGGGAAGAGGACGCAAUAAGGGCACGUGGAAAGGAAAAGAAAAAGGUCACCAAAGGAAAGAAAACAGAGAGGACAUGAGUUUGAUGCUUCCGGACACUCGACGUGUUUGUGGGGCCUUGGAAACGGAUAUAGAUGACUGGAGGAUGCAAGAAGCCGACCCCCCUAGCGCUUGGACAAACCAGGCAACUAGGCAAGCACUUGGCCAAGAGGUGGAUGGGCUGCCGGACACCCGACAAACCUCCCAAGCCAAAAGUCUUUUCCAACAUAGUGCUCGAGCGACGGGCCUAUUUUUGUCAGACACCUAACCCCUGAUUUUUAUGUAUAUCUAAUGAACAACUUGUAAGAAAUUUAAAGAUAAAGAAUUUUUAAGAAAAGAUAAUGAGAAUACUCAUUUCUUGCUCGAAUCGUUUCGUUUAUUUACUCGCGUUAGUAGUGACAAUAGUUGAUGCAAGAUUCAAACUAUGCAAUUCAGCUGAAAAAAAUCUCCCAACAAUAGUAUGGUCAGUUAAACUAGGAGCGAAAUCUCAUUCUACGGUUCUGAACUUAAUGGGCGCAUUAGAUGAUAGGUUUAUUUUGUAUUUACAUUGAAAUCAUGCGAGCAAUUCAGUGAAGCUGAUGGAAAAGACCAAGCGAUAUUAGUCUGAUACCGUUCCACACGUAAUUGAUCACUGUACCUGGAAAAUGCAGAUAAUGCCAAACAAGGACUCAAAGAGAAAAGGAAGAAGGACAGACUCCGUAAGUCUUGGUCUUCUCUUUAUUAUUAAGGAAACUUCUGUAAAAUAUGAAAUGAACCCAAGUGAUGCGGGUAUUGAAUGAAGUGAGCAUGAAAACGCGGAGAGAAACAGUAGAUUCACCAUUAUUUAAUCUCUUAAACUAUGAUGGUGAUGGGAGUCGCUUAAAGUUAAGUGAAGAACUAAUAUAAAAAGACCAAGACUUCUUUUGAGCCUAAUAAUUUUUUUUUAUUGCAUUUCCGUUUGAGGACGGCAUGCUCACAGCUAUAACUAAGGUAAGAUCGAGACUCUUUAAAGAUCCGGCCAAAUGGGCGAGCUGCCUCGAAACUUCCCCUUCUCCCUCUCUCAUUCAAACUCUCUUAGUUUCAGGUCAAACCAAAGGAAAAUGACUGAGAGGCACUUGCCCAUCACAUAGCAUGAGAGGCACCCUUACAAUGUCUUUAUUGCUAUUUGUAUUAUGGCUAAAAAGACCUUUCUUUGGCUUCAAUUCCUUCUCCGUUUGUCUUAGAUCUAAGAAAUUUCCCAAAAGCAAAUAAAAUCACGCGUUUGCACUUUCCCACAUGUGAUUCUUUCUAUUAAAACAUUUAAAUAAUAAAUUACACUUUUAUUUAAUAAUUUAAUUUUUUAAAAUAGUUGAUAAUAAUCCUAUAAAAUUUCACAAUGUCAUAGCAAAAGGCCCUAGUCUCUAUUUGUCAGUAUAUUUUCACUUUUUAGGUUAAAGUCAAAGUCUCACGGUUUCUUUCGCCCCUGUUUUGUCUAUUUUUCUUUGACUUAUUGUCAACAACCAAAGAGAUAAAAGAAACAAAACCGAGUGAGAGCAGAGGUCUAUCCCUGGUUCGGGGAGUCUGCGAGAAAACAGAGAGCUAAAAGUAGAGGGUGGUAGAGACAGUAACCGGUGGGCUUUCAUUGCCGUGGGCGUUGCUAGUCAGAGGUUGCUCGACAAAGCCGGCCGCUCUUUGAUCAAUUCAUUUGCAUGAGCCGUUUGUUGUGAUUUGGUCCAAGAACUAACCGCAAAAUACAUUUUUAACCUAAAUCAAGGACAUGGAAUGACUUGUUGCGCGAUUUAAUCCAAAUUAAAAUUAUCAGGUUUUGGUUUCGAUUCAUCAUUCCUUGUCAGUAUGUUUUGGAUGUUCUAAUAACUUGUCCCUGUUGAAAGAUAUUGAUUUGAUUGCAACAUUUGCCUGUCGAUAAAUGAUGGGAAACUUCAAUCAGGACCUGGUGCAAGUCGCAUCUCGUUUGCUAUCCUGUUUGUGCCACUGUCCAAACCAAUUCUCGGCUUGGACAGUAGGCAAACAGCCUUUAGUUCACUGCAAUCUGAUUUGAGUCAAUUGUUGAAAAUUCCCUUAUUAGUGUCUAAUCAACAGUUUUGUUUGUGAGGAGGGUCUAUGUUACUGUUAUCAGAAUUUGGAGAAUGUGGUGUUUGGUGGAGUAAUUAGUUUAUGGCCUCAAUAAGUUAAUAAUCUAUGAUGGUUUGAUCUGUAUGCNNNNNNNNNNNNNNNNNNNNNNNNNNNNNNNNNNNNNNNNNNNNNNNNNNNNNNNNNNNNNNNNNNNNNNNNNNNNNNNNNNNNNNNNNNNNNNNNNNNNNNNNNNNNNNNNNNNNNNNNNNNNNNNNNNNNNNNNNNNNNNNNNNNNNNNNNNNNNNNNNNNNNNNNNNNNNNNNNNNNNNNNNNNNNNNNNNNNNNNNNNNNNNNNNNNNNNNNNNNNNNNNNNNNNNNNNNNNNNNNNNNNNNNNNNNNNNNNNNNNNNNNNNNNNNNNNNNNNNNNNNNNNNNNNNNNNNNNNNNNNNNNNNNNNNNNNNNNNNNNNNNCUAACCUCUGUUUUGUAGGACAUACAAAGAAGUACCAUCAAAUAAACUAAUAUGCUACAUGACACGGAGCUAUCAUUUUUCCCUAAAAUUCACAGCAGUAAGCACUGUCUUGAUGGUAAAGCAGACACAUAAUUGAAGUUCCCAGCACUUGAAAAGACUAUCGAAACAGAAGGGUCUCAAUAAAUUACAGAACUUCGCCAGACUCAAUCUGCUUAAACCCUUUUUCUCUGUAUCAAGUACUGCGAAACGCCAAGGUGUUUCUGACUUUUUUAAAUACGGUCGACUCUUCUGCACACUUAUGCCGUUCUGUACCCCAAAAUUAAAAGCACAUGGCCUAUCCAUUUGAACAGCCGAGAGCAUUUUCCAUUUAUUGACUGAAUCUCGUUGCUUAUACAUUGGGAAAUUUUUUUUAAGUAUGUUUCCCUCGCUAUAUCAGUAUGCAAGAAGACUUUCGAAGGAACUACCAGCCGUUGGCAAAUUGAGUAGCUAUAAGCAGUGAUAAGAUUUUCAAUUAAAUUCGUGGACAAUCUGUCGAUUACAUUAACAUAAAAUAUUCCAACUAGAUGAAUUGCGAGAAGAUAUGUCACUUGCUUACUUCAAGUCAAUGAAAAAAAAGCACAUAAGAGUCAUAGAAUCACUUUCCUGAAAAUGGGCCACCGAUGAAUUGAUUAGAAGCAAAUGACAAUCGUCCAGCAGAGUUAAAUGUGCAAGAACAGUAGUUCAAAUUUCUCAACAAACAAGGCAGUGUUUAAACUUUAACAACUAGGAUACGAAUAGUAGCAACCACUACCUCAGUUGUUUUACAAAUUAUGUGCAGCGUGAGCAUGACGAGGCAAUGGAAGUGAACCUAUGUAAUUAAACCUAGCGGUACUCCCUGAUCUUUUUAGAAUGAAUACACACGACAUAAUAUUGUAUAUCAGAAAUUCAUGACAGGAAUCCAAAGAAGUAGUAAGCAAAAUGAAAUGCAUAGAGAGUGGGUUCAGGUACACGUAAUCAAUAUCUGUUCUGUGCUUAUUAUUGAAGCACAUCGAACCUAUAGAGCUGUCAAUGCCUAAAUUUGACCGAAGCACAAUAAACCUGAUACACAAUGGUUACACUAAAGUGAACAUAUAUGUAUUGGAUUGCAUUGCGGGUUACUCCUGGAAAUGAAUUGGCUGAAAUUACGUAUCACUAUCACACUUUCAUUGUGGUUCAACAGCUUGACCAGAUAAAACAAUGACAAGAAUCUGAGUUUCGAGCAUAACAUACAGACAGAAUUGAAAAUGAGGGCAUUACAUAUAUAACGCCUAACUGCUUUUUCAUAAAAUGAAGCAACUGCGUGUACUGGAACUUCUUAUAUUCUGAGAUUCUUAGAAAUUGAAAAGAAGAGAGGAGAGAGGAAGCAUGUCUCUCUGUGUUCACUGUUUGAACUACUCGCGCUCUCCAAUCUGCUACCUUGAAAGCCAUUGGCAGGGCAGAGAGAAAUGGAUGUUGAUACUAUUAUUGAGAAAAUUUUAAUGCUUGCGAAUUCUUUUCACCGAAGCUAUGAUCUACUCUCAUUGAAUGAAUAUGUCAAGACAAUGCAGGAACACUGACCAGCCGCUCCAUUGUUUGCAACUGAAUUUACACAGCGAUCUGCAACUAUAGGAAUUAAAUAGAGAAAAGAUGGUAAUGGUUAAUUGAUGAACGUGUCAUCUGAGUAAAUUCCUCCUUUACAAAGUUCUCUGAACCAAUUCCAAUUACUGGUCAACCACAACAAAUAAGUACGUAAUUCAUUCUAAUGCAACAUAGUAGAAAAGCAUUAAUCACCUGAUUAAAUCUGUCACAUGGCAUAGUUUCCCAUUGUUUGAAUUUCUUCGGGUUCGAUGUCUUCCGGUACAUCAGAAUACUGCAGUUUUCACUCCCGUCUAACCACCCCGAUGCACACAAGUAGAAACGUCAAAAGGGUUUUUCUCACUAAAUUCAACCACUAAAAGGAGUUCAUUUAUCUUCAUUGAUUUUGAGGGAUUUGAUGAGAGAACAACCGCGGUUAUACUCUGAAUCCCUAUGCUGUUAGACAUUUAUCAGGUUAAAAGCUUUUGAAAUAACAAAGUUUUUUUAGUUGAUCGAAUGGAUUUUGAUGAAGAAAUUCAAUGCUCCACUAGAAUCUACCAUGCCAGAUUACUAGAAUCUACCAUGCCAGAUUACUAAUACUCAUGUUUCAGUUGAUAAGACAUUUGGUCAUUGAGAUCCAGUCAAGUCAAUUUAAACUAUCAUGUGAAGAUAGAAGGAAAGACCGAAGUGAAAAAAUGCUUGAACUUCAUGAAUGAGCACUUGGAUCAUGGAUACCGGCAUGAAAGCUACUCAUCCACUUAUCUAUGUUUUCAUAAUGUCCCCUUCAACCUUAGAUUCAAUUUAAAGGGUCAGAAAAGAUAAAGGCUUAGCCUAGUGGUCCAUUGUAGCUUUAAGCUUAUGCUUGUCUUGAAGGGAUACUUAACAAGCUACAUUAAACACAGCAAAACCAGCCUGAACAUUUUAAAUACAGGAUUAGCAUCUAUUUAUUUCCCAAGGUUAUGCUUUAUUGUAUUGAAGUCGCAGCAAUAAAAACCUACAUAUCCUACUUUCCAUUUGCAAAACAAAAAAUAACGAAGGAAAGUCGUUAUACCUCACUUCGAUUGCCUUGGUGACUUCAUCACGGACGUUCCUUCUCACAGUCGCAGGGUGUAGAAAGAACUCCUCGUCUGAACCCAGAACCUUCACUUUGAUUGCCUUGAUGACUUUAUCAUAAUGACGGCUUUUGACAGUGGAAGGAAGACGAAACUUUAUAUCAUUGGAAUAUGAAAGCCAAGAAUUGAAAAGAUAUGCAAUUUCUGAAAGUUAUUCCUUUAGUUUGAUCGUGGGAGGGAAGAUAAGCCUAAAAUUUCAGUAGCACAUGAUAAAUUAGGAAAGUUCUGAUCUUAUGAAUCUAAUUAGACACUCACACUGGAGUCUCGAAACACAGAGUGCAUGCAGGAUUUACAAUUACAGUUGAUUUUGCCAGGCAUCCCGGAACAGUGCUGACAGACAGUACUCCUGAUAAAAAAAUUUAAAGAAUAGUACUUUCUAAUAAGAUAUAUCCACUCCAACAAAGAUCCUACACCUAACUGCUUCAGCAACCAAACAUGAAAAACGAUGAUAUGGAAAUACCCAAAGAAAAAUCUUUUCCAUUAUGAAAUUCACUAUUCAGGGAAAUCACCACUAUGGAAUGAAACUGCAGGCCAUCCGUAUAUCAUAGUCAAACUUCUCAAAGCAACUCAAAAAGUUUUGUAGUCAAAUGUCAUGUGCUGAAAUACCUGCAUAGUCACAACCUGGAAAAUGGAGCACAACAAAAGGUUAUGCAAACCUACCUUGCAACUUAAAACUGGACUAAAAAUUCCUGAUAUAUACCCGGUAGGUUAGAUACCGCUAAAAUCGCGCCAUAUUGAAAUUAAUGUGAAUUUAAACCCGAUUUCAGAAAUUAAAAGUUCUGUUGUGUCACAAUUUAUUUUAGGAACAUCGACUCAUCCUCCGGAGAUUUUUCUAUGAACCGAGAUUUUCGGCGAAAAAUCAAAGUAAAGGUUAUUUUGGAUCGGGAAAUUUGUAGGUCCGUUUCUUUUUUCGCAUUUUUUGUCGUCAACUGGGAUCUUUGGACAAGGAAAAAUAUGGAAUUAAGUGUGGAUACCUUGGUUGGAUUUAUGGACUUCAAUUUGGGUUGUUUUGAAGAGGAAUUGAAUGAAUUCAAGGCCAAAUGUCACAAAAGUCGUAGCCUUGGAGGGGUGCAACAUUUCAACCAUGUUGGGAAGCUUCCUAAGGAAGAUUAAGGAGAGAGAAGUGGCUGUGGAUGGUUGAUGGCUGGUGGGGGCAAGUGCUUGAGUGUUUUGGACAAGUGUUGAAGGCUUAAGAGGCCUUUGGGGACCCCCUCUCUUCAGCAACCCUUCUUCCUCCUUGAAGCCCUCAUUUUCCAUUGUUGAGGUUUUGGAAAAGCUCAAGAGAACUAGAAAACUGAGCCAGUAGCCUCCCUCCAUCGUCGACUAGCUGUACUCGCCUGUUCGCCCGCACGCUAGCCCGCGCCUUCUGCUCAUUCACGCAUCUGUGGCCGUUGUCCAAAGCUCCUAUCCAGCGUCGUCCAGUCGCCGUGCAUCCCCGUCCAGCUAUCGGAAGCUCCGCCUGGUCCGCCAUAGCCCCGCCUGGACUGCCGCUGCCCGUUCCUUGCUGUUUCGGCCCCAACUAGCCACCGGUCAGUCCCUCGACCAGCAGAAUAGAAGCUGUCAUGCCCCGAUCCUCGGUCACGUGCCCAUCCUUCAUCUUUGGUCGAUUUUAAAAUGCGAUACCCUAUGACUACGUAUCGCCGACCCUUUCAUUUAAUAUGCAUAUGCAGAAGCAUAUAAUAAAAUUCCUAUACAAUAAAGCAAUGGGAUAGAAAAGCAGGGCCAAAAUUUUCAUAUUGAAAUUCACAACCACAUUUUUUUACAAGCACCUCAUAGUAUAUAAAGCAAUACUAUUCAUAGGGGUCUGAGCUAACACUUAUCCACAUAUAAUCAAGGUCUGACAAAACAAGAUGGGAUCUCAGUUCUCAUCCGGGUCGUACUUAGGAUCCUCCUCGUGUUCAUCUUCUUCUAAAAAUUCUUCCUUCUCAUCUGGUUCCACAUCAAGGUUCUCCUCUUCAGAUUCCUUCUCCUCAAGCUCCUCAUCAGGGUCCUGAAAUGGUUAUUCAAUAACUAUUGAGACCACGUCUCAGCAAGUUCUACCCCCUAAGACUCAAUUAGUAAACCAAUACGCUAACCGGGCUGCCUAUGCACGCACGGGUUAGAGGACUUACCUUGGCCUCAAUUCCACCUGCAUAUUAGCACAGUUCAAUAGGCACCAAAGUAAUCACAUCACUAAUCGAAGCAUUGAUCAAAUAGACCUAGUCGAUUACAUGUCAAUCAGACCAUCUCAUGGUCAUUUCCAAUCAAUCAGUCAAUUCACAACAUCAUAUCAAUGCAAUGAUCAAUCGACCUAGUCGAUUAUAUGUCAUCUCGACCAUUUCUUGGUCGGAUCAUCUCAUACUAUCUAUAAGUCCGUUCAUAAUCAGGACUGCUCGCUCUAAGCUGAUAAAUAGAUAAUAUAGCUCGCACUAAGCUGAUAGAGUUAAGGUAUACUGCUUUCACUAAGCUGACAUAUCGCCCGUAGGCUGAUAUAAUAUACCGAUAUACUGCUCUCGCUAAGCUGACAUAACGCCUGUAGGCUGAUAUAGUAUGCCGCCAAUGCUCACUCUAAAUUGAUAAAGUGUACUGCUCGCGCUAAGCUGACAUAUCACCCGUAGGCUGAUAUAGUACACCGGUAUACUGCUCUCGCUAAGUUGACAUAUUAGAGCCCAUAGGAUGAUAUAGUAUACUAUCCAACCAUUCAAUCCAUUCCAUCUUUUAUCCUUCUUGAUAAAAUAGCCGUGAGUGAGGACACAGUCGGCCUUAGCUAAAAUAUAAUAUUUUCCUUUCCAUAACUCCCACAUUUUCUGUAGUCCACUCAAAUAUUUUUGGCAUUAUCAACCAAUGCCCGGUUAUUUUUCAAUUAAUAACCAAUGAUUAUCCAAUUAAAGAAUAAUUCCUUCUUUCACAAAUAAUUCAAUUCAACAUGAAAUAGAGCUCAAUUAAAUAAACGGACUGCACCACAACAAUCAGCAUAAAAUUCCAGUCGUCGAUUAUCCCUACCUAAUUUUCGGAAAAUAAAUAGAUAAAUAAUUAAAUUAAUUUCGAAAAUUAAUAAUUAAAUACUAAAAAUCUAAUUUAGGCCCGUAAUGCCUAAUUGGACGCCAGAACGGAUCGGGAAAAAUCCCGAGAUGCAUUCAAUAAUUAUUAGAAGCUCUUUACUUGCUAAUGAUUAGGUCUAACCACCUAAUAUGCAUCAUUGAGUCACUAAUUUAAUUGUUCUAAACUAAUCUAACCACCUAAGUGCACUUAAUUAAAUCUAACCAACCCUUAAGUGUCAUUAGCAAACUAAGAAAGCAUUAGUGAGGACAACUCACUUGGUAAAGCGAAGAUCGGAACACCGCGACGACGGCACGACGGUGGCCGAAAUCGGGCUUUCGACGAACUUGGACUGGGCCAAGAAACCUUGCAAGCCCACAGAAAAUUUUGGGCUUGGGCCUACCGAAAUUCUUGGGCUGAGCUUGAUUUGGGCUUCAAUAAUUUCGCUGGGCUUUGCUGAAUUCAACUGGGCUUGAAACAAGACUGAAAUUAAUGGGCUGAAGUUAAACCUCACUUGGGCUGAAUUGAGAGCUUUGCUAGGCUGAGUCCACUGAUUCGGUGGGCCUGGUUGUUGUAUUGGGCUGAAAUCAAGUGGGCUGCUGCUGGUGUAAUUUCAACUGGACUGGGCUGGGCUUCGGCUUCAAAUGGGCUGAGUAAAGAAGCAUCGAGGGCGACGCUGGACUUCGAGCGAGGAUGGGCUGCUCGGUUGAAGGAAAGAGAAGGCACGGCUGCUUUGGUCUUCAAUGAAGCAAAAGAGAAGCAGCUGCUGGCAUGCGGUCGGUGCUGGACGAGGCAACGGCAGGAGGUGUCGCACGUGAAGUUGCUGGGGUUGACUUCGGGCGGUGAUUUCCGCUCGUGAAUGCAAACGAUAGCUGCAGGGAUUCCGCUUCGCUGACUUCGCUCGUUGGACUGAAGACGUGCGGCAGCUGACACACGAACGUGGGAGAAAAAGAUGGGGUUGGUGGAGCUGCUUCACUAACUCAACGUGGCAGCUUCGGAUGCUGGAUCUGCGCGUGCGAAGGGGAGAGGACACGGAGUAGCGUCGUCCUUGGCCGCGUGGCUGAAGAUGGCUGCAUCUGGUGGAGCUCCGCUCGGUAGUCUUCAACGCUGUUUUGUUGACCAGACCAAGUGCAGACGCAGCCAAGUGGCAGCGUGGAGGAGAGAUCGAAGUUGACGUUGGGGGAUGGGUUGCGAGCGAAAAAUGAAGGCAGGCUAGUGGCAAUUCGGCAAAGGCUGAGGUUGAAGUUCGGUGGAGAGGGUUUUGUCGCCCCUCAGCUUCGAGGAAACAAACUGAAAAUAAAAGAUCAGCGGGACAGCUGGAGUUCGAGGGAAAGGGACGUGCGGAGGUCUGCGACCAAGAUGGAGGGCAGCUGUUCGGCGUGCUGGGGAAGCCAAGGAGGAAGAAAAAUCAGCCACUUAUCCAUUCCAUUAAUGCAUGUCCCCUUAAUACUAAUCCAUAAAUUCACCAAAUUGAUGCCAAAAUGCAGCCCUAUGCCCAAUCCGAAUUUUACUCAAUUUUGUUGGUCUUCAAUUUCUUUAAUAAUUUUCCAAAUUCGACGUCAUAUCUUGAUGUAGAGAAAGGCCACAAAAUUUCUACAAGUCCCCAUUCACCAUAUAGCUCGGUUUGCAAGUUGAAAAUUUAUUCAAUUCGGUCAAUCCGAAUUUCCGUUAAUUUUCCGCAACGUCCGAAUCAAUUUUCCGUAAAAAUCUCGGAAUCUCCGAAAAAUCUUCUGAGACUGAGUCGACGCUCCUAGAAUUUAUUGUGGCAUGACAAAAUUUUCAAUUUCUGAAGUCGGACUUGAAUUGGCGGUUAAUUUUCAUUCUAUGUGUUUUUAGCGUGAUCUAGGCUACCGGGUAACUUUCAUAAAUUUUUAAGUGCAAAUGACUCGUGGUCGAUUUUCUUCGAGCCACUAUGAACCCACUCAACUCAUUAGCGACUCUUGAUUGUCAUGAAAAUCUCGAGGAUCCAAAUACGGACACAAGGUCCCAAAACAAUAAGAAAAUCAGUCUGUACCGGUCGACGAGAAUUUUCCAAUUUGGUGAUGUCACCCAUGAUUAGCCACACAUCUUAGUCGAACCGGCCUAUCUUUGAUUUUGAAUCGAUUUUAUAUUGUGCCGUAUUGAUCUCUAAAGAUGAGCACGGUCGAGAAGCCGAUUCCUGAUCAAAUUCUCAAGUCUAUUUGCCUUAAAAUCCUUAAUGGUUUCCCCAGGUAGUCUAGUUAUCUCGAGAGUGCUUAGCUCUGAGAACAGCCCUAUAGGCGCAUCAAUGAAAUGUCCGAUUUAUUUAGUAGAAGACAGGGUUGAAAAUCUGGAAUGUCACAACUCUUCCCCUCUUAUAAAAAUUUUGUCAUCGAAAUUUAAACCUUUACAAAUCCUUAAACAAAAAUGUGGAGUGUUGUCGUCUCAUCAAGUCUUACUUUUCCACGCCGAUUCUUCGGUCUUGUGGCGUUGUCAGACCACCUGGACCAAGGAGAUCAUCUUGGUACACAAAAUAUGCUCUUUUUGAACGGCCUACUGAACGAAGCUUUCCACGUACGACACUUUGUCCUUCACUUCUAAUUCUUCAUGAUUCAGCACGUGCGUCAGGCCAGGUUCAUAUGUCCUCAACCUAAACACGUGAAAGACGUCAUGCACUUGCGCUAACCUCGGCGGCAAUGCAAGACUAUACGAUAGGAUCCCGAUUCUUUUCAGAAUCUCAAAGGGACCUACGUACUUUGGUUUCAGUUUUCCCUCCUUGCUGAAACACAAGGUAUCCCAUUGGUGACACCUUCAGAAAGGUGUACUCACCAAUUUAGAACUUUUGGGGCCUUCAAUGCUUCAACAACAUAACCUUUCUGACUGCUCUGAGCGGUCCAUAAUAUGAUUCUGAUCACGACCAUUGCAAUCACUAACUGCUAAACUGACUCUAGGCCUGUGAUCUUUCUUUCUCUGACCUCAUCUCAACAAACUGAAGUUCUGUACACUCUGUUAUGCCAGCUUUAAUAGGAACCAUCUGAUCUGGAUAUGACAUAGAUUCGUCACUAACACUCCAUGUAGACGAACUAUCUGGCGCACAUACAACCUUGCAGGUCUAUCUAAGCCCAGAUCUUUUCGUACUACCAAGAAGUGAGCCGACUCUGCCAAUUUGUCGACCACAAUCCUCAAAUGGAAUUAUUAUUCAUCUGACUCCUUGGUAAGUCUGUCACAAUGUUCCAUUGUGAAAUACUUCUAUUCCCACUCGGACUCUCGAAUGUUUGUCAAAGUCCUCCCGGUUUGCAUUAUUGAACUCCCACUUAUUGACACAGCUAACACUUGUAACCUGUCUAGUGAUCUCUGUCUUUAUAUCGAUCCACCAAUCGAGUUGACGCUAAUUCUGACCUACUUUGUAUUGUCUGGUCGAGAAUUAUAACCACUACGAUGAAUUUCCUGACAAGGUCUCUUACUUGAGUGCUACAUCACCGGGACACCCAAUCACUCUCGGGACUUGAGUGUUUCAUCCCCAUAAUCUGAAAGUCGGUCUCUUCCUUAUCAGUAUCCUCUUGCAGGAUCUUCUGAUCUUCCCGAUCUGCCAACUGAAGUGUUUGAUUCUAACCUGAAUAUCCGGUUCAAUUUUGAGGGUGGCUAUAAAAUUUAAAAGGUAGCCUAUCUCAAAUUUGAAAAUCGAAUUUCGAACUUUCUUAAGUAGGGUCCAUACUUUAACCAGCAUAUGCACAAAUGAAGACUCUCGACUCAAUGCAUCAAUGAUUUCUUUUGUUCCUCCCGGGUGAUACCAGAUGGCACCAUUCUAGUCCUACCAAGGUUCUGAUUCACGACACCAUCUUAUAUUCCACUUCUUCUGGAAGAAUAAACACUUGAGGCUUUAAUAGUUGAUGAAGAUUUAGAAUCUUUCUUCAUACCAAUGAUGUCUCUAAAUCUUUAAAGUGAAAAUUAAUGCCGCGAGUCUCCAGUCAUGCCCCAGGUAACUCAACUCAUGAGGUAUCAAUUGAUGGGACGCGUAUGUAACACUCUACUACAUUACAUCAACACGCAACCCAAUUCUUUAAAUGACACAUCUCUAUAGAUCUCGUCUCCUCCACAACCAUAAGGAAUGAUUGGCACAAGUGCAGUAGCUAGUUCUUGCUUAAGCUUUGGAACUAUCCUUGCACUUGUCUAAUCAUAUGAAUUUCUCUUCUUUCUUAAGAGGUCGAAUCCACGAUGAUGCUGAUGCUGAAAAUUCUUCCACGAACCUUUCGUAGUACCCUGUCCAACCCAUACAGCUUCUGAUUUUUGAUACUGCUGUCUAUCUUGGUCACCGAUAACUACUUCAAUCUUGGUUGGGUCCACGGAAAUUCCUUCACCUGAAAUCCCGUGACCAUUCUCUGUUGUCUCUCGUGCUCUAUAGCAUUCCUCGAGCACACCAGAAGAUCAUUGAAAGAAGUGAUCACCUUGAUCUAAAUAUUCUUCGAACACUUGAUUUGCCAAAUCCAUGAUAGUAAUUGGAGCGUUUGUCAGGCCUAAUGGUAUUACAUUGCACUCACAAAGGCCAUAUCGAGUACGAAAUAUUAUCUUCAAUAUAACCUCAUUCUUGGUUCUCAACUGAUGAUAUCCUGUCCUUAAGUCGGUUCUUGAAAACAUUAACACUCUCUUUGCAACUAGUCCCACCGUUCAUUGAUCUUCGGCAAUGAACACUUGUCCUUGAUCUUCACCUAAUUGAGUCGACGAUGGUUGAUGCAUGAUUGCAAUGAACCAUCUUUCUUUCUCUCUCCACAAAACUGAUGUUCCCUAAAGUGAUCCACUGACAUGCAUGAAUUCCUUAUUCAUCAAUUCUCAUAUCUGCAUCUUCGGGUCUAUCAGUCCAGAUAAUAACAACAGGUAAGAAGUCUUCGAGAGUGGCUCUGUCCUGGUACUAGCUCGAUCACAAUUUCUAUCCCUUUCUCUGACGACGGUUUGAUAGUUCUUAUGACAACACAUCUAGAAAUUCUUAGACUACUGAAAUGUCCCCUAUCUCCAAUUCUCCAAUCCGUCUUAUCUAUAACAAUCACCAAGUAAUCUUGGCAAUCACCAUCUAGCAAGUGGGUUGUCUUCAAUCGACGAAAUUAAAGAAAUCAAAGAUUCAUUUCGACUCCAAAUAAACUCGACACUUUCAUGAGCUAUUAGACUAAGUUGAAUUGCUCCAUGACCAUAAUUCAUUACUACAAGAUGCUCCAUGAGCCCACUCUACUCAUGUGACGUUAAAGUUACACCUCAACAACUAGUCAAGCAUGACCAUUACUAGUGAUUCCCCUUUCGUUCACUUAUUACAAUAAACUGAAGUUCCCCAAACUUCACCAAAACCCUGCUAUGCUACUCUAAUAACAUUUUCCCAAGAAUAUUCUUCCUCUGAUUGGUGUCGGGUUGGUUCCAUUUCUAUUCUUCUCGCCAUCCUCGUGGCGUCCUAACUGAGGUAGCAGUGUCAGUGUUCCAUUGGUGACCACCGUUUGGGUCGAAAAGGGUUUACCUCAGAGGGUACCUCAUCGAUUCAGAGUGUGGUUUCGCUUUGGACCCAAUGAAUUUCGUGUGGGUCCCAUCCGGGGUUUUGAAGUUCCCACUGUGGUGGUUGAUGCCAUUCUAGAUGAGAGUGCAGCUGACCCUUCUGAUGGUUGGUGGAGGACCUAACACCCCCGGAGCUUGUGGAGACAGAAGGAUCGGUGAACGUGUCCGACUAGUGGUCAUAGGACAGUUCCCUUUUGAAAGCCAACCUUUUUGUAGACCCUUGUUUAUAAACUCAAUUUGUUUAUAAAGGUGUUUGGUUUGUUGUGAUUGUCUUGCUUUCCUAUUCCAUGCUGUUGGUUUUCAUGGGUGUUUAUUUCGCUUUUGCAUGUGCAAUAAUAUGAAUGGGUCGGCGACGCAUCCUGGGACGUCGUAAUUUUAUCGACCACUGAGGAAUGGGCACACACUCGAGAAUUGGGGCGUGACACCUAAACCUUGGUUAGGAUGCAAAUUCACCUCGAAGGCGGUCCUAAACUCACACCACACAGAACUCACCUCGCCUUUGUGCGUCCCUGCAUGUUAGUACAUCACAUAUACUAUUAUCAAUGCAGCAAGCGUAACUUAACAAUUGGAACACAUCAAUUCAUUCACAUGGGUCCUAAUUAUAAGGCCAAACCGUUAUGACACGUCACAUACUGUGCUACACAAUUUUGUCCCAUAAUUAGGCGCAACUAUCAAAACCAUUCAAGUGUGUGAUGAUUAUUAUGACCCAUCGGCCACGGCCAACUAGAAAGUCAGCGGUCAUUUGGCGCAACCGAGCAUCGUCCCACCCCGUCGGGCAUGGCAUCACCUAGCAUCCUCCGCCUAGACAGCAUUCCACACAGGAGCUUCGUUUUGAAAUACAUCCUCGAACGGCAACGUCUAGCAUCCUCCGCCUAGACGGUAUUCCACACAAGAGCAUCGUCCCACAUAUUCAUACGCAUUAACACGGGUUCCACUUAGUGACCAUGCAAGCACGCCAUCAAUCAAACCAUUUCUUAUCUUUCAUCAAUUAGCCCAAAAUACCAAAAUUCCUUUUAAAACAAUAAACCUUACAAUUUCCCUUUUUUUUUUCAAAGCUUUCCGAAAUAAAUUCGUAUGGGGUCACGUAUUUGAAAUUAACCUGCCAAACUUUGCACGCAUCUAGUAUAAAACAUACUCAUUUGAUUAAGCACAUAAAAUCUGGCGUCCAAACCCGACACCUCAUUUAUUUUCUAUUUUCUUUUCUAACCACCCAUUUUUGGAAUUAAACUUUAGUAACCCCCUUUUUUUGGCUCAAAACUUUUAGAAAUAAAUUCGUAGGUGCUCACAUACUCAAAAUUAAUCUGUCAAAAUUUGCAUGCACUUAGUUUAAAACCUAAUUGCUUUAUCGAGCAAAUAAUUUUUGGUGUCCAGACCCGAUACCUCGUUUAUUUUCUAUUUAUAGUCCAUAAGGUCACCUUUUGCAAUAAUAAUAAACAACUAACAUAGAGCAAUCAACCUCAUGAUAUCACACAUAAAUUCUAAGCAUGCCAAAAGUCAACCACAUCACCAAAUAUAUAUCCAGCAAGCAUGACACCAAGCACAACCACAAAACCAUAAUCGGCCCUAACUGGCAGAAAUCGGUCUAGUCGCGCGUCUACAGAAUUAAUUCUAGAAACCUAAUUAAACGAGUUCAGAAAAUUCUCAAAUUUGAAUAUGUUAUAAAGGACACUUAAAAGAACACUUUUUUAUUUUUAUUUUUAUGAAGACACCUUGACCCAAAUCUUUCAAGAAUGAGAGCAGUAAUUCGCUCAAACCGUUACCACAACUGUGUUCAUGUCCAGAAAUUAUAUUUUCCAAAACCAGUUUAGUUUGAGAUCCAAAACUUGUCCGUUUGUUCUGAAAUUUUACUAUGUUAAACUAAAAGAUAUGAUGAACAACUUUUGUGAAAAAAAUCUUUUGAAAAUCGAACCCUAAAAGUUGAUAAAAAUCCUUUAAACACCAAAAGGUCAUUGGUUCCAAUACAAACUGAGAUUCUGUUUUGCAUGAAAUGAAUCUGAAAUAUUGUUCUAUGAAAUCCAUAAAAUCUUGAGUAAAAUAUAUGUCAUAGCUGAAGAUGUCUAUAACAUUUUUCAAGAAAGAAGAAAUCUCAAAAUCGUGACACAUUUUAGCCCACAAAAAUCGCAACCAGCAAGGGUCUAGUAAACUGAUCUAUAGAGAAAUCCACUAAACUGAGUUAAACCAACUUAAUUAACACCAAUCCUCCUUAGCACUAAUCUAACCAUGAUUAUUAAUAAUCUAAGCAAGUUAAUUAACACUAAUCUAACCCCCUAAGCACAAUUAACAACCUAAUAAAGGAUUAUGGAGUUAACUAACCGGAUUAGGAUGGCGGCGGGUUCACGGCGACAGCGGCGCGAAGGCGGUGAAAAUUCGAGACAACUGGGUCUCUAGCGAAGGCCUAACGGCUGAGGAAGACAGCCCUACAAGUCUUAGCCAAAGGCUAAGAUUCGACUCUGCUCGGUUUUGGUUGCUGGAUCGCAAGGUUGCUGGUGGACGGCUGAGUAGUUGACUGAUGACUGGACGGCAAGCUAGAUGCAGGGCUAGUGAGCUGGACGGAGCUGGGUUGUUUGCUGGCGGCGGCUGCUGGCUGGACCGAACUGUGAAUGCCGAUGAGCUAGCGUGAGAUGGAAGGGUUGGAGUUGGUGGCAUAAGGGUGAGGCGGCAUGGGUAAGCCAGCGAGCUAGUGGCAGCGACAGCUAAGGCGGACAGUGAAGGGAUAGGUGGCUAAGGCGGCGAAGCUGGAACGGAGGUUGGUUGGACACGGGUGGAGAGGACGCUGGAUGGUGGGAGGUUCGUUGGGCUGAGGGGUUGCGGUUGAGGGGAAACAACCGGUGGUGUGCGGGCGUGAGGUGGUAAUGUGCUGGUGAUGUGGGUUGGCUGAGGAGAGGCGGUUGCUGGCUAUGGCUGGCGGUGAGGCCGUGUACCAGUGUGAAGCUGUAGAUGAAGGGUGGCUGAAAGGGUGGAAACGUGCAGCAACAGAAGGGAAAUGAAGGGGAAUUGGAAAGGAAAGUGAUCAACUGAAGCAAGGAAGACGAGGGACUCAUGCAUAGGGGAAAAGGAGAGGAGAGAGGGAGAGAAAGGAAGUCAACGCCAACGCUAAUAGGAAGCCAUGCAAAAAUAUCAAGUACUCAAGUGCUUAGCCCCAAAAGUCUUCAUGCCAAUUUGUCAAGGGGCCAACCAAUGGCCAAUUUCCCUUCUUUUUUUUUUUCACAAAAUAAAGCGUUUUUGGUGGCCAAAUAAGCCCUUAAAGUAGCCCAUCCAAAUUUCACUCUCGUUUUCUUUUUGCCAGAAUUGAUUUUUCCACAAAAUUCCGAGCUCAACGAAAAUUCUCCGAAAGGUGAGAUGACGUCCUAAAAAUAAAUCAUGACAUGCUCGAACGUCCAAUUCCUGAAAAUGAAUUCAAUUUCGUGGUUAAAAUUGAUCGAACGUGAUUUUAGUACAACCUAACCUAUCGGGUAGCUUUUAGAGAUUUUAGCGCGUUUGACCUGUGGUCGAUAAUUUUCAAUUCAUAUUUAUGCAUUUCUGACUCGUAGACAACUUUCGGUUGUUAUAAAAAUCGCAAAGUUUCUAUUACGUAUAUCGAGUAUAAUUUCAAUAGAAAACCGGGUUAGUGCCGUUCGACGCGAAUUUCGCAAUUAUGCGGAAUCACCUGCAAUUUAAUUAAAUUAUUCCGUCAAAUCGACCUAUAUUCGAUCACAAUUUAAUUAUAACAAUGUCGUAUUGACCCUUGCCGAUUAUUAUGGUCGAGCAGUCGAUUUCCGAUCAAAUUCUCUAGUUUGCUGCAUUUAUAGCUCUUAACGGCUUCACCUAAUAGAUUAAUUAACUCAUGAGGGGCCCUGCUCAGAGUAAAUUGACCAUAGGCGUGUCGACGAAAUGCCCCUUUCAUAUUAUCGAGACAUGGUCGAAUUUUAGGAUGUCAUAAUUUUUAUCUCAACUUUUUAUGCCAUGUGAGAUUCUUAAGAAAAAAAAUUCAUCAAUUAAGUGCCCUCAUGACUCUCACUUAUUCUUAAGAUUUUUAUUUAAUGUUUGUUAUCUUAGAAUGUUGCCAAUGAUCAUGAAUUGAUUUAAUCUAAAGUGACAUUUGAUCUGAUGAGACAAAUCUAGAAAAGCAAGUUGAACGAAAAUUAAGAGUUUCAAGGAAAAAGUAAGAUUGAGUUUGGGAAAUCACAUUCUAAUCUUGUAUUCACUGAUCGAUCAAUUAUGAUUGUUUUGGGAUAAUCAUAAUCGUGAAUAUAAUAUAUUAUAAUUAAAAAGAAAUCAGGAAAGAUGUAAAUUCGAUUGAUCAAUUUAGAGAACUGCAUACUACAUUUACUUGAAAACGUAAUACCCAUUUUGAACUGUUAUAUAUUUCUAACAGAUGUAUAAGAACGAAUUCUCAAUGUAUGCUAGUGGCACAGGUUAUUUACUAGUAUGAACGUUGUAGAGAAGAGAAGAAAGAGUUAUGUUUGACCCACCAUGUGAUAGUGGGAGAUGAUGGAUUUUUAUAAAAUUUGUUGGGCCAAGCCAAGCACAUUCGCCCAUGUUGGGCCAAACUUAGCCCGUAAAAUAAGGGCCCACAAGAGAGAAAGCAAUUAUUUUUGUAAGUAAAAAUAACCGCUACAGAAAAAGAAAAAGGGGCACUUUGAAACAUAAUGAAACAGUAUUUACAUUCUUCUUUCUCCUUUAACAACGGUGAAUUCUCUCUCAAAGAAUAGAACGCCAAUACUUCGAUCAAUCCCUUUGAGACUAUAACAAGUACUUAAUCUGCAGCAACUAAGAUACGUCCAUUUUCGUGAUGACCCUUCCGAUUGGUGUUACAUAUUUUUUUGGUUUCAUUUUCGCGUUUGUUUUUAGUAUGCGAUACUUUGUGUAUAUGUUCACUUUUAGGAAUCGAUUUCGGUCACUUAAUUUGAAAUCAAUUUUCGUCAACUUCCACGACUGCACAACGCUCUAAUAUAUCAUUCCAUUAAAUUCUUCAGCUUAACAACUCGAAAGUCGGGUCUUGCAGUUUAAAUUUCACAUAAAUUCAAAUUUGUGUUUUAACUUACUUACUAACCGGUACCAAACGAAGUUGAAUUAACUCGUGAAGAUGCUCCGAGUGCGUGCUCUUUCUUUUCUCUUUCUUCCUUUCUUUUCGUUUCUCUCGAUCUCUUCUUCCUUUUCGUUUCUGUUCCUUUUCUUUUUGUCUUUCUCACGAGCACCCUCGCUCCUUCCUUCUCUUCUUCCUCUGUCAUUUUAAAAUUGAUGUCCCCUCCUUUAUUGACCAAGACUUAAAAAGUCCUCCUCUCUUUUCUACCCAUCCUUCUUUCCCCGCCUCGGAGAUCAAUUUUUACAGAUCAACUACACUUUCGGGAACAGCAAAAGUCAGUCUACGUGAAGCAAUUACAAAAUCAGAGGUUGAGGAAACAGAGACACCCUGUAUUUUUUCAUGUCUCCAAUAAUGAGGGAUGAAGGGGCCGACUCAGGAACAGCCAGUAGUAGUAGAAGUGAUUGUCCAAAAGGCUUCAACUACGACGUGUUCUUGAGUUUUCGAGGUCCCGACACUCGGGAUGGAUUUGCAGAUCACCUCUAUGAGUCCCUGACCAAUUCAGGGUUCCGGGUUUUUUUAGACGAUGAAGAAAUCCGACAGGGCGAGGAGAUUGGUGGAAAGAUUCUGCAAGCAAUAGAGGAAUCCAAAAUCUACAUACCCAUCUUCUCCACCGGAUAUGCUUCGAGUAGAUGGUGCCUCCGUGAAAUCACACACAUGGUGGAGUGUAUAUAUCCAGAUUCUUCGGGAGGACAAAGAGGGCAUGAGAUACUUCCGAUAUUCUACGACGUGGCGCCCUCGGAUCUUAAGCUCGAAACAAAACUGUACGGAGACGCUUUGAGGAAGCAUGAGAGGGAGAGAGGCCGUCGUGUGGUGAAGCCCUGGAAGGAGGCUUUAAAAAAGGUUGCUAAAAUCAAUGGAAGGGAGAUUAAAGGCCAACGGUAAUGUUGAUUUAGUUUACUUAUUGAAAAAUCUUCUUCUUCAUAGAAAGAUUUAUCUUUCAAUACAAUCCUUAUAUAAGGCACAUUAUUUUUUAUUUUAUUUUUUUGGCAAUGGGUUAACACUAAAGGUAUGCCAAUUAUAAGUCAUGCUUCUGAUGGAUAUUCUAUUUAUAUAAUUAUUCUAAGCAUUUUAAGCGUUAAAUUCAUGAAUAUGGCAGCCACGGCAAAGUAAUUAGAGAUAUCAUUCAAGAGAUUUCUCAUAGGAUGACAACAAGAGAGAGAAAUGUUCCUGAUGAUUUGGUUGGAAUAACGGACAGAGUAGAAGACAUCAAGAAGUUGUUAGAUCCCAGUUGUGCUGAUAUCCGAAUCAUCGUAAUUUACGGUAUGGGAGGUAUUGGAAAGACAACUCUUGCCAAGCUAAUUUGUAAUCAACUCUCUCCUCUAUUUCAAGGUUGGAGCUUUCUUCGUGAUAUUAGAGAAUCAUUGUCACGAUCCGAUGGCAUUGUAAAAUUGCAAAAGAAACUACUGUGGGACCUUUUCAACCUCACAUUUCCAGAGACCUUCGACAUAGACGAAGGAUUAAAUAUGAUGAAAAAUAGACUGACCAACAAAAGAGUCUUGGUUGUUCUCGAUGAUGUGGAUGAUGGUGAUCAACUCAUGCAACUAGCAGCAAAACCCAAUUGGUUUGUUCCAGGAAGUAGGAUCAUUAUCACAACUAGAGACACUCGUGUAAUACCUACAACCAAGGUGGAAGGGUUAGAAGAAAAUGUCUUAACGCAGCCCGUAAAGAUUUACCUUUAUGAAAUGCAGGAGUUACAUUCUGAUCAUGCUCUAGAACUUUUUAGCAAGCGCGCCUUUAGCACAUGUUCACCUCCACAUGAUUAUGACAAUCUUUCAAGAGAAUUUGUAGCUACAACCGGAGGACUCCCUUUGGCUCUUGAGGUGAUAGGCUCUUCUCUCCGUACCAAAAGCAAAGCGGCAUGGAAUGAUUCAUUGAAGAAGUUGAAGGAAGUGCCUCACGAGAAAGUACUAAAGAAGUUAAUUAUAAGUUAUGAUGCACUGGAGUAUGGGGCAAAACAAAUUUUUCUGGAUAUCGCAUGCUUCUUUGUGAUGAAGAGAAAAAUUGAUGCAUUUUAUAUGUGGGAAUCUUGCAAUUUUUUUUCCAGGAGCUGAAUUUGAGGUUCUUAUCAAUAAGUCAUUGAUCAAGAUUGUUGAUGGUGAUAGAAUAUGGAUGCAUGAUCAAGUAAGAUAUCUUGGAAGAGAAAUGUUCGUCAGCGAGAAAUGUUCGUCAGAGAUAUAGAAUUCCGAAGGUUGGAGCCAAUUGUGGUUACAUGAAAUAGCCUAUAAAAUAGUACUGGCAGGAAAGGUAAGAACCAAUGCAAAAUGAGCUUUUUUACUAUAUGACAAAGUUGAAGGGAAUUCGUAAACCUCAUUUUAAGGGUUCAGCAUCUGUAUUGAUGCCUGUGCUCACUAAUUUCUGGUUUAUUCUCGCAGAGAACAGAAAAUGUAGAAGCGCUAGCACCAUCGUCAUCCCGAGACAAUUUCACACGUGAAGAUUUUGUAGAUCUUUCAAAAACAAGGUUCCUUGUAUUGGAAGGCGGAAAUGUCACUGGAGAUUUUGAGAAUAUAUUACCAGAGUUAAGAUGGCUUUGUUGGCACUGCUGUCCUUCAGAACUACAGGCACAAAAUUUUGUGCUAAAGAACCUGGUUGUUCUCAAGCUUUCAGGCAAUAUUAUCAUAAAUGAAUGGAGCGGAUGGGUCCAAGUCAUGGUAUGAUCUCAGUCCAUGCAUUUAUUCAGUCCCAUUAUAUGUGAUAACAUACUAUAAUUCCUCGAUUCAAUGUUUCUGAUGAUACUAAUUUGACCGUUUACAGAUGGGAAGUAAACUGAAGGUUUUAAAUCUCAAGGGUAGUAAAUUUCUUACUAGAACACCGGACUUCUUUGGAUGCCUGAAUUUAGAGAGAUUGAUCAUGAGAGAUUGCGAGAACUUGGAUGAAAUUGAUCGCUCAAUUGGAAAACUAGAGCAACUGAAGUGCUUGAAGUUCAAACGGUGUCCUCGUCUAAAAGAUCUGCCAGAGGAAAUUGGUAGUCUAUCUUCCCUGAGAGAGUUUAUUUUAAUACAGUGCGAAUAUGUUCAUACUUUGCCAUCUUGGAUUGGUAAUCUUAAAGGUCUGUCAAGGCUGGUGAUGGAUGAUCUAGGACUUGAUAAACUUCCUCUGGAAAUCUCAGAGCUAGUGGAUCUUAAGUACUUGUCUCUAAUGAAUUCUACAAGGCUAAAAGAGCUUCCAUUCACGAUAGGGCAGUUGAAAUCGUUGGUAGAGUUGGAUUUGUGCGGCUCAUUGAUUAGAGAACUACCUCUAUCGAUUGAAAACCUGGAAAAUGUAGUGAUAAAGAUUAACAGCUGUGGCAUAAGAUUGCAACAGGGAGACAACAUUGGAAGAUUCACCAGUUAUUUGAGUUCUCAAAGAUAUGCCAAGCUUAUGCGUAGAGGUGAGCUGGGAUCCUCCUUGAGAGUCUCCGAAUAUCCUAUUGACUUGCUUCUAGAGUGGGGGAUAAUUCAAACAGAGUACAAUGUCUAUCUCCAAUGUUUGCCUAAUUACAUCAAGCAGAUUUCUGUCUCGACAGUAUUUAAUGCUCCAAAGGCAAGAUAUCUGGCGUCCAAGAUUGUUCAGUUUCAAAACUCAAUUGGAGAAGUUGAAAAUCUGAUUUCCAGCCUUGUUUCCGUACUGAGGAGAAUGAGGGCAAUGGAAUUAUGUUUUGUAUGCCACUUACGAGUUGGUUGCAUGCCCCUAGAAAAUCCACAGUUUAGGGUCCUAAUUAACUGUGAUGAUAAGCCAAAUGAACCAUUCUAUCCAAGAUACUGUGACCGUUGUCUGCAGAUGUUGAGGAGCUUGUUGUCAUUGAGUCCACAGCAUUUGCAAGUUUGCAAGGAGCUUCAACUGCUGCCGCAGCUUUCUCUAAAGCUUGGCAUGAUGUUGGAUGGUUCAAAGGUUCUAUCUUGUAAAAUGGAAAUAGAAGCAACAUUACCAUAUCCAUCUUGCUUAGAGAGCAUCAAACGUCAUUGCUCAAUCGAAGAACUUGAAACAUGGGUUAGAAUGUAUAGCUCUUGGGAUCAAGGGGCGAUUCCGGAAGAGAAUUCCACAUCUGAACGAAAAAUCCAUGGCUGCGUGGGAAUAAAACGCUGCCAGAGUCUUGACCAUGCGUUGAGCCAGGAUGUGCACCGGAAAAGAAAACGAGACUAGCAAGGAUACAGCUAUCUCUGGGAUAAGAGAGUUUCCUAUACAUGGACAGCAAACCUUCCGGAAAUGAUCAUUAAAAAUUACUCUGUUAUAUCGUAUGAACUAUAAGAAAAAUACGUACAAUAGUUGCUUCAGAUUCUGUAUUCAGUGUGUAUUGAGCAAGAUUCCAUCGUCUGUGCAGAGCUUGCUUCACGUCAUUUGGCGUCUUCUUUCACCCAUUGUUGUUGCUUUUCUUCACUUGUUGUACUGAAUAAAUCUACUUGCAGCUGCAAAUUUUGUGAGGGCGUCAUCAUCAGUCCAACCAGCAAGAUGUCCGAAACGUGAUUCUAUGACUUCUCCAAGAUUCGGCAGAAGCUCUUCUCACCCGAUUUAGGUGUAGCUAUAAAUUUGGGAGCUUUUCUCUCUCCAUCUAAAUCUAAAUCUAAGAGUUUCUUAGUAGCGUUCAAUCUGUGAUGAUUCAACAUAUUAUUAUUGUUAUUGUUUUUCAUAUGACAAUGGUGUUGAGGACACCUAAUCUAGGCGCACACUGUAAGCUAUAAUUUCUAGAGGGAAAGUUCUUGGCGUGUGCCCAUAACUACGAUUGGCCGCUGAUUUUUUUAUAUUUUUUAUGCUGUAACUGUUGAUUUCGAAAGAACAGAGAAGGAGUUGACAACAAAAACCGUAUAUAUUAUUCAGAAAAUUGAAAAAAAUGCUUAAAUACAUACUAAAACUUGACCAUAAACCCACAUUGCCCACUAACAGCUUGCUUGGUCCACAAAACCAGCAACAAACUAACAGAAUAGAUAAAAAGCGUGCAGCUAACUGCUCCUACAAGAUAGGAUUGACCAAAUAAAACAACAAUUAACUAACUCCUAGAAAACAGGACAUCAACAAACUGACUUAACAAAACAAAAAACAAAAAAAAACAGAUGGUGCGGUCUUGAUACAUCUACAGUAACAAAUUUGGUCUUUUGGGAUGAGAGCAUGUUUAGAGUUGCAAGCCCAACUCUUUUGUUUUUUGGAUUUUGUUUUGUUUUGCAGUCUUUUUGGGAUUUGUUUUACUUGAAAAUUUUCUAUGUUCCUCUUAUAUUUCAUCAUGACCAAUGAGUGAAAUUUUCUGUUGACCAAAAAAAAAGUCAUGUAUCCUCAUGUACAAGUUAAAUUUAAGGAUGUUUUCCCUUCUCAGUAGUCAUGAAGGCUCCUAUAAUUUGUUACUUUUGUUGCCAGAUUAGAAAUCCCAAAGGAAUCAGAUCUCCACGAUAAUUUCGUACAGCUUCUUAUUCCACCGUAACUGCUGGGUAGUUAUCCUUGCCAUUUUGAAAGAGGCGAAAACUUGAAGAGGAAAACGAAUAUUUUGAGCUUAUAUAAACUACUCAAUCUGCUUAUUGAAAUAUAAUUUUGUCAAAGCCCCAAAUUGUAUAUAUAGGAUGUAAUGAAUAGCUAGUCAUCCUUUAUAAAAUAAAGAACAAACCACAAUAAGUCUCUUCACCGAAAUAUAUCGACUGAAUAGAACCUUUCAUUGAAUGAAUUAACCAAAACUAGAGAUUUACAAAACCCAAUCCAGUCAACUUUAUUCAAUAUUCUGAAGUAGAGUCUCCUGCCACCUCCAAAUCCUCUCCACAUGCUUUCGACUAAUUUUCCUCGUUUUCAGACCCUGGAAUGGUAAUAAAGGGGUGAGCAAAAUCACAGCUUUGUGUCUGACAAUCACCACUUCUAUGAAAUCAUGCUAGGACUUAUGCAGAUUUUAUUCGAUUAUGCAGCACAUCAGACUAGUACAAAUAUUUACUUUUAAAUCACGUAAUACAACAUCGCAUAUCUCGACGUAUAGAUAUCUAAUCCAUUGCUUGUGUCUGAACACUAUGAUCACACUUCACCAUGCAAGAAGGCUAAAAAACUACAUCGACUAUAGUUAAACCCCAGAAAUUACAUUGGCUGUGGUUAAGUCAUAUAACAUAAUUAGUCAAUAAACGUACAUCAUAUUCCAAUGUGUAGGUCAACCAUGAGUAUUGAUCCAGUAUCCAUAUAUUAUAAUCAACAUACGAACAUAUCAUUUGACUAAUUACCUACAUACAUUUUCAGUGCAUAUCCAAUACGACAACAAACUUGACAAUCCAUCAAGUGCCUAAUCCAGCUUUAUGAAGUAGCAUGUCUCAAGAUAAUCUAUUUUUAUCCAUGCUCUUAAUAUGGGUUGUGACAUGAUAUAGUACUUUGUGUUGGAGAGAACUCCUUUGAUGUCUUGAAGUUGACAAAACUUGUUCAAAGUCUAUUCUGAAGAAUUCCAAACUGGUAUGUCAACGUCUGAAGACUCCCAGACUUUCUGUCAAAAUCUGAAGACUCCCAGACUUUCUGUCAAAGUCUGCACACUCUGUCAAAUUCCAGAUUGAAUGAAAGUGAAGGAUGAAGACUUUUUUAGAUCAGGGAUUAUCUUUUCUUCAAGAGAUUGGUUCGUAUGGAUUAUAUAUGGUCUUUUGGUUGGAGAUAUCACCUACAAGAUUGAAUAUCUUUACUGAAAUUAAUUUGGAUAUAUCAAAUCUUUUUGGAAGGCAAGUAAUUUUGGAAAGAAUCUACUUAUGGAAACCAAAAUCCUAAUUGUAUGAACAAAUUGACGGGCUUUCAUCACAAUCUUCAAACGGCUCGAGAUCUCCUUGAUUGAUUCUAUCCAACGGGUUGAUUGGAAUAAUUCCUUUGGAAAGUGCCAAUAGUUGAGAAGGCAUGAAGGAGUAUUUAAGGAGGACUCUCUAGUUGUUCAAUAGUGUACGUGAAAGAAAAAUUUCAAAGUCUAAAACUUCCCAAUUUCUUGUUAUUUCAUAUACCGUGCUACAAAUUGUACUCAAAAGAGAGAGACGUAUAGUGUGACUUCGUGAGAGAGCAAUAGAGACUCUUCACUGAGAAGUCAAGAUCGCAAGAUUGUAACAUCUCUUUUGAUUCAUAGUGGAAUCCAGCCAGUAAACUGUCAGCGUCAGAGAGUGGACGUAGGCUUGAUCUAAGCGAACCACUAUAAACUUUGUGUUCAUAUUCUCUUCCCUGAACUUAUUUAUUUUGUUCGUAGUUCUAUUUAACUGCUAAAGUCUGAACUUGCUUAAAGUCUAUUGUUAUUCAGACUCAGUUUCAAAAGCAAAAUAUUUUCAUUGUUCUUUACGAAAAAUUAUUUUCACACCUAUUCAUCCCAUCUAGGUGUUCAUAUUAGCACUUACAAUUGGUAUCGGAGCUUGUAUACUUAAUUUUGAAGUGUUUUACUUCUAAGCUAAAGAUCCUCUAUAGCUAGUAUUUUGGCUCCAAGUUUGGUUGAAGGUUAGAGCAACACCAAACCUCCUUACUUCGAUGGAAAGGAAUACAAUGUAUGGAAGAACAAGAUGAAGGCAUUUCUCAUAUCCAGAGACCCUAUAGAAUGGGAUGUCAUAGAAAAAUGGAUCAAUCCUAAAGCUACAUCAACUUCAGAUCGAGGAAAAGAAGUCAUAGAUGCUGACGAAGCAACACGAGCUGAAUUUACCAAGAGACAAGAUCUUGACGCAAAAGCAAUCUACUAUUUAUAUUGUAUCUUAUCUCCUACUGAGUAUAACCGAAUUUCUUCUUGUGAAACAGCAAAAAAAGUUUGGGACAGAUUACAUGUUACCUAUGAAGGAACUGACCGUGUGAAGGAAACCAAAAUAAACAUUUUGCUCGGAUAGUAUGAAGCCUGGAGAAUCUAUUACUGAUAUGUUCAGUCGAUUUACAAAGAUUGUAAAUGGCCUGGCUUAUCAAGGUCAAUCAAUCUCAGGACCAAUGAAAGUGAACAAGCUACUGCGUGGGCUUUCGAAAGACUGGAAUCAUGUGAAGACCUUAAUUAGAGAAACCCAGAAGAUCAUGCCUCUAUCAGUUGACGAACUAAUAGGAAUGCUUCAGUCAUACGAAGUGGAACAAAUAAAUGAUGAAAAAGAUCCUAAAGGUAAGAAGUCAAUUGCUUUAAAGUCUAACAUUGAUCCUGAUGAUACAGAUUCAGAUGAUGAUAUGGACGAUGAAGAGCUGGCGCUUAUGAUUAAGAAAUUCAAAAAGUUGAAUAGAAAGGGAAGAAGAUUCAACUGAAAAAAACAGACCACGCGAAAUUUCCAGAAGAAACCAACUAAGGACAAUGAAACCAGCAAAGAUGUGAUAUGCUUUGAAUGCAAGAAAAAAGGGGCAUAUCAGACCUAACUGCCCUCUGUUAAAAAAAAAAGAAAGGAAAAGCUGAGAAGUACAAAAAGGCACUCAAAGUUGAAACUUAGAGUGACACCGAGUGUGAGGAAAGCGAAGAAGAAUAUGCCAACAUAUGUUUGAUGGCUCAUUCCGACCCAGACUCAGAAUCAGAAAUAGACUCUGAUUUAGACUCAGACAGAGAAAUUGAGGUUAGUGAUUUAAAAAUUCCCGUCAAAGUCUCUAAAUACAUAGAUGAACUUUGUCUCAGUCUCGAAUCCUCUUUUAAAAGGAUUUCUGAACUAAAAAGGGAGAAUUCUAAGCUCAUGCAAUAGGAAGCUUCUUGGAAAGAAAAUUUUGAAAAUCUGAAAACAAGUUUUGAUAAUUUGAAAGAAAAUUCUAAUUCUCUUUCAAAGGAAAACACUUUUUUUGAAAAGUGAUAUCUCAAAUAUAACAAAAAGAUUUUCAAAUGGAUCCGAGAAACUGGAGAAAAUUCUUUCGGCUCAAAUACCCUACUUCAACAAAUUUGGUUUGGAUAUGACUCUAGAAACUGUUCCAUUAAUCGAUUUUCCUAAAGUAAAGGAGAGAAUCAAACAAAGACCUGCAAAGGCAUUUUACAAAACUCAUUUUCAAAUUUUUUUUGUAAAACCUGUUGGCCGAAGUGCACUUAGAUGUUCAAAAUGUAAUAUCUUAGAACAUUUUGAGAAAGAAUGUCCCAAGGUUUGGAAAUCAGUUAAGAAGGACUGGGCUAAGUUUGUUUUUAAUAUUAACCCUCCAGGACCCAAGAAAAUCUGGAUACCUAAGAAAGUUUGAAUUUUUCUUAUGAUCACAGGUCACUAUCAAAAGAAAGAUCAAAUGGUUUUUGGAUAGUGGCUGUUCGAGGCAUAUGACAAGAGACUCAAGCUGCUUUAUAAAGCUUGUUAGAUUGAAUGGAGGAAAAGUAUCUUUUGGAGGAAAUAGCAAAGGAAAGAUCGUAAGAUGUGGAACUCUGAAGAUUUGAAGCCUAACCAUCAACAACGUUUCUUUGGUGGAAGGAUUGAACUAUAAUCUACUGAGCAUAAGUCAGCUUUGUGAUACUAGUUUCAGAAUAAACUUCCAAGAAGGCAUUUGUUAUGGAGCGAGUCAAGACUUCUCUCAAUCUUUCAUUGGGCGAAAGCAUGGCAACAUUUACCUUGUGGAUAUAAACCCAGAAAGUUCUCAGUGCCUUAUUUCCAUUCAAGAUGAAGCAAGUUUCUAGCAUCGGAAGCUUGGUCAUGUGUUCUGGGAAAACAAGUCAGAAGUUCCUUCAAACCUGUGAAUCAAAUUUCUACCAAUCGAGCUCUGCAGCUUCUUCACAUGGACCUUUUUGGUCCAACCAAAACUCAAAGUAUUGGUGAAAAGAAAUAUUGUCUAGUAAUUGUGGAUGAUUACUCUCGCUUCACUUGGUUCUACUUUCUAGCUAGUAAGACUGAAACCUUCUCUUAUUUCUCAAAUUUUGCCAAGAAGGUUCAGAAUGAAAAAUGGUAUGCUAUCUCAAGUAUACGAACUAACCAUUGAGGUGAGUUUGAGAAUCAGGACUUUGCUAAGUUCUGUGAUGAAUCCAGUUUUUAGCAUAUUUUCUCUUCUCCAUACACUCUAGAACAAAAUGAGGUUAUGAAAAGAAAGAACAGAUCCUUACCGGAAAUGGCCAGAAAUCUCUUGAUAGAGAGUAAAAUAUCUUCUCGAUUUUGGGCAGAAGCAGUUUCAACUACNNNNNNNNNNNNNNNNNNNNNNNNNNNNNNNNNNNNNNNNNNNNNNNNNNNNNNNNNNNNNNNNNNNNNNNNNNNNNNNNNNNNNNNNNNNNNNNNNNNNNNNNNNNNNNNNNNNNNNNNNNNNNNNNNNNNNNNNNNNNNNNNNNNNNNNNNNNNNNNNNNNNNNNNNNNNNNNNNNNNNNNNNNNNNNNNNNNNNNNNNNNNNNNNNNNNNNNNNNNNNNNNNNNNNNNNNNNNNNNNNNNNNNNNNNNNNNNNNNNNNNNNNNNNNNNNNNNNNNNNNNNNNNNNNNNNNNNNNNNNNNNNNNNNNNNNNNNNNNNNNNNNNNNNNNNNNNNNNNNNNNNNNNNNNNNNNNNNNNNNNNNNNNNNNNNNNNNNNNNNNNNNNNNNNNNNNNNNNNNNNNNNNNNNNNNNNNNNNNNNNNNNNNNNNNNNNNNNNNNNNNNNNNNNNNNNNNNNNNNNNNNNNNNNNNNNNNNNNNNNNNNNNNNNNNNNNNNNNNNNNNNNNNNNNNNNNNNNNNNNNNNNNNNNNNNNNNNNNNNNNNNNNNNNNNNNNNNNNNNNNNNNNNNNNNNNNNNNNNNNNNNNNNNNNNNNNNNNNNNNNNNNNNNNNNNNNNNNNNNNNNNNNNNNNNNNNNNNNNNNNNNNNNNNNNNNNNNNNNNNNNNNNNNNNNNNNNNNNNNNNNNNNNNNNNNNNNNNNNNNNNNNNNNNNNNNNNNNNNNNNNNNNNNNNNNNNNNNNNNNNNNNNNNNNNNNNNNNNNNNNNNNNNNNNNNNNNNNNNNNNNNNNNNNNNNNNNNNNNNNNNNNNNNNNNNNNNNNNNNNNNNNNNNNNNNNNNNNNNNNNNNNNNNNNNNNNNNNNNNNNNNNNNNNNNNNNNNNNNNNNNNNNNNNNNNNNNNNNNNNNNNNNNNNNNNNNNNNNNNNNNNNNNNNNNNNNNNNNNNNNNNNNNNNNNNNNNNNNNUCUGUGGAGGAAUCCCAUGAAUGCAAAGUUUCAAGAUAUAUGGAGAAUCUACCAGACCAGACUUAACUUGAAGAGUCUGAACCCGUUCCAGACUUUACAAAGUCUAUUUCCCCCGAAGACGUUCAUACUUCCGGAGAUCAUGGGUUUUGGGAAUCGGACAUUCAAACAUGUCAUGAUUUAUUUUUAGGACGUUGUCUCGUCUUUCAGAGAAUUUUCGUCGAGCCCAGAAUUUUGCGGAAAAAUCAAUUUCGGACAAAAGGAAAAGGAAUGUCAAUUCGGAUGCGCUGCUUUAUUAGGAUUUUUGGCUGCCCAAAUUACUUUGUUUGUAAAGAAAUGAAGGGAAAUUGGCCAUUGGAUGGCCCCUUGACAAUUUGGCAUGAAGACUUUGGGGCAUAUACACUUGAGUACUUGGAUUUUUAGCAAGACUUCUUAAUGGCUGCCACUUUGACUAAUUGGUUUCCCUCUCUCUCUUUAAAAUUUCUCCCCCCAUUCUUGCGUGUAGAACCCCCUAGCCAAACCCUUUUGCCUCCUCCUUCUUCUUCUUCUUUUUCACGUGUCUUCCUCUUUCUCCCUUCUUAGUUCUGCUUCUUUCAUUUCCUUGGUGACGCAAGUCACCAGCUCAUGCCAACCGCAGCUAGCAACUGCCUGACCUUACGUCCGUUGCCGUUCGCAGCUCCACAGCCCGCACCACCCCACGCCUCUAGCCAAUCUGUCCAACUGCCCAACCUAGUUCAUCUAGCCAGCCCGCGGCCAGCAACCGUAGCCAGCUUGCCCGUCCGUCCAGAUGCUGCCAACUAUUGCUGUCCCAACCCCUCGGCAUCGUCUCAGCCCCCUCAAAUAGAGCCAAAUCUCAACUUUGGUUAAGACUUGUGGGCUGUUUUCUUAGCCAUUAGGCGUCCGUUGGAGACACGGUUGUCUCAGGUCCUCACCGCUUUCGUGUCGCCGUCACUGUGAACCCACCGCCGUCCUAAUCCAGUGAGUUAACUCCCUAAUCCUUGAUUAGGUAGUUAAUUGUGCUUAAGGGUUAGAUUAGUGUUAAGUGGAUUAGUGCUAAUUAGUUUAGUAAGAUGAACUAGUCUAGUUAGGUUAGUUUGGUUAGGUUAGCUAGUUAGUUAGGUUGGUUAGUUUAGUUAGGUUAGCCUACCCUAGGUUAGGUUAGUUAACUUGGGUUAAUUAGUUAACCAUCAUUAGGAUAGUUAGCCGUGGUUAGUUUAAUUAACCAUGGUUAGGUUAAUUAAUCAUAAUUUAGUUAAUUAAUCGUAAUUAGCAUAAAAUUGUGAUAGAUUAUCUAUUUUUCAUAAUUUUACGCUGAUUCUCGUGGUUGAAUUUAUAUGUGAAUUUGAUUGCUUAUAUGUGCAAUUGAGUGCUUUGUGGUGAUUAUUAAUUAUUAUUGCAAAAUUUGAUUUAUGAGUAUUUAAUUAGAAAAAAUACCGGGUGUUGGUUUUUGAAGCCAAAAUUUUAUGUAUUAUAUAAAAUCGUGAAAUUUUGAAAUGGGAGUAUACCAUGUUUAAAGGUUCGAUUUAAAUAUGUGACCACACACAAUUAUUUUACUGGGAAUUUUUAAUACGAAGAAAAUGGGCCAAGUUCAUUAUUUAAAUACAAGGUAUUUGAGUGCAAAACACGGUGUUCUUAGCCAAGUAUGGGUGCACGUGUGGUCACUAUCGGAACCCGUCACCCAAUUAGAGUCGGGGAGGCGAUGCCUAAUUAAGUUCAGAUGCCCCAUGUCAACGGAUGCUGGUUACGAUGGAGGCCGAACCGAUGCUCCUUUAUGGAAUGCCAUCUAGGUGUAGAUGUUGACGUGCUCGACGGAGUGGGACAACGCUUGGUUAUGCUGGAUGACCGCCGACUGUUGAGUUGGCUGUGGCUGAUGAAUCGUAAUAACUGGAACACGCCUGAGUGGUUGUGAUAGCUGCGCUUGAUUAUGAGGCAAAAUAGUGUGGUAUGGUAUGAGACGUGUCAUAAUGGUUUUACCUUAUAAUCGAGACCCGUGUGAUGUUUGAUGGAUCAAAAUGAGGUGUUCCGGUUAUUAAGUAUGCUUGUGAUGUUUAUAAGUGCAUAUGUGAUGAGCUAAUAUGCAGGUACACACCAAGGCGAUGUGAGUUCUAUAUGGUGCAUGUUUAAGACCACCUUCGAGGCGAAUUUGUGUCAUAAUUGAGGUUUAGGGUUUUGACUCACUGAGAUUUAUCUCACCAUGUCGUGGUUAACCCUUUUUUAGGUCCUUAGCAUGGAGAUAUGUCAUGUCUAUUUUGGGAUACCAUGGCACAUGGAUUCUGAGUCUACUUUCUUCCCUAUUCUCGGGAUCACCUGGAUCCGUGAGUUAGUGGUGACCAUGAUUUGGGUCGAUGAGGGUCUUCUUCACUUAGUGCCUCAUCGCUUCAAAGUAGGGGUGAGUGUGGUUCCUAGGUAGAACCGAGAACUGAAGAACCGGUCCAAAGGGUCCGGUUCGGUUCCCGAUUCCAAAGGGACGGAUUCCGGUUCCCAAUUCCCUUUUUCUAGGAACCGGCGGUUCUCGGUUCCAAUUCCGAUUCCGGCUAUGGGAACUAGAAUCGGAGCCCCAAAUCAAACCCUUAGUUCACUUCACACUUUCAGUUCUUUGGGUCUCUCCCGUUCUCUGCUUCUGUCGAUCGUAGCGUUGCUCGCCCUCGACACUGUCGCCGAACGUUGCUCGCCCGCAACGCCACUACCGAACGCUGCUAACCCUUAACGCUGCCGUCGGACGUCGUUGGACACCAGUCGCCCUCGCUCGCCUUGCCCUUGCCUCCCUCGACGCCGUCACCCCUCGCUCAUCCCGCCACUCAGCCGCCGCCGGACGUUGGUUGUCCCGCCGCUGGACGCCAGUCGGCCCGUGCUCGCCUUGCCCUUGAUUUCAUAUGCGAAUGCAACAUAAAUAGAGAGAGAGAGAGAGAGAGAGAGAGAGAGAGAGAGAGAGAGAGAGAGCUACAAAACUAUCAUGAGAAAAAAACAUGGUGGUGGAAGAGACGGUGAAAUCUGCAGUGGCGGCGACAGUGGCUGCGACCACCGAUGACCAGAAGAACCCCGCCACCGCGAACCCUAACCCUAAUUCGAAGGGCGUUGCAGGCAGUGGCGACCCGGAGCUGGACGAGGGAGAGAUUGCAAGUGAAGAGGACUUAGUCGAGCAGUUGGCGAAGGAGGAGCCCAAGGCGGACCAGCCGCAUCCGCUUGAGCACUCGUGGACUUUCUGGUUCGAUAACCCUGCUGCGAAAUCGAAGCAGAUGGCUUGGGGUGCCCCCAUGUGCCUAAUCUACACUUUCUCUACCAUCAAAGAAUUCUGGAGGUGAAAAAAUUUUGCGUUUCUCUCUCAAAUUUUGGGAACCUAGUUCUAGAGUCGAUUGAGUUGUGGUUGGGUUGUUCUCUUUUCUGGGUGAUUCUUGUUAUCAUCGUGUUAUGGCUAAUCGGUUUGAUGGUGUUCCAAUUUUGUUCUCACUGAAUGCAAAGUUUUACGGUUAGGGAGAAUUAGUUGCUCUACCAUUAUGGUUUUGAGGAGUGUCUGUAGAGAAGGACUGUCGCUAAUUCUGAAUGCACCGACCUCUGAUAGAGAGUCCACGUUUCAUUGUACAAUAUAUUUGUUCAUGUGUCCAUUGAUGUCUUGUCUUCUUCGUGAUCAACAUGAACAAUGGAAGCGACCUACAGUAAAUGCAUCUCGAAGGUACUUUUAAUUGUCUUAAUUCAGCAAGUCAUGUUUCAAUUUAUUAUUUGUGCACUUGUCUUAAUUUAAUUUGUCUCAUUCUUUUGGUCCUCUGGUGGUGUUCAAGUGUGAAAGUUUUUCGUUGCCAAUUGCCUCGUGACUAUUCCUUCUACUUAAGUGAACCCCCACGACAUGAUGGGAGUGACAAACCUUUAGGGAGUGGAGGUAGCUUUUUAUGUCUUUUCCUAGUCAGUUAUGUUCUGAUUUUUGUCUUUGGAAGUGGAUGGAAUACUUUAUGACAGUGCACAUACAUUGAGCAAAUGAAUAUGAUAUCCUCUUUUUUUUUAAUCAGUUUAUACUUUAUGACAGUGCAUAUACAUUUGAGCAGAUGAAUAUGCUAUCCUCUAUUUUUUUUUUUUAUCGGUUUAUACUUUAUGACAGUGCACAUACAAUGACUUGGUUAUGUUGUUGUCUCCAAGGGCCUAAUUUCAAAGACUAAACUCAUGGAUAGGCUUUUGACUACUUGUUUUGUUGUCUUAGUCUCUCAGUAAUUAUGGUAUUAAUCCUUCUCUUUUUGGCCAAAACGUGUUGUUGUUAAGCAGCUCCACUUUGUAACUGGUGUGGAACAUGGAAAGGAGAUAAAAUUUGUGGUAGCUGCAGAGAAGCAUGAUACUGCUCUAAAAAAAUCAGGUUCUAGGUUAUUCAACUCCUUAUACACAUUCCCCGUUAGUCUGGUCUUUUCCGUGACACUUUUUGUUUUUCACCUGCAGGCCAUGCAUUGGCACUCAGGUCAUAAAGUUAUGUGCCAAAAUAGUAGUAGAAAUGCAGGAAACUCAUCAGUAGAAGACCACAAAUGUGAGCAACUAUUUUAGACUUCUUUGGAUAAAUUAUACUAGUAUUGCAGGGGAGGCACUGGUAUAUGUGCCUCUUAGGUCUCAUGAAUUUUCCUUUUUCACAUGCACAGCUAUGUUCUUUCUGUCACGUUGGCAUAGUAGAGGUCCUACAAGAGUAUUUUGACCAUGCCUUAGUAAGUACACUGCCGGAGAUAUAUGUAGUCAUUUAGCUGUGAUGAUUUCAGUUUGUGGUCUUAUGCUUGAAGUUGCAGCUGUGUCCUUUUUGUCAUGUUGGUAUACUAGAGGUCUUUUCAGAGUAAUUUAAACAUGCCGUAGUACGUAGACUGUUAGAGAUAUAUGUAGUCAUUUAGCUCUUACGAUUUCGGUCUGUAGUCUUAUUCUUGAAGUUGAAAUUGAACUUGGCAUCAUGUUUUAACUUUCGGUAUUUGUUUUCUGUACUUUUAAAAUGUUAACUUCUCUAUGGUGUAAUUCUGCAAACAGGUGCAAGCAGGAGUUUAUGACCUAAACACAAGAUCGUCAAUGAGGAUGAGGCUGAAUAUGAUGUCGAUUUGUCUGCUGGUUUGGAUAAUACCAAUUGUGUGGUAUCCAGAAACUAGAUGGAUGACUCAAUAAAUUCACUUAUUGAGAGUUUCUAGGCCUUGAUUGCAAUCAUUGCUAACUUGGAAAUCAUCUGCCGUGGGAUUUGGAAUCUUUUAGGUAUGAUGUGUUCUUUUUCCCUACUCUAACCUUUGUACCAUGAAAGCAGAAGAAUCCAAUGACAUACCUGAUGGAACAUUGCUGAUUGUUUACAGGCAGAAAGGGUUCCUGAUGGAUUCGUGCUCAAUGUUGUGCGAAGGGAGGACCUAGCAUCGCCAAAUAGAAGCGGGGAUUGCAGCUGUGAAGUCCCCAAAUGCUUGCAAUUGGAUUCAUCGGAGAAGGAGAUGGAUGUUUGACAUCCGGAUUUUUUUAGGUAUGCUAUUGGUACCUUUUUUUUUUUUUUUAAUCUAAUAUAGUAAAACUAAGUUUGCUUGUAAACUUAAGAGUGGUUUGGAAUAUUACAAUGCUAGCUUAUAACAUCUUUUCCUUAAGAUCUUACCUAAUGGCAGGACUGAGUAAUUGUUACAUACUUUACCUUGAAAACGAAACAAAAAAAAUGAGAUAAAAAAAAAAAAAGAACCUGUAGGAACUUAGAACCGACCCCAAAACCUGUGACAGGGUAGGUUCCAGGUUCUUGGUUCUGAAGGAUAGGUUCCAGGUUCCAAAAAAUGAGGAACCUGUACCCAAGGGUAGGUUCUAGGUUCCAGACGGAAUCGAACCGGAACCGGGAACCGCUCACCCUUACUUCAAAGCGUGGUUCCUUAACAAGCCUAAUGGGGUUUGGGAGGGUCCUUUGCAGGGUUUUGACGGGCGUACUAUCGAAACCGAGGAUGAGGAGGUAGCUCACUCCAUGGAAAUCGACAUUUCAAAUGGUGUUUUGGAGGACCUAGUGCUGGAGUCAGAGGGAUCCAGGGUAUAAGUCGAUUAGGACUUCUUUUUGGAGAUCGACUUUUAUAUAUAGACCUAUAGGGCUAACUUUUUUUUUUUUUUUGGUAAAAGGUAAUAGAUAUAUUAACUUUAAACUAAGGGGCUAUACAACUAUACAGCAAAGAACUCGGCACCAAAAACUUGCACUCAUGAAGACAGACAAGUCAAAGCGAGUGGAAGGGUGCCGAGAAAAGGGGAGCGACAACCUGCACAGGAGCAGAAACAAGCCAAAACAGCAACACAAGGUGUUGCAACCUCUUUUUCAGCGAGCACUUGGGGUGGGCGCCUUGCAAAGGCUAAUGGUUCGGCUAUGUCUAUUUUAGCCCGGACUCUCCCAAGUCCACCAAUUCAGGACUUUAAUAGUCUAAGCUUUUAACCUAUAAGUCAAUUUUAAAACAGAGUCGCCACUAAUCGGUUUAUGGUGGGUUGAUUAGAAACCCAAGUGAAGUAUCGGGAGAAAUACUUGCUCCUGCACAACUAGAGAGAAAUUAGGAUUAGGGACUUGAUUACACUAGUUAAUCACUAAUGCCCUUUCGGUACCUAAUCUUCUUUAAACCCUAAGACUUUUUGGAUGCUUGAGAGAUUUUUCCAUGUAUUUUGUGAAGGAAAAACAAUUUUUUGGGCAUUUUCUCAUUUUUUGGACAUAAAAAGCAUUUUUUGAUUUUUUGGUCUUUUUUCCGAAAAUAUAAAUUAUUUUUUUGGCUUUUUCUAACAUUUUUGGCUUUUUUAGGAAAAUAUAGGAUAUUUUAACCUUUUUUGAUUUUCUGGAAAAUAAAUUCUUUUUCAAAAAAAUUAAAAUAUUAUAUUUAUUAUUAUAAUAAUAUAACGAACCAGGUCAGGUUCCCGAGACCGACCUGGGAUUUUUCCUUUUAAACCUAAAAGCCCAAAACCCAUUUUUCGCCCGAUUUCAUAAAAAAAUCCAGCCCAAAGGCUACCCGGCCCACGCUCACAACCCGGCCCACUUUGAAGCCAGACCCUACCCGAUUUAGACCCACACCCGACCCGGUUUCGCGAGAACCCUAAAGCUUGACAAUUCGCGGCCUAGAGGGGGGAAGCUGGGGCGGCGGCUUGCAUCGACAACAGCGACGACGAGCCUGACAGCGACGAAGACUAGGGCGACGACGGGCGGCUGUUGGAUUCUCGAGGGGGGAAGCGACGGCGAAGCUACGGUGACAGGUAAGGGCGGCGACCAAAGUUUCGGGCGAAAAUGGCGACAGUCGAUGGUUGAUACCUGUCUGCAAAGGAGGCGCUGGGCGGCGGUGAAUGGUGGCAGCAACGAUGGACCAGCACGAUCGGGGAAACUUUGCUACGACGACUUCGAUUUCGCACUGGUUCUUCGAGCUUUGGAGGAGAAACGGCUCGUGGGAGACAAUAGCAGCAACUGGCGUCGGGAUCUCGUGGUUUGCGGCUGGUGCUCGGUCACAAUGACGGCGAGUCUUCUCCCCCACAGAUCUGGCCUUCCGCCCUCCGAUUUCCCAAAUCUGGCACCGAAAAAACCUUCUCAGGCCUUCUCGCUCAGACCCGACCCUCUCCCUCUCCGGCCGCGAGCUCUCAGAUCUCGGCCUGCUCGUCCUCGGCCCCUCUUCUGAAGUCUCUUAGUGGGAGGUUUCGAAGAUCUGCAGCCCUCGAUCCUUCGCCACUUCUCUCUCUUUUCGUCGAUGGAGGUGCUCCUCUAUUUAUAGGCAAGAAGGAGGCCGGUUGACGGAGGUUCGACCGUUGGCCCUCGCACGCCGACCGGCCUUGGGUGGGGCCGAACCGUCGUCAAAUCUUCCCCAUUCCACCGAGGCAUGCUCGCUUUCAAUGCUGCGGUCCUCUCAGCCAUCGGCCUACAUUCCUCUCUUUGCUGUAGGUUGUUGUUGAGUGCGUCUUUGUCGCCGCGCGUGACUUGUAGAGGCGGAAGGAGGAAAGAAGAAGGAGACGAGAGGAAGAAGGAGAAAGAGGGGGCGGGGCCGGGUCACGUGGGCCGGGCUGUGGGGGGCUUACCCGAGAAAAAGGAGGGGCUGGGCUUGAAGGCCCAGCCCGACGGGCCGCAUUUGUUUUUUCUUGUUUUUAUCGAUGAUUUUUUUGUUGUUUUUGUUAUUUAUUAUUUAUUAUCUGAAAAAAGGAAAAAUAAAAGAAAUUAUGGCCUAAUUAAUAACAUAAUCAAAAUUUAGGUGUCAACAGCUGCCCUUCUUUGAAGGUGAGCUCGUAGAGGUUGCAUUCAAAGACAAACUGAUACCUAAAUUUUGUCUAUGCAGUAGGUUAUAUCUUAUUUAGGACCAAUUGUCCUAUGCAGAAAAGAGCAAUAUAAUAUUAUAUGUAGUAAGACAGAUAAGAAGAUACCUGUAAUUACUUACCGGGCACAAGCAAGAUAAGGGUGCGCAUCUCGAGCUUGGCAAGUAUCAAGGCAUGCUCUUACCUGGUAACGUGAGGAGGUUGCUCCUCCAAGACCCAAACCUUUCUUCGGUCGCCUGUUAGAGCAAUAAGUUGUUUACCCGACCUUUCUUGGGGAUGCGCCGACCUUUCUCAAAGCAUCGAUUUAUGGGGUGUCUAAUUUCUGUCAAGGACACCAGUCAGUACUCGACCUUUCUUAGGGUAUCGAUUUGUUGGGGGUGCCUGACCUCAAUUGAGGACACCGGUUGAUACCCGACCUUUCUCGGGAGACGCACCGACCUUUCUCAGGGCAUUGAUUUUUUGGGGGUGCCUGAUCUCAGUCGAGGACACCUGUUGAUACCUGACCUUCUUGGGAGAUGCGCCGACCUUUCUUAGGGCAUCUUGUUUUUUGGUGUUUGAUCUUCGUCAAGGACACCAGAUGGCUCCCAACCUUUCUUGAGGGAUGCGCCGACCUUUCUCAGGGCAUAUGUUUGUUGGGUGCCUGGACAUUUACAGGCAUUUUGAAAGAGUACCUAGAUAUUCACAAGUACUAACCUGGAGGAUAUUUGGGCCUUUGCAGGCGUCGAAAGGGUAUUUGGAUGAUCACAAGUACAAACUCUUGGAGGAUACUUGGAUGUUCACACGUAUCGAAAGAGUACCUGGAUAAUCAUAACUACCAAACUCUGGAGAAUACUUGGUCGUUUUUUACAGUCUCCUGGUAGAUAGAAUAUCGAUGACGUACAUGGGAUAUUCGUAAAGGUUUCUCACCUUCUGGUAAUGGGAAUAUCGAGGACAUACCUGGGAUAUUCAUGGAGGUCUCCUACCUCCUGGCAGUUAGGGAAAAUCGAGGACGUACCUUGGAUAUUCAUGAAGGUUUCUCACCUCCUGGUAGUUGGGAAUAUCGAGGGCGUACCUGAGAUAUUCAUGAAGGUUUCUCACCUCCUGAUAAUGGGAAUAUCGAGGACGUACCUUGGAUGUUCAUAAAGGUCUCUCACCUCCUGAUAAUUGAGAAUAUCGAGGGCGUACCUAAGAUAUUCAUGAAGGUCUCUCACCUCUUAGUAAUAGGAAUAUCGAGGACGUACCUUGGCUAUUCAUGAAGGUGUCUCACCUCCUGAUAAUUAGGAAUAUCGAGGGUGUACCUGAGAUAUUCGUGAAGGUCUCUCACCUCCUAGUAAUGAGAAUAUCGAGGAUGUACCUUGGAUAUUCGUGAAGGUCUCUCACCUCUUGGUAAUUGGGAAUAUCGAGGGCGUGCCCCGGAUAUUCAUGAAGGUCUCUCACCUCCUAACAACAUAAACUUGAAUGUAGCACAAGGCUUACUUGGAAGGUCGCAGGCACUCAAAAGGGCCGGAACACCUAGGUAGCCGCAGGUGUACAAAGUACUGGGUAAUCGCAGGUGUAUAAUGUGGUGGAAUACUUGAGCGACUGCUAGUAUUCAAUGACACAAUUUUGAGGAUAACUCGGACAAGUCGAGUGUCACAGAAAGGGAGUAUCCGAAUGGUGGCUGGUAUUCAAAGACAAGAGGAUACUUGGUCAGUCACGAGCAUCCAAACUUUAAAGACAACUCGAACAGAUCGAGUGUCAAUAGAGAGAGUACCCGAGUAAUGGUAGGCACUCAAAAAUAGGGGGAUACCUGGAUAGUUGCAAAUACCAAUACUCUAGGGACAACUCAAACAAGUCGAGUGUCAAUAAGAGGGAGUACUUGGCAAGUGGUGGGUACUCCAAGACAAGGGGAUACUUAGACAGUAGCAAGCACCCAAACUCAAGGGACAACUCAAAUAGGUCGAGUGUCAAGAAGAGAGUACCUAGAUAAUGGUGGGUACUCAAAGACAAAGGAAUCGGGGUAUGCUUACCUAGUGAUAUCUCUGAUCUCUGAGCGUAUGUUUGCUAUUUGCAUAGUAUGCACACAUGAUUGUAUGUGUUGUCAAUUCAUGAGUUCAAAUGAGAUUCAUGCAUGAUAAUUUUGUCAGUUUUGCAUCAUCUGAUUUCCAUUGAAGAAGAUUUCGAAAGACAACCUUCAUUUAGAAUAUAGAUGUCUUGAGCAUGCCAGAUGAGGGACUUUUAGUUUGAAAGGACUUUCCGCUCACUCUCAUGGAAAAGGUUAUCUUGACCAUUGAUGUAGGAUUUAUAAGGACCACACUAUCUCAUUGUCAUCAUGUCAGCAGGGGUCCGAGUAUUCUCGCAAACAGUACGACUUUACCGAUGUGAGAGGUCUUUAUUGAAACUGUGAUGAAGUCUUGGUCAGUGGCUCAUCAAAGGGGACCAUCAAGGUCGAAGUUGAUGGACGAAAUGUUGCACGAUCAUCUCCGGGUUUACAAGUCAAGAACCCUGCGAAAAGAGAUAGAGUAAUCUUGCUCGUACUUCUUCGAGCGAUGCUUAUGUACACAUGAAAUCCUAAGUUAAUUGAAGUGCCCUAGUCUAAAGAGACUUUUACAAUAGGAAUGUAACGUAGACUUGGCUCACAUGUAAGAGGGUGAGAGUUUGUGACUGUCUUGGCAUUUGUCACUAGUCUUUCUUGUCAAAUGGAGGUUCUAUGGACCACAACAACAACUUUUUCUUGGCUGUAUUUUUGACUAGGGGGCAUUGGCCUUGCUUUUAUUAGGCACACUGCUUUUUCAUGCCCCUAUUUUUUAUUUCAGUUCUUCAUUUAUGGGCAUUGACCUUGCUUUUACCAAGUACACUGCUUUUUUAUGCCCUUGUUUUUUCAUUCUUGUCGUUAGAGGAACUGGCCUAGGCAAGUUCAAUUGAAGCACCGUUAUUAGACUCUUGAGUCUUCAUCUUCAGCCGACACUCUAGGCUAUGCUGCUUAAAUGGCAAUAACUUACGUUUUUCCUCCAUGUGAGGGUGAAAUUACAGACUCAAUUGGUUUGUACAAUGAAUACAAGUGCGUAGAGAAAGAAUUGCUCUUUGUCAUACUAGGGCACUUAAAUUAACGCGAGUGUUCAUAUGCAAUAAAGACACCCGAAGAUUGAUGCAUGUGCGAGCAUGAAAAUUUCUAUCCCCUUUCUCACCUUGUGACGCUGCUUCACCUCCGAUCUGCCCCAGUGUGGGGUGGUUCUUGACGAGGGGUAAGACAGAAACUUCACUAGUGUAAGGAGCUCAAAGGGGUGAGCAAUGAAAUGCAUCUCACUAUUUUGGUUAUCGUACUAUUCGCGAGAGAACUCUUUACCCUACAAUCAUGGAAUCUUAUGCACUCAUCUCACAAGUGUAUAGAUGGGAGACUGUGUAUAGGAUAUGGCUUGCCUUUCAUCAUUCUGAUGCGCCUCAUCCAGCAUGCUCAAUUAAUCUUGUAUUCUUCACUUAGCUGUCUAUUCUAAUAAUCCUUGUAGAAUUAGUAAUUUAGACAGACAAAAUCAUAAUGUAAAAUCCAUUUGGAAAAUAUGUGCAGCAUUUUAAAUAUGAGGGAGCUUGUACUUUUAAAACAAAUGAAUGGUUUUUACUAAAAAAAAAAAGACCCUAUUGACAGCUUUAGGGGUUAACAGAAUAGUGUUUCUAAAUAUGUUAAAUUUUGAACAUCAAAAGGGUUAUUCACAAAUGAGUGUCGAUGGGUUGUCCCUAUUAAGUAGGGAAAUGAACAAGAAGGAUCAGCCGGGGUCGGGAAUCUGAUCAUCGAUUUGAUGAGUGCUUCCGCUUUUGCCCCUGCAAAAGAGAAGCUGAAAAUGGAUCAAUCAAUAGGGCCAAAAUUAAAGGUGAAUUGAGGCCUGAAGGAUCUCUCUCAUUUGCUUUGGCGAUACUUGAGACACCAUUUUGCUUGGGAGAGUUUGUCAUGUCUCUCAUUAAUUUGUUAUCUUUGUUUUUGACAGUCAGGUGAUUCUACAAAAGAUAUGAAAGAACGUGUCAGUCACGAAUUCUCUCAGGAGUUGAACAACUGGGAACGAUACAACAUUACCCUCCAUUGGUUUGCAAUUGAUUGGAUAGACCUAAGGCAUCAGGAGGUUAAUGAAGUCCUACACUUUUCACUCCAUUAGGUCACCACUAGGCUAAAGCACCAGUGGUGUCCGUAGGGCGCCUCUUUUUUUCAUUUAACCGAACCGGCUUCUGGACAACACAUCCUUUUACAUGAAGUCAGGUGAAUUCGAUACGAGUCACUUGAUUGGCCUAAAUUAGCCAUUAAGCUUGGUUCUUAAAUCCCAAUACUUCUUAUCAAUAGGGGGAAUACGUCAAAAGCGGGUUCACGUAGUGGGAGUAUUGGAAACAAUACCAAAUUACUCUUCCCUAGAGUUUGUAUUUGUUGAUUCCUAAGGAUCUCUAUAUGUUGAUAACAACCUCUUCGUCUUGACACAGUUUGAUAUUUUUUUCGAUUGGCCUUCCUCAUUUGUGGCCAUGUAUGCAUGAUUGAUGUUCGUUGAUUCAUCUCCAACGCCUUCCUUCUGUGGAAUUUUCUUCUGUCUUUGACUAUAUGACCAAUAGCAGCUUUGGGCAAAGUCAUGUACUUCAAGCUUCUAUGGAAUUUGAGAUGGACAAUCAAAACUUCCAAUUCUCUGAUGACAAUCACUUCUUGGGAGAGCAGGCGUCUGGAGCAUGAAGUGAGGUUUCUAGGUCCUCAUUUUGAAUAGGGGGCUAGAGACCGCUUCAACUGUCUAGAUUUCUUCCCCGUUGAUAGUACCCAAUUCAAAGAAAAAGAAAAGAUCCCUUCCUUGUCCUUCUGGGCUUGUCGAAGGUGGAAGUCCCGUUGAUGAAACCACAGCAUCUAGUUGCUUAAGCACGUUGUGGGGAAAAGAUAUUGCUCCAGCUUGUGAAGGAGUUUGGGCAGGAGCGAGGUGGAGUGCACAGAACUCCUAGGGAUGGCUUGAUUUCAACCGUUUGCCUGUACCUAUUACGUCCCAUUUUUCGUUUCCUGUAAAUAGGAGAGAGAGGACAUCAUUUCCAAAAUUAAAACUUACAUGUUUUAAAUGGGAUGAUUCUUUAUAUUUUCCCCUGUUUUCUUGGCAGGGUGUCUUCGAAUUAAGGAGUUCACAUUAUGCGGUAGCUUCAAAUGCCCCAUAUCACACUAAGUCAAAUGGGAUGAUAUUUUGAGACACGAAGUGAAUGAGUCAAAAAGACAAACAUAAUUAAAUUUAACAUCUUGUUUUGACGAAAGCUUUUGGUAAUGAAAUAUUUUUUGUUUUCAAAAGUAUAUAUCCUUGGGGGGAAGAAAGCAUGAGGAAGCCCAGCCCUUAGUAUUCUCCUUGGAUGAUAUUUUCUUUUCAUGGUUGGAUAGCAUCACCGGGCUGGUUUAGGAUUCCGCCUCAUGCUUUCAAAACAAAAUAUUAGAACUGUAUAUUAGAUUACUGGAAUGGAAAAUGCAACAGUAGCACACUAGGACAUGAUAAGAAACAUGAAAUUAUAAAAACAAGUAACACCCGUGAAAACUCCUAUAGAAAAGGAGCUCUUUGAUAGUGUUGGUUCUGAAAUCAAGCGCCUGAGAGUUCCUCGCCUCCAGUAGACUCGAAGUAUUCGCAUGAGAGGACCACUUCAUUGAAGCUAUGGAAGUGCAAAUCAUGUAACCAACAACGAUGCUUGCGAGGUAAAGCUCCUAUGAAGAGCUUCAUCAUUUCUUCUUUGGCCAGUUGAGGGUAGGUUUGCAUCAUAAAAGCCUUCCACCUCCUUGCAUAUGCUCGGAAAUCCUUCAUUGGUCUUCUUCUAAAGUGAACCAAGUUCUCGCAAGGCAGUUCAGUUCCAAUAUGGCUUUGAUACCAAAGCAGAAAUGCAUAAGACAGCUCAUUCCAAUCUCUCAUGAGGUAGAUAUCUGCUGUGAUGAACCAUUGCAAUGUAGGCCCUGUAAAACUUUCUUGGAAGGCCCGAGUUGCGAAUGACAUCAGGCUAUAGUACCGACUCAUUUCGGCGUGGAGAUAUUGCAAAUGAGCCAUGGGGCAAGUCGUGUCAUUAUACUUGUAGAGAUUAGGUAUCCACAUUUCUCUGGGGGGUCAUGAUCCUAUGAGGGCAAGAAGGGCCUGGUGUGUCUUAGUUAGGCCACUGGUUUUCCCAUUACAUAUUCAUCAUAGUGGUGAAUUUUUCUGUUUCAGGGAAACUGGACUCUACCGAGAUUAUCCUAUUGUUUUCUUCCGAGUCAAAAUCACCAAAUGAGGAUGAGGCAUUUAAGCUAUCUUCAUGGUCAGGUGACAAGCUUAGUAGUUCAUUGGGAUCAUAGCGGAUAAGGACGAAUGUUCCCUCUUCUGACAGGCUUUCGACCCUGUGUGUGGGUAGGAAGUUAUACGAUGAAUGGCCGAUUUCAUCUGUAUAACACUAGUAGUCCCCAGGAUUGUAUCCUAGGGACUGGUAGUCUUCAGGGUUGUACUCUAGGGGAUGCUCGAAGCUUUGGCGCGGUGGCUCAUUGGCUAUCAGAUUUUGCCUAUACUCAGUGGCAGAUGUUGAAUUGAAUUGUUUAGGCUUUCUUUUCUUGGCUCUUGGUCCAGACCUUUUGAGUAAGGCCAUUCAUUUCGCCAGUUGGACUUUGUCAAGGGGAGUGAGAGAUAGUGGAGCUUCACUCUCUACUUCACUCUCUAGGUUGAUAAGGGUCAGUAUUCUUUGGACCCUAGCUCUUGUAAUAAGCUUGGGGAGCUGUCAUGUUGUGCCCCGGUCUUGAACAGGCUCUAUGCCUUUGACCUCAUACAUAGGCUCCUUGCUUUUCCGAGUGGGAAACUUUUCAGCAAUAAGAUGUUGCUCAGUCACCCAUUUAUCAUGCAAGGCUUCAUUGACAUCUUCUUCUCCUAUCUCAACGACUAACAGCUCCUCGUGCUCCGCGACCAUCUGUUCUUCAUAAGGCAAUGCGAUGUCAGGGCUGAUGUCAAUAUCAUAUUCUUGGUGGUAAAUAUGAAUUAGUUCCCCCCAGGUCUUAAGGGGACUAAUCUUCCUGACAAUGUACCAUCGCAAGGUGAGGCCAGUCAAGCUCGAUUGGUACAAUUGAAUCAUCCUUUGGACCAGGUAGGCCUGCAAGUAGGUCUCUGGAUGGGAGGUAUCAGCAUACCUUUUGCAUUCAGGUACUUUGAGCUCUUCAGGGAUCUCAAUGCCGACGUAAUUGGACAAGUCCAUGGGAUCCUGCCCUUGCAACUGGCUUAACUUUUUCAUGAUUUUUUCAAACUGUCUAUGGUGUUGGUUAUUCUUUGGCAAAUUCGCGGGUGUCGUGACGGUGCUUAAAGCAGCUAUGGAGUUAGGCUCGGCUUGAGUGGAUUCCAUUUGCCUCGAGAGUUGUCGAAGGACAAUGGACAUCUAUCCUACGCCUUCUUCAAUGUUGGUGAGGCGAUUUUGUACAUCAUUCUGAUCGGGCCCUAUCACGUGGGACCAUUCGCAGGUGGAUGAUAGCUGGCGAUUCAUAAUUACCUGUCGUUGUGAAAACAAUGAAUGAGCAUAAGAGUAGACAAAGAUUGACCUGUGGCAACGGUCUAUCUAUUUUUUAUUUAUCAAAAGAGGAUUUUAUAAACCACAGACUUUUGACACCCAGAAAAUGAUAGAACGAAAUACUCGGUAUUAAACAGAAGUCCCUAAACAAUGGGACAAAACUUUCACAAAAUAAACACUAAGGGGCACAUGACUGCUAUUUUAUAUGCGACGGGGAGCCUUAUUCUUGCAAAGGUGCUUGCUUUCUUGGACUGGCUUAGAGACGAGUAUCCAGCCUAUUCUCAUAUCCUUUGCAUAAGCUCUGCUUGCUCGUGCUGGUUGCUCUCACUGAUUAAGUGAGGGACCGAUGGCUUCCAUUUUGUCGGGAUACGAUGGUUGUGGAUGCAGGACGUAGAGGCGUUGUGGGCCUUUUCUUCUCCCUCAAGCCCUUCAGGUACUACGAUCCUUUUGCGAUGGCACUUGUCCCAGGUUUUCUCAAUGAUAGAAAUUUCGAUUGAGUAGUCACGGCUUGUGUUGAAAAGGACUGGAGGGAUCUUCCUCUUGAAAGGCGGUCGGAUCUCCUAAAGGGAUCCAUAUUGUCGUGCCACUCGAUAUGGGUAAUAGGAAACGGCACUGAUGAGGCCGAGCAACGGAAUUGGGCGGCAGCGUUUGUAAGUGAAUCGAGCUCUUUUUUCAUGGAACCAAACAACACACCAUUUGAAUGCCUCAGGAGCUGGGUCUCUUAGGAAGUUUAUCCAAUUUAAAUAGCUUUGAUUGGGAAUGUAUGGUCUUAAAACCAUAAAUUUUUGUGAUGGAUUUUCGAAAUCAUUCGUUUCAAACGAUUGAAUGAAGCCCCAAAAUUCGCUUAGGUGAGAAAAGAACCAGACUUGUAAAAUUUCCGGAGAGACCCGCAUGAUUUUUUCCGUGUUUUCUUUAAAACAAUUAAAGGACAAGAAUGUUUCAGUUAAAAUCAUGUUGACAUAAUUUUGCCCCCUUGAGAUUUGAUCAACUAUCCAUGCCAUCUUAGGACUUAUGACAUUUCUUUGAUGGGGGAAAAUGAUGGACUCGAAAAAGGCAAGAGGAAAAUCUCACUUUUUUGGGUCAUAACCUGAUUUUGAAAAUAGGCAUUCAUAAAAUCUAGUGGGCAGCUAUUAUGGUUGUUUUCAAGAAUUUGCCUCAUAACAUCAACUUCAGUUCUUAAAAGUCGCACUAACCCACGCAACAAGAUGAUGCCUAUUGAUGGCCUGACAAGCUUAUUCUUGAGAGGCAUUCUAGUGAUGAUUUUGUAUUCUUCCAGAGUUGUGGUUAGCUCAAACCUACCACACAUAAAAGUAGUUGUCUUCGGGCACCAGAAAUGCGUCAUGGCUUGUAUGACUUCGGGAUGAACAGUAUUUGAAUCAAUGAUAGGAGAUGACCAACUUUGACUUUCUCGCGCACUUGGGCAAACUGGUCCAAUUGACCCCACCAUCUGAAGAGCUCUGCUUUGGGAGUGGGAAUGAACUGGAUCUCAUCUUCUCCCAUCGCAUAUAAAUUGGGACUCGAAAAACUUACCAUAAAUUGCCAUGGGCCAACAAAAAGACUGAGUAAAAGUAAAGAAAUUGCUUUGCUUUUAAAAAAAAUGGCAAACACAAGGACAUGCGCAUGGGAUGUGCGGCUCGAUUUCUAACUGAGAAGGUUUGUUGAAAUUAAAAGGGUAUUCGCCUGUCGCAGUGUCACGCUAGCGGCAUACCCUCUUAACCUCAGCUAAAGAAAUUCGGGGAAAAGAAAGGCAACCUCUACUUCGCAGUCUCGCGUUCAAGGCCGUAUCUUUCUUAACACCAUCCUAAAUAUCCUAUGGCGGCCGGGUUGUGUGUGCCAUGUGUAGUGUUAAAACAAUAAAGCAUGCACAAUAGUUUAUGAUCACAAAACAUUAUGAAUAAUAAUCCUCUAAGUCUUUACCAAAAAAACCUCCAAGCUACUGACCUGCAUAAAAAACAAAAACAAGUCAGGAAAGUGUUUAAAGAAGAUAAAAUGGCCAAAGUCUUCAAAAAUCCCCAGCGGAGUCGCCAAGCUGUUGCGACCUCUUUUUUGGGCACUCGAUCAGGGUAGGCGCCUUGCGGAGGCUAAUGGUUUGGCUAUGUCUAUUUUAGCCCGAACUCUCCCAAGUCCAUCAAUUCACAACUUUAAUAGUCCAAGCUUUUAACCUAUAAGUCAAUUUUAAAACAGAGUCGCCACUAAUCGGUUUAUGGUGGGUCGAUUAGAAACCCAAGUGAUGUAUCGGGAGAAAUACUUGCUCCUGCACAACUAGAGAGAAAUUAGGAUCAGGGACUUGAUUACACUAGUUAAUCACUAAUGCCCUUUUGGUACCUAAUCUUGUUUAAACCCUAAGACUUUUUGGAUGUUUGAGGGAUUUUUCCAUGUAUUUUGUGAAGGAAAAACAUUUUUUGGGCAUUUUCUCAUUUUUUGUACAUAAAAAGCAUUUUUUGUUUUUUUGGUCUUUUUUCUGAAAAUAUAAAUCAUUUUUUUUGGCUUUUUCUGACAUUUUUGGCUUUUUUUAGGAAAAUAUAGGAUAUUUUUUACCUUUUUUGAUUUUCUGGAAAAUAAAUUUUAAAAAAAUUAAAAUAUUAUAUUUAUUAUUAUAAUAAUAUAACGAACCGGGUCAAGUUCCCGGGUUGGGACCGACCCGGUUCGCAACUUCAGGCCUAGCCGGGGAUAUUUCUUUUUAAACCUAAAAUCCCAAAACCCAUUUUUGGCCCGAUUUCAUAAAAAAAAUCCAACCCAAAGGCUACCCGGCCCAUGCACACAACUCGGCCCGCUUUGAAGCCAAACCCUACUCGGUUCAGACCCAUGCCCGACCCGGUUUUGUGGGAACCCUAGAGCUCGACAAUUCGCGGCCAAGAGGGGGUAUGCUGGGGCAGCGGCUUGUGUUGACGACAGCGAUGAUGACUAGGGAGAUGACGGGCGGCUGCUGGAUUCUCGAGGGGGGAAGCGAUGACGAAGCUAUGGUGACAGGCAAGGGUGGCUACCAGGGUUUCGAGCGGAAACGGCGACGGGUGGUGGUUGAUACCUGUCUACAAAGGAGGCGCCACGCGGCGGUGAACGGUGGCGGCGACGAUGGACUAGCAUGACCGGGGAAACUUCACUACGACUGCUUCGAUUUCACGUUGGUUCUUCGAGCUUCAGAGGAGAAAUGGGUCGUGGGGGAGACAGCAGCAGCAACUAGCGUCGGGAUCUCGUGGUUCGCAGCCGGUGCUCAGUCACAGCGACGACGAGUCUUCUCCCCCACGGAUCUGGCCUUCCGCCCUCCGAUUUCCCAUAUCUGGCAUUAGAAAGACCUUCUCUGGCCUUCUCGCUCAGACCCAACCCUCUCCCUCUCCAGCCACGAGCUCUUAGAUCUCGACCUGCUCAUCCUCGGCCCCCUUUCUGAAGUCUCUUAGUGGGAGGUUUUGAAGAUCUGCAACCCUUGAUCCUUCGCCGCUUCUCUCUUUUUUCGUCGACGGAGGUGCUCCUCUAUCUAUAGGCGAGGAGGAGGCCGGUCGACGGAGGUUCGGCUGUCGGCCCUCGCACGCCGACUGGCCCUAGGUGCGGCCGAACCAGCGUCAAAUCUUCCCCCUUCCACGGAGGCAUGCUCGCCUUCAAUAAUGCGUCCUCUCAGCCACCGGCCUACAUUCCUCUCUUUGCUGUAGGUUGUCGUCGAGCGUGUCUUCAUCGCCGCGCGUGACUUGCAGAGACGGAAGAAGGAGGAAGGAAGAAGGAGACAAGAGGAAGAAGGAGAAAGAGGGGGUCGGGCCGGGUCACGUGGGUCGGGCCGUGGGGGGCUUGCACUAGAAAAAGGAGGGGCUAGGCUUGAAGGCCCAGCCUGGUGGGCUAUUUGUUUUUUUCUUUUUUUUAUUGAUGAUUUUUUUGUUGUUUUUGUUAUUUAUUAUUUAUUAUCUGAAAAAAGGAAAAAUAAAAGAAAUUAAGGCCUAAUUAAUAACCUAAUCAAAAUUUAGGUGUCAACAUAAAGCAACCAACAAAACGAAAGAAGGGGGAAGACCAGCGAGCACGAAGGCAACCCUUAAAACAAUACAAAACAGGGCAACCGUGAAAAGGAUGCCGUUGAAAAGGAGGAAGGGGACAAGUUCAUACAUGCCAAGUUAGCCCCCUAUAGGGCUAACUUGGCAUGUAUAUAAAUAAUAGUUUGUGAAAUUAACUGGCUUGUCUUUCUACUAUCUCUGUGUUUGAUGGUUAUCCGGGUGUUUAUUUAAUUUGCUUCCGCAUGUGCUUAAUUGAAAGAUAAAAAGAAAUGGUCGGUGACGUGUCUUGGGAUGUCGCAAUUUUAGUCGACCGUCGAGGGAUGUGCUUGUGCCCGGGGUUUGAGGCGUGACAUUGAUAGUUCAUAUUUCUUGCUUUUGUAUAUAUAGGUUUUGUCUGCUGGAGUGUGUAAUACUGAACGAGUUUGUGCGAACACCUUUUCAUUUUACAGACUUAGCAUCAUCUUCUAGAAAGUUUCAAGGUUAAUGUUGCAUCUUUCUACGGAGACAGUAGUAAUGAACUUCAUACUCAGCUAAACAAAUGCUCUUUGCACCGCAAUCAGCUAAAAACUUUUACACCGCAAAACCCUUUGGCAUGGCAAUCUCUCGUAUGGUACAAACAAAUGCAUUCCUAUGCGAGUAUAUCUACAAGGGCAAAACCAUUCUCUAGUUUCUAAUUUUCCCUUUUUUUCCUCUGCAGAUAGACUUUGCCCCACAAAUGGAUCAAGUUCCAGACUCUGGUCGCGGUUGGUUUUCUGGUUGAGUUGAGCCUCAGAGGAUAGCUCCCUGUGCUAGUUGCGACGUGGAACUCGUGUCGCAUGGACAGCAACUGAAUUGGACCGACACUAGCAAAAGAAUUCCAAGACAUCCCAAACUUCUCAUGGAAUUCCACCAAAUUCUCUGCAUUUCCACAGCAUUGGAGCCACAGGCAUCCACACUGCGUUAAGAUUGAACUGAUUGCAUUAGAACUCUGACUUUAACACAGUCUUUACUUGGGAUGAAGUAACUUGAAAAGAGGGAUCAGAGGUUCGAUGAGCAGUCUAGAUUUAUCUUUGUUUCUUUGGGUACUUACAGUAAACACCAACCGCUAGCCAUUCAUUCACAACCCUGACCCAAGUGCUUGUCCAACCCACAACAAUAGUCUACCUGCAAAAGGGCAUUAGGAGCAUGAGAUCACUGCCUCUUAAGUUAGGGAUUUCUUUCUUGUCAAGGGUACUCGGGCUUUUCCCUUGAAACAUAUGAGCCAGUGAAGAAGCUACAGUAACUAUACACUAAAGUGCUAAAGAAGCAAAUGUAGGAAAGCAUAUUAACUUGCUAAAAGCUCUACCAAAACAGAUGUUGAUGACGACGAUGAACUGGUUUUUCCUAUAAUAGCCACAUCCAAUGUUGGAAAUGUGGCAUUAUGACGGGAAAAAAAAACCAUUAUACUAAGAAACAGAAAUACAAACAGUCGAUGCAAGCUAAACAUCUGCAAGAGGGAAAGCAUACUUUUUAUGGGAUGAGUAUUCCAACCAAUCACCAGCAUAGCAAAGUACAUGGCUCCCAUGGCAAAAACGAAAUGGAAGAAGCCAUAGCGAUAUGGAACGUCAUCUUUGCUCUUCGAGUCAUUUUACUUAAACUCCAUUUUAAAAAAAAAUCAAUUUUCUUGAAGUUCAAUCAAGUUGGUGAAGGGAUGAUUUGCCAAUUGAGGAACGUACCUGAAAACAUCGAGAAUCAAUGCCUGCUGAAAAGGAUGAAAUCACCAUCGCAAGUAGGGCAAUGACGAAGCUCCGAUGAGUUGACGAAUUGUUCUUUCUAAUCGAUUAUUUGCAAUGUAGAAUUUGAGCACAAAAUUUUAGAAUUUCAUUCCACUAAAUCUUUACUUCAAAUCAAUUUUCACCAAACUCAACUUCAACUUAAUAACUCCAAAAUCGGACAUCGCAAAUCAAAUUUCACAUGACUUCGAAUUUGUAUUCUAACUCAAAAAAUUAUUUUGAUUAGAUAAAUAAAGGAAUUGAAUAUUUACUAAGCGGUACCUGUUGGAGAAAACUUCCUUAUCUGUUUUAAAGUUGACAAAACGUUUCCCUUCAUCAAAGUCUGAAGACCACCAGACUUAAGAUUUAAAGUCUGCCCUCAUUGACAGUUUCUAGACCGACGAUGAAGUCUUAAUGCAAGUAUAUCCUUAAGGAUUUGAUUCGAUUGGUCGAAGAUUAUCUCACAGCUGGAGAUAGCACCAUGAAGAUCUAUUAUUCGCAUUACAAAAAUUUGAGUAAUAUAGAUCCGUUGAUUGAUGAAGUAUACUUGGAAGGUUCUACUUAUGGAAACCUAGAUUUUGAUUGUAUGGGUGAGCAGGAUUGGUGGGCUAUCUUCAUUUUCCUUAAGUGACUCGAGAUCUUCCUAAUUGAUUCUGUCCAACGGGUAGAUUGGAAGAACUCCUUUGGAAGGUGCCAACGGUUAUGAAGGCAUUAAGGAGUAUAUAAGGAAGAUGCUCUAGUUAUUUGAGUGAGUGUGAGAUAGAAGAAUUCCAAAGUUUGAAGCUCCAUGUUCUUUGCUAGUUCAUUUGUUGAGCGUAAACUUACAUUCAAAAGAGUGUCUAGAUACUUGUGAGACCUUGAGGAAGUGUAGCAGAGUCUCUACACUGUGGAAUCAAGGACGUGCGACUAUAACAUUUCUUUUAAUUCUUAAGUGAAAUCCAGCCGGUGGGCUGUCAGUGCGGGAGAGUGGACGUAGGCUUGGUUUAAGCCGAACUACUAUAAACUCCGUGUUCCAAUUCUCUUUUCCUUAUCUCUUUACUUAAUUCGCAGUCUUAUAUAUUAUUGCAAGUCUUCCAUAUCUUAAGUCUUCGGUUUUCAUUAAAAUUGAAUUACGUUGCUAAGUCUCAUAAAUUUUGUUUUUACACCUAUUCACCCCCCCUAUAGGUGUUCAUACUAGCACUAUCAGUACCAAACUAAGUUGAUUUAACUCGUCGAGAUGCUCAGAGCGCAUGCUCACCCUUUUCUCUCCCUUUUGUUUCUCUCGAUCUCUUAUCCCUUUUCAUUAUCGUUCCUUUUCUUUUCGUCUUUCUCACGAGCACCCCCGCUCCUUCCUCGUCUUCUUCUUCUGUGAUUUAAGGUUGCUCUCCCCUCCAUCAUUGACCAAGACUUAAAUGUCUUCCACUCUAUUCUACCCUUUACAGAUCAACUACACUUUCGGGAACAACAAAAGCCAGUCCAUCCUCCGUAAACGUAAAGCAAUUACAAAACCAGAGGUUGAAGAAACAGAGACACUCUAUAUCUCUUCAUGUCUCCAAUGAUGAAUGAUGAAGGGGCCGACUCAGGAACAGCCAAUUGUAGCAGAAGUGAUUGUACAAAAGGCUUCAAUUACGACGUGUUCUUGAAUUUUCGAGAUCCUGAUACUCAGGAUGGAUGAUUGCCGCUAUGAGUCCCUGACCAAUUUGGGGUUUCGGGUUUUUAUGGAGGACGAAGAAAUCCGACAGGGCGAGGAGAUUGAUGGAAAGAUUCUGUGAGCAAAUCCAAAAUCUACAUAUCCAUCUUCUCCACCGGAUAUGCUUCGAGUAGAUGGUGCCUCCGAAGUUUGCACACAUGGUGGAGUGUGCAUAUCCAGAUUCUUCGGGAGGACCAACAGGGCAUGAGAUACUUCUGAUAUUCUAUGACGUGGAACCCUUGGAUCUCAAGCUCGAAACGGAACUGUACGGAGACGCUUUAAGGAAGCAUGAGAAGGGGCAAGGCCGUCAUGUAGUGAAGCCUUGGAAGGAGGCUUCAAGAAAGGUUGCUAAAAUCAAGGGACAGAAGGUUAAAGGCCAACAGUAAUGCUAAUUUACUUUACUUAUUGUACCAUUCUAUGCUCUGUUUAGGCACAUUAUUAUUAUUAUUAUUAUUAUUAUUAUUAUUAUUAUUAUUAUUAUUAUUAUUAUUAUUAUUAUUAUUAUUAUUAUUAUUAUUAUUAUUAUUAUUAUUAUUAUUAUUAUUAUUAUUAUUAUUAUUAUUAUUAUUAUUAUUAUUAUUAUUAUUAUUAUUAUUAUUAUUAUUAUUUUGGCGAUGGGUUAACCCUAAAUGUAUGCCAUUUAUAAGUCAUGCUUCUGAUGGAUAUUCUAUUUAUAUAAAUAUUCUAAUCAUCUUAAGCGUUAAAUUCACGAAUAUGGCAGCCACGGCAAAGUCAUUCAAGAUAUCAAGCAAGAGGUUUCUGGUAGGAUGAUAACAUGAGUAGCUUUAAGCGGAGCGCACAAGAUUUCCGUCAUAAUCAUAGACAAAUUGUCGCAUACAUUGAAAGAUGAAACUUCAAAUUGAUGUAUUGCAAGAAGGUAUUUAUUGGAAUAAUUAAAUAUUAAACCACACAUUUAACUGACAGCUUAAGCUUUUAGGAUAGUUGGCAGUGAUCUCACCAAAUCUAAUAUGAUAUCAGAGCUGGACGUCCUAAGUUCAAAUUUUUUGAGACCCCAUUUGCCUUUCCAAUUAAAUAUUUUCAUGCCUUAGUACUAGGCAAAAAGACCAGACUAAGCAUGAAGGGGAGUGUUGGAAUAAUUCAAUAUUAAAAACAUGCAUUCAUCUAACAUGUUAAGCUUUUGGAAUAAUUGACAGUGGUCUCACAAAAUCUCAUAAUAUGAGUCCUUGCCGAAUUGAUUGAUCUUUAUUUAACAGUUUAAGCUUUUAGAACAGUUGGUAGUGAUCCCACAAAAUUUCAUAAUAUGAGUCCUUGCUGAAUUGAUUGAUCUUUAUCUAAUAGCUUGAACUUUUAUAAUAGAUGGCAUUGAUUGCACAAUAUGAGUCUUUGCACGCAAUAUCAAUUUCCUGAAAUAGGACCAUUGACAAAUUGAUUGAUGGUAGAGUUCAAUGUGCAAGAAUAGUAGUUCAAAUUUUUCAAUAACCAAAGCAUAGUGGUCUAAACUUUAACAACCAAGAGAUUGAUGGAAGCAACCAAUCCCGCAGUGGUUUCAAAAUAGAUGUGCAGCGUCGAUUGUGAAGGGGUGAUCGGAGUGAACUCCAUAAAUCUAACAUUACUACUCUAUCAUUUCAGAAUGAAUACGCACAAUAUAAGAUCGUCUAUCAAAUAUUCAUUGCGGGAAGACAAAGAUUCCAAGCGUUAUAAGAAUUCGGGGCCAAAAGAAUAGGCAAGCAAAAUGAAAAGCACGGAUAUGGUUAAGCUACACACAUUCAAUAUUUGUUCCGUGCUUAUAAUUAAGGCCCAUUAAACCUAUAGAGUUGUCAAUGCCUAAAUUUUGAUUAAAUCACAAUAAACAUAAGACAAUAUGGUUAUACUAUGAAGUUCAUUUUCUUUUCCUCCUCUUUUGUCUAGCAAAUCUAUUUCGACAGCCAAAGUGAAACGGUCGACUGACUUUUUUGUUCCUAACCAAGAACUGUUGACUGAUUCAGCCAGCUCCCAUCUGUCGGAUGAGUCCUCAUUCGAUCCCCAGCAGGGGUCUCUAGUUCUUUUUCCUUUUGUUCCCCAAUGCCGGUUCUCGACAGGAGAUGCAAAGAAAGACCCACUUCUGCACGCGUCCAUGAAAUUUCCCACCUCGGACGGCCGUAUUUCAUUUGUAGAUCGUCGCGCCUGCAUUUCCAGAUCUGGUCGACCAUUCUUCCCCUGACUCGGAAAAACAAAACCUACCCACGUCAAUCAAGUUUUGAUUAAUUCUCAUUCAAAUUUAAAAUUAACAAGUCUAUAGUUUCAAUAUCUAUAAACUACUUCCGUGUACCCUGUUUUGUUGCUUGAAAGUGGCGUAUUGGGUCUUAUAGAUAACACCUAUAAUAGCAGGAAACCUGCAAGGUUUGGAAUUGCACCUAACCACGUUGACGAAAACCGUUUUGGAAUUGUUGACCAUCGGGGUUAAUCCUGAUAAUCUUGACUUGAAAUAAUCCAUUAGGAAGGUUGAAUGGUCGGGGAUCGUCUGAUCAGUUACUUUUGAGGACAAUAUAAAUAUGAAAAACACAUAAGAAUUAGCAUUUCAUACGCAAUGAAUAAUACAAAGAAAUUUAUAGUGGGCUUUCUCCUUGUAAUUAGAAUUGAAUUCACUCCUUCAGAGGCCUAACCUAAUUAAUUCAAUUUAAAUAUUUCGACUUACAAAGGAUAAGUAUGAAAAAGAUUAUGAUACCACUUAAAUGCUCGAGAACCUUGCAUGCGAAUUUCCUCUUCCUCUUCGGUUGUGAAAUCUGACUCAAUGUUGAACGUAGCUCGGAGCUCCUCCGGCGACUUGCCCCUCGACCAAAUCGGCUAUUCUCUGGAAAAGCCAGUUCAACGGCCCCAGCACGUCCAAGCAAUUGGCAGCCAGUAUGAGAUCACACAAGAUUAUACCACAGGCAUUUGCCUUUUAUGGAUUGAAUAUUGUUGCUUUUAUAUUCAAAACAGAUUGCCUCCCUAUAUCCCUACCAAACAGAGUUUCGAAGGAACUAUCAGCAGUUGCCAAACUGAGGAGCUUUUAGCCGAGUGCAUAAGAUUUUUGAAUAAAAUCGUGGAGAAUCUGCAGGCUGCAGCAUACUUUAAAAGACGAAAUUGCAAAUAGAUGAAAUGCAUGAAGAGAUAAUGAAGAAAAAGUGCACAAGAGUCCUAGCCAUGCAAUGUCGCUUUCUAAAAUGGGGCUGUCGACGGAUUGAUUAGAAGCAGACAAUACUUGUCGAGCAGAGUUAAAUGUGCAAGAGAUGUAGUUCAGAUUUCUCAACAACCAAGGCAUAGCGGUUCAAACUUUAAUAACCAGGAGAUUGAUGGAAGCAACCGAUCCCUCAGUUGUUUCAAAAUUUAUGCUCAGCGUUGGUGUGAAGUGGUAAAAGAAGCGAACCGAUGUGAUUAAAUCUAGCAAUACUUCUCUAUCUUUUUAGAAUGAAUAUGUACACAAUAAGAUUGUACAUCAGGCAUUUCCGACAGGAAGACAGAACUUUCCAAUUAUCAUAAUAGUCGGGGGUCAAAAGAGGUGGCAAGCAAAUUGAAAUUCACAGGAGUGGGUGAAGGUACACGCAAUCGAUAUCUGUCCUGUGCUUAUUAUUGAAGCACAUUGAAACUCUAGAUCUGUCAAUGCUUAAAUUUGAUUAAAGCACAAUAAACCUAAAACUAAAUGGUUAUACUACUGAAGUGACCAUAUAUAUAUUGAAUUUUAAUGCGGGUUGCUUCUGGAAAUGACACCAUACUCCUGCAGGUGUAGUUUUCCUGUGAGGAAAAAACAAAGAUCACCACGAGGUUCAUUUUCAUUUCCUCCUUUUGUCUUUAGCAGAUCUACUUCAAUAGCUAAGCGAAUCUUACUUAGAAUAUAACACCUUUGCUUUCUACCACCCAUAUGAAAUUUACACCCCAAUUUGAAUUUCUAAGGGUAUGUACAUUUCGAGCUACGCUCCACAUCAGAAAUAUGCUCAAAAACUAGAACAAAAAAAUAAAAACCAUUAAAUGAAAAUGGCUUUCAAAAAAGUUUCAUCGUUUAUUUGUUUUGGGUGCUCAAAAUACAGUAACGGAGAAUCGACCGUAAAUAUAGAGCACAUAGGAGAAGAACAAAAGCUGCAGCAAAUUACGCCGAGCGAACGCACCACUAUGCUCUCACGCAACCUUUGACUUGCACUGGAGACGGAGUCCGGACUAUGACUCCUUGUACAACUUGACGUGUCAUAACAAAAGCUUGAAAGGGCAAGUCACUAAAACUCGGGCAUCCGACAGCAGGAAAAUUUUCCAAAAAAUGCCUACUCUAGAACAAUGCUUGUGUCGAAGAAGUCCUGAAGUUGGUGAUUUCAUCUCAAUUGACCCCGGCUCACCAGUGUCCUCGUUCACAGCUACCACGUCUAGCUGCCGCCAUCUUGGCCUCCAAUGCAGCAUCACAACCUCUGGUGACCCCUCUGCGACCGCUGACUAGGGGUGUCAACGGUUCGAUUCGGUUCGGUUUUUUUUUAAAACCGAACCGAACCGAACCAUUAGAAAAAUCUUUUGAACAGAACCGAAUACAAAACCAAACAAAAAUUUCGGUUCGGUUCGGUUUUUCGGUUUUUCGAUUUUUGGUUUUUAACCUUUGGUUUUCGGUUUUCGUUUUUUUUUUUUUUUGUUAAACUCAGAUUUCUCCACUUUUAUUUCCCCAAUUUUAUUUGUUGGUUCAGUUCGGUUCGGUUAACCGAUAAAAAGCCGAACCGAACCGAAAAAUUUCAGUUUUUAAUGAAAACUGAACUGAAAAAACCAAAUUUUUCGGUUCGGUUCAGUUCGGUUUUCGGUUCGGUUACUGACACCCUAUGCGCUGACAGUCAUCGGAGUCGUCUCCAGCGUGCUUGGCCGAGACGCCUCUGUCUACGGCUCCACCAUUUUUACAAUCCAAGAGCUCAUUUCUUUUUUAUGGGGGGGAGGGGAGGUUGGUUUGGUCUUUUGAGCAGGUUCAAGCCUGGCUGAUUGGUCUUUCGUGAAUUAAUCUUCUCAGCUCGAAUAUGCGGGUUCGGCAGCCAGGGCUGGACUUCGGGCGGAGGAGCUCAGGAAGUAGGUGCCGAAGGAGCGGCCGAAUGCCACCCUCUGGAAGGAGCUCUUGGCCAUGCUCGGCUACAGCGAUGGCAGCUUCGGUGGCGGCGGCGGAGUCUCAGGCUUUGGCAAUCUCCGGAUGCCCUCCUCGAACGCCUCUGACUACAACACCAUGCGAGUAAUCACCAAUCAAUAACUGUACCAAUUUGAACGCAAAACCAGUAUCGACACAAGCAGACUCGUUAAAGAAAUGAUUUUGACCACUUGGCAGGUUCAGGGAGGGGCUUGUACUUUGCGGUAACAGCGUUUCCACUCGAAUCUGCUCCACAUUGUGAUCGAGCACAAACUCCAGUCAUCUCGGAGUACGGCCGGAACUUCCCUCCGGCUUCCUAAAUUGCAACCACAACUCAAUCCCGAGUCUCGCCUCUUUCCAUUCAAUUCAUCCAGGGAUUCGAAUGAUGCGAAUCAAUCAUCGAAUGAACUAGGGUUUUCGAUUUCGGGGGCUCACCGUUUCAAUGAGCUCUUCGACUCUUCUUUUUCCUUCUCGUCAAUGAGCUCUUUUUGGGAAAUCUGGGGUUCAUAAGACAGUCUCCGACAAAAGUGCCCCCUUUUCCAUGGCGAGGACGAUGGCGUGACACUUGCAUGCCGGUCGGCCGGCGAAGAAUUGGACCGUCGGCGAGCUGGCAGUAUAAUCGAGACAAAGUUGCCAACUUCGCGAGUCCGUCGAGAUAAUCGUCUCUCGGGUUAUGUUACGAAAAUGGGCCCGCUACCAGACCUUUCCUCAAACUUCCCUGGGAUAAAAUUCAACUUCACACGCUUUUGGUAUAUCAGGCAACUUUUGCACCGAUUCACAGUAGUAUACUCUCAACGACUGUACUUACUUGGGGAACCAAUUUGAACGCAAAACCAGUGUUAACACAAGCAAACUUACCAACGAAAUAAUUUUGACCACUUAGCAGGUUCAGGGAGGGGCUUAGACUCUGCGGUAACGGCAUUUUCAUUCAAAUCUGGUCUUCACAUCGUGAUCGAGAGCAAACCCCAGUCAUCUCGGAGUACGGCCGAAACUUCCUCUCCGGCUUCCUAAAUUGUAAUCCUGAGUCUCGCCUCUUUCGAUUCAAUUCAUCCAGGGAUUCGAAUGAUGCGAAUCAAUCAUCGAACGAACUAGGGCUUUCGAUUUUUGGGACUCACCGUUUCGUUGAUUUUAGCGCCGGCGUUGGGGCUUCCGGUCUUCGACUCUUCUUCUAUGGCACGGACGAUGGCGGGACACUUGCAUGCGUGGAUCCCGAGAUUUAGAUUAAAUAAAAAGUAAAAAGUAAAAAUAAAUCUAGACAAACUUUAUGGAUAUUAAACUAUUAUAUCUAUAUUUUCAUCCUACCUAUUCGAUAAUAGAAAUUAACGGGAAUAACUCUUCAAAUUACUUGUUUCAAUGAUGACUGUCGUUUCAACAUUUAAAGAUGGAAAAAGACUUGAUUAAUUUUUAUAAAGAAGAAAGUUGUAUGUGACUCAACAGGCUCUAUCUAUUUCUCAUUAAAUUUAUAUGAAACUUUUUAUUUGCCAUACUUUGUACAUCUAUAUUAUUAUAUAGGCAAGUACUAAACCAAAUUGAAGGUAAGUAGGAUUCAAUUUAAAAUUAAGUCUAAUUAAUUACGUAAAAUAGUCAUUCAUAUGGCCCAUUUCGAAGUUUUUACUCUUCACCAUCAUCAUCUAUUAAUUUUCUUUUUGGUCAAGAUCUUCAUCUAUCAAUUUAGUUGACUUGAAAUUGCCAUUGAUCUCGAUCAAGCUAAUCCUCUCGGAUUCCUUUAGGUCUAGACAUACUAAUGAGACGAUAGUGUAUCGAAGAUGUACUAAUUUACCAACUCGGAUCUCGAGCGCACUACAUGUUGGCCCAAAUCCUUGGCCGAUGGUGUUUGAUCACAAGAGCCGUAUGUCCACAGUUGGUGCAUUUGGGAGCUCCACCCGAACCUUCAAAGCAAGAUCCCCAAGCAAAUUGCAUCGGACUUGACAACUGAGGCGACUUUCGAGCCCGAGUUGACAUCGAUGAUCAGGUCAUUGAAGAGGACUACAAGUGACCUGGUCAUUUUUAUACUUGGAAAGUAGUUCGAGUAGUUCAGUCCAGGUACAGCGCUAAACUAAGACACUGUAUGACACGGAGCUACCAUUUGUCGCCGAAAUUCACAGCCAUAAGAACUAUCUUGAUAGUAAAGCAAACACAUCGUUGAAGUUCCCGAUGCUCGAAAAGAAUUUCGGAAUAGAAGGGUCUCAGCCAUUACAUAUGUAAUAUAUGAGUUUUAAAACAAGAAAAGAAAAUAAAAUAACAGAAAAAUAAAGGGUUGAAAAGUCAAAAAGGGAGGCUGAAGGAAAGUGGAAAAAGCUUCGGCUGAGUUUAAAAAGAGAGAAAGAGGGAGAGAAAGAGAAGAACAGCGGGCAGAAACAGGGGAAGACGCGAAACAGGGGAGGAGAGAAAGAAGAGAAAGGAAAAAAAGAAAAAGGAAAAAAAUUUGGCACGCUUGUGGUUUGGACGCCUCAUCAAGCUGACUCAAGGGUGUUUUGCAAGGCCGGUAAGAAAUUGAAGCCUUUAAUCACUUACUUGAAGUAAUCGCCGUAAUUAGGGCUUGAAAUUUGGAUUGCUUGGGUAUUUGUGUGGCGAAGCCCGAUUUUUGAGUCGUUAAGCUGUAUAUUUUUUAGAAAUGGUACUUUGGGAUGUUGUGAAGUUAUAGCAUUUUACAAAUUGUGAUUUGAGCUUGCGGUUUGUUCGGAACGGAAUUUUGAAGUUUGGGGCGCAAUCUGGUACUGUAGCGAACAGUGGCUUCGAGUCUCCUUUUUUGUUGUUUUCGGUACUUUUUUGGGGUGGCUGAGUUAGGGUUGUUGUUGUACGUUAAGAGAGCUUUUUAAAGACUAUAAGACGGCUUGAAACUGAAUUUUGUGGAGGAAGUUAUGGCAUGAUGAAGUUGGCGCAUGGGCCGCGCCUAGCUGAAAAUGAUGGGUUUAUGCUAAAUUGUGAGCUUUUGGGGCGUGUAGGUGUUGUUUUAUCGACUAAUAGGCCUAGUAUAGGCGAGUCGUUAUAAGAAUAUCAUUUUUACUUGGCCUUUUAAUAUUAUUUUUCCGUUAAUUGUUAGGAAUCCGAAUGUGUUGGUUCAUAUGAGAGUCGUAAUUGAUUUUUGGCUUUUCCCAGGUGAGUGACACUAUUUCUUCUUCGUAUUUUAAACUCAUGUUUUGAGAAACGAGGUAGAUUAUAUAUUUCAUGAGUUGAUAAAAAAGCAUAUUUUGUUGCAUAAAACAGGAUCGAGCUAUUACUGUCAUUUUUGUUGUUCGAAGGGAAUUAUAUUCCGACUUCGAUUUGAAUGGUUGUUUGAAAAAUGAUUUGUGAAGUUCUUUGUGAAAGAAUCUUGAAAUGUUUUGGAGAAUGCUUUGAUAUUUAUAUAUCAAAUUUUGAGUUGUGAUAUGACUUCCUUUCUGAUGUUGGAUUACUGGAUAUUGUGAUUGGUGGUUGGUGCUCAAUGUCUUUGUGGCCCCUGAGUGGUGUGUGGGUAUGCGCAUACUAUUCUAGAAUAUCCUUGUGGGCCGAGCCACCGAUUAAUAAUAGGUGGAGACCUUGCCAAGGGGGAAUCUUGGUCGUUUUGUCAUAGGCGUUACACGUGACCAUGGUUAGACAUUUGAGCAUGAAUUGGUCAAUGGAGUGGACCAUUGACGUGUGAUUUGAGUUUGGUCGAUGGAGUGGACCAUUGAUAUGAUUUGAUGAGAUUAAUCAAUGGAAUAAACCAUUGAUGCAUGUUUUACGAGAUUGACUAAUGGACUCGACCAUUGGUAUUUUCGGUAUUCGAGUUAUGAUUUGAUAUUAUGAUAAAGUGAGUUAUGUUUGUGUUUUAAAAUGUGAAUAGUGAUUUCUCGAUCCACUUAGAAGAAAUGUGUUACUCACUGAGCCGUGGUAGCUCACUCCUCUCAUCUACUUGUUUUUCAGGUUCUUCAGCGAGUCGCGAAUAGGCGUGAGCGUUCAUUCGGGGAGGACUUUUGUUGUGGAAAUAUUUAGGUAUGGCUUAUACAUAGUUAAUAGGUUUAAACUAGUCUUUGUAGAAGGUUUAUGUUUUGACUUUUGUGAUUAUAGAUAUACUCUGAUAUUGUAACCAAGUGCCCCUUUUUUGUCAAAUAUAUAUGUGGAUGUAUAUAUGUUGAUAUUGGGUUGAAUUUUGGUUAUGUUGAGGCUACGUCCUUUGGUAAAAAGGACGGCCGUGUCAUAUCCUUCUUCUUGUGAAUCGGGGUGUGACAACAUAAGCUCCAAUUCGAUAGCUAAGUGAACUACACGUAAGAAUAGAACAUUCUUGCAUUUUACCAUGAAGGUUAUGCCCCAAUUUGAAUUCCCAAGGGUAUGGACAUUUAGACUCGCACUCCAUAUCAUAUAUAUUCCCAUAUUCCCAAAAAGCUCAAGAACCAAAAAAGGAAAAAAAGGGUUAGAUGAUGCCUUUCAAGUUUUCACUUAUUAGUUUUGGGUGUUCAAAAUACAUUAACAGAAAAUGGAAUGCAAAAAUAGAGCAUAUAAAGUUAGAACAAGAGCUUAAGCAAAUAACACCAAGCAAAAGCAAUAUCAUCCUCUUACACAACCUCUUGACUUGCACUGUAUGGGGAAUCAUAAUCUGAAUAAUGACUACUCGCCUGGCUUGAUGUUUCGGAAAAAAAAAAAACUUAAAAAGAACAAAUUGAUAAAACCAUCACACCCCAACUCUACAAACAUAGGGAAAAUGGCACAAUUGUCCUUUGAUCCAAAGGACGCAUUCUCAUACGAGGUACCAAUAUAAACCUAUUAUCAAAAUAUAUAUUCAUAAAUAUCUCAUAGGAAUAAUAAGCUAGUUACAUGACUAGAGUUCUAAAAUCCACCAACAUAAUAUAUAUAUCUGCAGGGACUGACAAACUAAACCCAAAAAGUACCAUCACAAUUUAUACGUGCAAUUAUCUCAAGUUAUACCCAAAACCCAAAUUCCUAAGAUUCCUCCACUGAUGUAGCUUUCCUCCUAUUUGUAGGUAGUUGAAAAAGAAUUGCAAUGAAUGGUAUAAGCAAACCACCUCUUGAUAAAUAGUACAUUUCUCAACAAAUAGAGCAUAAACUAUUCACGGUAUAAACAGCAACAGAAACACAACCAAAUCUAGUAAAUAAUAUAUGUAAAGGUCUAAAUAUAAAUUACAUCACUCCAACAACGUUUUCAACAUAUUAGAAAAAUGCUCAUUCGAUCAACAAUAUUUAUGCAAACAUCUAUGGUCUAGUCUAUUGAUCACUCUAGUACUUCAUAUUAAACUAUAGCCAUGUCUAACGCCCCGACAAGGCUUACCAAGAUAUCCUCUUCGGCAUAGGUCUCCACUAAUCUCAGCCAGUGGCUUUGGCCAUACAAGACAUCCUAAGAACAUGUAUGCUUACUCACAUCCCUUCAAUGAUUUCAGAUCAUAGCGACAAGAGGAUAAAGUAAUCAACAUAAUCUUAUCUGCAACAAACCCAUUUCAGAACUCAUUUAAUAAACCGGAGUAAAAAAUUGAUACAACCCUUUGCAAUUUCAUCCACAAGAAGAAUACAUUCAUGAAGAAUUUCUCAAACAAUUUCAUAAAUAAUAAACUCUCCAACCAUCUCAGGAGAUAUCAAGUAACCAAAUGGGUAUUACAUGCAAGAUCUAGCUUUAUACAACAAAAAUGUUCUAAACACCAUUUUUUUUUUUAAAAAAAAAAAAAUCAUAGCGUGCACUGUUCUCAUUCAUAACUUAUGGCAUAUGUAAUAUCUAUGAUUUUCAAGCCAUGAGUUUACAAAUCAGAGAAGAGAUAAGUACCACUCCUUGCUAACCAAAAGCUAAAUUAAAAGCUUUACCACUUGAAAAGCUAAAAAAAUCCUAUCAAAUUAAGUAUUAACCAUAUGUGAAACUUACUUUAACACCUCUGCUUUCUACCAUCUACAUGAAAUUUAUACCCCAAUUUGAAAUCCUAAGGGUGUGUACAUUUCGUGUUACACUCCACAUCUCAUUUAUGGUCAAAAACUAGAACACAAAAAUAAAAACCAUUAAAUGAAAAUGACUUUCGAAAAAUUUCAUCGUUUAUUUGUUUUGGGUGUUCAAAAUACAGUAACGGAUAUUCGACUGCAAAUAUGGAGGAUAUAGGAGAAGAAAAAAAGCGGCAGCAAAUUACACCGAGCGAACGCAACAUUAUGCUCUCAACCAACCUUUGACUUGCACUGGACACUGUCUCAUAGUCCGGACUAUGACUCCUUGAACAAUUUGACGUGUCAUAACAAAAGCUUGAAAGGGUAAGUCACUAAAGGCGCGUUUGGUAACAUUUCUGUUUAAAAAUUGUUCCAAGGAAUAGAAAUAGAAAAAAAUAUUUCUGUUCCAAGGAACAAUUUUUGAAUAAAAAAAUGUGUUUAGUAAACUUGUUCUGGGAAUAAAAAAUAAACAGAAACACGUUUGGUAAAUUUGUUUUUUUUUCUUUUAAUCUUUUAAUAUUUUUAUUUUAUUUUUUCUUCUUUUGGCCGGUCACCGGCCUCGGCCAUGGCCAACGAGGGCCGGCGGCCUCGCUAGUCGAGCCUCGUCGUGGCUGGGCGAGGCUCGGCCUCGCCUUGGCUAAGCAAGCUCGGGCUCGCCCAGAUCCAGCAAGCUCGAGCUCGCCCAACCACCGGGGAGGCUCGGCCUCGCCGGGCCACCGCCAGGCUGGCAAGCCUCGCCGGUGGCUGAGCGAGCUCGGGCUCGCCGGAUCUAGGCGAGCUCGCCCAGCCAAGGUGAGGCCGAAUAUGUGGGUUCGGCAGGCGGGGCUGGACUUGGGCGGAGGAGCUUGGGAAGUAGGCACAAGCAAUAACUGUACCAAUUUGAACGCAAAACCAAUGUUAACACAAGCAAACUCGCCAACGAAAUAAUUUUGACCACUUAGCAGGUUCAGGGAGGGGCUUAGACUUUGCGGUAACGGCGUUUUCACUCAAAUCUGGUCUUCACAUCGUGAUGGAGCGCAAACCCCAGUCAUCUCGGAGUACGGCCGAAUCUUCCUCUCCGGCUUCCUAAAUUGUAAUCCCGAGUCUCGCCUCUUACGAUUCAUUUCAUCCAGGGAUUCGAAUGAUGCGAAUCAAUCAUCGGACGAACUAGGGCUUUCGAUUUUUGGGGCUCACCGUUCCGUUGAUUUUAGCGCUGGCGCUGGGGCUUCCGGUCUUCGACUCUUCUUCUAUGCGCGGACGAUGGUGGGAAACUUGCAUGCGUGGAUCCCGAGAUUUAGAUUAAAUAAAAAGUAAAAAGUGAAAAUAAAUCUAGAUGAACUUUAUGGAUAUUAAACUAUUAUAUCUAUAUUUUCAUCCUAUCUAUUCAUUGAUGACUGUCGUUUCAACAUUUAAAGAUGGAAAAAGACUUGCUUAAUUUUUAUAAAGAAGAAAGUUGUAUAUGACUCAACCUGCUCUAUCUAUUUCUCAUUAAAGUUACAUGAAACUUUUUAUUGCCAUACUUUGUACAUCUAUAUUAUCAUAUAGGCAAGUCCUAAACCAAAUUGAAGGUAAGUAGGAUUCAAUUUAAAAUUAAGUCAGAUUAAUUACGUAAAACAGUCAUUCAUAUGGCUCGUUUCGAAGUUUUUACUCUCUACCAUCAUCAUUUAUCAAUUUAGUUAACUUGAAAUUGCCAUUGAUCUCGAUUAGGCUAAUCCUCUUGGAUUCCUUUAGGUCUAGACAUACUAAUGAGACAAAUAGUGUAUCGAGAGGCACUAAUUCACCAACUCCGAUCUCGAGCGCACUACAUGUUGGCCCAAAUCCAUGGCCGAUGGUGUUUGAUUGCAAGAGCCGUAUGUCCACGGUGCAUUUGGGAGCUCCACCCGAACCUUCGAAGCGAGAUCCCCAAGGAAAUUGCAUCGAACUUGACAACCGAGGCGACUUUCGAGCCCGAGUUGACGUCGAUGAUCAGGUCAUUGAAGAGGACUACAAGUGACCUGGUCAUUUUUAUACUUGGAAAGUAGUUCGGUCCAGGUACAGCGCUAAACUAAGAUACUGCAUGACACGGAGCUACUAUUUAUCGUUGAAAUUUACAGCCAUAAGAACUAUCUUGAUAGUAAAGCAAACACAUCGUUGAAGUUCCCAAUGCUCGAAAAGAAUUUCGGAAUAGAAGGGUCUCAGCCAUUACAUAAGCUCCAAUUCGACAGCUAAGUGAACCACACGUAAGAAUAGAACAUUAUUGCAUUUUACCAUGAAGGUUAUGCCCCAAUUUGAAUUCCCAAAGGUAUUGACAUAUAGACUCGCACUUCAUAUCAUAUAUAUUCCCAUAUUCCCAAAAAGCUCAAGAACCAAAAAAGGAAAAAAGGGUUAGAUGAUGCCUUUCAAGUUUUCACCUAUUAGUUUUGGGUGUUCAAAAUACAGUAACAGAAAAUGGAAUAUAAAAAUAGAGCAUAUAAAGUUAGAACAAGAGUUGAAGCAAAUAACACCGAGCAAAAGCAAUAUCAUCCUCUUACAUAACCUCUUGACUUGCACAGUAUGGGGUAUCAUAAUCUGAACAAUGACUACUCGCCUGGCUUGAUGUUUCUGAAAAAAACUUAUAAGGACAAAUUGAUAAAACCAUCACACCCCAACUCUACAAACAUAGGAAAAAUGGCACGAUUCUCCUUCGAUCCAAAGGACACAGUCUCAUACGAGUUACCAAUAUAAACCUGUUAUCAAAAUAUAUAUUCAUAAAUAUCUCAUAGGAAUAAUAGGCUAGUUACAUGACUAGAGUUCUAAAAUCCAUAUAUAUAUAUAUAUAUAUAUAUAUAUAUAUAUAUAUCUCCAGGGACUGACAAACUAAACCUAAAAAGUAUCAUCACAAGUUAUACGUACAAUUAUCUCAAGUUAUACCCAAAACCCAUCCUAAGAUUCCUCCGUUGAUGUAGCUUUCCUCCUAUCUGUCGGUAGCUUAAAAAGAAUUGCAAUGAAUGGUAUAAGCAAACCACCUCUCGAUAAAUAGUACAUUUCUCAACAAAUGGAGUAUAAACUAUUCACAGUAUAAAUAGCAACAGAAACACAACCAAAUCCAGUAUAUAAUUAUGUAAAAGUCUAAAUAUGAGUUACAUCACUCCAACAACAUUUUCAACAUAUUAGAAAAAUGCUCAUUCGAUCAACAAUAUUUAAGUAAACAUCUGUGGUCUAGUCUAUUGAUCACUCUAGUACUUCAUAUUAAACUAUAACCAUGUCUAACGCCCCAUGACAAGGCUUACCAAGAUAUCAUUCUAGGCAUAGGUCUCCACUAAUCUCAGCCGGUGGCUUUGGCCAUACAAGACAUCCUGAGAACAUGUUUGCUUACUCACAUCCCUUCAAUGAUUUCAGAUCAUAGCGACAAGAGGAUAAAAUAAUCAACAUAAUCCUAUCUGCAGCAAACUCAUUUCAGAACCCGUUUAAUAAACUAGAGUAAAAAAUCGAUACAACCCUUCGCAAUUCUAUCCACAAGAAGAAUACAUUCAUGAAAAAUUUCUCAAACAAUUUCAUAAAUAAUAAACUCUCCAACCAUCUCAAGAGAUAUUUUACUAUGCUAUUUCAAAUAACCAAAUGGGUAUUAAUUGCAAGAUCUAGCUUUAUACAACAAAAAUGUUCUAAACACCAUUUAGAGAAAAAAAAAAUCAUCGCGUGCAAUGUUCUCGUUCAUAACUUAUGGCAUAUGUAAUAUCUAUGAUUUUCAAGCUGUGAGUUUACAAAUCGGAGAAGAAAUAAGUAUCACUCCUCGUUAACCAAAAGCUAAAUUAAAAGCUUUACCACCUGAAAAGCUAAAAAAAUCCUAUCAAAGUAAGCAUUAACCAAAUGUGAAACUUACAUAUCACUAACCUCAACUAAGAUUCUACAAGGCAACACUAAUUUUUGGAGUCAAAACGUCCAGUAUGAGUCGACAAAAACGCCAUACAAGCAUCAAACUUGCUACAGCAAACAGAGCAGCAAUCUCGUCGCAUGUUGUGAAUUUUGGCAUGUCAUACAUCUCUACUAGACUCCAUUUUAAGAGAGUUUAUAGUCAAACGAGAGCUACUCCAAAGUACUAAAAGACCCAAAACUCCUUAGAGCCAAAAUUUGGCCGACGACUGAUGAAAUCUAGGACAAAACCCUGCUGGUUGCAGUUACUGUACAUUAGUUUUUGAGAACUUCGAAGAAUCAAUAUCUCUCAAACGGCAAUCCGUAAAAUCUCACAAUAGACCAACCUAACGUUUCGAAACGACAUCAUUUCAAGGCUCAACAAUCUCAAGAAUCAACCCGGCAACCCUAAAACCCGAACCGAUCCGAAAUUAUAAGUUAACAGAGCAAAUUUCUUUGAUUUCAUUAGAUUUAUCAAGGUUUGGAUUUUCUUACCGAGUGCUUCAAAAUGGUAUGAAUCUAGCUUCAAAAUGGUAUGAAUCUAGCUCAUCGUGGCCUCCGAACCGAAUUGCAGCAAAAGCCCCCUUCCGCUCACUCUCUGAUUCCCCACUUCUCUGAUUUCUCUUUCUUUUGCCGACUCGCUCCUCUCUUUUUUCUGCUCUUGAUUUUUCAUACGAACCAGCUCCAGAAGAGAACGCGAAGAUGGGCUGAGGACUCUUGGGCCUAAAUUUUCUAUUCCAUGAGAGGCCCAUAGUCGAGGAGGCCCAUUUAUAGCUUUGAAAACCAAGUACCACCUAACGACGGGCAGUUCCGAACACUCGUACUUUGUAUCUUUUGCAAUGAUUCACAACUAUGGACCUUCAACACCCGUAGCUUCUCUAGCUUCGCAGUAUUAGGGUUGGGCCUUUCCGUGGAACUGCAGUCUCCAAUUGAGGGCCGCUCGGAUGCGAUCUCAAUUAGUUGCGGGCAGUCCUUUACCCACAGCGAUUGGUGCUACUUUAAGCUCGAUACAUUAGAUAUCCUCACGAGCGACUCACCCUUGAGCACGUCCACUAGCUUGAAGUUCUUUAGCUGUCCGAGUACGUUGUCAAACUCGAUUUCUCUUAAUGGACAUUCGAUGAGCCUUAGUACGGACAUAUUGCCCAGGUUGGAGAACAAUGACCAUGCGAUUGGGGUCUUCACACCUCUUAAGUCCAAUAUUUCUAAACUAGACGGAAGCCCGGUCAGAGAUUGUAGGUCGGCACAAGUUAUGUCAAGAACCUUGAGCUGAGAAAGGGCGCUCAAGUCAAUCGGAUGCAUGUCAGAAUCGGAAAAUAUCACGUGCAACGAAGACAAUUCAUGAAGCCUUCCAAGCCACUCUAAGUUCGGAUAUACAAUUUGUCCUUGUUUAAUUAUGGAAACUCAUGACUAAGAUCACAAUCACUUAUUAACAGAGAACCUAAAUUAGUGAGGUUUGAGAGGUCAGGUACUGCCUGCAACGAUGAAGACGUUAGAUCUAGCCUCGUUACACUUGUGGGGAGAUUUGGUAGUAAUUGAAACUCCAUACAAUUCUGUAGAUAAAGUUGUUUGAGGUUAAAGAGCUGAUUGAUUGUCAUUGGCAGUCUAUUAACCUUUGUCCCGAACAAGCUCAAAAUCUCCAAUUGGGAUAAUCCUGCGAUUUCACUAGGAAUUUCCCCCUUGAGAUUGACACAAUUGUUGGCUCUUAGCUCUUCAAGAUUCUCCAGAGUCCCUCUGCUCUUUGGUAGCUCGCUUAUCUUACUAGAAGACAAAAUCAUGAGCUUCAACCGUCUAAGGUCGCCAAUUGAAUGGGGUAAUUUUAUAAUAGGUGUCGAAGAUAUAUCCAAUUUGUGUAGCGAUUAUAGUCUUCUGAUGGAAUUCGGUAAUGCACUUACACUAGUGCCUCCUAAAUUCAAAUGGAGGAGCAAUCUCAACUCUCCAGUGGAAUCCGGUAAUGCACUUACACCAGUGUAUUGUAAAUCCAAAUGGAGGAGCAAUUUCAACUCUCCAAUGGAAUCCGGUAAUGCACUUACACUAGUGUAUUGUAAAUCCAAAUGGAGGAGCGAUUUCAACUCUCCAAUGGAAUCCAGAAGCUCUCUAAGGUUGCAACACUUACUUAGAGAUAGAUGCUUCAAACCAAGUAGCUCACCUAUUGAGGGUGGAAGUUUUCUAACACCAUCCUGAUUUUUUAUAUUCAGCACCAACAAGGAUUUCAAACCACCAAUUGAGUCUAGUAAUGGAGGGAUGGUUGGAGAAUUAUUUCUCUGCAGUAGAUGAUCGCUCCCGUAGAUUUCCAAAUACUUUAGGCGGCCUAGCUGAUUAAUAGAGCUAUCGAUUUCUUCCAAUCUUGUACAAUUUUUUAGAACCAAUUUUUUCAAAUUUAGGCACUUGGAGAAGUCAGGUGUUCUCUUUAAAUAAUUGCAGCUUGCCAGAUAUAUAACUUUUAGGUUAUCAUUUACCUAUAAAAAAAAAAACCAAUUAUUGAGGAAAUAAUGGCAUCGGCAAAGGCCAACUCAAUGUAACAAAUGCAUACACACAUAAAGGAAAAAACGAAUGCAUUAUAUGAAACUUUACCAUGCAUGCUCCCCAGCCAUUCCAGUCUUCAAUAAUAUCACUCUCUAAAAGCUUGAGAACAGCCAAGUUCCUUAGAUAAACCAAUGGCAUCUAGGUUUGAAGGGCAAUGAUGCCAAGAGAGCCAUGUUAAAGUAGAGAGAAGAUUUUUGAAGUCUCCUACAAAGUUUCCCCCAUUCAAUUCGAGGAACCUUAGACUAGGUAGCCUUGAAAAUUCACCACUCGUGAAGUUAUGCUUGUCGCCAAGUCUUGUGAGUUUGAGUGCUACAAUGUUUUCUGUUCCCUGAUAUUUCCAGAGCAACAAGUUAGCAACAUGAUUGAACUAUUCAUAGUAAGUACUAAAUAUCAAAAUAGGGAAUAUAUAUAUAUAUCUAAAUUCAACUAAUAAUAAACAUGAGUGUACCAACAAAAAAAUGGGCACAUAAAUAUUAUCUUAUACAAAAAGGGGCAAAUUCCAUGAAUCAUUAUCUCUCCCACUUACAUGGGAGUUGUAAUGUAAAAUUAGUUCUUUUGGAAUGCCAUUCAUUUCUCUCAAAUCGUGCAAAAUCAUCAAUGUCCUGUGUACAAAAAUGAGCGAACGUUUUGGUCGAAAAUGAAGUCUAAAUACACAUAAUUGCAUGCUCAGUUUUUUCAUAAGCAAUUAACUUCUUUACUAAGACAUACCAUGUUAUUCUGAACCACAUCCAAGGCGAUCGUCGGACACCACAACCUGUUGCGCUUUCCGGGAACUGUAAAGCAUUCUCGCUGGACAAUCUCUCUUCCAAGAUCUCUCAGUUGGUCGUGCAUCCACAGUCUAUCAUCUUUGAGUUUUAUCAAAGAUAAAUGAAUAAGAACACAAAGUCCAGUAUGUGGAAAAAAAUCACAAGCUUUCCACAUGUAAUAUGUGGGGAUCUUUCUUCACCAAUGCAAUGACAUGCGAUAUUAAGAAAAUUUUGUUGCUGCUCAUACUCUAAUUCUUCGUAACUUAUCAACAACUUUUUCUGGACAUCCUGAUUGGGCACUUCCUUCAACUUCUUCAAUGUUUCUUUCCAUGUUUUCUUGCCUUUUGAAUGGAGUAAAGAACCUAUGACCUCGAGAGCCAAUGGCAGUCCUCCAGUGGUUCAGACAAUUUCUCGUGAAAUUUCAAUGUAGUCAUAUGGAGGUGAAUCACUUUCAAAAGAGUGCUUGCAAAGUAGUUGAAGAGCAUGGUGAAAUUGCAAUUCCUUCAUUUCAUAAAAAGAGAAAUCUCUGUGGAUGAUAUUAUCAUCUAGGGUGUCGGUUUUGAGAGCCAAAAAGUUGGCGUUUCUAGUUGUGAUAAUAAUUCUGCUUCCUGAACCAAACCAACUUGACUUACCAGCUAGCUACAUGAGAUUGUCUCUCUUGUCCAUGUCAUCAAGAACAAUGAUGGCUUUCUUAUCACCGAGUUUUUGUUUGAUCACAUCCCUCCCCUCAUCAGCAUCGAUAACUUUAGGAUGUUGAAUACCAAGAAUGUCACGUGAUAAUUUCUUUUGCAGACUUAAACUAUCGCUUUUACGGAUAUUUGAAAGAAAGCUACAACUUUGGAACUGGGAGGAGAUACGUUUGAAAAUAGCCUUAGCAAGAGUUGUUUUUCCGAUACCACCCAUACCGUGAAUCAUCACAAAUCGUACAUUAGAAGUGCCUAGGCCUAACAACUUCAUAACCGCUUCCAUAUGAUGGUGAAUUCCCACCAAGCUAUCACACCAAUUUCUCUGCGUAGGCGUCAGCUUACCAAAAACUUCUUCCAGAACAAGGGCUAUAAGUUUCUCCUGGCUGCCAUAUGCAUAAUGCAACCGUCUCAGUUCGAGAAACCACAAACGCGCAGAAGCAUAAAUGUGCAAAACCAGAAAUUUCAAUUGUUAAAACCAAGGAUGGAUUAUCAAUUUAUUUCAUAUUCAGUCCUCCCCGAGCCAAGAAGAUUGAUCUCAGUUACAGAUAACAAUGGUUGGAAUUUGAUGUGGGGGCGGUUCUGAAGAGUUUUUAGAUGGUCAAAUCCGCGAAGUUUUAAUGUGCGAUGUGGCCAUCAAAACUAGCUCCAUAGCCAAGUGGGCGAACCAAACCAAUUGUUUUGGUUCAUGCCGCGCAUCUAGUAUGACAAAGGGUGAAAAAGGACCAAAUUGCGCAUUAAGUAGGGAGAGCAUUCUUGAGUGGAACCAACACUAUGGAGGACGUCAAUACUUUUAAGUGUGGAGUUUAUGGCACCACGGCUCCACAUCGAAUGGGACACACUCUUUUGAACUCUUCGUGGGUAAGGUUCACCGUGAAAUGAUUACUCUAAAAUUCAAUUGUAAUAGGAAUUACUACAAGGAAGAAAGGCAUAAGAGAUUAAAAAAAAAACUGCAUGCAAAAGUGCAGUCAAUGGAUCGGUUAAGAGUUCUGAAAAAUUAUGUGCCUGAUGAAAUUGACUCCAUAAAAACGAACAUGACAAUUUGCACUACCAUUUCAACUUCCAUGUCAUUUCAGAAUAUUUGUUUUUGGGGUUUGGGGAGGGGGGUGGGUUCGGGUUGAUCUAUAUAUUGAGUUUUCAUGAUUAAGAAACAAUGAUCUAAAUUUAGAAAUGAAACUACUAAAGUUACCAUUAAUUACCCGUGAUCUUUUAAGUUAUAUCCGUUGAUUUUGGCAACCUCUCUAAGGGCCUCCUCCCACUGCUUCACCGUAUCUUCACCACACUGUCUCUCAUGCUUUCGUAGGGCCUUAACAUAUGAUCCAGUUCUGAGCUUAAGAUCGGAUGCAUCCACCCCAUAGAAAAUGGGCAAGAUCACUUUCUUGUCUCUCUUCUUGCACUCCACCAUGUAUGCCAGCUCGCGAAGACAGCAUUUACUGGAAGCAUAGUUUUUAGAGAAGAUUGGGAUGUAGAUUUUCGAAUUGGAGAUUGCUCUUAAAAGCUCGCCUCUAAUCUCUUCCCCAACGUGGAGCAUUUCGUCAUCUUUGAACACGCAAAUCCCAGCUCGAAUCAUGGCCGCGUAGAGAGAGUCUGUGAUGGUUAAGUGAGUGUCGGGCCCUCUGAAGCUCAAGAACACCUUGUAGUCCCUCCUUGGCGACAAUGAAGAUUCACCACCGAGGGGGAGAGACUUUCCUCCAGGACAUUCCAUUCCUAUGAUCUUUGGCUGCAUAAGUGAUAUCAAACUAUUCUGCUUGCUCGAAAUUGCAACUUCCAGUUACCUCGUGCCCGUUGGCAAUUUAUAAGAGAAACGGUCGACUGACUCUUUUUGUCCUAAAACAACCAUUGACUGAUUCAGGCUCACCGUGAGCAACAGAAGAUGCAAAGAAAGAUCACUAUUGCAUGCUUCCACAAAAUCACCUACCUCGGACAACCGUUCUUCAUUUGUAAUUUUAACACGCCUCCUUUUCCAUAGAACCAAGGCGAGCCAUCGUUUUUCAUAGAAGGUACCUGAGUUGACUUGGGGAAGUCCUCGAAUGCAUUAGGACUCGAGCCUAAUUCCUAGAAAAAGCAUCGUUUUUUAGUGGAGCAUCAAAGAAUGAGAGGCAAUCUUCUAUAGGCAAAUGAUGGAGCCCAGCACGAAUUGAAAUAAAAAGCUGAACAAACCUCUCAAUGCAAGGAAUAAUGCCCUCACUUUUUACAAAGCCACUUUUUUUUUCUUUGUUGGAAGAUACGCAAUAUCUUCUAGAUAUUAUUCAGAACCAAUUAAUAUCAAAUCUGAUUCAUAGAUUAUUUAGUUGCCUUUUUCUUGUACAUGUCUUGUACUAUAAUAUCAUCCUUAUACAUUGAGACAAAUAUACAUGAAAUACACAAAAUUCCCAACGUUGUUCUCUGCGUUUUCUCCUUGCCUCCGACUUCUUUCAUCCUUUAUUAGGCUGUCCUACCAUGGAAUAAUGUGCACUGGACAAUACUUUUGCCAUGGAAAAACAGAUUUUUCUUAUGUCGAAUAUCGGAGCGUGGACCAUCAGGAGUGGAUUCGUGUUGAAAAUGUGAUGAUGAUGAUGUGUUUCUUAAUUAUCAUAUUCCACUAAGUUAGGAACGAUUGACUUCACAAGACGAUCGUUAUUAGGACCAAUCAAUCCAUCUUGACAGUAAUUGAAAAAAAUUAGGAUCAAAUUUUUUCUACACUGUUCAUAAAUGCGUCCUGAGAAAAAAAGGUCAAAGUCAAUAAUUCAAGAUACAUUGUUCUUCGUUGAUGAAACUGGAUAUUAAGUCUCAGCUUCACCAAUUGAGAGAGAGCGUGUGUGUGAUAUAAUCGUGCGAGAUACUAGUUUAUUUGAAUCAUAUUCUCAUGUAGUAUCUUGACAUAAACAUGUGAUGUGCAUUGCAUUAUUAACUACACUUUCUGACAUGACCAUUCAAUCAACUGCAGAGCUCAUUAACACUUCAUCGAUUGGCACACUAAUGUCCAAACGACAUGAAAGACUCAAUAAUUGAUUGCAAAGUGAUACUGAUAUCUAAAUUUUUUCCUAAUAUGCACGAUUGUAAUUGUCUAUAAAUCAAUUUACUUAGGUCCAAUAGCUUUAUUCUAACAUGCAAUGCAUUCUGCUUCCACGAGAUUUUUACACUUCUGUCUAGUAUGUGUAAUUGAUCCAUCUCUGGAACUUCAGUUUAGUAAAUUCAAAUGUCAUACAUCUGUUAACUAUAGUAAAGAAAGUUGCUACAAUAAACAACAAUGUACAAAAGCGUUGGAUAGAAAAAUUAUACAAAUGGUGUUCGUAUGAGAAAUGUAUAUUCAAAACGAUAGAAAAAUAAUACACAAGCGUUUCUUAUGUGUAAUUCAUUUGAAACAAAUUAUUUUAUUUUUGGUCGGUAAUUUGAAAAAAAAAAUUAUUUGCUCGGUCACUUUAAACGGUCAUUCUUAUUCGUCAUCCCAAUAUGUCAGCAACAUAUGGAUUUUGCUGUUCUUGUCAAAGCACAGCAAACAAUCCAUUCUCCAUUCACACGAUAUCGAUCUAAUCAGGAAGAAAGCACAUUGUUUUGUUGACAUUUUAUCCUUAUCUGAAACCAUUUUUUUGAAUUUAAGAAAGAUAUUAAAUUUUUGAAAUAAUUUAGGAACCUCAUUAAUAUAAAGCCUACGAAAUGUUCAAGAUAUACGAUACUCAUUGGACAAAGUUAAGGACUUACUUUAACAAAUCGAAAGGUCGGGAAGAUCAUAAAACGUAAAGAACAAUGAUAAAUUUUCUAAGAUUGAUAGCAUCCUUAGACUUGUUUAACAUCUAUAUCGAGUGAGGAGAAGAGGGCUUGAGAGAGAUGACGACUACUGAGAAUUAAUAUCAAUUUCUUGCCAAGUUGGAGAUUUGUUGAUUAUGGCUCGAAAUUAAUCUUGUUCGAAUCGGAAUUGACAUGAGUUGGGAAAAUUACCAAAAAUGUCCUAAACUUAUUGUAAUUGUGCCAAUUCAAUCCUAAACCUAUUUUUUUGUCAAUUGAGUCAUAAAUGUUUUAUAAUUGUGCCAAAUCAAUCCUUCCAGCCAAAAGUGGCCAGGCAGCGUUGACGUGGCUGUUGGCCGAUGCCAAUGACCUUUCUUUAAUAAUAUUUUAUUUUUUUGAAUUAUUUUAUUAACUUUUUCUCUUUUUUUUCUUUCUUUUUUUUCCUUCUCCCUCCUCCUCCCUCCUUCUUCCUUUGGCUUCAGCGAUCGAUCAGAAGGGAAGGCUGGCCAAUCGCCAAAUUGAGGGGGCCAAGUGAGCUCGCCUCACUGUUGAUGGGAGAGGGAGAGCUCGCGCCCAGCAAUGGCGGUGAGAACACCCAUUAGAUCUGGUGAGAGCUUGCCUCGUGGUCGUUGGGCAAGGCAAGCCCUCGCCAAGGCGAGCUCUCGCCAGAUCCGGUGAGGGCUCGCCUCCCCAGCCUCACCAUCACUAGGCGUGAGCUUGCCGAUUGGUGAGGCAAGCUUGCUCAGAUGCCUAAGUCCGGCGACGGCUAGCCCUCCCUCUUUGGCCGAUCAGCGAAACCAAAGAAAAAAGGAGGGAGAAGGAGGGAGGAGGAAGGAGGAGGGAGAGGGCGAAAAAGAGAGAAAGAGAAAAAAAAGAAGAUAAAAUAAUUCAAAAAAUAAAAUAUUAUUAAAAAAAAAAAGGCCGUUGAUGCACAUUAGCGUCGGCCAACCAAUUUUGGCUGGAUGGACUAAUGUGGUAUAAUUAUAAAAGAUUUAGAACUCAAUGGGCCAAAAAAAAUAAGCUUAAGACUGAAUUGGCACAAUUGUAAUAGGUUUAAGAUUUUUUUGGUAAAUUCCCCCACAUGUGUUUGAUGUUUCCGAACAUUCUCAAAGUGCUUGUAGGGGCUCGGCAAUGGAGACGGACAACUGAAGGAUGCUAGAAGCCGAUUAUGCCUAGACAAACCAUGCAACUAGGCGAGUACUCGGCCAAGAGGUGGCAGGGUUGCCAAACACUCGGCAAACCUCUAGAGUCGAAACCGUGUUCCUACGGAUUGCCUGUAUGUCCAUGCCUAUUUUGGUUAGACACCCAAACCCCUAUUUUUCUGUAUAUCUAACAAAUAACUUGUGAGAAAUCUACCGAGCUUUUACGUGGCUUGCAAAUUUACCUUUCAUACACCUUUAAAUUUUAGUGCUCUUUAUCUUCCUCACCACCUUUAAUUUUCAUAUCUACAUUUCAAUUCCUUUACUUUUAUGGUCAAUUACACUUUUGUCCAAAAUCAACAAAAUAAAUCCAUUUUUUCCUUAAAAUUCAUCAAUUUCAUCCUUUUCUCGAGAACUUUCACUUUUUGGUGAGUGGUUCCAAGUGCUCUCAUCUUUUAGAUAAGAUUCGAUCACUGAUUGUAUUUAAGGAAAAAUUACUUUAUGUAUUGAUUGCAUGAUUGAAGUAAGUCCAAUUGACGGGGAGCGAAUUGCCACGUCCUUAAUCGUAAAAACUAAGUUGGAAUUCCAUUUUUAAGGGAUGGCAAAACAAAGCUUACUUUCAAGUGCACAAACGACUGCCCUUAUAUAGUUAAUAGUCAUAAAUUGCAUUAAUCUUUUUUUGGGGAAAAGUGUCAAAAAAAAAGUCUUAAAUCUUUUGUAUUUGUGCCAAUUUAGUCCUAAACAUUUUUACUUAAUGUCAAUUUUGUCAUUUCCUACUAAUUUUGGCUAGAUUUUGUUAAAUGGACGCCGACCGACUGAUAUGGCACGGUCGGCGCUGAUUUGUACAACUUUUGAUAAUAUUUUUGUAUUUUUUAUUUUCCUUUUUUAUUUUCUUUUUUCCUUCCCCUCCUUCUUCAUAUAGUUGAUCGCCAGCUUGGGCGACCGGCUAGAGGCUCGACCUCACUGGCCUCUGUGACAGCUUAAAUUUUCAAUUCUAUUUUCCAUUGAAUAAAUUAGGCCUUUCAUCAACGUUCCUGUAGUGCUAUUCUCAUAACUGAUCACUCUCGAGAUAACUAGAUUAUUUGGGAAAGCCAUUAAGGAAUUUUAAUGCAAUAGACUUGAGAAUUCGACUAGGAAUCGGCUACUCGACUGUGAUCAUCUGCAAAAGUCAUUACGGUACAUUUAAAAAUCGAUUAGGGAUUAGAGAUAUGUUAGUUUGACUGAGAUGUGUAGCUAGACGUGAGUGAUUUUACUAAAUUACAAAAUUCCCGUUGACCGGCACUAGACUGAUUUUUCUAUCAUUUUGGUACCCUGUGUCCGUAUUUGAAAUCUCGAGAUUUUAACAACCACCGAGAGUCACCAAUGUGUCAAAGAGGUUCAUUGUGGCUCGAAGAAAAUCAACUACGGGUCAUUUGCACUAGAAAUUUCUGAAAGCUACCCGGUAGACUAGAUCACGCUAAAAUCACGCUAGAUUGAAAUUAACCGCAAAUUUGAAUCCGAUUUCAAAAAUUGAAAGUUCAUCAUGUCACAAGUCAUUUUAAGAAUGUUGACUCAAUCUCCGAAAAUUUUUCUGCAAACCGGGAUUUUGGCGGAAAAAGUCGAGAUAGGACCGUUUUGGAUCGGAAAAUUCAGAGGACCAUCUUUUAUCGUGAAAUUGGGAUGCAAGUGGGAUAUAUUGGCGAGGAAAAAUGUCAAUUGGAUCGUGGACUUGAUAAUGGAAUUUAUGGGAGCCGAUUUGAGUUGAUUCAAAGAGGAAUUGAAGUCCAAAUUGAGGGAAAACCUUCAAAAUUCGUAGCUCCCCCAUGGACACCACCUUUGAACCAUUUCAUUUGCUUCCAGAGGAAGUCUUGUGGCUGCAAAUGGCUAAGGAAACCAACUGGAAAGGUGGGGCCAAGUCAAGGGAACAUUGAGAUGAGGUUGAAGACCAAGGUGGCCCCCUCAACCUUGCUUGUCUCCCUUCUCCUCCCAUCCGGUUGACCAGCACCCCCAUUCCAGCCCCUUGAUGCUCUAAAAACACCAAAAAAGCAUGUCAAGCCCUCCCCCCUACCAUUGACACCCACUGGAGCCAUCGCAAGCAGCCGCGUUGCCACCGUCGUGCCUUGGUUGCCAUUUGCCUGCUCUCGCGCUAGACCCGUGCGUCCCUGGCUGCCAUUCCGCCUUCAUCGUAACCCUAGGCCAUCCCCAGAGCUGCUUGAGCUUGCCUUGCCGUCACCGGAGCUGACUGGUCACCCGCCGAGCUCUGUUAAGCCCCACCGAAGCCGUCCGCUUCUUCCCUAUCCGUUUCAGCCUCAAUCGACCACCAUCCGGCCUUGUUUGGCCCAAGACCAGCACCAAACAAUCUGGGUUUCCAGCCCAAUGUUUGGUCCAUUUUCAAGCCCUUCCGAACCCCGCUUGGCGGUCUCACAUUGGAGUUUGUCAAUCCUCUUCACGUCCCCGUCGUUUUGGUCCGAGCAGAUCACCAAUCAAGUGAGUUUAACUCACUAAUCCCUACUUAGUAAGUUAAUGACGUUUAAGGGUUUAUUAGUUUAAGUUAAGCAUAAAUUAGGUGGAUAGUUAGAAUAGAUUAGUAAUUUAAUUAACUAAAAUGCAUGUUAUGUGGUUAGAGUAGGGGAAUUAGCAAGUAGAUAAGCUAUAGUAUUUAAUUAACAAGUCUCGAAAUUUUUCUGGGCUCGUUUUGGUAUUUAAUCAGGCUUUUCCGGCCUAAGUGUGCAUUUUUAGCAUUUAUUAAUUAUUUUCCGUAAUUAUUUAAUUAAUUAAUUUUUUUUUAGAAAUUAGACCAAGAUAGCUGGUUAUCAGAAUUUUGUGCCGAUUGUAAUGGUGUGAUUUUUUUAUUUAAUUGACUGCUAAUUUGUGCAAAUUGAGCAUGAUUUGUGAUUUUGGGUAUUUAUCCUAAAAUUUAUUUAAUUUAAGUAAUUAAUUAGAAAAUAUUGGACGUAGGUUUAUAGCCUAAAAAAUGUGUUUUUGGACUAUUAGAAUUGGAGGGAUUUUCAAAAGAGAAAAUGUGGUAUUUUGGCUAAGGCUGACCGUGUACCCACACACAAUUAUUUUAUCGGGUAUGAUAAAAUUGGUGAGAUUCUCAAUUGGUGAGAAUAGUGUAUUAUAUUAGCCUGAGGGCUUCGAUAUGUCAGCUUAGCGCGAGCAGUACACUUUAUCAGCUUAGAGUGAGCAUCAGGGGUACACUAUAUCAGCCUGCGGGUCGAUAUGUCAGCUUAGUGUAAGCAGUAUACCGGUAUAUUAUAUUAGCUUGAGGGCUUUGAUAUAUUAGUUUAGCACGAGCAGUAUACUUUAUCAGCUUAGUGAGAGAUAUAUUAUUUAUCAACUUAGUGCGAACUAUACCAUCUAUCUUCAGCUUAUAGUGAGUAGUUCUUGACGUGGUUGAACUUGAUAGAUAGUAUCGAAUGGAAUGACCAUGAGAGGGUCUUGAUGACAUGGAAUCGAUUGAGUCGAUUGAUCGAUGACUCGAACUAAUUUGAUGAUUUGAUUGGUUGAUGUGAUGCGAUGAAUUUGUGAAUUGUAUUGACUUGCAGGAAUGAAUCGAGAUAAAGGUAUGUCCUUUGGCUUGUGCUUGUGCUUAGACAACCCUUAUGAUGUAUUUUCUUCCUAGUCAGGUCUUAGGGGGUGAACUCGCUGAGACGUCAUCUUACCUAGUUGUGGAAUAAUAUUUCAGGUUCAUAGAUAGCAGCUCCUCCCGAGCAUUUUGGUUAGCCAAAGAAGAUCACGGAGCAGAGGUGCUAUAUUCCGCACCAUGGGGACCCUAGGGGAUGGGAGUAUGAACUUGUGAGGUCCGUGGUCUGGGUUGAUGCAAGCCUACCCAAAAAGGUAACCCAUCAAUAUCGAUCAUGGUACCGUCAAGAUCGGAAUGGCCAGAGAGAGGGCCCCAUACAGGAAUCUGAGAUACCUCUGUAUGUGCUGGAGGUUGCUUUUGGAAAUGGCAUAGCAGAUCCUCUUGGUGGCUUCGUGGUGGACCCCAACCUGUCGGAAUCGGAGUCCCUUGGAGUCCCCUGUUUAUUAAGCUGGAGGCUCCAAUGAGGAUGAGGAUGAGGAUGAGGAGGAAGAUCUAUAGUUUUAUAAAACCCCCCUUGUUUUGUAGACCUGAUAUAUAUAUAUAUAUAUAUAUAUAUAUAUAUAUAUAUAUAUAUAUAUAUAUAUAUCGGCUUGGUUUGUGUACGACUUGUUAUGAUAUGUAUAUAUAAGCAUGUUGUUGGUUUUAAAAAAUAUGGCCCUACUUUCCUAUCACAUCUUGUUGUUGUCUGUGGAUUAUUUAUUCGCUUCCACAUGUGCAUUAAAAACGAAUGGGUCGGCGAUGAGAUGUCGAUAUUUAAUUGACCGUAGAGGGAUGGGCACGCGUUCGAAGGAUCGGGGCGUGACAGCCUCUGAGAAGCCUCACUAGCUACUAGGGAGGCUCUCACUUGUUAGAUCUGGAGAGGGUCGAGCCUCACCGACCAUGGGCGAGGCCGCCCUCACGGCCAAGGCCUCAUCGGAUUUGGCAAGGUCAAGCCUCACCCAUGGCCAGCAAGGUUGAUCCUCGCCAGAUCCGGCGAGGGUGAGCCUCGUUGCCCCCCACAAGGGCGGCCUCACGGCCACUAGCAAGGCUUCCUAGAGGCUAGCAAGGUCGACCUCGACCUCAUCAGCCGUCGCCUCUAGCCAAUUACUGAGGUCCAGUGAUCGGUUAGAGAAAGGAGGAGGAGAAGGAAAAAAGGAAAAAAAAAAAGCAAAAAAGAAAAAAAAUAUUAUUAAAAGUUAUAUACGUCAGCACCGAUCGUACCACGUCAGCCAACCGACACCCAGUUAGCAAAAUCUGGCCAAAAUUAGCCGGAAAUGACCAAAUUGACACUAAAUGAAAAUGUUUAAAACUAAAUUGGCACAAAUAUAAAAGGUUUAGGACUUUUUUUUUAACACCUUUCCCUCUUUUUUUUUUUUUUUUCUUCAAAUCCAAAAUAAAAUCAAAAGAGGUUACAAAUACUAGAUAAUCACCCAGCCAGUAUCUUUCAAUAAGGAAAAUUUAAACACUAAAAACUUAAUUUAGGAAUAAAGAACCUCUAUUUCUGCAAGUUGAAUUCAUUGGCGCCUCAGCCAAUUCUCAAUUGACCUGUGGAUGUAUUUGAAUGAGAUGCCCAUAGGAGCACCCUCUGAGAUAGAGGAUCAACGUUCCUGAUUUGCUUUUGGAAAUUUUAUGUUAACAUGUACUUGGUCCAUAAAGAUUAAAGUCCAUCCUAAAGUUGGCAAAAAAAGGCCCUUAAGGCGGGUUUUUGGCAGAAGUAUUGCUUGAUCAAAACUGCAGUAAAAAAUCCUUCUCGUCUAACUUGUAUUUAUAGUUUUUGCAAAACUACAUAUAAAAAAAAUUGUUGGCUUGACAUGUCUCUAGUUUUUUGCCGAUUUUGCAUUGUAGUCUUGUUUGGCGCCUAUCACACACACACACACACACACACACACACGCAUAUAUAUAUAUAUUAUUGCAUUCCCGUUCUAGGACAGCUUGCCCAUAGCAGAAACUAAUAUUAGGUGAGAUCGAGAACCUUUAAUGGUCCGGCCAAAUGCGCCAUUCUAACUCUUGGUUACAAGUCAAGCCAAAGGAAAAUGACAGAAUCCUCUUGUCAGCCACCUGCCCCCCAGUAUUAUUUUUGCUCCUUCACAACCAAAGGAAAAGAUCUUUCUUUGGGUUCAGUUCCUUCUAUAUUUUUCUUGGAUCUGGGAAAUUCCCCAAAAGCAAAUGAAACCCGUGUGCCCGUGCCUCUUUUGGGGACGCGUGUGAUCCUUUCUUUCGUCCCCUGCUUUGUUCAUCUCUCUUUGACUUUUUUGUCAGCAUAACCGAAGAGAUAUAAAGUUUAGAAAAAAAAAAGAGGGAAAGAAGAGGAUUCGGCGGAUAAGAAAAAGAUAAGCGGAAGAGGAUGCAGUAAGGGCAAGUGGAAAGGAAAAGAAAAAGGUAACCAAAGGAGAGAAAACAAAGAGGACGGGGGAAAGAGAGAAGAGGAGAGCGUUAGGUGCAUGUGAUGUCUAGGAGGAAGGCUCCCGAAAGGAAAACAGAAAACAAAAGAACGGAGAGGGAGAGAGAGACGGUUGGAUUUUUCUCCUUCUUGAUCUAUCCCUGGUUCAGGGAGUCCGAGAGAAAACAGACAGGAAACAAUAGAGAGUGGCAGGGAGAGUAAUCGGUGAGCUCUCAUUGCCGUGUGUGUCGCUAGUCAGAGUUCUUCAAGUAGCUCGACAAAGCCGGCUGCUAUUUGAUCAAUUCAUUUGCAUAAGGCGUGGCGUUACUUGUGAUUUGGUCCAAGAACUUACCCCUAAAUGCAUUUGCAACCUAAAUUGAGGACAUGGAAUGACUUGUUGUGUGAUUUAAAGCGAAUUAGAAUUCUUUGUGUUUGGUUCAACUCUUCAUUUCUCGUAUGUUUUGGAUGUCCUUAUAACUUGUCCCUUUUGAAUGAUAAUGAUUUGAUUGCAGCAACCCUUGCCUAUCGGGAAAUGACGUGAAAUAUCAACAAGGACUUGGCGCAAGUUGCACCUCGUUUACUGUGUUAUUUGUGCCUCUAUCCAGAUCGGUUUUCAGCUUGCACAGUGGGCAAGCCUUCAUUUCACCACAAUUUGAUUCAAACAGAUCAUCGAAAAUUCCCUCGUUCGUGUCUAAUUUACCGUUUUGUUUUUGAAGGUUUAUGCUAGUGAUAUUAGAAUUGGGAAAAUGUGGUGUAUGGUGGAAUAAUUAGUUUGUGGUCUUAAUUAGUUCAUAAUAUAUGAUGGUUUGAUCUGUAUAUGCAAAGAAGUGCAUUAAGCCGCAUUUGAUUCAUUUACCGUCUUUGAAGCGGGAACUGAUAGCAUCAUGGUGUGUUCAAAUCCUUCUUAAUUUGUCACGCCUCCUUUUUCUAGAGAGCCAUCAUUUUUCGCAGUGUUUUCUCGGAACCUACUUGAGUUGAUUUGCAGAAGUCCCCAAAUGUGUUAGAAAUCGAGUUUUCCCGAAAAAGCAUCGAUCCUUAGUGGAGCAACAAACCAUUAGAGGCAUUCUUCUAUACACAAUGAUGUAGCCCACCAGGGCCAAACAACCACCUUUGUGCAAGGUAAUAAUGCCCUCCUGCUUUUUCUAAAGCCAUUUUCCUCCCUCAUUAGGUUGUCAUAUGAUAGAAUAAAGUGCACUAGGCAUGGGAAAAUGGAUUUUCUGAUGUGGAAUAACAUAGUGUGGGUAAUCAAAAGUCAGUUCAUAUUGGAAAUGUAAUGAUGAUCCGAUUCUUUUCUUUUCAUAUUCCACUAAGUCCAAACCAAUUGAAUUCACAAUACAAUCAUUAUUAGGGUAAAAAAGAAAUUAGGAUCGAGUCUCUCAUAUGCUAUGCUGUUAAUAAGUGCCUCGUGAGAAAAAUGUAGAAGUCAAUAAUUCAAAAUGCAUGAUUUUGAGGUAUUUUACCUUGAAACUUGAUCUGAUUUGGCAUAUUCAAAACUGAAUUAUACACUGCUAAAAUAUUACAAUUUCAAAUCAGAAGUAAUUUGAUAUAAAAUAAUUUAAGAAUCUCAUUAAUUUAACACCAUUGAAAAAAGUUCAUGAGUGGCUAUGUUCCUUGGAGGACUUACUUAAACAAAUUAAAAGAUUAGGGACAUCAUCACAUGUAAACAAACAAUAGUGAAUUUUUUAAGACACUAGUUUAGCAUCGACAGUGAGUGAGGAGAACAAGGGGGCUUGAGAUAGACAACAAUCAAUGAAGAUAAAUUUGGACUUCUCACCAAGGUGGAAAUUUGUUGAUCAUGGCUCGAAAUUAAUUUCGUUUGAAUUGGAAUCAACAUGAGUUUGAUGUUUUCGGACGGUCGACGUGUUCGUGGGGGCUUGGAAACGGAGGUAGACGACUGGAGGAUGCAAGAAACCAGCCCCCCUAGCGCUUGGACAAACCAGACAACUAGGUGACCACUCGGCCAAUAAGUGGCGGGGUUGCUGGACACCCGACAAACCUCCCGAAAGUGUUUUCCAACAUAGUGCUUGGGUGACGGGGCCUAUUUUUGUCAGACACCCGACCCCCUCUUUUUAUGUAUAUUUAAUAAACAACUUGUUAAGAAUAGAGAAUGAGAAUAUUCCUUUCUUGCUGGAAUCGUUUCAUUUAUUUACCCGCGUUAAUUGUGGCAGUAGUUGAUGCAAGAUUCAAACUAUGUCAGCCGAAAAUAAUCUCUCGAGAAUAGCAAGGUCGGUUAAACUAGGAGUGAAAUCUCAUUCUAAUUUUUUGGACCUAGCGAACACAUUAGAUGGUGGGCGUAUUUUGUAUUUACACUGAAAUCGUUUGAGCAAUUUGGUGAAGCUGAUAAAAAAGACAGAGAUAUUAGUCUGAUACUGUUCUACAUGUAAUUGAUUAUUGUACUUGGACUCAAAGAAAAUCGGAAGAAGAGAUGGACUCCCCGAGUCUUCGUCUCCUCCUUUUUUAUCACAGAAACUUCUGUAGAGUAUGAAAUGAACCCAAGUGAUGCAGGUUUGAUAUGAAGGGAACACGAGAACGCGGAGACAAAAGAGAGGAUUCAGCCAAUUGGAACAUGACCCGUCAUAUGCUUAACAAAAUUAAACAUCAGCAAAUGCAUUCCAAGUCUAAGUGAGAUGAUGAUGCGAGUCGCUUAAAGUUAAGUGAAGAACUAAUAUAAAACGACCACGACUUCUUUUGAGCCUAAUAAGUGUUUUUUCCCUCAAUUUUUUUGCAUCGUAGAUAGAGGCUUUCCAAGUUCGAAUUUCUCUCUGUUCACACUCUCAAAUCUGCUACCUUUACACGAAAGCCAUUUGCAGGCGCCCAGAGAAAUUGAUGUUGAUUACUAUUCGCGAGAAAAUUAUAGUGCUUGCCAAUCCUUUGCACUGAAGCUUUGAUCUACUGUAGUUGAAUGAACAUGUAAUGACCGUGCAGGAACACCGACCAGCUGCUCCAUCAUUUGCAACUGAUCAUAUGCUGCAAUCUGCACCCACUAUAGAAGUUAAGUACAGAAAAAAAUGGCAAUGGUUGAUUGAUGAACAUGUCAUCCGAGUAAAUUCCUUAUUUACAAACUUUUCUGAACCGAUUCCAAUUAUUAGUCAACCAUGACAAUGAGGGACGUAAUCCAUUUGAAUGCGACGUAGUGGAAAAGCAUUAAUCACCUGUUUAAACCAUCAGAAUACGGCAGUUUUUGCUCCCCCGUCCAACCACCCUAAUGUGCAUAAGUAGAAACGUCAAAAGCAUUUUUCCAGCUGAAUUCAACUACGAAAGGAGCUCAUUGAUCCCCAUCGAUUUUGAGGAUUAGACGAGAGAACAACUGCAGAUAUACUCUGAAUCCCUACGCUGUUAGACGUUUAUCAGCAUGACAAAGGAUGCCGGAUGAGGGGGAAAUCAGAGUAAAAAGUUGUAAAAAACAACGAAUUUUUUUUAGUUGACCGAAUGGAUUUGGAUGAAGAAAUUCAAUGCUCCACUAAAAUCUACCACUGAUUCUCAAGAUUCAGGUAACAAGACACUUGGAUUAUCUGAAUCCAGACGAGUCAAUAUUAACCUUCAUGAGAAAAUAAGAGGUGAGAUUGAAGGGAAAAAAUGCUUGUCCUGCAUGUAUGUGUAUUUAGACAUGCCAUGAAGUGACCUCUCCUGAUAAUCAAGUCACUGAAUAUGACAUCAAGUAAUCCGGUCAUUCUUGGAGUGGGAAAGUAGUUCGCUCCAUGUAUUGCAGUAAAACUAAGAUACUGCAUGACUCAGAGCUACUAUUAUUCGCCAGCAAAUUUCACAGCCAUAAGGUUUACCUGGAUGGUAAAGCAAACACAUAAUUGAAGUUCCCAACACUUGAAAAAAAUUUCGGAACAGAUGGGCCUUACUGAUUACAAAAGUUCGCUGAACUCGACCUGCUUAUACGUUUUACUCCUUAUCAAGUAUUGCGAAACACAAAGGCAUUUCUGACUUUUUACAUAGGGUCGGGUCUUCUGUGCAUUUAUGCCAGUUUGUGCCCCAAGAUCACACCACAUGCAUUUGCCUCUUAUGGAUUGAUUCUUGUUGCUUUUAUAUCUGAAACAGAUAAAAAGUCUGUUUUACUCGCUCAUCCCUAUCCAACAGAGUUUCAAAGGAACUAUUAUCAGCCGUCGGCAAACUGAGCAGCUUUGUUCAUAAGAUUUUUGAAUAAAAUCGCAAACAAUCUGCCAUAUACAUUAAAAGACGAAAAUGCAAAUAGCUGAAUUGCAUGAAGAGAUAAUGAAGAAAAAACACGGAAGAGUCCCUGCAGUGCAAUGUUGCUUUCCAAAACUAGGGCCGUCGAUGAAUCGAAUAGAAGAAGAUGAUAUUUGUAGAGUAGAGCUAAAUGCGCAAGAAACGUAGUUCAGAUUUCUCCACAACCAAGGCAUAGCGGUUUAAACUGUAACACCCAGCAGACUGAUGGAAGCAACCAAUCCCUCAGUUGUUCCAAAAUUUAUGCUAAGCAUUGGUGUGAAAGGGUAUUGGAAGAGGACCUAUGCGACCGUAUCUAGCAAUACUUCUCUAUCCUUUUAAAGUUAAUAUGUACGCUGUAAGAUUGUAUAUCAGGCAUUCCUGACAGGAAGACAGAACUUUCCAAGCAUUAUAAGAGUUGGGGGUCAAAAGAGGUGGCAAGCAAAAUGAAAUUCACAGAGAGCACAUUGAACUUUUAGAUCCGUCAGUGACUAAAUUUGAUUAAAGCACAAUAAACCAAAAAUAAAAUGGUUAUUCUACUGUAGUGAGCAUUUAGAUAUAUAAGAGUAUAAUGCGGGUUGCUUCUGGAAAUGAAUUGUCUGGAAUUACACGCCAUUCUCCUCCGGGUGGUUGUCGUUUUCUUCUGAGGAAAAAACAAAGAUCACUAUGAAGUUCAUUUUCAUAUCCUCCUUUCAUCUUUAGCAAAAUCUACUUCAAUAGCCAAGUGAAUCUUACUCAGAACAGAACACUUUUGCUUUCUAAAGGUGUGGGAAUUUCGAGUUAAUAUAUAUUCCCAAAGGCUAAGAAAAAAAGUACAAAACCAUUAUAUAAGAAUGUCUUUAAAAUUUUCAUUUUUUUCUGUGUUUUGGGCCACACAAACAGAGAAUCGAAUGUAGAAUAUAGAGCAUAUAGGGGAAGAAGCCUGAAGUUGGUGAUUUCAUCUCAAUUGACCGUAGCUCACCGGUGUCUCAAAUCCCAGCGUUUUACUUGUUCACAGCUACCAUGUCCAGCUGCUGCCUUCUCGACCUCCAAUGCGGCAUCACAACCUCGGGCGACCCCUCCACGACGGCUGACAGUCAUCGGAAUAGUCUCGAGUGUGCUUGGCCGAGACACCUGGCUGAUCGCUCCUCCGUGCACUAAUCUUCUCAGCUCGAUCAUGUGAGUUCGGCAGGCAGGGCUGGACUGGGGUGAAGGAGCUCGGGAAGUAGGCACCGAAGGGAAGGAGCGGCCGAAUGCCACCUUCUGGUAGGAGCUCUUGGCUAAGCUCGGCAACGGCCAUGGCAGCUUUGGCGGCAACAGAGUGUUGGGCUUCUGGAGGCCCUCCUCGAGGACUUCCUACUACAACAACACGCAAGUAAUCACCAAUCCAUAACUGUACUAACUUGGAGAACCAAUUUGAACGCAAGACCAGAAUUAACACAAGCAAAUAUGCCAAAGAAAUAAUUUUGACCACUCAGCAGCUUCAGGGAGGGGCUCUAUACUUGCAGGAACGGCGUUUCCACUCAAAUCUGGUCUUCACAUCGUGAUCGAGCGCAAACUCCAGUCAUCUCUGAGUACGGCCGGAACUUCCCUCCGGCUUCCUAAAUUGCAACCAGAACUCAAUCCCGAGUCUCGCCUCCUUCGACUCAAUUUAUCCAGGGAUUCGAAUGAUGCGAAUCAAUCAUCGAACGAACUAGGGUUUUCGAUUUUGGGGGCUCACCGUCUCGUUGAUUUUAACGCCGGCGUUGGGGCUUCCAGGCGUAGCGGUUCCGGUGCUUGGACCGCCGGCGAGCCGGCAGUAUAAUUGAGACAAAGUCGGCAACUUCACGAGUCCUUCGAGAUAAUCAUCUCUCGGGUUAUUUUACGAAAAUGGGCCCGCCACCAGACCUUUCCUCCUCAAAAACUUCCCUGGGAUAAAUUCAACUUCACAUGCAUUCGGUAUAUCAGGCAACUUUUGCACUGAUUUACAAUAGUAUACUCUCAACGAUUGUAGCUUCUCCAGCUUCGGUGAAGAUGGUUCUGAUUCGAUCUCAAGUAGUUGCGGGCAGUACUCCACGCUCAGCACUCGGAGCUCCUUUAAGCUCGCUAGAUUGGAUAGCCUCACAAGCCGCUCGCACUUGCGCACUUGCAGCCGCUGGAGAUUCUCUAGCUGUCCAAGCAAGUUGUCGAACUCGAUCUCUCUUAACUGACAACCGCAGAGCUUUAAUUCACACAAAUUGCCCAAGUUAGAGAACAGUGGCCACUCUAUCGGUGCCUUGACAUCUUCUAAACACAAGUCUUCUAAACUGGACGGAAGCCCAGUCAGCGACCGUGGGUCUCGACAAGUUAUUUCCAGUGACCGCAGUUGAGAAAGGGAGCUCAAGUCAGUCGGAGGCAAGUUGAAAUCGGAAAAAACCAGUCUCAACGUCUGCAAUUCAUGAAGCUUUCCAAGCCACUCUAGUUUCGGAUACUGCCUGCAAUAGAAAGAGUAUGCUCGAGAAAGUAGGAGAAAAAAAGAGGAGAGAGAGAGUCUGCAUCGGAGAUUGGGUACUGCCAUCAGCGGCAAUGGCUCUUGGAGUCCUAAACUUCUUGUAAUAUCUGAUAUAGACGGAAUCCCAGGCGAAGAUAAUAGCUCUAGCUUUGUUAAACUUGUCGGAAGAUCUGGUAGCGACUGAAGCCCGUCACAAUUCGUUAAAACAAGUUCUCGAAGAUUAGAAAGCCGAUUGAUUGUCAUCGGCACUCCACUAACCUUGCUCUCGGACAAGUUCAGAAUCGUCAAUUGGGAUAAUCCCGUGAUUUCACUUGGAAUUUUGCCCUCGAGAUAAUAACAACCUCUAGCAGUCAACUCCUCAAGAUUCUCCAGAGUCCAUAUGCUAUUCGGUAGCUCUUUUAUCUUUGUCCAAUUCAAACGCAUGAACUUCAACUGUCUAAGAUUGCCAAUAGAAUUAGGUAAUUCUGCAAUAUUUGUAUGAGAUAGAUCUAUUUUGAGUAGUGAUUCCAAUCUUCCGAUGGAAUCUGGUAAUGCACUUAUCUUAGUGCGAGACAAAUCCAAACAAAGGAGCAAUCUCAACUCUCCAAUGGAAUCUGGAAGCUUUUCAAGGUUAUGACAACCACAUAGAGACAUAUGCUUUAAAUCCAGUAACUCUCCUAUUGAGUGCGGAAGUGCUCUAACAUUAUUUAGAUAUUCCACCUUCAACAUUGACAAGGAUUUCAAAUCACCAAUUGAGUCUGGUAAUAGAGAAGGACGAAUGGUAAAAUUGUUGAAAUAAGGAGAAUUUGGAGGAUAAUUUAUUGAAUCACGAAUCUCCGAUAUCAUCCUAGGCUCCUCACUGAUUUCCAAGUACUUCAGGCGCCCCAGUUGACCGAUAGAGCUAUUGAUUUCCUCCAAUAAUUCACAAUCUUUGAUAACCAAUCUCUUCAAUUUCAUGCACUUGGAGAAGUCAGGUGUCCUCAUUAAGCGUUUGCAGCUUGUCAAAUAUAUGACUUUUAGGUUAUCAUUCACCUAUGAAACAGACGGUUAUUGAGAAAAACGAUGGCAUAGGUGAAGGUCUACUCAAUGUGACAAAAGUGCACACACAAAGGAAAAAGAAUGUAUUAUAUGAAAUUAUACCAUGCAUGGUCCCCAUCCAUUCCAAUCUUCAGUAACGUCGCUCUCUGAAACCUUGAGAACGGCCAAGUUUUUUAGACAUAAACCAUUGGCAUGUAGGUUUGAAGGGCAAUGACGCCAAGAGAGCCAUUUUAGCUUUGAGAGAAGAUUUUUAAAGUCUCCUACAAAAUUCCCCCCCUCUAAUUCGAGGAACCUUAAACUAGGCAGCCUUGAUAAUUCGCCACUUGUAAAAUUGUGAGCAUUGGCAGGUUUUGGGAGUUUGAGUGCUACAAUGUUGUAUGUUCCCUGAUAAUUUGAAGCAACAAUACCAAUAUGAAUGAAUGAUUUAGAGUAAAUUCUAACUAUCAUAAUCCUACUAUUCUUACCCCACCAAUUGAUGACAUAAGUGAACCAGCAAAAACGAGGCACAUAUAUCUUAUCUUAUACCAAAAAGGGCAAAUUCCUUGAAUCCUUAUCUCUCCAGCUUAGAUGGGAGUUGUAAUGGUAAGAAUUAUCUAUUUUGGAAUGCUGUUUAUUUCUCUCAAAUUAAGCAAAAUCAUCAAUGUCUUUCCCAGGAACAAAACUGAGCGGAUAUUUGGGUGAAAAUGAACUAUAGUACACAUAACUGCAUGUUUAGUUUUUACGAAAGCAAAUAACUUUUAGUAAGACAUACCAGGUUAUUCUGAACUACAUUUAAGGCAAUCGUAGGACACCACAGCCUACUACGCCUUCCAGGAACUUGAACGCAUUCUUGCCGAACAAUCUCUCUUCCAAGAUCUCUGAGUUGGUCGUGCAUCCAUAAUCUAUCACCCUCGACGAGCUUUAUCAAAGAUAAAUGAACAAGGACACGAAGUCCAGUUUCUGGAAAAAAAUCACUUGCUUUCCACAUGUAGUAUGCCGGGAUUUUUUCUUCACCAAUGCAAUGACAUGCGAUAUCCAGAAAAAUUUGUUGUUGCUCAUACUCUAAUUCUUUGUAACUUAUCAACAAUUUUUUUUGCACAUCCUGAUUGGGCACUUUCUUCAACUUCUUCGAUGUGUCUUUCCAUGUUCUCUUGCUUUUUGAAUGAAGUAAUGCACCUAUAACCUCAAGAGCUAAAGGUAGUCCUCCAAUAAAUUUGACAAUUUCACACGAAAUAUUGUUGUAAUCAUGUGGAGUCGAGUCUCUUUCGAAGGAGUGCUUGCUAAAAAGUUGAAGAGCAUGGUCAAACUGCAUUUCCUUCAUUUCAUAAAAAAAGAAAUCUCCGUAACGCACUGGGAUGAUUUUUUUAUCUAGGGCGUCCGUUUCAGGAGCCAAAAAAUGGGUGUUCCUAGUUGUAAUAAUAAUUCUGCUUCCUGAACCAAACCAACUAGACUUACCAGCUAGUUUCAUGAGCUUGCACCUCUUGUCCAAAUCAUCAAGAACGAUGAUGACUUUCUUAUUAUUGAGUCUUUCAUUAAUCAUGUGCAUCCCCUCAUCAGCAUCAAUAACAUAAGGAUAUCUAAAAUCGAGAAGGUCACAUAAUAAUUUAUUUUGCAGACUUAAAAUACUGUCUGCACGGAUAUCUGAAAGAAAGCAAGAACAUUGAAACUGAGAAGAGAUAUACUUGAAGAUAGCCUUAGAAAGAGUUGUUUUCCCAAUACCACCCAUACCAUGAAUCACCACAAAUCGUACACCGGGAGUGCCUAGGCCUAACAACUCCAUAACGGCCUCCAUCUGAUAGUGAAUUCCCACCAAGUCAUCAUGCCAAUUUCUCUUUGAAUAUCUCAGCUUAUUAAAAACUUCUUCCAGAACAAGUGCUAUAAGUUUAUCCUGGCUGCCAUAUACACAAUGCAACCAACUCAAUUUGAGGAAUCACAAACAGAAUAUGUCCCACAGAAGUAUAAAUAUGUAAAACCAAAAACUUAGAUUGUUAACAUCGAGCAUGAAUUAUCGGUCUAUUUCAUAUUCGGUCUACCCCAAGCCGAGAAGAUUGAUCUCAGUUACUGAGGACAAUGGUUGGAUUUUGGGGUGGAAGGGCCAGUUCUGAAGAGUAUUUAGAUGGUCAAUCAGCAAGGUUCUAACGGGCCAUGUGGCCAUCAAAAGUAGCUCACUAGCCCGAGAGCCCAAACCGCCCCAAUUUUUUUUCGAUUCGUGCCAGGCUUUAGCAAACGGUGAAGUUUGAUCAAAUCACAAGUCGUAUAGGAAGAGUAUCCUUCCGCGGGCCAACUUUGAAGAGGAAGUUAAUGCUCUAGUGGGGGAGUUUGUGAAACCAAAGUCAUGGGUAAAAUUCAUCAAAUGAUUUCUGAGAUUCAAUUGUAAUAGGAAUUACAACUAAGAGGAACGAUGUAAUAAACCGCAUGCAAAAGUGCAGUUAAUGGAUUGGUUAAGAGUUCUAAACAUUUAUAUGCGGAUGCGAUGAAGGACUUUUGAAAACCGACAAGGUAAUUUGCACUGGUGUAAUCUAACACGGAAGCUAAACGGAUCUUUCUAUUAAAUCAAUAUCAAAUUACUAUAGAUAUAAAUGAGGAAUCAUAAAGAACACCAAAAAUUUAUUUGGUUCGAUAACGGUAUCUACUUCAUGGGGAGAGCCAGCAAUAAUUAAUCCGUCCUAAUCAAAUUAGAAAACUUGUUGAAACUAGAGACAUAUUCUUAACAUGCACAACUAUUUGAGAGAGAGAGAGAGAGAGAGAGAGAGAGAGAGAGAGAGAGAGAGAGAGAGAGAGAGAGAGAGAGAGAGAGAGAGAGGUUGAUCUAUAUAUUGAGUUUUCAUGGUUAUGAAACCUCAAUCUAAUUUUAAAAAUGAAAGUGUAAGAGUUGUCAUUAAUUACCCGUAAUCUUUUAAGUUCCAUCCCUUGAUUCCAGCGACCUCUUUGAGGGCCUCCUCCCACUGCUUCGAUGCAUCUUCACCGGAAUCUCUCUCAUGCUUUUGUAGGGCCUUACCAUACAAUCCAGUUUUGAGUUUAACAUCGGAUGCAUCCACCUCGUAGAAGAUGGGCAAGACCGCUUUCUCCUCUCUCUUCCUACACUCCAUCAUGUACGCAAGCUCACGGAGGCACCAUUUACUGGAAGCAUAGUCUUUAGAGAAGAUCGGUACGUAGAUUUUCGAAUUGGAGAUUGCUCCCAAAAGCUCACCUCCGAUCUCUUCCCCAACACGGAGCUCUUCGUCGUCUUUGAAGACACGUAUCCCGGCCCGGAUCAUGGCUGCAUAGAGAGAGUCUGUUAUGGUUAAACGAGUGUCGGGCCCUCUGAAGCUCAAGAACACCUCGUAGUCCCUCGACAACGAUGAGGAUUCACCAUUAAUGGGGAGAGACUUUCUUCCAAGACAUUCCAUUCCUGCAGAUCUUUGGCUACGGAAGCGAUCUCGAGCUUUUUGCUUGUUCAAAAUGGCAACUUUCCAGUUACCUCGCGUUGUUGGCAAUUUCUAAGAGAAACCGUGGACUGACUUAAUUUGUCCUAAAAGAACUGUUCACUGGGUCGGGCUCCUUGGGAUAGACAGGAGAUGGAAAGAAANNNNNNNNNNNNNNNNNNNNNNNNNNNNNNNNNNNNNNNNNNNNNNNNNNNNNNNNNNNNNNNNNNNNNNNNNNNNNNNNNNNNNNNNNNNNNNNNNNNNNNNNNNNNNNNNNNNNNNNNNNUGGAAGUCUUCGUCUCGAUGCAUAGAAAUGAGCUAUCUUGUGGAGAAUCAAAGCAUAGAGGCAUUAUCUAUAAGCUAGUGAUGGAGCCCAGUAGGAAUUGAAAUAAAAAGCUGAACAAACCCUUGAGUGCAAGAAAUAAUGCCCUUUCACUUUUUCUAAAGCCACUUUACUUUUUCACAUUAUUAGGUUGUCGUGCCAUGGAAUAAAGCGCGUUGGACAAACAAGGAGUCGAGAAAAUAGGAAAAAGAGACAGACUCCCUGAGUCCUCGUCUUCUCUUUAUUUAUCAAGGAAACUUCUGAAAAAUAUGAAAUGAACCCAAGUGAUGUAGGUUUUGUAUGAAGUGAGCAUGAAACGCGGAGACAGACAGUAGAUUCACUAUUGUUUAAUCUAAUAAACAAAAGCUCUAGAGAAGAUUGAGCCAAUUGGAACAAUACCUGUCAUAUGUUUAACAAAAUUAAAAAUCAGCAAAUGCAUUCCUAGUCUUUGCUCAAGUCCACGAUGUUGGUAAGAUGAGAUGGUGAUGGGAGUCUUUUAAAGUUAAGUGAAGAACUAACAUAAAAAGACCAAGACUUCUUUUUAGCCUACUAAAGUUUUUUACGCUCAAUCUUUUUUUGCAGCUUAGUUAGUCAUAUCAUCAUCGUGAUGACCUACUCUCAUCUAUAUUUAACCCUACCCGAAAUGCUUUAAAAACGACUCUCAUUAUUGUUGAAAAAGAGAUGAAAAACUCUUUGAGCAGAUGGUCUUGCGGCCAAAAUAAUUGGAAAACACUGGUAGUUGCAAAAGUUGUUUAGUUGGAUCCACAUAUCCCAUGGCAUUAGUUCAAAUUCCUGCUACAUAUCAAAUUUUCACAUGAAUGAUUAUGUUGUCUCUGGAUAUCAUGUAAAAGAGUGGCGAUUCAUUACAAUGACCUGUUUUGAAUGCGCAUGUCGAAUCCAGAGCGUGUUCAACGCUUUAGACCAAGUGAAAGACCUCAUAAGGGCUUGUGGAACAACUUUAUAAAAGAAUUACAGAAUAAGAAUGGCCUAGAAACCAAAUUAAUUGAGGUACUUAUAAGAUUGGUAUACCAUGCUGGACAUUAAUCUUGUCUUCAUUAAUUAUAUAAAACGUAAAUAGUUAUUCAGUGAUCUGCCUAGGUGAAUCGGCAAUUGUAAACCUCACCUUCAUAAUGAUAACCAAAGCUAAUAUUCUCAAAAUAGACCUUUUUAUAACAUGAGAAACCCAAGUUGAAUUGCUUUUUCUCAAUAAUUAUCCUUGUAAAGAAUCAAAACGCACGAACUCUGUUACAUUUCGGGAAUCCAUCCGUUUAAGUGAGGUUCUCUUGAUUUCUUAUGCAAGGCCGGCUUCGCAGAUAUAGAAGAGUAAUCCUGUUUCAUGCUCAUGCGGGUAUCAUAGCAGUCAGUAUAAAGCAUGAUCCCACAUGACAUAAACAGUUACUGAAAUGAAAUGACAAAGAAAUGAAAUGAAAAGGCGAUUCCUCUCUCCUCUCUUCUCAGAAUAAAAUGAAAAAGAAGAGAGGAGAGAGGAAGCACAUAUAGAAGCCCUCCGUGUUAGAAUGUGUCUCUGUGUUCACUGUUCGAACUCCUAGCACUCUCCAAUCUGCUACAUUUACUUGAAAGCCAUUGGCAGGGUGGAGAGAAAUGGAUGUUGAUUACUAAGAAACAGAAAACCAUAAGCUAUAAACAGGUGCUCUUCAUCAACUUCAUUUACUGCCACUUGUGCUUCUCCUGCUUGCUGAUAAGUUUUCCCUUUGCAAAUAGCUUCCAUGUGACCCAACUUGUGGCAUCUUCUGCACCUAGCAUUUGGCUUUCUCCAGCAAAUUUCUCCCUUACAAACUUCUCUGAACCAAUUCCAAUUACUCGUCAACCACGACAAAGAGGGACGUAAUUCAUUCUAAUGCAACAUAGCAGAAAAGCAUCACCUGAUUAAAUCCAUCACAAGGCAUAGUUUCCCAUUGGUCGAAUUUCUUCUGGUUUGCUGUCUUCCGGUACAUCAGAAUACUGCAGUUUACGCUCCCCUGUCCAACCACCCUGAUGCGCACAAGCAGAAACGUCAAAAGGAUUUUUUCAGCUAAAUUCAAACACUUAAAGGAGUUCAUUUAUCUUCAUCAAUUUUGAGGGAUUUAACGAGAGAAUAACAGAGGUUAUACACUGAAUCGCUAUGCUGUCAGACAUUCAUCAGCAUGACAAAGGAUGUUUGAAGGAGGGGGAAAUCAGGUUGAAAGCUUUUGAAACAACAAAGUUUUUUUAGUUGACUGAAUGGAUUUUGAUGAAGAAAUUCAACGCUCCACUAAAAUUUAUCAAGCCAGAUUAUUAAUACUCAUGUUGCAGUUGAUAAGACAUUUGAUUGAGGAGCAGUCCAGUCAAUUUUAACCAUCACGUGAAGACAGAAGGUAAGAUCGAAGUCAAAAAAUGCUUGAACUUCAUGUAUGAAUACUUGGAUCAUGUAUGAUGGCAUGAAAGCUACUCAAAUCCAUUUAUCUAAUUUUUCAUAAUGUGCCCUUCGACCUAAGAUUCAAUUUAAAGUGUCAGAAAAGGUAAAGGCUUAGCCAAGGGGUCCAUUGUAGCUUUAAACUUAUGCUUAUCUCAAAAGGAAGACUUAACAAGCUACAUUAAACGCAGUAACCAGCCAGAGCAUGUUAAAUGUAGGAUUAGCUUCUAUUUAUUUCCCCAGGCUAUGCAUUAUUGUAUUGAAGUCGCAGCAAUAAAAACCUACAUAUCCUACUUUCCAUUUGCAAAACGAAAAAUAACAGAGGAGUUUCCUAGGCCAAAGGAAAGUCCUUAUACUGCACUUUGAGCAUCGGUCGUUCCUUCUCACGGUCGCAGGGUGUAGAAAGAACUCCUCUGACCCCUGAACCUUCACUUUGAUUGCCUUGAUGACUUUAUCAUAAUGACAGCUGUUGAUAGUGGAAAGGAAGAUGAAACUUUAAAUCAUUUGAAUAUGAAAACCAAGAAUUGAAAAGAUAUGCAGUUUCUGAAAAUUAUUCCUUUAGUUUGAUCGUGGGAGGGAAGAUAAGCCUAAAAUUUCAGUGGCCAACCAGGAAAGUUCUGAUCUCACGAAUCUAAUUAAACACUCACUCUGGAGUCUCGAAACACAGAGUAUAUGCAGGAUUUACCGCUACAGUUGAUUUUGCCACUUGUCCCAGAACAGUGCUAACAGACAGUAGUCAUGAUAGAAGAAAUUAAAGAAUGGUACUUUCUAAUGAGAUAUUUCUUCUCCGAUAAAGAUCCCACAUCUAACUGCUCCAGCAACCAAAUGACAUGUAAAAAGAUGAUUUGGAAAUACCCAAAGAAAAAUCUUUUCCCUUAUGAAAUUCACUACUCAGGGAAAUUACCACAAUGGAAUGAAACUGCAGGCCAUCCGUAUGUCAUAGUCAGCCUUCUCAAAGCAACCCAAAAAUUUUGUAGUCAAAUGUCACGCACUGAAAUACCUGCAUAGUCACAACCUGGAAAAUGAAGUGCAACAGAAGGUUAUGUAGCCCUACCUUGCGACUUGAAACUGCUAUAAUGUUCAAGAUCAUCUGUAACCCUGGAGUAAGUUGACCUGUGAAAAUAGGUAUUGCUGGUUCUGCUAACAUGGUUACUUUAACAUUCUUGACCCAAGGAAGAUUAGCCACCACCUCAUUCACCCGCUGCUCAAACUGUCAAGCAACAAUAUCGCUGUCGAACUAUUUAAGGUUCAGAAAGCUGAUAUAUCGGGCAAAGACUCUUAUGAAACCAUAAUGAAGCAGAAAAUUUUUGCCUACAUUGGCUCCAUGGGUAUUUGGAAAUUGUACAUUCACAGAGAGAUUUAUGGAAGGAUGUCAAAACGAGGUGACAAUGGUAAAGUAAUUAAUGCAUGACACAGAACAUGUGGUGCACUGAGCAUGUAUUUGGUGAUUGAUCAAGCAACAAAGGUAAUUUACCAUGUCCUUGAUUGGACAUGCAUGUGCAGUGAGCUCUAACCAGAACAAAACUUGAGAAUCAAUGCCAAGACAUUGUAUGGUAAGGGUUUCAUUCCUUACAGAUAUAUAAAGACUAAGAUCCCAUAUUGAUUCUUUAAUAGCCUCUCCAAGAGCUUCAUCUGUCAUGAGGUCCAUAACAAAACCACAUGAAAAGGUCGGAUCAAUAAUUUGAGACAAGGCUUUAAGCAAAUCAACUCCAGCUGUCUGAGCCGAAACUGCAGAAGUACUCUACAACUACAAGAGCAGAUUCGCAGAAUGAUGUCAAGCUUAUAAGAUGAACAACUAUAAUUAUAAAAAGAGAAAAAAAUCAGAGGAGAAAAACGGUGAAAACUUACCAACAACUAACCAUUAAUUGGCGGCACACCCAGGACAGGCAAUCAUAUUUGGCUCUUCAUCGAUUAAGAUUUUUAGCACUAAUAUCCUUCUGUCUCUCACUCACGGCCAUUCAAAUUCUGUCUUGACAAGGGGUAGCCAAGAGUUGUUCAUUUGGGUGGGCUUCUCAAUAGUACAACGCAAGUGCGCAAAAGCAUGUGCGCACACACACGAUCGCUCUAACUUUUUCUGUUCAUGUAUUAGUUUCUUGGCAAUUCCAAAUAGUUUGACAGAGCAAGUCCCUUUUAUUUGGCCUACCAAAUAAACCUCCAAAAUUAUCUUCAUGGCAGAAAUGUUGGUCAUCUUCGCAGGGAGGCAGAUAUCUAUUAGUUGAAGCAGAGUGAUAUGAUGGCACGAGCCAACGAUUUUACCAUAAAACCUGACCCAUUUUUAGGAACUCACAACUCAAUAAGUAGCAGAUUAUUAUCUCCAAACAACAAUAAGUAGAGAAAUACUAAGGAUCGAACACGGACAGCUUUGCAAAAAAAGAAAAAAGAAAACUUAAUGUGAUUCAUUUAAUUGAAAAAAAUUCAAGAUAUUUGGCUUAAUAGAAAUCUCUUGACCGUACCAAUUGCACUCACUCCACAGAUCACUCUGUCAAAUUCUCGACAUUUCAUUGUAUGUUCUUGAAAAUAUUUAUGAGUUACUGGGUUCUCAUAUCUCAGAUAGAUAAGUAUCCAAACAUAAAAUAAAAGAGUGCCAUACGGGGUUUAUCCCAAAUAAAACAGGCACCUAAUAAUCAAUUGAUUGGAAUUAUUCUAUUUGCUAAUCCUCUCACAUUGCUUAUACUCUAGAUAGAGUAACGAGAUGAAUGGUGGAUUGAAUAGGGGGCACUAAUUCACCAACUUCCAUGGCCGACGGUGUGUGAUUGCGAGAGAAUGUCCACAGUUGGUGCACUUGGGAGUUCGACCAGACCGUCAAAGCGGCAUCGUUGAGGAAAUUUUGUGGAACUUGACAACUGAGGCAACUUUCAAGUGUGAGUAGACAUUUGAUGCCACAAAUGGGUAGACAGUCACUCGCACACCUUGCAAGCAUGUCGAUCUCCCACAAAGAUUUGCAUCGUCCAGUUUUGCGAUGCCUUAGAAUCACAACAUUCAUAUAGCAGUCGUUCCAUAGGAAAGAGCAGUUCCAAGGACUUACAAUCUAAAAAUUGCCGAAGCACAGAUUCUUUCACUAACUGCUUGGGAAAUAUAUCGGAUGGAUUAGAUAUAAGGAGAGUGAGCGAAAUACUGCUCUCCAGAGAUGUUUCAUCAUGCCCUGAACGAAAUCACGUGUAAGACCACUGUAGAUAUCAAAGAGGUCGAGCAAGGAUGAGUUGCAAAAAAAAAUAUUCAGGGCCAUACCUCCGAAUGAUCCUUUCACUGAAUGUGGCCGUUGGAUGUCGACCUGAUGUCGCUAAAGCUUUCCUGAACAAAAUUUACAGUUUCCCCAACAGUAUCAUUUAGACAUGCCAAGAAGUGACCUCUCCUGAUGAUCAGGUCACUGAAUUUGACUCCAGGUAACCCGGUCAUUCUUAGAGUGAGAAAGUAUUUCGCUCCAGAUAUUGCAGUAAAACUAAUACACUGCAUGACACAGGAGCUACCAUUUUUCGCCAGAAAACUUCGCAGCCAUAAGAACCAUCUUGAUGGCAAGCAAACACAUCAUUGAAGUUUCCAACACUUGAAAAGAAUAUCGGAACAGGAGGGCCUUGCUAAUUACAAAAGUUUGCCAAACUCGACCUCCUUACACCUUUACUCUGUAUCAAGUAUCGUGACACACUAAGAUGUUUCUGACUUUUUACAUAGGGUCAACCCUUCUGUACACUCAUGCCAGUUUGUGCCCACAAGCAUUUGCAUUUUAUGGAUUGAAUCUUGUUGCUUUUAUAUCUGAAACAGAUUAAGUCUGUUUUCCUCGCUAUAUCCCCACCCGACAGAGUUUCAAAGGAACUAUCAGCUGUCGGAAACUGAGUAGCUUUGUGCAUAAGAUUUUUGAAUAAAAUCGCGAACAAUCUGCCGUAUACAUUAAAAGGCGAAAAUGCAAAUAGAUGAAUUGCAUGAAGAGAUAAUGAAGAAAAAGCAAGCAAGAGUCCUAGCAGCGCAAUGUCGCUUUCCUAAAAUAGAGCCGUCGACGAAUCAUCAGAAGCAGCCAAUACUCGUUGAGCAGAGUUAAUUGUGCAAGAAUCGUAGUUCAGAUUUCUCAACAACCAAAUAAUAGCAGUUUAAACUUUAACAACCAGGAGAUUGAUGGAAGCAACCAAUCCCUCAGUUGUUCCAAAAUUAAUGCUAAGCAUUGGUGUGAAAGGGCAUCGGAAGAGAAUCUAUGCGACCACAUGUAGCAAUAGUUCUCUAUCCUUUUAGAAUGAAUAUGUACGCAGUAAGAUUGAAUAUCAGGCAUUCCUGACAAGAAGACAGAACUUUCCAAGAGGAUAAAAGUCGGGGGUCUAAAGAGGUGGCAAGCAAAACAAAAUUCACAGAGAGCACAUUGAACGUCUAGAUCUGUCAAUGCCUAUAUUUGACUAAAGCACAAUAAACCUAAAACAAAAUGGUUAUUCAACUAAAGGGAGCAUUUAGACAUAUAGGAGUAUGAUGCGGGUGUUGCUUCUGGAAAUGAAUUGUCUGGAAUUACACGCCAUGCUCCUCCGGUGGUUGUAGAUUUCCAGUGAGGAAAAAAUAAAGAUCCCUCUGAAGUUCAUUUUUCAUAUCCUCCUUUGAUCAUUAGCAAAUCUACUUCAAUAGCUAAGCGAAUCUUACUCAGAACACAACACUUUUUGCUUUCUGCAGGGCUGGGAAUUUCAGAGUUACGCCCCCACAUAAUAAGAACGUCUUUGAAAUUUUCAUUCAUUUUUGUGUUUUGCGCGUGUUCAAAGUACACAAACAGAGAACCGAAUGUAAAGUAUAGAGCAUAUAGGCGAAGAAGCCUCGAAGUCGGUGAUUUCAUCUCAAUUGACCGUAGCUCACCGGUGUCUCAAAUCCCAGCGUUUUACUUGUUCACGGCUACCAUGUCCAGCUGCUGCCGUCUCGACCUCCAGUGCAGCAUCACAACCUCUGGCGACCCCUCGACGACAGCUGACAGUCAUUGGAAUAGUCUCUAGUGUGCUUGGCCGAGACAAAUGGCUGAUCGCUCUUUUGUGUAUUAAUCUUCUCAGCUCGAUCAUGUGAGUUCGGCAGGCAGGGCUUCUGGAGGCCCUCCUCGAGCACUUCUGACCACAACACCACGCAAGUAAUCACUAAUCCAUAACUGUACUAACUUGGAGAACCAAUUUGAACGCAAGACCAGAAUUAACACAAGUAAAUAUGCCAAAGAAAUAAUUUUGACCACUCAGCAGCUUCAGGGAGGGGCUCUAUACUUGCAGGAACGGCGUUUCCACUCAAAUCUGGUCUUCACAUCGUGAUCGAGCGCAAAUUCCAGUCAUCUCGGAGUACGGCCGGAACUUCCCACCGGCUUCCUAAAUCGCAACCAGAACUCAAUCCCGAGUCUCGCCUCUUUCGAUUCAAUUCAUCACAGGGAUUCGAAUGAUGCGAAUCAAUCAUCGAACGAACUAGGGUUCUCGAUUUUGGGGGCUCACCGUUCCGUUGAUUUUAGCGCCGGCGUUGGGGCUUCAAGGCGUAGUCGUUCUGGUACGGGCCACGCCGAUUGCUCAUCUUCAAUAUGUCAUCGACUCUUCUUCUUCCUCUUCUUCAGUGAACUCUUUUUGGGAAAUCUGGGGUGACACUUGCAUGCCGGUCGGCCAUCGAAGAAUUGGACCGUCGGCGUGCUGGCAGUAUAAUUGAGACAAAGUCGGCAACUUCACAGAGCCCUUCGAGAAAAUCAUCUCUGGGGAUAAAAUUCAACUUCACAUGCAUUUGGUAUAUCAGGCAACUUUUGCACUGAUUCACAAUAGUAUACUCUCAACGACCGUAGCUUCUCCAGCUUCGGUGAAGAUGGUUCUGAUUCCAUCUCAAGUAGUUGCGGGCAGUACUCCACGCUCAGCACUCGGAGCUCCUUUAAGCUCGCUAGAUUGGAUAGCCUCACGAGCCACUCGCACUUGCGCACUUGCAGCCGCCGGAGAUUCUCUAGCUGUCCAAGCAAGUUGUCGAACUCGAUCUCUCUUAACUGACAACCGAAGAGCUUUAAUUCACACAAAUUGCCCAAGUUAGAGAACAAAGGCCACUCUAUUGGUGUUUUGACAUCUUCUAAACACAACUCUUCCAAACAGGACGGAAGCCCAGUCAGCGACCGUGGGUCUCGACAAGUUAUUUCCAGUGACCGCAGCUGAGAAAAGGAGCUCAAAUCUGUCGGAGGCAAGUUGAAAUCGGAAAGAACCAGUCUCAACGUCUGCAAUUCAUGAAGCCUUCCAAGCCACUCUAGUUUCGGAUACUGCCUGCAAUAGAAAGAGUAUGCAAGAGAAAGAAGAGGAAAAGAAGAGCGGAGUCCGACUGAAAGAAACAAAAAAAAUAAAGAGGGGAGAGAGAGUCUGCAUGGGAGGUCAGGUACUGCCUGCAACGGCAAAGACGAUAGCUCUAGCUUUGUUAAACUUGUCGGGAGAUCUGGUAGCGACUGAAGCCCGCUACAAUUCGUUAAAACAAGUUCUCGGAGAUCAGAAAGCCCAUUGAUUGUCGUUGGCACUCCACUAACCUUGCUAUGGGACAAGUUCAGAACAAUCAAUUGGGAUAGUCCUGCGAUUUCACUUGGAAUUUCACCCUCGAGAUAAUAACAGCCUCUAGCAGUCAACUCCUCAAGAUUCUCCAGGGUCCAUAUGCUCUUUGGUAGCUCUCUUAUCUUCGUUCGAUCCAAACACAUGAACUUCAACUGUCUAAGGUUGCCAAUAGAAGUAGGUAAUUCUGCAAUAUUUGUAUGAGAUAGAUCUAUUUUGAUUAGUGAUUCUAGUCUUCCAAUGGAAUCUGGUAGUGCACUUAUAUUGGUGCUAGACAAAUUCAAAUAGAGGAGCGAUUUCAACUCUCCAAUGGAAUCCGGAAGCUUUCCAAGGUUGGAACAACCACGUAGAGACAUAUGCUUUAAACCCAAUAACUCUCCUAUUGAGUGCGGAAGUGCUUUAACCUCAUUAAGACAUUCCACUGUCAGCAUCGACAAGGAUUUCAGACAACCAAUUGAGUCUGGUAAGAGAGGAGGAGGAACGGUAAUUGAAAGAUCACACUUAGAGUGCAUUGUGUGAUGGGACUCCUCCUCACUGAUUUCCCAAGUACUUCAAGCACCCCAGCUGACCAAUAGAGUUGUUGAUUUCAUUCAAUAAUAUACAACCUUUGAUAACCAAUCUUUUCAAAUUCAUGCAUUUGGAGAAGUCAGGUGUCCUCUUUAAGUGGUUGCAGCUUGUCAGAUAUAUCACUUUUAGGUUAUCAUUCACCUGUGAAACAAACAGUUAUUGAGGAAAACGAUGGCAUAGGUGAAGGUCUACUCAAUGUGACAAAUGUGUACACACAAAGGAAAAAGAAUGUGUUAUACGGAAUUAUACCAUGCAUGGUCCCCAUCCAUUCCAAUCUUCAGUAACGUCGCUCUCUGAAAGCUUGAGAAUGGCCAAGUUCUUUAGACAUAAACCGUUGGCAUGUAGGUUUGAAGGGCAAUGAUGCCAAGAGAGCCAUCUUAGAUUUGAGAGAAGAUUUUUAAAGUCUCCUACAAAAUUCCCCCCCUCUAAUUCGAGGAACCUUAAACUAGGCAGCCUUGAAAAUUCGUCACUUGUAAAAUUGUGCGCAUAGGCAAGUCUUGAGAAUCUAAGCGCUACAAUGUUGUCUGUUCCCUGAUAAUUGAAGCAACAUAUACCAAUAUGAGUGAACAAGUCAGAGUAAAUUCUAAAUAUCAUAAUAGGGAGUGUAUAUCUUAUUUCAACUAAUAGAGGUAGAAGAACAACAAGAGUAUCACAACUUUUAUACGGCGUUCACUUAAUCGACCACUUGAGUGUCAAUUUCGACAAAUCAUCCUAUGUGCAUUUUUAAUUUUUUUUUAAAGGGUUUACAAGGGUCACCGAUGACCCUCGCCAGCCGCUAAAUCCUUGCCUUUAGUCGCAAAGGCCUUGGGCGAGGUCGUAGCAACCUUGCCGAUCAUAGGUGAGGCCACAAAAGCCCUCACCAGAUUUGGGUGCCGCCUCACCCAAAUUUGGCGUUUUGUGGCCCAAGGCCUUCGCAACUAAAGCCGAGCAUUUCGCGGCUGGUGAUGGUCACUGACCCUAAAAUAAUAAUAAUAAUAAUAAUAAUAAUAAUAAUAAUAAUAUUAAUAUUAAUAAUAAUAUUAAUAUUAAUAUUAAUAUUAAUAUUAAUAUUAAUAUUAAUAUUAAUAUUAAUAUUAAUAUUAAUAUUAAUAUUAAUAUUAAUAUUAAUAUUAAUAUUAUGAUCACUAUUAUGAUUAUUAAAUCUAUUUGAAUUACUAUCUGCAUUGUUGGAAUUUCCAUCUGGGCAAUUUCUCGAUGGCGCUCAAGUGAUCGAUUUUUCAAAUUUAUAGUACUCUUCAAAUUUAUAGUACUCAGGUAAGCAUCGUACGAAAGUUAGGUGCCCCUAUUAUUCUACCUCACCAAUAGAUGACAUAAGUGAUCCAGCAAAACGAGGCACAUUAGAUCUUAUCUUAUACCAAAAAAGGCAAAUUCCAUGAUUCCUUAUCUCUUCCAGCUUAGAUGGGAGUUUGUAAAGGUAAAGAAUUACCUAUUUUGGAAUGUUGUUUUAUUUCUCUCAAAUUAAGCAAAAUCGUCAAUGUCCUUCCUAGGAACAAAACUGAGCAAAUAUUUUUGGUGAAAAAAUGAACUCUAAUACACAUAACUGCAUGUUUAGUUUUUCCAUAAGCAAAUAACAUUUAGUAAGACAUACCCGAGUUAUUCUCAACCGCAUUUAAAGUGACCCGUAGGAUACUCUACGCAUAACUGCAUGUUUAGUUUUUCCAUAAGCAAGUAACUCUCAGUAAGACAUACCAGGUUAUUCUGAACCACAUCUAAGGCGACUGUAGGACACCACAACCUACUACGCCUUCCAGGAACUCGAACGCAUUCUUGCCGAACAAUCUCUCUUCCAAGAUCUCUGAGUUGGUCGUGCAUCCAUAAUCUAUCACCCUCGGUGAGCUUUAUCAAAGAUAAAUGAAUAAGGACACGAAGUCCAGUUUCUGGAAAAAAAUCACAAGCUUUCCACAUGUAAUAUGCAGGGAUUUUUUCUUCACCAACACAGUGACAUGCGAUAUCAAGAAAAAUUUGUUGUUGCUCAUACUCUAAUUCUUUGUAACUUAUCAACAACUUGUUUUGCACAUCCUGAUUGGGCACUUUCUUCAACUUCUUUGAUGUGUCUUUCCAUGUUCUCUUACUUUUUGAAUGAAGAAACACACCUAUAACCUCAAGAGCCAAAGGUAGUCCUCCAAUAAAUUUGACAAUUUCACUUGAAAUACUGCUGUAAUCAUGUGGAGGUGAGUCUCUUUCGAAGGAGUGCUUGCUAAAAAGUUGAAGAGCAUGGUCAAACUGCAUUUCCUUCAUUUCAUAAAAAAAGAAAUCUCGGUAACGCACUGGGAUGAUCUUGUUAUCUAGGGUGUCUAUUUCAGGAGCCAAAAAAUGGGUGUUCCUAGUUGUGAUAAUAAUUCUGCUUCCUGAACCAAACCAACUGGACUUACCAGCUAGUUUCAUGAGCUUGCUUCUCUUGUCCAAAUCGUCAAGAACGAUGAUGACUUUCUUAUAAUUGAGUCUUUCAUUAAUGACAUGCAUCCCCGCAUCGGCAUUAGCAACAUAAGGAUAUGAAAAAUCGGCACCAGUAGCAUAAGGAUAUGUAAAAUGGAGAAGGUCGCAUAAUAAUUUAUUUUGCAGACUUAAAAUAUUGUCUGCACGGAUAUCAGAAAGAAAGCAGGAACAUUGAAACUGAGAAGAGAUAUGCUUGAAGAUAGCCUUAGCAAGAGUUGUUUUCCCGAUACCACCCAUACCAUGAAUCACGACAAAUCGUACAUCGGGAGUGCCUAGGCCUAACAACUCCAUAACAACGUCCAUCUGAUAGUGAAUUCCCACCAAGUCAUCAUGCCAAUUUGUCUGUAAAUAUCUUAGCUUAUUGAAAACUUCUUCCAGAACAAGUGCUAUAAGUUUAUCCAGGCUGCCAUAUACACAACGCAACCAUCUCAAUUUGAGGAACCACAAAUAGAAUAUGUCGCACAGAAGUAUAAAUAUGUAAAACCAAAAACUUAGAUUCUUAAAAUCAAGCAUGAAUUAUCGGUCUAUUUCAUAUUCGGUCUACCCCAAGCCGAGAAGAUUGAUCUCAGUUACUGAGAACAAUGGUUGGAUUUUGGGGUGGAAGGGCCAGUUCUAAAGAGUAUUUAGAUGGUCAAUCAGCAAGGUUCUAAUGGGCCAUGUGGCCAUCGAAAGUAGUUCAGUAGCCCAAGAGCCCAAACGGCCCCAAAAUUUUUUUUUUUUUUUUUUGAUUCGUACCAGGCUUUAGCAAACGGUGAAGUUUGAUCGAAUCACAAGUCAUAUAGGAAGAGUAUUCUUCCGCGGGCCAACUUUGAAGAGGAAGUUAAUGCUCUAGUGGGGGAGUUUGUGAAACCAAAGUCAUGGGUAAAAUUCAUCAAAUGAUUUCAGAGAUUCAAUUGUAAUAGGAAUUAUAACUAAAAGGAGCGAUGUAAUAAACCGCAUGCAAAAUUGCAGUCAAUGGAUUGGUUAAGAGUUCUAAACAUUUAUAUGCGGAUGCAAUGAAGGACUUUUGAAAACCAACAAGGUAAUUUGCACUGUUGUAAUCUAACGCGGAAGCUAAAUGGAUCUUUCUAUUAAAUCAAUACGAAAUUACUAUAGAAAUAAAUGAGGAGUAAUAAAGAACACCAAAAAAUUAUUUGAUUCGAUAUGAGUAUCGGUAUCUAAUUCAUAGGGAGAGCCAGCAAUAAUUAACACUACUAAUUGGAGAAUCAAAGUUACAAUUGUUCACACGCUCGAAUAUUUCUCAUACCUAAAUUAAGCCCAAAGCAAACCCACUAGUAUUAUCCAAAAUAGGAAACCUUUAUAUAUAUAGGAAACAUAAUCAAAUUAGAAAACUUGUUCAAACUAGAGACAUAUUCUUAACAUGCACAACUAUUUUCCAUUGAUUUGAGAGAGAGAGAGAGAGAGAGAGAGGUUGAUGCAUAUAUUGAGUUUUCAUGGUUAUGAAACCGCAAUCUAAUUUUAAAAAUGAAAGUGUAUAAGUUGUUAUUAAUUACCCAUGAUCUUUUAAGUUCCAUCCCUUGAUUCCGGCAACCUCUUUGAGGGCCUCCUCCCAUUUCUUCAACGUAUCUUCACCAGAUUCUCUCUCAUGCUUUUGUAGGGCCUUACCGUACAAUCCAGUUUUGAGUUUAACAUCUGAUGCAUCCACCUCGUAGAAGAUGGGCAAGACCGCUUUCUCCUCUCUCUUCCUACACUCCAUCAUGUACGCAAGCUCACGGAGACACCAUUUACUGGAAGCAUAAUCUUUGGAGAAGAUCGGUACGUAGAUUUUCGAAUUGGAGAUUGCUCUCAAAAGCUCACCUCCAAUCUCUUCCCCAACACGGAGCUCUUCGUCAUCUUUGAAGACGCGUAUCCCAGCCCGGAUCAUGGCCGCGUAGAGAGAGUCUGUGAUGGUUAAGCGAGUGUCGGGCCCUCUGAAGCUCAAGAACACCUCGUAGUCCCUCCUCGACAAUGACGAGGAUUCACCAUUAAUGGGGGGAGACUUUCCUCUGAGACAUUCCAUUCCUGCGGAUCUUUGGCUAUCGAAGCGAUCUCAAGCUUUUUGCUUGUUCGAAAUUGCGACUUUCCAGUUACCUUGCGUUGUUGGCAAUUUCUAAGAGAAACGGUCGACUGACUUAAUUUGUCCUAAAAGAACUGUUCACUGAUUCAGGCUCCUCGGGAUAGACAGGAGAUGCAAAGAAAGAUCACUUUUGCACGCUUCCACGAAAUCACGACUCCUUUUUCCAGAGGGCCAUCGCUCUUCGCAGUGUUUUCCUGGAACCUACCGGAGUUGAUUUGUGGAAGUCUUCGAAUGUAUUAGAAAAUUGAGCCUAAUUUCCUGAAAAACCAUCGAUUUUCAGUGGAGCAUCAAAGCAUGAGAGGCAUUUUUCUAUAAGCAAGUGAUGGAGCCCAGUAGGAAUUGAAAUAAAAACUGAAUGAACCCGUGAGUGCAAAUAAUAAUGCCCUUUCACUUUUUCUAAAGCCACUUUAUUUUUUCCCAUUUUUAGGUUGUCAUGCCAUGGAAUAAAGUGCGUUGGACAAACAGGGAGUCAGAGAAAAUAGGAAAAAGAGAUAGACUCCCUGAGUCUUCGUCUUCUCUUUAUUUAUCAAGGAAACUUCUGAAAAAUAUGAAAUGAACCCAAGUGAUGUAGGUUUUGUAUGAAGUGAGCAUGAAACGCGGAGACAGACAGUAGAUUCAUUAUUUUUUAAUCUGACAAACAAAAGCUCUAGAGAAACCACCGCCUGCGGUGGCUCAGUUGGAUAAGGUUCUGCUGAUCCUUUGCGAGGAGGUGAGAAGUUCGAAUCCCGCUGGACGCACGGGAUCUUAAGCGCGACGUCGGGGUGGUGGGUCCUCCGCUAGAGUCGCUCCAGGGUUUACCCGCCGGCCGCCAGCUGUACGGGGUUCCCUGGGUACCAUAAAAAAAUAAAAGCUCUAGAGAAGAUUGAGUCAAUUGUAGAGGUGUCAAAUGGGUGGGUCGGGUCGGGUUUGGGUCAGAUCGUUAAUGGGUCGACCUAAAUUGAUCCAUUAACCCAUUUAUGACCCAUUUAUAUCUAAUGUAAAUUUUUCGACCCAUACUCGACCCGACCCAUACCCGACUCAUACCCGACCCGACCCAUAUUAAUAAAAUAUUUUCAUAUUUAACUAAAUUUAGGAAAACUUAUUCUUAUGUUUUUUUUUAAAGAUUAUAUUACUAAAAAACUUUCAAGUAAUACAAAUCCAAUCAAUAAUUUUUCAAAUUUUUAUAAUUUUCAAAAAAAUUAUUUCUUAUAUAUAUAUUCAAAAAAAUAGUAUUGCUAAAAUAGUUUUAUACAACACAAAUUUAAUGGACAAUUUUUAUAAUUUUUAAAAUAAUUAUUUUAAAAAAUCGAAUUUUAAUUAUUUUUAUUUUUUAAAAAUUAAAUUUAUUAUUAUUAUUAUUUAAAUAUAAUUUUUAAUUUUUAAUUUUAAUUUUCUUUUUUCUUUUUUGUUCUUCUUCUUCUUUGGCCGGCCGCCGGCCAUGACGACAGGCGGCAGCCGGCCAUAGGCGAGUCUCGAGCUCGCCCGUCUCGUCGACGCCGGCGAGCUCGUGGCUCGCCAGAUCCGGCGAGCUCGAGCUCACCCCUCGCCGGACGUCGGCGAGGCCUCCACCUCACCAAAUCUGGCGAGCUCGAGGCUCGCUCCUCGCCGGAUCUGGCGAGGCUCAAGUCUCGCCAGAUCGGCGAGGCUCGAGCCUCACCGGGUGUCGGCGAGGCCUUCGUCGGGCAUCGGUGAGGCCUCCACCUCGCUAGAUCCGGCGAGCUCGAGGCUCGCCUGGCCGGUCGUCGUGCCGGCGACCGGAGGAAGAAGAAAGAAAAAAAAAAGGAAAGAAAAAGGAAAAAAUAAAAAAAUAUUUAUAACUUCGGUUUUUAUAAAUAAAAAAAAAAUUGUAAAGUUAAAGAGAGAAAAGAGAGAUUGUGAGGUUUUGAGUGAAAAUAAAUGGGUUCAUUUUUAAUGGGUUGAUAAAUGGGUUUUAAAUAGGUUAGAGAGCUUACUCAUUUAAGAUCCAUAUAUCUCAGUCUUAACCCAUUAAAACCCAUUAUAGGUGUUUUAGGAAAUAAAGCUUGACCCAUUAACGACCCAUUUAACCAUAAAUGGGUUAAUGACCCAUUUUGACACCUCUAGUCAAUUGGAACAAUACCUGUCAUGUGUUUAACAAAAUUAAACAUCAGCAAAUGCAUUCCUAGUCUUUGCUCAAGUCCACGUUGUUGGUAAGAUGAGAUGGUGAUGGGAGUCCUUUAAAAUUAAGUGAAGAACUAACAUAGAAAGACCAAGACUUCUUUUAAGCCUAAUAAAAAAAAAAUCCCUCAAUAUUUUUUUGCAUCUUAUUUAGUCAUAUCAUCAUCGUGAUGACCUGCUCUCAUCUAAUAUCCAGCCCUACCAGAAAUGCUUUAAAAAGGACUCUCAUCAUUGCUGAAAAAAGAUGAAAAACUCUAUGAGCAGAUGGUCUUGCAGCCAAAAUAAUUGGAAAACACCGGUAGUUGCAAAAGUUGUUCAGUUGGAUCCACAUAUUCCAUGGCAUUAGUUCAAAUUCCUGCUACAUAUCAAACCUUCACAUGAACGAUUCUAUAGUCUUUGGAUAUCGUGUAAAAGGAACUAGGACAAAUGGUGAUUCAUUCCAAUGACCUGUUUUGAAUGCGGAUGUCGAAUUCGGAGCAUGUUCAACUCAUUAGACCAAGUGAAAGACCUCAUAAGAGCUUGUGGAACAACUUUAUACAAGAAUUACAGACUAGGAAUGGCCUAGAAACCAAAUUAAUUGAUGUACUUAUAAGAUUGGUAUACCAUCCUAGACAUUAAUUAAUAGAGGAAGUUUGCUCGAUCAAAACUGCAGUUAAAAAUCCUUCUCGUCAAACUCAUAUCUAUAGCUUUUGCGAAACUACAUAUACAAAAUUUGUUGGCUUCACAUCUAUCUAGUAUUUUGCCAAUUUUGCAUAAUAGAAUGUUUGUUUAGCAUGUAGUCUUGUUUGGCACCUGUCCAUUUUUUUAAUUGCAUUCGUGUUCGAGGACAGCAUGCCCACAUCAAAUAGUAAUUUAGGUGAGAUCAAGAAUCUUUAACGAUCCGGCCAAAUGCGCGAGCUGCCCCGAAACUUCCCCUUCUCCCUCUCUCAUUCGAACUCUCUUGGUCUUGGUUACAGGGCAGCGAAAGGAAAAUGACUGAAUCCUCUCGUCGGCCGCUUGCCCCGGUGUUUUUCUUUGCUCCUUCACAGAUAGCGCGAGAGGCACGCCCACUUUGUCUUGAUUGCAAUGUGUACUCCGGGGGAAAAGACCUUUCUUUGGGUUCAGUUCCUUCUACGUUUUUCCGGGAUCUGAGAAAUUCCCAAAAGCAAAUGAAACCCGUGUGUCCGCACCUUUUUUGGGGACGCGUGUGAUUCUUUCUUUCGCCCCCUGCUCUGUCCAUCUUUCUUUGACUUUUUUGUCGGAAAAACCGAAGAGAUAUAUAUAGUCAAAAAGGGGGAAAAAGAGAGAGAGAGAAAGCAGAGGAUUCGGCGGAUAAGAAUAACAUAAGCGGGAAGAGGACGCAAUAAGGGCAAGUGGAAAGGAAAAGAAAAAGGUAACCAAAGGAGAGAAAACAGAGAGGACGGGGGAAAGAGAGAAAAGAGGAGAGCGUUAGGCGCAUGUGAUGUCUAGAAGGAGCGCUCACAAAGGGAAAACAGAAAACGAAAGAACAGAGAGGGAGAGAGAGAGACGAUUGGAUUUUUCUUUUUCUUGGUCUAUCCCUGGUUCGGGGAGUCCGAGAGAAAACAGAGACCAAAAAAUAGAGUGGCAGGGAGAGUAAUCGGUGAGCAUUCAUUGCCGUGAGUGUCGCUAGUCAGAGUUCUUCAAGUUGCUUGACAAAGCCAGCUGCUCUUUGUUCAAUUCAUUUGCAUAUGGCGUUUGUUGUGAUUUGGUCCGAGAACUUAUCCCUAAAUGCAUUUGCAAACUAAAUCGAGGACAUGGAAUGACUUGUGUGAUUUAAACCAAAUUUGAAUUUUUUGUGUUUGGUUCGAUUCUUCGUUUCUCGUAAGUAUUUUUGAAUGUCGUUUUUACUUAUCCCUAUAGAAUGAUAAUGAUUUGAUUGCAAUCCUAGCCUGUCAGGAAAAGAUGUGAAAUAUCAACACGGACUUGGCGCAAGUCGCACCUCGUUCACUGUGCUGCUUGUGCCUCUGUCCAAACCAGUUCUCAGCUUGCACAGUGGGCGAGCCUUCAGUUCACUGCAAUUUGAUUCGAAUCAAUCAUCGAAAAUUCCCUCAUUCAUGUCUAAUCUACCGUUUUGUUUGUGAAGGUUUAUGCUAGUAAUAUUAGAAUUUAGAGAAUGUGGUGUAUGAUGGAUUAAUUAGUUUGUGGUCUUAAUUAGUUCAUAAUAUAUGAUGGUUUGAUAUGUAUAUGCAAAGAGGUGCAAUAAGUCGUAUUUGAUUCAUUUACCAUCUCUGAAGCGGGAACCUAUGGCGUCAUGACGACCUAAUGUUCAAAUCCUUCUUAAUUUGUUGUUCAUCAAGCCUCCUUUUUUCUUUAGGGCCAUCGUUUUUCGCGGUAUUUUCUCGAAAUCUAUUUGAGUUGAAUUGCGGAAGUCUUCAAAUGUGUCAGAACUCGAGCCUUCCUCGAAAAAGCAUCGAUUUUAGUGGAGCAUCAAAGCAUGAGAGGCAUUCUUCUAAAUGCAAUGAUGGUGCCCAGUAGGGCUAAACGGCCAGCUUUGUGCAAGUAAGAAUGCCCUCUUGCUUUUUCUAAAGCCACUUUUCCCCCUUAUUAGGUUGUUUUACGAUAGAAUAAGGUGCAUUGAAUAAUAUUUUUACCUUGAGAAAACAGAUUCUCUGAUGUGGAAUAUCAUAGCAUGGGUCAUCAAAAGCCAAUUCAUGUUGGGAAUGUGAUGAUGAUAUGAUUCUAGUUGUUCAUAUUCCACUAAGUCCAGACCAAUUGAGUUCACAAGACGAUCAUAAUUAGGGUCACGAAGAAAUCAGGAUCAAAUCUCUCCUAUACUAUUAAUGAGUGCCUCUUAAGAAAAAUGUAGAAGUCAAUCAUUCAAAACCCAUGAUUUUGAGGUAUGUUACCUCGAAACUCAAUUUGAUUUGGCAUCUUCAAAACUAAAUUAUACAUUGUUGAUAUCUAAUUUUUGACUAAAUACUUAAAAUUAAUUUGCAUAAGAAAAUUAUGGAUCAAUUUGACCCUAACAAAAAUAUUUUUUGCAUCAAUUAGGUUUUAGUUUUUAUUUGCAUCCAUUAAGUUUGUUUUCUUUUUUUACCAUAUUUUCGAAUUAUAAAAAAAAAGGGGAGAGGGCCACGCGGGUUGGGCCUCCACGCCCAGCCCUCCUUCUUCUUCCGCGUGGGCCAUCCAGCCUCUUCGCAACUCGGCCCAGCCCCCGCCUCCUGUCUUCUUCUUUCCUUCGUUUCUUCCCUCCUUCGCCUCUGUGCCUCACGCGCAGAGGCCGGUGACGCGCGCAAGGACGGCCUACGGCGGAGAGAGAAGGGGUAGGCUGGCAGCGGACGGGACGCGCCUUCAAAGCGGAGCAAGUGGGCGGCUGAGGAGACGCCGGUUCGGCCGCACCAAGGCCGGUCAGCGUGCGAGGACCGGUGGCCAAAGCCUCGUCGACCGGCCUCCCUCUCGCCUAUAAAUAGGGCCUCCGACGAAGGCCAAAGAGGACAGGACACCGAGGAAGAUCGAAGGCACUCAAGCUCCGAAAGCUUCCCCCGAGAGACUUCAGGGGAGCCCCGAGAGCGAGCGAGCCUAGAUCUGAACAGAGGCGGCUUAAACCAGGGGAGAGAGGAGGCAGAUCGGAGGACCUCAUGGGCGGAGCAGGGGCUGAGCGAGCAAGCCCGAGAAGGAGAGGAGGUCCUGGUGGGAGAUCUGAGGAAGGCCGAUCGCCGCCCCUCUCACGGAUCAGAGUCGAAUUAACAACCGCGAGCUGAGCGUCGCAUCGCCUGUCGAUCUUGCCGCUGUUGUCCACCGCUCGCACGUCGAGCCCCAGUAAGAGGGCUCUGUUUCUGCCCUGCUUCGAACGGACCGUGCCGGAGCUCGUGUGAGCUUCGGACCGGGCCGUUCUUCUCGAUUCUGAGCCUCGCCAGGGUCGCCGUCAUCCCUACCACUGCCCAUCUCCGUUGGCGUACCCCCCCUCGAAACCCUAUCCGCCGCCGCGCCUCCUGCAUCUCGGUCCCGACUGGCCGAGCAACUCCGUGUUUGCUGUUGUCGUGUUGCGUCCCCCGACGCCGAUCCCGUUGAACAGCCGGCCACUACCGUCCGUUGCAUUGCCGCCGCCGUCGUCAACGCCGAGCUGCCACCCGGUGACGCCCCAGCCCCUCCAUCGGUGCCGCAGAUAGAUGGAGAAGGAGGAGACAUCGUGUCGGGUCAAGGCCGGGUCGGACGCGGGCAUCUCACCUGGGUAGGGUUCUAGCUGAUCUGGGCCAGCGUGCGUGAGCUGGCUGACUCUUGGGCCGGGCAUACCUUUUAAUAGAAAGUGGGCUUGGUUGGUUCGGGCUUGGAUUGUUCCGGGUCGGGCAACAGAAAAUACCUUCCACUGAAGCAGCCUUAGCUGCCGGGAAUUUCGAAACGGGCGGCUUGCGAAAUACCCCAUCUGGAGCUUUGAAGCCAUUGUUGCUGGAUACAAGAGCUGGUUGUCGAUGCUGUGAGGGAAUUCGCCGAGAAACACAGUCCUACAACAGAAAGGCCUAGGCGAUGAGACAGUGGCAGUGGCAGUGGCAGUGUCGGUUCAAUUAUCAUUGCAUGAAUUAGCGCAAAAGUUACCUCUGUUCGGUUGGACUUUUGAGCAGCAUAGGUAGAGAGAUGGAGAAGAAGAUGGGCACUGCAGGAGCUGCAUUUUCUUGAGAGAGAGAGAGAGAGAGAGAGAGCGAAGAGCUGAGAGAGCUCUUGCAGGAAAAAAUUAGAGGUGGCAAAUGCUUCGGAGCCUGGCGCUUCUCUGUUAUUAGUGCAAAAAAGCGCCAGCCUCAUGUUAACAAAAGAGGAGUUCGUUAAAAUUUAAAAGAGAAAAUAGAAGACCUUUUUUUCCAUCUAAAGAAACUAUGUUCCUUUGGACUUAAAUAAGAGCAAAAAAAAGUGCGCAUAUCUUUUACUUUUCCGUUCAAAAUUAAGAAUAUCAUUUAAAUUUUAAAAAAAUCUGAAAAAAAUGUAUGUGAAUCUAAGCUAUUUGAGUACAGAAUAAAUUUCAAGAAUAUCGAAGUUAAUUAAAGUCCAAAUUCAUAAGCCCUUAGAUUUAGAUUAAAUAAAAAGUAAAAGGUAAAAAUAAAUCUAGACAAAUCUUUUGGGUAUUGAACGAUUAUAUCUACAUUUAUAUGUUAUCUAUAUAAUAAUAGCAAUUGCAGACAUAAUUCUUCUAAUAACUUAUGUUAGUUACGACCAUCACUUCAACAUUUAAAUACAAAAAAGGACUCGCUUAAUUUUUUUUUAUAAAAUUGAAUAAGGAAAAAGUGAUAUAUGAUUCAACCGAUGCUAUUAUUCCACACUAAAUUUUUUUUUUUGACGGAAUAUUCCGCAUUAAAUUUAUAUGGACCUUUUUAUUGCCAUACUUUGUACAUGUGUAUUAUCAUAUAGGUAAAUCCUAAAUCAAAUUGAAGGUAAGUAGGAUUCAAUUAAAAAAUAAAGUCAAAUUAAUUACGUAAAAUAGUCAUUUGUAUGGCUCAUUAUAAAGUUUUUCAUGUACAACUCCUCACCAUCAUCUAUUAUUUUUCUUUUUUGUCUAUAUCAUCAUCUAUCAGUUUAAUUGCCAUUUAUCUCGAUCAGGUUUAUCCUCUUAGAUUCCUUGUCUCGACCAGCCUAAUCCUCUUAGAUUGCUUUAUGCUCUAGGCAUACUAAUGAGACGAAUGGUGUAUCGAAGAGGUACUAAUUCCCCAACGCGGAUCUUGAACGCACUAGACCUUGGCCCAAAUCCAUGGCCAAUGGUGUGCAAUCGCGAGAGCCGUAUAUUCAUAGUUGGUCGGAGCUCCACCCAGACCUUCAAAGCGAGAUCUUUGAGGAAAUCGCAUCAAACUUGACAACCGAGGCAACUUUCGAGUCCGACUCGACAUGGACGAUUGGGUCAUUGAAGAGGACUACAAGUAGCCCAGUCAAUUUUAUACUUGGAAAGUAGUUCGCUCUAGAUACAGCGCUAAACUAAGAUACCACAUAACACAGAACCUAUAUUUAUCAUCGAAAUUCAUGACCCUAAAAACUAUCCUGAUGGUAAAGAAAACACAUCGUUGGAGUUCCCAACGCUUGAAAAGAAUUUCGGAAUAGAAGGGUCUCAGUCAUCACAUAAGUUCCGCCAAACUUAAUCUGCCGAAAUAGAAUGGUUAUACUAAAGUGAGCAUACAUGCAUCCGAUUGUAUUGCGGGUUACUUCUGGAAAUUAAUUGGCUGAAAUUACAUAGCGUAUUUCUUAAGGUGGUGUAGUUUUCAUGUGAGAAAGAAAAAUCACUAUGAAGUUCAUUUUCAUUUCCUCCUCUUUUCUUUAGCAACUCUACUUCGAUAGCUAAGUGAAUCAUACAUAAGAAUGGAAUAUUUUUGCUUUCUACGAUGAAGGUUAUGCCACAAUUUGAAUUCCCAAAGGUAAGGACAUUUCGAGUUACCCUCCAUAUCACAUAUAUAUCCCCUAAAACCUUAAGAACAAAGAAAUAAAACUGGUUAGAUGAAUUGCCUUUCAAGUUUUCACCCAUUAGUUUUGGGAGUUCAAAAUAAAAUAAUAGAAAAUCGAAUAUAAAAAUAGAGCAUAUAAAGUAAGAACAAGAGCUGUAGCAAAUUACACCAAGAGAAAGAAAUAUUAUCCUCUCACACAACCUCUUGACUUGCAUCGUACACAGUAUCAUAGUCUAAAGAAUGACUACUCGCAUGACUUGAUGUUUCUUAACAAAGCUUAAAAGGACAAAACCAUCACACCCCAACUCUACAAAUAUAGGGAAAAUGGUAGGAUUGUCACCCUAUCCAAAGGACGAGUCUCAUACGCAUUACCAACAUUGACCUAUUAUCAAAAUAUAUAUUCAUUAAUAUCUCAUGAGAAUAAUAAACUGGUUACAUGACUAGAGUUUUAAAAUUCACAAAUAUAUAUUUCCAGUUACUAACAAACUAAACCCAAAAAGUACCAUUAUAGAUUAUAUGUAUAACUAUCUCAAGUCAUACCCAAAAUCCAAAUUCCUAAGAUUCCUCCGCUGAUGUAGCUUUGCUCCUAUUUGUUGACAGCAAAAAAAGAAUUGAGAUGAAUGGUAUAAGCAAACACCUCUCAAUAAAUAGUACAUAUCUCUUCUUGAUAAAUAGAGCAUCAAUUAUUCACAGUAUAAACAAUAACAGAAACACAACCAAAAUCAGUAUAUAAUAUAUGUAAAAGUCUAAAUAUGAGUUAAAUCACUUCAACAAUGUUUUCAAUAUACUAGAAUGUCACUUCAACAACGUUUUCAACAUAUUAGAAAAACACUCAUUCGAUCAAUAUUUAAGCAAAUAUUUGCAGUCUAGUCUAUUGAUCACUCUAGUACUUCAUAUCAAACUAUAGCCACGUUUAACGCCCCAUGACAAGACUUACCAAGAUAUCCUCCUAGGCGUAGAUCUCCACUAAUGUCAAUCGGUGGCUUUGGCCAUACAAGACAUCCUGAGAACAUGUACGCUUACUCAUAGCUCUUCAAUGAUUUGAGAUCAUAGCCACAAUAGGUUAAAACCAUUAACAUAAUCCUGUCAACAGCAAACCCAUUUCAGAACUCUUUAAUAAACCAGAGUAAAAAAUCGAUACAAUCCUUCACAAUUCCAUCCACAAGAAGAAUACAUUCAUGAAAAAUUUCUCAAACCAUUUCAUAAAUAAUAAAUUCUCUAACUGUUUUGGGAGAUAUCUUACUAUGCUAAUUCAAAUAACCAAAUGAGGCAGUAAAUGCAAGAUCCAGCUUCAUACAUAAAAGAUGUUCUAAACAUCAUUUUUAAAAAAUAAAUAAAUAUCAUAACAUGCAAUGUCUCAUUCAUAACUUAUAUAGCAUAUCUAAUUCCUGUGAUUUUCAAGCCGUGAGUUUACAAAUUAGAGGAGAUAAGCACCACUCCUCACUAACGAAAAGCUAAAUUAAAAGCUUGACUACCUAAAAAGCUUAAAAAAUCAUAUCAACGAAAGCAUUAAUCAAAUGUCAAACUUACAUAUCACUCACCUCAACUAAGAUUCUACUAGGCGAUGCUAAUUUCUAGAGUCAAAAUGUCCAGUAUGAGUCGAUGAAAAGGCCACACAAGCAUCAAACUUGCUACAGCAAAUAGAGCAGCAAUCUCGUCUUACCUUACAAAUUUUGGCAGGUCAUACAUCUCUAUUGAACUCCAUUGUAAGUGAAUUUACAGUCAAAAGAGAGCUCAUUCAAACUACUAAAAGAUCUAAAACUCAUUUGAACCAAAAUUGGCCGACAACUGAUGAAAUUCGGGACGAAACACUGCUAACGAUUCCUAAAACAGAGCAAAUAUCUUUGAUUUGAUUAGAUGUAUCAAUGUUUGGAAUUUCUUACCGAGUGGUUCAAAAUGGUAUCAAUCUAGCUCGUCGUGGCGUCCGAACCGAAUCGUACUAAAAGCCCCCUUCUGCUCACUCUCGGAUUCUCCUCUUCUUUGUUUUCUCGUUCUUUUGUUGACUCGACUCCCUCCUCUCUCUCUUUUCUCUGCUCUUGAUUUUUCUUACAAAUCAGCUCCGGAAGGGAACAAGAAAAUGGGCUAAGGGCUCUUGGGCCUAAAUUUUCUAUUUCAGGAGAGGCCAUCGUUGAGGAGGUGCGAUUCUGGCCAAGGAUCCCAAGAACCGUCUAACCUCGGACAUUUCGAAACAUUCGUAUGAAGUACAUUUGGGAUCUUUUGCAAUGAUUCACAAUCUCUAACCAUCAGCCACCCUAGCUUCUCUAGCUUCAGAGUAUCAAGGAUGGGCCUUUCUAUGGAUUCGCAAUUUCCAGUUGAAGACGGUUGGCAUUCGAUCUCAAUUAGUUGAGGGCAGUGCUCCACCAUCAGCAUUUGGUGCUCCUUUAAGCUCGAUACAUUGGAUAUCCUCACAAGCGACUUGCACUCACCCACAUCCAGAUGCCGGAGAUUCUUUAGCUGUCCGAGCACAUUGUCAAACUCGAUCUCUCUUAACGGACAGUCGAAUAGCCAUAAUUUAGACAAAUUGCCCAGGUUGGAGAACGGUGACCAUUCCCAUUGAGGUCUUCACAUCUCUUAAGGCCAAUUCGUCUAAACUGGAUGGAAGCCCAAUCAGAGACUGUGGGUCAGCACAAGUUAUUAUAAGACACCGAAGCUGAGAAAGCGCGCUCAAGUCAGUCGGGUGCAUGUUGGAAUCGGAAAAAACCACGCUCAAUGCCUGCAAUUUAUGAAGCCUUCCAAGCCACUCUAGGUUCGGAUGUAGAAUUCGUCCUCGUUUAAUUAUAGGCGCACUAUAAUUACAAUCACUUAUUGUUAGAUAAUCUAAAUUAGUGAGGUUUGAGAGGUCAGAUAUUGCCUGCAAUGAUGAAGACGUUAUAUCUAGGUAUGUUAAACUUGUGGGGAGAUUUGGUAGUAACUGAAGCUCCAUACAAUCUCUUAAAUCAAGUCGUUUGAGGUUAAAGAGCUGAUUGAUUGUCAUUGGUAGUCUACUAACCUUUGUCCAGGAUAAGUCUAAAAUCACCAAUUGGGAUAGUCUUGCGAUUUCACUUGGAAUUUCGCCCUCGAGAUCUUCACAGUGUUUGGCAAUUAGUGUCUCAAGAUUCUCCAGAGUCCCUAUGCUCUUCGGUAGCUCUCGUAUCUUAGUAUAAGACAAAUCCAUGAACUUCAACGGUCUAAGGUUGCCUAUAGAAUAGGGUAAUUCUACAAUUUUUUUACAAGAGAGAACCAAUCGGAGUAGUGAUACUAGUCUUCCGAUGGAAUCUGGUAAUGCACUUACACCGGUGUAUCCUAAAUCCAAAUGGAGGAGUGAUCUCAACUUUCCAAUGGAAUCUGGAAGCUCUCUAAUGUUGGGACACCAACGUAAAGACAGAUGCUUCAAACCUAAUAGCUCUCCUAUUGAAUGUGGAAGUUUUCUAACCCCGCCGUGAUAUUCCACCUUCAUCACUGACAAGGAUUUUAGACCACCAAUUGAGUCUAGUGAUAGAGGAACAGUUAGAAAAAUAUUUCUCAGUAGCAUAUGAUUUUUCCCAUCGAUAUCCAAAUACUUCAGGCGACCUAACUAAUUAGUAGAGCUAUUGAUUUCUUCCAAUCUUGUACAAUCUUUGAGAACCAGUUUUUUCAAUUUCAGGCACUUGGAGUAGUCAAGUAGCCUCUUUAAAUAAUUGCAGCUUGCCAGAUGUAUGACUUUCAAGUUAUUAUUUACCUAUAAAAAAAAAUUAUUGAGGAAAAUAAUGGCAUAGGUGAAGUCAACUCAAUCUAACAAAUGCAAACAAACAUAAAGGAAAAAGAAUGCAUUAUAUUGUACCAUGCAUGCUCUCCAUCCAUUCCAAUCUUCAGUAAUAUCGCUCUCUAAAAGCUUGAGAAUGGCCAAGUUUCGUAGACAUAAAUCGGUGGUAUGUAGGUUUGCAGGGCAAUGCCGCCAAGAGAGCCAUGUUAGCUUAGAGAGAAGAUUUUUGAAGUCUCCUACAAAGUUUCCCCCAUCCAAUUCAAGGAACCUUAAACUUGGUAGCCUUGAAAAUUCGCCACUCGUAAAAUUAUGCCCAUCAACAAGUCCUGUGAGUUUGAGUGCUUCGAUAUUUUCUGUUCCCUGAUAUUUCCAAAGCAACAAGUUAACAACAUGAUCGAACCAUUCAAAGUAAGUACUAAAUAUCAAAAUAGGGAGCAUAUAUCUAAAUUCAACUAAUAGUAAACAUGAGUGAACCAACAAAAAAAUGAGGCACAUAGAUAUUAUCAUAUGCAAAAAGGGGCAAAUUCCAUGAAUCCUUAUCUCUCCCAUUUUUAUGGGAGUCGUAAUGGUAAAAGUUAGUUCAUUUGGAAUGUUGGUCAUUUCUCUCAAAUUAUGCAAAAUCAUCAAUGUCCUAUAUACAAAAAUGAGUAAACAUUUUACGUGAAAAUGAAUUCUAAAUACACACAACUACAUGUUCAGUUUUUUCAUAAGCAAUUUACUUCUGAUUAAGACAUACCAGAUUAUUCUGAACCACUUCUAAGGCGACCGUUGGACACCACAACCUACUGCGCUUUCCAGGAAUUUUAAAGCAUUCUUGCCGGACAAUCUCUCUUCCAAGAUCUCUGAGUUGGUCGUGCAUCCACAGUCUAUCAUUUUUGAGUUUUAUCAAAGAUAAAUUAAUAAGAGCAUGGAGUCCAGUAUGUGGAAAAAAAUGGCAAGCUUUCCACAUGUAAUAUGUGGGGAUUCUUUCUUCACCAAUGCAAUGACAUGCGAUAUCAAGAAAAAUUUGUUGUUGAUUGUCAUCUAAUUUUUCAUAACUUAUCAACAACUUUUUCUGGACAUCUUGAUUGGGAACUUCCUUCAACUUUUUCAAUGUGUCUUUCCAUAUUUUCUUGCCUUUUGAAUGGAGUAAAGAACCUAUGACCUCAAGAGCCAAUGGUAGUCCUCCAGUAGUUUUGACAAUUUCAUGUGAAAUUUUGAUGGAGUCAUGUGGAGGUGAGUCACUUCCAAAGGAGUGCCUACUGAAUAGUUGAAGAGCAUGGUAAAACUCCAAUACCUUCAUUUCAUAAAAAGAGAAAUCCUGGUGAUAAAUAGGGACGAUAUUUUCAUCUAGGGCAUCCGUUUUGGUAGCCAAAAGAUCGGUGUUUCUAGUUGUGAUAAUAAUUCUGCUUCCUGAACCAAACCAACUUGACUCGCCAGCGAGCUUCAUGAGCUGGUCUCUCUCGUCCACAUCAUCAAGAACAAGGAUGACUUUCUUAUCAUUGAGCCUUUGUUUUAUCACGUCCCUCCCCUCAUUAGCAUCGAUAACUUUAAAAUGUUGAAUACCAAGAAUGUCACGUGAUAAUUUCUUUUGCAGACUUAAAAUAUUAUUUUCAUGGAUAUCUGAAAGAAAGCUGCAACUUGGGAACUGGGAAGAAAUAUGUUUGAAGAUAGCCUUAGCAAGAGUUGUUUUUCCAAUACCACCCAUACCGUAAAUCACCACAAAUCGUACAUCAGGAGUGCCUAGGCUUAAUAACUUCAUAACAGCUUCCAUUUGAUUGUGAAUUCCCACCAAGCCAUCACACCAGCUUCUUUGCUUUGGCAUCAGCUUACCAAAAACAUCUUCCAGAAUAAGGGCUAUAAGUUUAUCUUGGCUGCCAUAUACAUAAUGCAACCGUCUCAGUUUGAGAAACCACAAACACAAGCAGAAGCAUAAAUAUGUAAAACCAGAAACUUUAAUUGUUAAACCAAGCAUGGAUUAUUAGCUUAUUUCAUAUUCAGUCCUACCCAAACUGAGAAGAUUGAUCUCAAUCACAGAUAACAAUGGUUGGAAUUUGAUGUAGGGGCAAUUCUAAAGAGUUUUUAGAUGGUCAAAUUAGCGAAGUUCUAACAGGCGAUGUUGCCAUCAAAACUAGCUCCAUAGCCUAGCGGGCGAACCAGACCAAUUGUUUUGGUUCGUGCCACGCAUCUAGUAUGACAAAGGGUGAAAGUGGACCAAAUCGCACAUUAAGCAGGGAGAGCAUUCUUGAAUGGGGCCAACACUGUGGAGAAUGUCAAUACUUUUAAGUGCAGAGUUUGUGGCACCACAAUCUCACAUCGAAUGGGACACACCUUUUUGAACUAUUUAUGGGUAAGGUUCAUUGUUAAAUGAUUACUCUAAAAUUCAAUUGUAAUAGGAAUUACAACAAAGAAGAAUGGCAUAAGAUGAGAUAAAAACUGCAUGCAAAAGUACAGUCAAUAGAUCGGUUAAGAGUUAUGAAAAAAUCAUAUGCCUGAUGAAAUGGACUUUAUAAAAACGAACAUGGUAAUUUGCACAGCCAUUUCAACUUCCGUUUGACUUUAGAAUAUUUGUUCCCCCGCUAAGGGGUGGGGGGAGUUUAGAAAUGAAAGUAGAAAAGUUGUCAUUAACCUUAAUUCUAGCGACUUCUCUAAGGGCCUCCUCCCACUAAAUUUAGAAAUGAAAGUAAAAAAGUUGUCAUUAAUUACCCGUGAUCUUUUAAGUUCCAUCCCUUAAUUCUGGCGACUUCUUUAAGGGCCUCCUCCCACUGCUUUGCAGUAUCUUCACCAGACUGUCUCUCAUGCUUUCGUAGGGCUGCGCCGUAUGAUCCAGUUUUGAGCUUAAGAUCGGAUGCAUCCACCCCAUAGAAGAUGGGCAAGAUUGCUUUCUCAUCUCUCUUCCUAUGCUCUACCAUGUAUGUGAGCUCACGAAGACACCAUUUACUGGAAGCAUAGUCUUUAGAGAAGAUUGGUAUGUAGAUUUUUGAAUUGGAGAUUGCUCUCAAAAGCUCACCUUCGAUCUCUUCCCCAACACGGAGCUCUUCGUCAUCUUUGAAGACACAAAUCCCAGCUCGGAACAUGGCUGCAUAUAGAGAGUCUGUGAUGGUUAAGCGAGUGUCGGGCCCUCUGAAGCUCAAGAACACCUCAUAGUCCCUCUUUGACGAUGAUGAAGAUUCACCACCAUGGGGGAGAGACUUCCCUACGGGACAUUCCAUUCCUGAUCUUUGGCUGCAGAAGCGAUAUCAAACUAUUGUGCUCGUUUGAAAUUGCAACUUUUCAGUUACCUUACGCCCAUUGGCAAUUUAUAAGAGAAAUGGUUGACUGACUUUUUUUGUCCCAAAACAACUAUUGACUGAUUCGGGCUCACCGUGAGCGACAGAAGAUGCAAAGAAAGAUCACUACUGCAUGCUUCCACGAAAUCCCCUACCUCGGACAACUGUUCUUCACUUGUAGUUUUAACGCACCUCCUACUCCAGAGAACCAAGAAGAGCCCGUCUUUUGUAGUGUUUUCUCGGAACGUACCUGAGUUGAUUUGGGGAAGUCUUAGAAUUUUUUAGUACUAGAGCCUAAUUCCUUGAAAAAGCAUCGAUUUUUAGUGAAGGAUGGAGCCCGGCAGGAAUUGAAAUAAAAAGCUGAAUAACCAAAACGGAGUGCAUGUAAUAAUGCCCUCUCACUUUUCCUAAGGCCACUUUUUUUUCUCUUUAUCAUGUCGUCGCGCCAUAGAAUAAAAUGCCUUGGACAAAACUUUUGCCAUGGAAAAACAGACUUUCUGACGUGGAAUAUGAGAAGGUGUGUCAUCAAUAGUCAGUUCAUGUUUGGAAUGUGAUGAUUAUCUGAUUUUUUAUUUUCAUAUCCCACUAAGUCCAGCUUAAUCAAGUCUUCAAGACGAUCAUUGUUAGGGUUCAAAAAAAAAAAAAAAAAAACACAAGAUCAAGUCUUUCCUAUACUUUUAAUAAGUGUGUCGUCACUCAAAAUGGAAUGUUUUAAAGAUGUUUCACCUUAAAACUUAAUUUGGUUUGACAUCUUCAAAACUAAAUUGUACAUUGUUUAAGCAUAACAGUUUUGAUACAGUAGUAAUCGGAUAUAAAGCAUGCCUUGUUGUGAAAAGUUUUGAUAGCCUUGUCAAGUGAAAGCACUUAUAACUCGAAAAAGCAUUACCUAUCCAAGUCAAAGCGUUAAAAUAAGAGAUAAGUAUAUUAGAAGUUCUAAAACUUGUUACGAAAGUACAAUGAAAUCCGAAAACUUAAAAAAAAAAAAAAAACAAUUAGGUCCUAAAAUUUUUCAUGAAGUGCAAUCAAUGUCAUGAAAGUGAUUUGACUAGGGUUGUUAUUGUUUUAGUAUGUUUCAUAUGUCAUACGCACGUUGAUUAUCAUAAAGGUAACUGCUAUAAUGGACAACAAUCUACUAAAGCUGUUGGAUAAAAAAAUUAUACAAAUGGAUAUUGUAUGUGUAAUAUUGAUUCAAAACUGUAGAAAAGUAAUACACAUCCUAUUGUUGUGUGUAAUUCAUUUGAAACAGAUAAUUUGUCUGGGUCACUUUAAACGGUCAUUCUUAUUCAUUAUCGCAAAAUGUCUGCUAAGUAAGGAUUUUGCUGUUCUUGUCUAAACAUAGCAAACAAUCCAUUCUCCAUUCACAGGAUAUAGAUUGAAUCAGGAAAAAAGCACAUUAUUUUGUCAAGUGAGAGCUUUUAUCCUUAUCUGAAACCUUUUUUUGAACUUAAGAAUGAUAUUUAAUAGUUUAAAAUAAUUUAGGAACCUCAUUAAUUUAAAACCGAUGAAAAGUUCAAGAGCAACAUUGUUUCUUUGGCAAAGUUAAGGUCUUAUUAAACAAAUCAAAGGUUAAGGACAUCACAACACGAAAACAAACAAUGGUGAAUCCUUUAAGACUUCUAGCGUCCUUGGACAUGGUUGGCAUCUACAGCGAGUGAGGAGACCAAGGGGGCUCCAGAGAGAUGACCACUAAUGAGGAUAAAUUUGGACUUCUAGUUAAGGUGGAGAUUUGUUGAUUAUGGCUCGAAAUUAAUCAUGUUUGAAUUGGAAUCGGCAUGACUUUGAUGUUUUCGGACACUCAAAAUAGUUUGUAGGGGCUCGGUAAUGGAGAUGGACAACUGAAGGAUGCGAGAAGCCGGCUGCGCCUAGACAAACUAGGCAACUAGGCAAAGCACUCGACCAAGAAGUGGCUUGGUUGCCGAGCAUUCGGCAAACCUCUAGAGCCGACACUAUUUUCCAACAGAGUGCCCGUGUUGUCCAAGCCUAUUUUGGUCAGACACCCAAUCCCCAUUUUUAUGUAUAUUUAACAAAUAACUUGUGAGAAAUCUAAGGAGAUUUUAAGUACCUUGCAAAUGUACCAUUCAUGUACCUUUAAAUUCCAGUACCCUUUUGUCUUCCUCGCAAGUCGCAACCUUUAAUUUUCGUACCUACAUUUCAAUUCCUUUACUUUUAUAAUCAAUUACACUCUUGUCCAAUUUUUUUUUAAAAGCAAUUUUUUCCUUAUAAUCCAUCAAUUUCAUUCCUUUCUCGAGGCUUUCACUUUUUGAUGAGUGGUCCCGGUGCUCUCAUCUUUUAAAUAGGAUUAGACCACUGAUUCUAUUUAUGGAAAAAUAGUUUACAUAGUGAUUGCAAGAUUGAAGUAAGUCCAAUCAACGGCGCGCACAUUGCCACAUCCUUAACUGUAAAAACUAAGUCGGAAUUUCUUUUUUAAGGGAUGGCAAAACAAAGCUUCCUUUCAAGUGCAAAAACGACCGUCUGUGUAUAGUCAGUAGUCGUACAUGGCAUUCAUCUUUUUUUGUCUUCAAAUCCAAAUAAACUCAAAAGAAGGUUACAAACACUAGAUCCAAUCACUCAUUUUGAAUAAGGAAAACCAAACACUAGACUUGAUUUAGGAAUAAAGAACCUCUAUUUCUACAAGGCGAAUUCAUUCACGCCUCAAUCAAUUCUCAAUUGCCGUGUGGAUGCAUUUAAAUGAGAUGCCCAUAGGAGCACCCUCUGAGGUAGAGGAUCAACGUCCCUGAUUUGCUCUGGAAAUUAUAUUUUAACAAGUAUUUGGUCCAUAAAGAUUAAAGUCCAUCCUAAAGUUGGCCAAGAAAAAAGGAACAGAAAAAAAAAAAAAAAGGCCAAUUGAGGUGGGUCUUCGGCAGAGGUAUUGCUCAAUCAAAACUGCACUAAAAAAUCCUUCUCGUCGAACUCGUUUCUAUAAUUCCCGCGAAACUACAUAUAAAAAAUUUGUUGGCUUGACAUGUCUCUAGUUUUUUUGCCAAUUUUCCAUGAUAGAAGGUUUGUUUAGCAUGUAGUCUUGUUGGUACCUAUCCAUUUUUCUGUGGGUUAAUACUAUGAAAAAUUAUAUAUUGAUACACAUAUAAUAAAUUUAUCUAAAGCUAAUUUUUCUACCGCGAAAAGUUUUAAAUUUGUACACUUAUGAUAAAUUUAUCUCAAACUAAUUUUUUGACUACUAAAAACCCUAGACUGGUAUACAUAUGACAAACUUACUCCAAACUAAUAUUCAGAACUGGUAUACUUAUGAUAAAUUCACCAUCUAUUAGUUUUUAUUAAAUUUUACUGUAAAAUUACUAAGUUAAAACCACUGCAUUGAGUGAUGCUGCUGGCUUCGGGCUUUCUCCCCCUCACGAAGGGGGGAAGUUCGAAUCCCCAGCACGUCACAAGUGGACUUACCCACUUCACGGGAGUGGUGGGUUCUUCCGUGGGCCUCAGAGUUUGCCCGUCGGUUGUCAGCUUACGGAUUUGUCUGGGUCAUCAAAAAAAAAAUUUACUGAGUUAAAUGACAUGUGACCAUUGACGAGUGUACUAAUUUAGGGUUUUAUCAUUUGUUUGUCAUAUGUAUGUAAAUUUGUCACAUGUAUGCUAGUUUGGAAUUUUGUUAUAUAUGUAUUAAUUUGGGCUUUUGUGAUAUUACCUUCUUCUUUUUUAAUAUUGCAUUCCCGUUUAAGGGCAGCAUGCCCACAUCAAAUGGUAAUUUAGGUGAGAUCGAGAAUCUUUUAUGGUCUGGCCAAAUGCGAGAGUUGCCCCGAGACUUCCCCUGUUCCUCCCUCUCUUAUUCGAACUCUCUUGGUCUUGGUUACAGAUCACCCGAAGGAAAAUGACUGAAUCCUCUUGUCGGCCAUUUGCCCCCCGGUAUUUUCAUUGCUCCUUCCCAGCCAAAAGAAAAGACCUUUCUUUGGGUUCAGUUCCUUCUACGUUUUUCUUGGAUCUGAGAAAUUCCCCAAAAGCAAAAGAAACCCGUGUGUCUGCACUUUUUAUGGGGACGCGCGUGAUUCUUUCUUUCGCCCCCUGCUUUGUCAAUCUUUCUUUGACAUUUUUGUCAGCAAAACCGAAGAGAUAUAAAGUUAAAAAAAAAAGAAAAAGAGGGAAAGCAGAGGAUUCGGCGGAAAAUAAAAAAGAUAAGCGGGAAGAGGACGCAAUAAGGGCAAGUGGAAAGGAAAAGAAAAAGGUAACCAGAGGAGAGAAAACAGAGAGGACAGGGGGAAAGGAGAGAAGAGUAGAACGUUAGGGGCAUGCGAUGUCUAGAAGGAGGGCUAAGCGAAAAAACCAGAAGAAAGGAUAACAGAAAACAAAAGAACGGAGAGGGAGAGGGAGAGACGGUUGGAUUUUUCUCCUUAUUGAUCUAUCCCUGGUUCAGGGAGUCCAAGACAAAACAGAGAGCAAAAAAUAAUGAGCGGCAGAGAGAGUAACCGGUGAGCUUUCAUUGCCGUGUGUGUCGCUAGUCGGAGUUCUUCAAGUUGCUCGACAAAGCCGGCUGCUCUUUGAUCAACUCAUUUGCAUAAGGCGUUUGUUGUAAUUUGGUCGGAGAACUUACCCCUAAAUGCAUUUGCAACCUAAAUUGAGGACAUUGAAUGACUUGUGUGAUUUCAACCGAAUUAGAAUUCUUUGUGUUUGGUUCGAUUCUUGGUUUAUUGUAAGUAUGUUUUGGAUGUCUUUAGAACUUGUCCCUUUUGAAUGAUAAUGAUUUGAUUGCAACCCCUGCCUGUCAGGAAAUGAUGUGAAAUAUCAACAAGGACGUGAUGCAAGUGGCACCACAUUCGUUGUGCUGUUUGUGCCUGUAUCUAGACCAGUUCUCAGCUUGCACAGCGGACAAGCCUUUAGUUCACCACAAUCUGAUUUGAAUCGAUCGUUGAAAGUUCCCCCAUUCGUGUCUAAUCUACCGUUUUGUUUGUGAAGGUUUAUGCUAGUGAUAUUAGAAUUUGGAGAAUGUGGUGUAUGGUGGAAUAAUUAGUUUGUGGUCUUAAUUAGUUCAUAAUUUUUGAUGGUUUGAUCUAUAUAUGCAAACAAGUGCAAUAAGCUGCGUGGAUUCAUUUUCCGUCUAAGCAAGAACUGAUCGCAUUAUGACGACCUGACGUUCAAAUCCUUCUUAAUUUGUAAUUCAUCACGUCAUAGAGCAAUCAUCUUUCGCAGUGUUUUCUUGGAACCUACUUGAGUUGAUUUGCGGAAGUCUCCAAAUGUGUCAGAACUCAAAGCCUUCCCGAAAAAGCAUCGAUCUUUAGUGGAGCAUCAAAGCACGAAAGACAUUCUUCUAUACACAAUGAUGGAGCCCACCAGGGCCAAACCACCACAUUUGUGUAAAGUAAUAAUGCCCUCCUGCUUUUUCUAAAGCCACAUUUCCCCAUUAUUAGGUUGUCAUAUGAUAGAAUAGAGUACGUUGGACCAUAUUUUUGUCAUGGGAAAACAAAUUUUCUGACAUGGAAUAUCAUAGGGUGGGUCAUCAAAAGUCAGUUCAUAUUGGGAAUGUGAUGAUGAUCCGAUUCUUGCUUUUCAUAUUCCAUUAAGUCCGGAUCAAUUGAGUUCACAAGACAAUCAUUAUUAGGGUAAAAAGAAAUUAGGAUCGAGUCUUUUCUAUGCUAUGCUGUUAAUAAGUGCCUCUUGAGAAAAAUGUAGAAGUCAAUCAUUCAAAAUGCAUGAUUUUGAGGUAUUUUACCUUGAAACUUGAUUUGAUUGUGAUCUUCAAAAUUGAAUUAUACAUUACUCAAACAUUACAGUUCCAAAUCAGAAGUAACUUGAUAAAAAAUAAUUUAAGAAUCUCAUUAAUUUAACACCAAUGAAAAAAGUUUGUGAGCAGCUAUGCUCCUGGGACAAAGUCAAUGACUUACUUAAACAAAUUGAAAUAUUAGGGACAUCAUAACUUGUAAGCAAAUAAUGGUGAAUUUUUUAAGACUACUAUUUAGCAUUUGCAGCAAGUGAGGAGACCAAGGGGGCUUGAGAUAGACAAUGACCAACGAAGAUAAAUUUGGUCUUCUUGCAAAGGUGGAGAUUUGUUGAUUAUGGCUCAAAAUUAAUCUCAUUUAAAUUGGAAUCAACAUAAGUUUGAUGUUUCCGGACACUCGAUGUGUUUGUGGGGAUUUGGAAACGGAGAUAGACGACUGGAGGAUGCAAGAAGCUGACCCCCCCCCUGGUGCUUCGACAAACCAGGCAACUAGGCAAGCACUUGGCCAAGAGGUGGAUGGGUUGCCGGACACCCGACAAACCUCCCAAGCCAAAAGUCUUUUCCAACAUAGUGCUCGAGUGAUGGGCCUAUUUUUCUCAGACACCUAACCCCCGAUUUUUAUGUAUAUCUAAUGAACAACUUGUAAGAAAUCUAAAGAUAAAGAAUUUUUAAGAAGAGAUAAUGAGAAUACUCCUUUCUUGCUCGAAUCGUUUCUUUUAUUUACUCGCGUUAGUAGUGACAAUAAUUGAUGCAAGAUUCAAACUAUGCAAUUCAGCUGAAAAAAAUCUCCCAACAAUAGUAAGGUAGGUUAAACUAGGAGCGAAAUCUCAUUCUACGAUUCUAAACUUAACGGGUGCAUCAGAUGUUAGGUUUAUUUUGUAUUUACAUUGAAAUCAUGCGAGCAAUUCAGUGAAGCUGAUGGAAAAGACCAAGCAAUAUUAGUCUGGUACCGUUCCACACGUAAUUGAUCACUGUACCUGGAAAAUGCAGAUAAUGCCAAACAAGGACUCAAAGAAAAAAGGAAGAAGGACAGACUCCCUAAGUCUUGGUCUUCUCUUUAUUAUUAAGGAAACUUCUGUAAAAUAUGAAAUGAACCCAAGUGAUCCGGGUGUUGAAUGAAGUGAGCAUGAAAACGCGGAGAGAAACAGUAGAUUCACCAUUAUUUAAUCUGCUAAACAAUGAUGGGGCUGGGAGUCGCUUAAAGUUAAGUGAAGAACUAAUAUGAAAAGACCAAGACUUCUUUUGAGCCUAAUAAUUUUUUUUUUCCUAAUUUCAGUUGCAUCUUAGUUAGAGGCUUUCCGAGUUCGAAUGUCUCUCUGUUCACACUCGCCAAUCUGCAACAUUUACUCGAAAGCCAUUGGCAGGCGCGCAGCAAAAUUGAUGUUGAUUACCAUUCUCGAGAAAAUUAUAGUGCUUGCCAAUUUUUUUCACUGAAGCUUUGAUCUACUGUAGUUGAACGAACGUGUAAUAACCGUGCAGCCGCUCCAUCAUUAGCAACUGAUUGUAUGUAGCAAUCUGCGCUGACUAUAGAAGUUAUAUAUAGAAAAAAUUGCAAUGGUUGAUUGAUGAACUUGUCAUCCCAGUAAAUUCCUUCUUUACAAACUUUUCUGAACCAAUUCCAAUUACUGGUGAACCAUGACAAUGAGGGACGUAAUUCAUUUGAAUGCGACAUGGUAGAAAAGCAUUAAUCCCCUGAUUAAAACAUCAGAGCACAGCAGUUUUUCUCCCGUCCAACCACCCUGAUGUGCAUAAGUAGAAACGCCAAAAGGAUUUUUCCAGCUGAAUUCGACUACUAAAGGAGCUCAUUUAUCUUCAUCGAUUUUGAGGGAUUAGACGAGAGAACAGCCGCGGAGACACACUGAAUCCCCAUGCUGUUAGACGUUUACUCAGGGUGUCGACUGACUUUGUUUUGUCCCAAAACAACUGUUUGACUGAUUCUGGAUGCUUCCACAAAAAUACCUCCCCCGCAGAAACGUUCUUCAUUUGUAGUUCAGUACGCCUCCAUCUUCUUUCGCAGGGUUUUCUACGAACCUACCUGAAUUCGAGCCUAAAGCAGGAGAGGUGUUCUUCCAUAUGCCAUGAUGGACCCCAGCAGGAAUUGAAUAAAAAGCUGAACGGCAACCUGAGUAAAUGUAAUAAUGCCCUCGUCCUAAAGCCAUUUUUUUUUUUUUUUUUACCUGGUACGACGGAAUAGUGUGUUGGACGAUAUUUUGCCAUGGAAAAACAGAUUCUCUGACGUAGAAUAUGAGAGAGGUGGUCAUGAAAAGUCGGUUCAUGGUGGGAUUGUGAUGAUGAUCUGAUUCUUGAUUUUCCACUUUUCAUUAAGUCAAUUAACUUCACAAGACAAUCGUUAUUAGGACCAAUCAAUCCUGAUAAUAAUUGAAAAAAUUAGGAUCAAAUCUCUCCUAUGCAUUUGAUAAGUGCAUCUUGAGAAAAAAAAGGUCGAAUUCAAUCAUGCAAAAUGCAUUGUUUUAAUGUAUUUUACCUUGAAAGUCAAUAUGGUUUGGUAUCUUUAGAACUAAAUUGUACAUUACUAAAGCAUAACAGCUCCGAUUAAGUGGCGAUCACAUAUAAAACAUGCCUUAUAGCAAAAGGAUUCAAUAAUCUUAACAAGUGAAUGCACUUCCCCUAACUCGGGAAGAACAGCGGCCACCCAAGUCAAAGCAUUAAAAGAAGUAAUGCCGUUUCACAAUCUUCAGAGGUUUGUGGCGGUACCUGGAUUCAAGUGCAACCAUUUUUGGAGCAGUGUCCAAGACUAAUGCUCUAUAAAUAGCUUCGUCGAUUGAAACUGGAGAUUAAGCCUCAGCUGGCACCAAUUGAGAGAGAGAGAGAGAGAGAGAGAGUCUGUGCGUGUGUAAUAUAAUUGCUUAUUUGAGAGUAAUGAUUCAAUUUGACAGAUAACGGCAUCUGUCAAUGUUCUACAUACAUAAAUUUUAGCAAUUACAUCGUUUCUGCAACUUCACUCGACGUUGAAUUAUAUUUUGGGAGAUGUGGCCGCUCAUUCCAUCCUCCAAGACCUUCGAGUUUAUCGAGCUCUGUAGCAGAGAAAUAGUUGCGAUUUUUCUCUUAAUUACCUUCAAAUUCACAGACCAUCUUGCCUUGUGGAUUAAGAUGUCAAGAUAUAUCGGUGGGCAAUCGAUGAAUGAGUCAAAAGGACCCAGAUGGGGUUUCCAUGGGCACUAAUUUCGUGCAAACAUGCUCCUUUUGACAGGAGUUUCCCUCUUCUAUUCAUCUCUCUUUCAUACUGCUUUUUACCCUUACUUGGACGGCUUCCUGUGCCCGGUCUUUUCGAUUCGCAUCUUAGCACAGGAAUACGUGGGAAAUUUCUGCGAAGCAUAAAUCUAUUCUUCUCUCGUUCACACUGCUUUUACCAUUGCUUGUACAGCUGCCUAUGCUCGCUCUUUUCGAUUCGCAUCUUAGCGCGACAAUACAUGGGAAAUUUCUGCGAAGCAUAAUUCUAUUCUUCUCUCUUUCAUGCUGCUUUUACCCUUCUUAGCACAGCAAUAUAUGAGAAAUUUCUACGAAGCACAAUUCCAUCCUUCUCUCUUUCAUAUUGCUUUUGCCCUUCCUUGUACGGCUGCCUAUGCCCGCUCUUUUUGACUCGCAUCUUAGCACGGCAAUGCAUGGGAAAUUUCUACGAAGCAUAAUAUUAUCGUCUCUCUUUCGUAUUGCUUUUACCCUUACUUGUACGGCUGCCUACGCCCGCUCAUUUUUACUCGCAUCUUAGUACGGCAAUGCAUGGGAAAUUUCUGGGAAGCCCAAGGAGGACAAUGCUAUCAACUCUAGCCAAAAUUGAAGCAAUUCUAGCAUUUUAUUUUUACUCAUGUCGGAGAUAAUUGAGGAGGUCCAGAAUAUUCAAAUGAAAAUUCUCUUCUAUGAAAUUGAGGGCGCAUUCAUAUUUUUCACUAUUUUUGUCACGCCCCGACCCUCAGGCACGCACACAUCCCUUACUCUUGGUCGAUUUUAAAAUGCGAUAUCCCAGGACUAUGUAUCGCCGACCCUUUCAUUCUUUAUAGCACAUGCGGAAGCAGUUAUAAAUCCCCAGACAAUAAAGCAAUGGGAAAGAAAAGCAGGCCAUACAUUUUUCUCACUGAAAUUCACAACUACAACUUUUUACAUGCAAACAAGGUCUGACAAGACAGGAUAGGAUUUCGGUCCUCAUCCGGGUCGUACUCGAUGUCAUACUCGGGGUCCUCCUCCACGUACUCCUCUUCGGGUUCCUCAACAAGGAUCUCCUCGUCAGAUUCAUGCUCCUUAGGCUCCUCAUCCAGGUCCUGAAAUGGUUAUUCAAUAACCACUGAGACCACGUCUCAGCAAGUUCUACCUCCUAAGACCCGAUUAGUAAACUAAUACACCUUAGGGCUGCCUAUGCACAACAUGAGUCAAAGGACUUACCUUAGCCUCAGAUUCCACCUGCAUAUUAGUACAGAUCAAAUAGGCACACAAGCGAUCACAUCACAGAUCGAAGCAUCGAUCUAAUCGACUUAGUCGAUUACAUGUCAACAAGACCACUCACGGUCACUUUCAUUCAAUCGAUCAUUUCACAACAUCAAAUCAAGGCAAUGAAUCACAUCAAAUCACACUCAGAUCGAAUCAUCGAUCAAUCGACUUAGUCGAUUACACGCCAACAAGACCACUCACGGUCAUUCCCAUUCAAUCAACCAAUUCACAACAUUAGAUCAAAACAAUGAUCAAUCGACAUAGUCGAUUACAUGUCAUACCAAUCAUUCUCCACGGAGGAGUAUCUAAAAGCUAGGCCACGUGCAUUCUCUAGGACGACAUUCCAAGUCUCCAAGUCCACGUGCCUCGAACCCCGGGCCCACGUGCAUUCUCUCAUGCGACCUCUUCGCCAAAGUGAUACAUCAAGUCACCGAGCCCACGUGCCCUUUUAGAUGCCUGCACUUAGUCACAGAGCUCCAUCAAUGCUCUCGGGCGUCGAUUCGCCAAGGUGACGUACAGUGAACACUUUACUAUGCUCUCGGGCGUCUUUUUCGCCAAGGUGAUACACUGAUCACAGAGCCAACGUAAACAAUUCAAUAUGCUCUCGGGCGUCUUUUUCGCCAUGGUGAUACACUGAUCACAGAGCCAACAUAAACAAUUCAAUAUGCUCUCGGGCGUCUUUUUCGCCAAGGUGAUACACUGAUCACAGAGCCAACGAUUUCUCAAUCAAAUAAUUAAAUCAACUCAACAAAGCAUUAUAAAUGCUGAAUAACAUACUUGGCCAAUUCAAUCUCAAUCAAAUCCAAUCAGAUUAGGGUAAAUCCCUAAAAUAUCACAAUUUAUUCAAUUCCAUACAACGUAGAGCUCAAAUAAAUAAACGGACUGCGCCACGACAAUCAGCACGAGAUUUCGGUCGUCGGCCAUCAAAAUCUUAAUUUCCGAAAAAUAAUUAAUUAAUUUAUUAAUUUCGAAAAUUAAAUAAAUAAAUACAAUAAAUUCAAUUUAGCACAAUAUAAAGCUCAAUUAAAUAAACAGUCUGCACCACGAUCAUCAGCAUAAAAUCCCGGUCACUAGCCAUUCCAGUUGAAUUUCCGGGAAAUAAAUAAUUAAAUAAUUAAUUUCGAAAAUUAAUAUUUAAUUCCUAAAAAUACCACCUAGGCCCGAAUCGUUUAAUAAACACCCCAUAAGGGACGGGAAAAAUCCCAAGAAGGAUCCAAUAAAUACUACAUGCAAUUCUCUAUCUAAUUACACUAAUUACAUCACUAAUAUACAAAGCAAUUAACUAAUAAUUACUAAUCAAUUCUAAUCUAACAACCUAAUUACACUUAAUUAACACUAAUCAACCUUUAAGUAUAAUUAGCGCACUAAGAAGGCAUUAGUGAGUAAAACUCACUCGAAACGACGGGCUCCACGCGAGGAUCGACUUUCCCCAAAGCGGGCCGAGCAUCCGGGCUCGGGAAGACGGCCAAAACGGGCCAAAACCCACUGCGAUACCCAUUUUCUGACUUCUCUGAUCGCUGCUGGAAGGGGCGGAUUCGGGGCUGGUUGAGGCGGCCAAGGGCGGCGAAGGGCGAGGCGGAGCUCCGGCAAGGCUGACAGUGGUCGGAGGUGGCCGAACCAUGGCAUGUGAUGGCCAAAACGAAGCUGAACAGAGGCGGAACAGGGGCUGGGUCGCACAGCGGGGACGGCAGGCGCGAGCGUGAGGCGGCGGAGCGCGCGGCGUCGCGCGGGCGGCGGUGCGGCAACUCCGGUGCGGCGGCGUCCAAGCAGCUGGUCGCGGCUCCUUCCGGCGACGCUGGACGCUGCUUCUGCUUCUGCUAUUCAGUUCUGUUCGAACCAGAGGAGGGAAAGGGGCGGACGCGCAUGGACGGCAGUUCGGCGGUGAGCUUGGGUGCGCGCGAGCAGCUCCGUGGCUUGCGGGCGUGCGACGACGGCGGCGAGAAGCGGCGACGACAGCUCGGUCUUCGGUGGUCUUCGGCUCCCAUGGAGUUUUGAAGAAAAAGGAGAAGAUGGGGGAGGAUCCGUCGACGGAGGAGAGAGGGGAGGAAGAAAAACCUAAUUUCUCUUUCUUUUCUCUCACUCUCUCUCUCUCUCUCUUAGGUCAGCCACACAUGGGCACCACCAGCUGCCCUCCACUCACAAUUCCAAGACAACUUUGCCCCUUCUAGAAGCCUUUAAAUAGGCCAAAAUGUGGGGGGUAAGUGUGGCAUACGAAUUUUGCUAGGUUUUCUUUCCAAUUGAGCCUUAAUUCCUCUUGAAUAAAUCAAAUUGACCCCCAUUAAUUUAUUCAACACCUCAUCAUUCCAAUUGGUAUUUUUCCUUACCAAUGUAGCCCCACUUGCAUCCCAAUUUCACAAUCCUUGGCUUCAACCGAACAAAAGCGGCCCUAUUAUCCAGUCGAAAUUAGGACCCGAAAAUCUGGAUGUCACAAUUUUUGCCCCAACGCACCGAAAAUAUCUUCAGAAACAUGGAAAAUGUCCUUUCAGGAGUCGUAAUGGGAGGCGUCCUCCAUUUUUUUGCGGGUCAUUAUUGAGUGGUUGAAGAAGGAAUUUCGAUCUUAUGACUUGCAAUUAAUAUGGCAGCAACUUGAUCUAAAUGUGUAAUGUGCAUUGCAUUAUGUCCUACACUUUUUGACAUGGCCAUUCAAUAAAUGAUGGAAUUCGUCACCACAUCAUUGACUAGUGCUCUAAAUGCCCGUAAUUGUUAGUAAAACUGCUUGAAAUACUCAAUAAUUAAUAGCAAUGUGAUAGUGAUAUCUAAAUUCUUGCUUAAGGUGCAUUAUCGUAAUUGACAUUUAAAUAGAUUUAAUUAGGUCCAACAACUUUGUUACGACCUGCAAUGCUUUUCUGAAUUUUGAAUCGAUUUAGUAGAAUGCUAAACUUUUGUUUAUAGUGUGUGUAAUUGAUUCAUCCCUGGAACUUCUGCUUGUUCUUGUGAAAUUAUUUUAAUAUGUUUCAUAUGGCAUACGCCCAUUGGUUAUCCUAAAGGAAGUUUCUAAAAUGGACAACAAUCUACAAAAGCCAAUAAAUUGAAAAAAAAAAAAUUAUACAAAUAGAUUUCCCAUGUGUAACAAUUAUAUGAAAUUAUAGAUAAAUGACAAACAUUCGGUUUUUAUGUGUGAUUCAUUUUAAACAAACAAAUUUGCUUAGUCCCUUUAAUCAUGCUCAUUCAUCAUAUCAGCUAGUGAGAAGUACAGAGGAUUUUGCUGUUCUUUUCAAAGCAUAGCAAACAAAUCCAUUCUCCAUUUCACAUGAUUUCCAUUGAAUCACGAAGAAGGCACAAAAGGUUUAUCCUAAUCCCAAACCCUUCUCAAACUUAAGACGAUACUGAAUAUUUGAAAAUGAUUUAGGAACCUCGUUAAUUUAUAACCAAUCAAAAGUUUUGUAGUAACAAUGCUCCUCAGCCAAAGCGUAGGACCUACUUGAUAAAUUGAAAGGCCGGGCAUAUCAUUAGACGUUAACUGACAAUGUUGAAUUUUAGGACCAAAAUUCGAAAACUAGUGGUCACCGCCCCUCUAUUUGAUGGUACAUUCAUUGAUGAAAUCAAUUGGAUUUGCAAUUUUCAAAGAGACUCAAUAAUUAAAUUGAAAUUCGUAUUGGAUGAUAAGAUUAAAAGCAUAUGACCAUUCCGUUUGCACAGCCACAAGCAUUUGCCUUUUAUUGAUCGAACCUUGUUGCUUCGACGUUGGAAACAGACUAGGUUUUUUUCUCCUUGUACAUCCCUAUGCAACAGAAGUUUGAAGGAACUAUCAGCUGUCGGCAGACUGAGUAGCUUCAUUCGGGGUGCAUGAAAUUUUUUAUUGAAAUGGCGGACAAUCUGUCGAAUACGUCAGAAGACGGAUUUGCAAAUAGAUGAAUCGCACAAAGAGAUAUCACUUGCUUACUUCAAGCCAACUGAAAAAAGGGUGAAAAGAGUCCUGGCAGCUCUAUAUCACUUUCCUUAAUUGGGUCGUCUAUUAAAAUAUAUCUAGAAUUUAAGCCCAUUGAACAAAGCCCGACUAAUGAGAAUGCGUGAACUCGACCAUGUGCAAGUCAAAAAUUGGCAUACGAGAAUUGGCUGGCCGAGAUUGCAAAAAGCGUGAGGAAAAAUCAAUAACACGUGACUUUUUUGCCUUCUCCAAGUCCAAUUUAUCGUGCAUGUUAGAUUCUUUGGCAUGCUGAAUUUGUUGCCUAGAAGACAGGGCACACACACACAUAUAUAUACACGUGAUCAUAUUUUACUUUAAAUUGAUUUACUUAGGUUCAAGAACUUUAUUCUAAUAGGCAAUGCAUUCAUGCUUUCACAUUAUUUGUUUAGAUGUCCUACACUUUUGUUUAGCAUGUGAAAUUGGUCCAUCUCUAGAACUUUAGUUUGUUCAAUUCUGUCUCUUGAAAUUAUUUUAGUAUGUUCGUGUGUCUUAUGCUUGUUGAUUAUCGAAAGGAAAUGGCCACAAUGGACAACAAUCAACUGAAGUCGCUCGAUAGAAAAAUUAUACAAAUGGAUUUCGUGUGUGUAAUAUGUAUCCUAAACGAUAAAAAAAAAUAAAAAAUAAUACUCAUUCAUUUCUUAUGUGUAAUCAUUUGAAACAAAAGAUUUGCUCGGUCACUUUAAAUGGUGAUUCUUAUUCAUUAUCCCAAAAUGUCAGCUAAGUAUGGAUUUUACUAUUCUUGUCAAAGCAUCGCCAACAUUCCGUUCUCCUUUAACAUAUUACGCUCGGAUCCUGGAGAAAGCACAUGGUUUUGUUAAGUGAGAGGUUUCAUCCUUAUCUGGAAACUUUUUUUGAACUUAAAGAAUGAUAUUUGAAUAUUUGCAAAUAAAUUAGAAACCUCAUUAAUUUAAAACUGAUAACAAGUUCAAGAGGGACAAUGCUCCUUCUGUCACACCCCGAAACCAUCAUAAAUGGGGGUGACACGGCCGUCCUUCCACUCGAAGGACACAGCCUCAGAGCUCCCAAAAUCUAAUUCCUAAAAGUCCGCUCAUUAAUAUCACUCUUAUACUACUUAUCAUUAGCUGGGGAUCUUAAAAAAAAUUGGCAAAUAGAAAGGUGAGUAACCACAGCUCAGUGAAUAAUGCAUCUCUUCUGAGCGGAUCGAGCACCCACUAUAUAUAUAUUUACAAAACCAAACUACAACUUUUUUUUAACAUAAAUCUAGAAUAUAACAAAUAAAUAAUAAGAGAAUAAGUUACGUACACUUACGAAUAGCUACAUUCAUUUUAUAAAAACAUCAAAACAAAUGUCAAUGGUCAAAUACAUUGAUUAAUCUCAUUAAGUCACAUGCCAAUGGUUCAUUCCAUUGGUUAGUCUCAUGCCACAUAUCAAUAGUCUAUUCCAUUGAUCCAUCUCAUAGGAAACCACAUGUUGAUGGUCCAUUCCAACGGCUAAACUCAAAUCACAUGUCAAUGGAAUGUUAAUGGUCCAUUCCAUUGACCAAUCCAUUGCUCAAUAUUAUUAGCUGUGGCUCGACACACAAGGAUACAUUAGACUAGUAUGCACAUAUCCACAAGCCUCUCAUUGGGCUCACAACGAUAUUGAGCAUCAAUAUCAAUCCAAAACAACAACAUCCAUAAUUCACAAACAAAAUCCAUAAAUCAUUUCGUAUAUCACCAAAAUAUUUCACAAUUGUUUUUAUGCCAGGUUAGGCCAACAGUGAUGGAGCUCACCAAAAUAUUUCACAAUUGUUUUUAUGCCAGGUUAGGCCAACAGUGAUGGAGCGGGGGGACACUGGUUUUGCAAGAACACCGGAUGGAUACUAAAAAUGAAGCAAGUGCAUCAUGUACUGGAAUUCCUUAUGUUCUGAGAUUCUUACAUGAAGUGCCAAAGAGAAAAUGAAACAAGAAGAGAGGAGAGAGCAAGCACAUAUAUAGGUUCGAAUGAUUCUCUCUGGGUUCAUCUGUUUGAGCUACUCUGCACCCUCCAAUCUGCUGCCUUUAGUCAACUAGCCCAUCGGGGCGGGCAGAGGGAAGACGAUGCCGAUUACAUUCUCAAGAGAAUUCUAGUGUUUGCCAAUUCUUCUCACCUAAGCCUCAAUCUACGACUGUAGUUGGACGAAUGUGUCACGACUGAGCAGGAACACUGAUCAGACGCUCAAUCAUUUGCAACUGAUCAUAUGGAGCAAUCUGCACAAAGGAGAGGAGUUAAAACAGAGAAAAAGAUAACGGUUGAUUGAUGAAGGUAUCAUCUGAGUAAAGUGCUUCACAAACUGUUCGGAACUAACUCCAAUUACUGGUCAACCAUGACGAAGAGUGACAUUAUUCGUUCGAAUGAGACACGGUAGAAAAGCAUUGGUCACCUGAUUAAAUCUGUCUGGCCAAACUAUGGACACGGCAUAGUUUCCCAUUGGCUGAAUCUCUUCUGGUUCGAUGUCUUCCAGAACAUCAGAAUACUGCAGUUUUUGCUCCCCUGUCCACUCAUCCUGAUGUGCAGAUAAGUGGCAUAAGAAAGAAUCUCUUCACUAGUCCAAGUCACAAUAUCUAAGACAAGCACGGGACAAGUAGAAACUUCGGAAGGAAUAAUUUAAGCGAAAUUCCACCCCUAAUCUUCAUCGAUUUUGAGGGAUUAGACUGGAGAAUAACCACUGUUAUACUCUGAAUCCCUAUGCUGUUCGGCAUUUAUCAGCACGACAAAGGAUGCCAAAGGAGGGGAAAUCAGAGUAAAAACUUUUGAGGCAAGAAGUAUUUUUAGUUGACUGAAUAGAUUUAAAUGAAGAAGUUCAAUGCUCUAAAAUCUACCAUGCCAAAUCACUAAUACUCAAGAAUUCAGUUGAUAGAACACUCAGAUUACUGAGAUCCGGUAUGGUUAGUUUGAACCAUCACGUGAAGAUAAGAGGUAAGGUUCGAGUGAAAACAUGCUUGGCCUUCAUGUACGGGUGCUUGGAUUAUGGGUAAUGGCGUGAAAGCUGCUCAAAUCCACUUAUCUACAUUUUCAAAAUGCGACCUUAGACCUCUAAUUUAAUUUAAAAGAAGGGUCAUAAAUUAGCUUGGAGGUCCAUUUGUAGAAUUAAACUAAGCUUGUCUGGUGAAAUGCAGCAACCGGCCUGAACAUUCUAACUAUAGGAUUAGCAUCUAUCUAUUUCCCAAGGUUAUGCAUGAUUGUGUUGACACCGCUGCAAUAAAAACCUACAUAUCAACUUUCCAUUUGCAAAGACAAAAACAAUCAGAGGAUUUUUCCAGGUCAAAG
RNAcentral lists this long non-coding RNA (272287 nucleotides) under Eucalyptus grandis. Its description in RNAcentral is "long non-coding RNA (EGRA_LNC002049)". Lineage: Eukaryota; Viridiplantae; Streptophyta; Magnoliopsida; Myrtales; Myrtaceae. The record is from RNAcentral.